RNAcentral lists this long non-coding RNA (228346 nucleotides) under Prunus persica (peach). Its description in RNAcentral is "long non-coding RNA (PPER_LNC001445)". The record is from RNAcentral. Lineage: Eukaryota; Viridiplantae; Streptophyta; Magnoliopsida; Rosales; Rosaceae.
AUUUCUUCAUUUUACAACCCAUACAGCCCAGGAGCUUUGAUAACUGAAGGCAUCUUGGAUUCCCUGUCUGCUGGCAUUCUGGUGUACAUGGCCUUGGUGGACCUCAUUGCUGCUGAUUUCUUGAGUAAGAGGAUGAGCUGCAAUUUUAGGCUCCAAGUUGUAUCUUAUUGCUGUCUCUUUGUUGGAGCUGGAUUGAUGUCCUUGCUUGCAAUUUGGGCUUGAUUUUCUUUCCCCCUUUUCUAUUUUUCUGGUGUUUUAUGUUCAUUGUUUAGUAGUACUAGUAAAUACAAGGGAAAAUCAAAUUCUUUCCACUUGGUUGUUAAGAGAGUAGUUGACAAGUUGUUGUCUUUUAGAUUGGGAUGGCUCCAAUAUAUUUUAUAAAAUCUCCAAUACCCUUUUCACCCAUUUCUUUGCUGAAAGACAAGAAAACAAAACAAUGUGGCUGUGAUGAUCUGAUGCAAAACCCAAAAAAUACCUUGUGUCACUCAACUUUCAAUAUGAAUUGUCUCACAAAUCUAAAGAUAUUCUUGAACCAAAAACUGAUUAGAAUUAAAAAAUACAAAACCCAAAACUGAUUAGAGUUAAUAAUGCAAAACCCAAAAAUGAUAAGAGUUAAGGCUUAUUAUUACAAAACGUCCCUAAGGUUUACGAAACUAUCAUAUUGUAUCCUUAAAGUUUUUUUGUGUCACUCAUGAUCCUCAAGGUUAGUAUGUUCAAUCACAAAUGGUCCAUGCUGUUAGGUUCCGUAAAAAACUCCGUUCGUUUGCUAACGUAGCAUACAUAUAUAUUACAAAACAUCCCUAAGGUUCACACACCUAUCACAAAUGGUCUCUACGAAUUUUUUUAUUUAAAAUUCAUAAAAUUUUGGUUUUCUUUUUAAAAUUAUUUAUAAAUGAAAAAACCAUUUAUAGAAGGAUUUUAAUCUUGAGGACCAUUUAUGAACUCUAAACCUUUAGUUUUUUCAUUUUUAAAAUUUAUAAAUUAUAAAUUAUUUUUUAAAAACUCCAUUAUUUUAAAUUUAAAAAAUUUUAAAAAUGUCAUAAGAACCAUUUGUUAUAGGUGCGUGAACCUCAGAAAAUUAAUGGAGUUUUUAACGGAACCUAACGACAGGGACUAUUUGUAAUUAUGCAUAUUAACCUUGAGGACCACGAAUGACACAAAAAAACAUUAAAGAUGCAAUCUGAUAGUUUCGUAAACUUUUGAGACGUUUUGUGAUAAUAAGCCUACAAUUAAUCUAUAUAUAUAAAAAAAUUAACAGGUGGAGGAUAAUAUGGUAAAUUCACACUUUUUUAUAUUUAAAAAAAUUAAAAGAAAAAGAAAAAGCAGAUAAUGGAUCUUAUUUUUAUAGAACACAACUACCUAUUAUCUUUUUUAAUUCUAAAAUAAAUUUACUUAUUUUUUUUAAAAAACCUCUUGUAAGCGCGGAAGCGCGUGCAGAGAGGCUCGUAAUGAUAAACCCAAAACUGACUAGGAAGAAAAAUUUUUUUUUUUUUUUUUAAACCCAAAAAAUAAAGAAAGCGAAGUGAAACUGAAAGGGACGAGUAUAAUGGUAACUUCCAACCUCUUUAAGCUCUCUAUCUCCACCCAAAGCAAAGCUUCAGACUUUGCAUUUGAGUAGAUGAGAUCAUGAGAGACUUGAGUGUCACUCUUUCUCUUCGUCCCUGACCCUGAGAUAUAGCUCACUGCAGAGUCUGAGGAGAGAGAGAAACUGGUAUAACAUUCCAACUUUCACUCCAUAAUUUCACCAAAAUGCCACUCUUUUUCCACCGCCAAUCUUCUCUCCCAACCACCACCGCCACCUCCCCCUCUUACUCUUCCAAGCUCCUCAAGCCCCUAAAACCCAAUUCUGCCCCUGUCCCCACGCGCUCUCCCCUGCCCAUUAUCGUCUUUUCACUCGUCUCCCUCUUCAUCGGCCUCGCCGGAACCAUCUUCGCCAUCACCGCCCUCCGUCGCCCAACGCCCAUUCCCGUUUUUCGAUGCGGCAAAUCGGAAGACACCUUCCGGGCAUUCUACUCUCUUUCGACCUCUCGGCAGCUCGGUGAUAAGAAUGGUGGCUUGGUUGAUCGGCCUAAGCUUCUUGGGUUCGUCGGAAUUCAGACCGGGUUCGGCUCAGCUGAUCGCCGUGCGGCUUUGCGGAGGACGUGGUUUCCUUCUGACCCAGAUGGCCUUUUGAGGUAAAUUUCUGUUUUUGUGCAGUGAAGUUCCUAAAUUCUUAUAUCUGAUGUUGGUUUUGAUCAUAUUGUCUUUGUAUAUUGUUAUACAAUGCACUUGUUUGAUAUCACUUCUGGGUUUGCCUAACAUGAUGAGUUGCAGAUGUUGAUCUUUGUUAGCUUAGCUAUGAUGUUUAUCAGCUCAGCUAGAUUAAGAUCAACAAUCUGGCUUUGAUGAAAAUGCCCUGUUGUUCUUUUUGUUGGGGUUUUAAUAGUUUUUUUUUCCUACCAUUCUCUUGUAGAUUGGAACAAGCUACUGGUUUAGCUUUUAGGUUUGUUAUUGGGAGAUCUAAAGAUGCAAAGAAGAUGGCGGGGGUUCAGAAAGAGAUAGAUAAGUACAGAGACUUUCUGGUUAUUGAUGUCAAUGAAGAGUAUUUGAACCUUCCAUGGAAAACGUAAGAGUCAUCGGUUUUUAUUGAACUAUUUGUCAUGUUGAUGGCUUUAUGUUCUUGGCAGUUUAUGUCAUAUUGGUUUCUCACGCUAUUUUGUAGGUUGGCAUUUUUCAAAGCAGCAUUUCAACUUUUUGAAGCAGAUUACUAUGUCAAAGCAGAUGACGACAUUUAUUUGCGUCCAGGUAUACUGUAAUGCCAGACUUUAUGCUUUCAUUAAUCUGUGAAUAUGAGUACAUUAGAAUUUAGUGAUAUUUUCUUAAUUUGUCAGAUCGACUAGCAACACUUCUAGCCAAGGAGCGAACACAUUCACAAACCUACAUUGGAUGCAUGAAGAAAGGACCAGUAAUCACUGACCCUAAAAUGAAAUGGUAUGUGGGUUUUCAAAUUGUAAUCAGAGCUUUUACCUUUGUGAUCAAUUUAUUCUUUUUUUCUGAUCAUCCAUCCAUUUAUUAUUCAGGUAUGAGAAAUCAGGACAUCUAAUUGGGAAUGAAUACUUUCGGCAUGCUUAUGGUCCUAUAUAUGUUCUGUCUGCAGAAGUGGUAGCAUCAUUGGCAAUUGCUAGAAAUAACAGGUCAGCCACCUGUUCUGUAUUUGAUUUCUUUAUGUUAGUCAUUGUUUCUUUCAAUUAUGACUUUUGCCAAUAUAUUUAAUUUUUUGAACCUCCAUUUAUGUGAAACAUGACUCAGGCUUUAGUUUUUGUAAAAUAUGAAUCUACCUUGCUCCUUCAAUCCACUUUGUUCUGUUAUCAUCGUUGUUCUGUUUUAUUGUAUUCAUGUAAAGGUUUUGCUAUCUACAGAACUCUUCUUGAAAAAAUUUGGGCUUCUCAUUUGGAGAGGUUCUUAAGCUGUUAUUUCGUUUCCUAUAGAUGUCCCUUUGCUUGAUAUAUGUAUUUUCUAUUUUUCAGUUUGAGAAUGUUUAGCAAUGAGGACGUUACGAUUGGGUCGUGGAUGCUUGCUAUGAAUGUCAACCAUGAGGAUAAUCGGGCAUUAUGUGACCCUCGUUGCACACCUGCAUCCAUCGCAGUGUGGGACAUCCCAAAAUGUUCAGGUACUUUAUCCAAAACAUAAUAUUGUUACAUGAUUACGUUAUCUGUCACAAUAUAAUUGUGAAGAAAAUUCCUGGUUAGCUAUAUACUGCACAUUUGAAAGACCAUUGAUUUAUUUGUGGUAUUGUAAUGUAGAUGGCGAAGGCUUAUGUUAUCUUUUGAAUGACAAUCUGGUGCAAUAUUUCUUUUUAUGCUAAUUUUUUAUAAGACCAUAUUCUUAUGUUCUGCAUAUCAAUACGACAUGUACGAAAAUUAUUGGUUGAGUUCAAGAAUAAAAGCACUUUCAAGCUAGGCAAGGAUGACCCUUCUUUUUAUGGAAUAGUCCAUACCCUUUGGCAUUGCAUUUGUCGAGUCAUAGAUUAGUUUAAUACUUUAACCCUGAACAAUGUAUGACUUGAUCUGUGUAGAUGCUCUUCAAAGAGGAUCAUUAGUCAGUGUCUUCCUUUCAAAUAAAAUAUACCUAGAUCACUUGAUCUGACCUGGUCUGUGUGAUAAGUAAUACCAGAACUUGAAUUGUAGACAUAGAAAAUAAAAAGCACCGGAUGUCUUAUUUGCAAAAGAAUGUGAUUGUUUAAAAUAAUAAUGUUCCCGAUAGUUUUGAACAGAUCAUUUUCAACUAUAGCUUCUUGUACUGUGUUAUUUAUAAGAGGCAAUGUUUUAAAAAGGGUGAUUAUCUGUAAGUUGCUCUGAUGUGAGAAACUCUUGAAAACUUUUAGGUUUGUGCAACCCAGCUAGUAGGCUGAAAGAGCUUCAUGCAAUGGGUAUGUGCUCCAAAAGUCCAACUCUUCGUCCCGACGACAGAUAGUGAGCUAUCGCAUACAAUGCAACUCCAAAUGCCAGUUAUGCAGGAUGAUCAGCUGGUUCAGUUAAACAAUAUGUUGUUUCUUGAAAGAGAAGAAGCAUUCUUCUGAAACCGCCAAUGAAGAACUUGCUCUCAACGUUAUUUAUCCAUUCAUCGGUUCUUGCUGUACAAUCAAUGUAUUAUAAACUGAGAUUUUUCCAGAGAGUCUCCAUCUUAGGCAAUCUUCCUUGUCAGUGAGUAUGUACAGUACAUACAAGAAUACAAUGAAUAUACGGUACCAGUAUUAGUGCAAAGGACAUGGAUUAAUUUGAAGACUGAUAGGUUUGGUGUUGUGUUUAGCCUAAUUACAGUGUAUUUUUUAAUUGUGAUGUUAUGUGAAUGAAAUUCCCGUUUUAACAAUUUAUCUCCAAACCAGAAGGUUACUGCCCUGCUCAAACAACAAACACACUGGCACUUGCUGUAUUGAUCAAACCAUGACCCCUAAUCCAGCUUCUUUAAAAAGACAAAAACUUGACUUGCUCAUAGUAAUGCACAGCUGUGUGUGGGAGGGCAAUCUCGUCCAUGUUGUCAAAGUUGUGUUUGCCGAGGCAGUCCUCUCCUUUAAAUAUGAGAUCCACCACCAGUGUUCCAAGUCGGACAAAUACCUCCAACACUGACCGUCGGAUCCGCUUACAAAUAGGUCAAUAAGACAGUCAACGGUCGUAAGCACGAGCAGCGAUACAGCUGAGCAGCACAGAACACACGAGCCAUCUUGCUAAAUCUGACUACACAGGCAGUACUUUUGGCUGUACUAAUCGUCAGCUUUGAUUCCUCGGUUUCAGUUACCACUUCGCUACGACAUAAAUAUUCCUACGUCAUCACCCCUGUCCCAUCCAUCCUACGUGGCACAACCAUACCAGCGUGGCGCCUACUUUUCAACCCCAUUUAUAUCCACUUGUCUUCGCUCCUUCACACACACACACACUCUCCCCUGUUGUCUCCUCUGCAGUUCGCUUGCUCUGUUUUCACUCUCGUCAGAGUCAGACAGCAUGGAAGCUGGCCCAAAGUCUCCUUCGCCGGAAACUUCCAUCUCCGAUGAAAUGGCCGGAAACUUCCCGGAGCUCAUUGACCAACUCUCGCCGGACAUGCCCAUCGAAGAAGAGUUGAUAGAGGAGGUCAUGCAAGAGCUCUACAAGGAGAUAACGCCAACUCCGGCGACGAACACUACCAAGCCGUCGUCACCGGCGGCAAGUUUUCCGACGCCGUCGCUGGUGGUCGGGAACGGGAAGAGCGAGAGCUGCGGGGCGUCGGUUUCCGACUCGGCGUCGACGGUGAUGGCCGGCGUCAAGUUCGUGGGUCCCACCGGGAAUAAUGGGGGGUUUUCGCCUGAGAAUGGGGUUGGGGCGUGGAGUGAAUGCGGUGGUAAUACUAAUAAUGGGUUGGUGGUUGGGAAGGGAGUGAUGGACUGCUGCGAUGCAGGGGAGGCUGUUGAUGAUGAAUGGUUUGAGAGAGUGAUGAAUACGUGGGCCCCAGUGGAUCUUGAUCCAUGGUUCUGAUGAUCAAUGAUGUCUGAUUUUGUUGUAGAUGUCCGUACAUAUAAUCAAAUAGUUAAAAAGAGGAAGAGAGAAGAGGAGGUGAUUGAGGUGUAGGAAAGGAAGAAGCUUCAAGACUCCUGUUUUUCAUGGGUGAUAUGAAUAUUGUGGGUGAAAUUAUGAAUCUGAUGUCUAAACCCCAACUUUAAUUUAUUUUCUUUUUCUUUUUCUUUUCCUCUCUUGCUGGUCUUGGUAUCAUCCUCUUCUUCUAGUGUUCAUGAAAUGAGCAGCCAAAAGAGCACCCCCCCAAAAAAAAAUAAAAAAAAUCAUCAUUUUAAUCACACCCUCCACUGCUUUAAUUUUGCUUUUGUGUAAUUAAGCAAGUGGCUUCAGAAAUUAUAACCCAUCACUACGUUAUUUUCAUGGGAUUGAUCAAUCCUGCAUGCUGUUUAAUGGGUUGGCAAAGUUCAGCCCAACAUUACAUUCAUCUGGGUAAAAGUAAAAACAAAAAAAGUACUGAAAACUAGUUUAUAGCUAGGGGGGUAGAUGAACCGAAAUGACAAUUCUUGUUGGUAAAAUUGAAAGCCAUUUACUUCUUCAUCUGAUGAAGCCAAUUGUUUGCAGAAUCUGCACUAGUUGUAAGCCAAAAACAGAGAUGAAAACAAAAGUAAUUUAUUAAGUGCUCAUAAAAAAAGUAGUCUCUCUACCAUGAUACUGGUAGCUUCUUUUAAAUUCAUGUUGACAGGACAAGUACAUAGCCACCUAACUGCUGCCAAAGAUGUGUCCACAAACAUAAAUUGCAAGAUGCAUAAACCUCUGAAUUUACUCUGUUUCUGCACCAUCAAUAUGAAUCCAAUGAAGCUAGCCACAGCCCCCCAGUUUGGCUUUCUUAGGCUUUUGGUGUUGCAGUCUUCAAACAAGAGAAUCUUUGCUAUUUCUGUCCAUUUUCUUUUUUCUUAUGCAUGCAUGCCUGAGUGUCUUUACAAGGUAUGUGAGUGCUUUGAGUGCUUUUCAAGAAUUGGAACUUGGACCACAGUCCAAUUGACCAUCUCUGAAAUUUAAUUUUUAGUCAUACAUUUUUUUUUAAAAAAAAUGGGACACUGAGUUUGAGUUUGAAUUUUUGUAUCAGCAAGUGUUCUGUUUUAAGAUUUUGUUUGUGUGAGAAUAAGAACUCUGUUUGAAGUUGAAUCAGAAACUGAUGAAAUAUUUGGUCAUUUUCUGCUCUGACUGCAGACUACAGUACCUUCAUGUGUACCACUUGGAUCAAUUUUUUCACUCUGAAAAACUGAACCAAAGCUACCCUCCAAAAUAAUUUAAUAUCUCUUCCAUGAUCCCAUUUGGAUAAGAGAUAUUUAGUAAACUUCCACUAUAAGUUUUAGAUUUUAAUCUCCAGGUUGGAAAAAAAAUAAAUACCACUAAUUAUGCCUUGGUCUUGAAGGUAUCAAUUUAAUGCCUUUUGUCUUGUGAGAAAAUUUUAAAUAUAAUCGGUUCCGUCUUAAAUGUAAUUAGUUGUACACAACCAAUCACGACGAAGUCUUUCUUAUUAGAAGACCUUAUACUUAGGUGUAACACUGCUUGAACCAUCAAUUACUUGACUUUUUUAUAAAAAAUUUGUCACUUUUUCUCUGAGCCUUGUGAUGUAAAAUUCUGGAAAUGUAGAGAAAGCUUUGGAAAUUACCAAAAGCACCUUAUUUGGUUGGUCCAGAGUCUAAGACUCUCUAGAGCUAGUGGUCACUCUCUGUUUUAGGUCCAGGACCAUCAUCAUCUUCACUUGUUUCUGGUUUUAGGUUCUUAGGGUUGAAGAGGGAGGGGGUCCUAUAAUAAGAAAGCAUUUGUCUUAGGGCCACAGAGGCCUAGACCAGAGUUGGUCUCACCAUGCUUUUUUUUCCUUUUUUUUUCUUGGGUAAUUAUUAUUAUUUUUUCCAUGUUUAGAUCUCAAGAGCAAAAGAAUUUAAAGAAGCAACUGCCAUGCUCACCAGUAACCAUUAUGGUCCUUGAUCGUGGUAAUCAUGCCAGAUCAUUCCGUACUAUUUCUCAUUAUGGUUCAAGCUUCAACUCAUUCCUCAACUCGAGAACAUUUCUUUCUUUAUUUGUGAAUUAUCUUAUGGUUCCUGGGCUUGAGAGUCCAGAUUUCCAAGCCCAAAAACGCGAACGUUUGUGCACUAUUUGCUGAUAGCCCAAUUCUUUUUUAGACUCUGAGGCCGAUUCUGAAAAGAUCAUACUGCACUUUACACUCAACCCAUUUGCAAUUCCAAGUUGGUGUUACCGAGGCAAUAUCUCAAGUAGAUAAGAACGUUUAACUCUAGAUUUAAAGUUACGUGUUCGAUUCUUCUCUUUCCGAAUAUAUGUACAAUAUGUAGUGUGAAAACACAAAAUGAAGAUUAAUUGAUUUUCGUUGUACAUUUGUAAAGAUAACGAAAUAUGAGGUUGGAGAUGAAAGUUUUGUUUUGUCCUUUGAUCAGCUACUACCACCACCACCACACAGUUUAAGCCAACAGAGCGAUGCCACCACCAACACCAAUGACGACAGACAAACUGUCAUGUAGCUCAAAAUCAAAAUUUGGCCACUCAAUUCGAAAUUAAACCAAGAUUUUGAUAACUACACGAUGGCACGAAAUGAUCCGGCAGAUUUUGUUGCAUGCUAAAUAUUACAUUGAGUGAGCUACACGUUAUAGAUGCAGCAAUAUGGUGACAAAAAUAAUCCACCAAUCAACUUCAAACAUUCGUGCCCCGGACUUGCUCACACAACUCAUCAUACGUAGCAUCUUUCUUCAUCUCUCAAAAAAAAAAAAAAAAAAAAAAAAACCCAAAUAAAAUGAAAUUACGUAUGCACAUUUAUCUGGCCUUCAAUCAAUCUUUCUUGGUCGAGAGAUAUCUCUCUUCAGGUUGUCAACGUGUUGAUUUUUCUUCAGGUUGUGCCAAACCCAAGUUAGCAUUUGUUUGUGAUCGUGGUCACUUAUUGAUGUUGAUUAGGUAUCUCAGAAUCAUGGUUUAGGAUUCGAGUUAGAACUUUUUUUGUCUUCGAUCUUCUUAAUGAUAUAAGAUGGGAUCAGAUAUUUCAUGGGUUAUGUGAUUUGAUAAAGUGGCUCAGAUGCCUGCCACGCAUGCAGCAAUGGGUUUUCCCCUUCUUCUGUUUUUUUUUACUGUCUUUGUUAACCAUGUAUGCAUUGUCCAUAUGUAUAAUUAAUUAACCAAGUUAAAUUUAACAUAUCUUCUGGAUUUCCUGCAUCUCUUAUCCUGUGACCAAGAUCUAGCUUGGCUCGGGGGGUAGUUUCUGUUUUUGUCCCUGUGUGUGGGUGUGGAGUUUUUUUUACUGCUUGCUAGUAUUGGUGAACAAAAUUUACUGGUUCAUGUGUAAGCAAAAACAGAAAAGAGGGUUUCUCUUCCUGGAAUAUAUUAUUAAACUGUAAAAAAGAAAUUAAUAAAUUAAGUAACAUCAAGUGGUCAAGAUAGCAAAGAUUUUUGUCUGAAAAUAAGAAGCAGACAAGAACAUUAAUGGAAAAAUCCUGUGAGACUGCAAGAAUGAGUAUAAAAAACUAGCCCUCAUCAUUAACUGAAGCAGAGCAUACAGGUCAUGAUAUUUUGGCCACUCUCUUUGGGCAUUCUAGGUUAGGAAAUUAGAAAAAGCCACAAAGAUAAGCAAAAUGAAGAGACUUGCAUGUAAACAAAUAUAUGAAAGGAUAAAAAGUACGUACAUGGUAAAAAAAAAAAAAAAAAAAGAGAUGAAAAUAUCAGAGCAAAUCGAAGGGUGUGGGGGACUAAGAGGUCGUCACUGUCUCAAGCCUGUACCAGCAUUUGAUGACUCUUUGGCAACAUUAAGGAUGGGAGACGCCCUCCAUCUGCUUAGGCUAUCCAAAUUCCAUUCCAUAGCCAUCUCUUCCUACAUAUAUCUGCACUGUUUUCUAGAUUUCAUUUUUCUCAUCAAUUUUUCUUUUAAAAUCGUACCGCUCGAUUUGGAAAUGUUGAGAUACAUAUAAAUCCACACCUAUUGUAGAAUUGGUCUCUCCAUAUAUUCAUUAUCAAUUUGGCAGAAUAAAAAAAAAGGAAUAAUUUCUAAAAUUCUAUAUUUUUGUUAUGCGAUGUAAAUUUCACAUUCAGAAUCGAUGUGAAAAUUUAUACUCUCAACUCAUCAAACCCAAAAAGCCAGUGAUGAGUGUGCAUAUAUAUGUAAACCCUUAAACCCUAAAAUGCACCACACCCCACACACACACACACAAAAUAAAUUAUAUGUAUUUUAAAUGAUAUAUUCUAUGGCCUGUUGUAUGUAUGUAUUUGAUAAAGUUUUUGAAUUAACUAAUAUAAAAAUAAUAAUAGGGGGGUGUCAUACAUGUAUACUGUCGAGUGAGUAGAAUUGUGAGUAGUAGCUUUCAACACCUCGUUUAAAUUUGUCAUUUUGUAGCAGCUCUUGUUUUGAUAGCUGCUAUCUGGACAUAAGGUCACGUGAAUGGCUUUUAUUUUAGGGCUCUCUUCUUUUUUCUUCUUGCCCUUUUCUCUCUUAUAAGAGUCCUCUGAGUAUCAGGCCCUUUUGAUCAGCCUUACCCUAUCUCUCUCUCCUCCUUUGCUGGACAAAACAGCACCCAUUUAACCUCUCUCUCUCUCUCUCUCUCUCUCUCUCUCUCUUUCUCUAGAUCUCUCUGUGAUCUCUCUAUCUGUGAUCUCUCUCUCUCUCUCUCUCUCUCUCUCUCUCUCUCUCUCUCUCUCUCUCUCUCUCUCUCUCUCUCUCUCUCUUCUCCAUGAUGACACCAGUGUAUCUGAACCCAGCAUCCUCUCCUUUCUCCAUGGUGGAGCAAGCAGAAGAUCAACGCCUAAAGCUCUUUAUAUCACCACCCUAUGAUGAAGCUGCUUCAUGUACGUCUUUCCCAUUUCCUACUUUCUUCGACUCCUUGCAAGAUCAAACACCUGGGACUACUUUUACUUCUCUUGCUCAUCAUCAAUCACAACUAUAUCAUCACAAGGUAAUUAAGAAACCAACGUACAUAAAUCAAAUUAUAUAUCUUCCUCGUUUAUUUUUUUAUUGAAAUUUUAUUUGUUAUGGCUCUUGAUCCUCCCUUAAGUGAUUCUUCUCUCUUUGACACAUGUCCAUAUAUAAUGAAACUUGUAUAAUUUCCUGAUACUUUGUGACCUGAUGUUCUCAUAAUUAAUUGAUUUGAUGGGUUUUCUUACUAAUUCAGACUCCAUAAAUAGCUGCGUUUUAUAACUAAGAUUUGAUGUUUAUUGAAAACCCUUGAUUUUCACUUGAUUAUAUCUAAUUUCAAAUUUUCUGAUCUCAGGAUAAGAACAUUUGGGAUUGUGGAACAAGUUACGAUCAAGCAUCCCCAUCAUCUUCUUUAGUUCAAGCUCAUGUGGUGGACGCCAUAAGCGACAAGGACCGCAGAUUGUCCAGAUGUGGUGAUCAUGAAAGAGAGACCAAUAAUAUUGGAGGAGAAGGAGGAGGAGAAGAGGAAGGUAGAAGUAGUAAUUAUAUCACAAGGCCAAAGUCAGUGAAGUGGAUGUCCUCCAAGAUGAGGUUGAUGCAAAAGAUGACCAGCAACAACCCUGAUCUCCCACCUGGUACCACUGAUCAUAUACCAGCUGAGAUUUCUGAGCAUAAAUUCCAAAUUCAUGCUCAGCCUCGAGAAAUUAGCGAAACCAGCUUUUCCAGUAAUGGCAACAACACUGCGACUGUUAGGGUUUGUUCUGAUUGUCACACCAACUCAACCCCACUUUGGAGGAGCGGCCCUCUCGGUCCCAAGGUAAAUAUCUACAUAUAUUUACCGUGAAUAUGAACCACACAUUUACACAAUAAUUAACAUGAUCCAAAUUGAACAAUAUAAGCGUAUGUUUAUAAGCUAAAUACAAUGUUCUUAAAUUUAAGGUUUUAAUUUGUGUAUUUAUGUGUUUGGUGCAGUCACUGUGCAAUGCAUGUGGCAUUCGGCAGAGGAAAGCGAGACGAGCCAUGGCAGAGGCUGCGGCUGCGGCUGCAAACCGGUUUGCUGUUGGCAGCGCCGACACUUCAUCUCCAAAGGGUAAGGUGGCCAAGGAGAAGAAAUCGCGGGGCAGCCAUAAGAACAAGAUCAGCAAGCUCGUCAUCACCGACAAUGCAUCAAUAUCUCACAAUAACAAGAAGAAGAUUUGUUUCAAGGCUUUGGAUUUUCAACGAGUGUUUCCUCAGGAUGUUGCUGAAGCUGCAAUGCUAUUAAUGGAACUCUCUUGUGGCCUAAUCAAUAAUCACUCUUGAUCUUGAGCUUUGUCAUAAUUAUUUCCAUUACACCAUUUUUGUUUUUACCUCGUCUUUUUAAGUAGGAGGAUUUCUUUUUAUUUUUUCAUUUUCCAUUUUUUAUGUGGUUUUGGUUGCUAGUUUAGCUUGAAUUAAUAAAAUCCAAAGGGUUCCUUGAUUUGCAGAAACUGUAACUGUAAUUUAUUAUAUUUUUAUUUAUUGUUACACAUAAUUUGAUUGAGAUAACUUGGGCCCAUGAAUGACAGGUUAUGAGAGCUCUGGUCAGUUUUGAGCCCAUGAUUGAAGAUUAUAUAGUGAGGAGGCUAUUUGAGGAGACCAAUCAUAUCAUUAAAAUAUUUAAAAUGUUUGUUUUUUAUGAUUUCUUUACAUUUGUUAAUGGUGAAAUUGGCCUCCUCAAAUAGCUUCCUCACUUUAAACUCCUCAUUGUAGCCUCUUCCGGUUAUGAAACUCUCAACUGGGCCUACAUUUUGAUAAUGACCUCCUUCCAUAUCUUUCUUUGCAGAUAUUUGACAAUUAUAUCUUGAAUGUCCUUCUUGUAACCUUCAUAUUAAAUUCAUAUAUAAUUAUGAUCACAAAACAAAAUAAGAUUUAAAAAAAUUCCUAAAUUAUUCUUUUAGAUCCAAUGGAUUACAUUUUGAAUAACUGUAUUACUUACUUUGACUGUCAUAAAUAUUGACAUUUUAAUUUUUAAUUAGAUUUAAAUUGGUAUAAUGUUUUUACCAUAUCCGAAAAAUAAAAUUCCCAUUUUGGCAAAUACAGUAGCUGGUUUUUUAUUUAUAGUACAAGCGAAAAUCUAAACUAUAGAGAUGUGGGUUUCUCAUACACACACACUACUACGGUGUUAUGAAAGUUCGUAUAUGAAAUCACUAGUUGUUUUAUUUGUUUCUCAAUAUUUGUAUUUGUUUCUCCUUUUUAUUGCUUCUACCGUAAAUGAGAAAAUUCGUUGAAAGCAUGUCGUUAUGUUAGAAUCACAUUUGUCAGUCCAAAUAACCUAAUUUUGGCACAUAUUUAUAAGGCCAGUCUUUGAGUUAUAUUUGAAAUGAAAAGUUUUCCUUUUUUUCUUUGGGUCAAAAUUAGGAUGAAAUGAUCUCAUUCCUAUAAAAGAAUGGAAUUCCCCACAUGCCAUUUAAUCUACUGUCAAAACACAGUGCCUUUCAUAGUAGAUUGCCACUUCCCUCUCCCAAGGGGUAAAAGGCAGACCAAGUCCUAGUCUCCUGAAUACAUCAUCAAAUCAGCAUUUCCUAACAAUAGCAAAAAGAUGUGGUCAGAUCACAACCGUCCAUUCUGUAAUCACCCCUCAUAACUUGACAAUCCUAUGGCCAUGAUUUUUUCAGACUAAAAACAGUGAAAAACAUUAGCAGCAUCUACCACCACAAGAACAUCAUCUGACCGACUACAGCUGAAACGUACAAUGUCUUUUUGUCAGCCACAAGACAUAUUUUCUCCUCUCAAGGAUGAUCCCCUGCUUUUCCCAAAAUUACCACACCAACCCCAAACUCCACCAGAUACAGAGGGCCCCACCAAAAGGAAAUCCAGCAAAUCACAAAAUUAGAAUUGGUUGGAAGACUAUCCACCCAAAUUUCCAAUACCACAAAUGCGAUAAUUCUAUGUGUUAUCUGGUGGAAACUGUCAUUGAAGAUUUAGAUCUGAUUUGGUGAGUGUAUUGCAUUGCUUCAUAAGUCAUAACCUAACCCUAGACUAAUUUUUCUUUUUUGUUCUUAUUGUCUUUGAGGUGAGACAUAGAGAUAAGCAUACUGUGAUAGAGAAUCUGCCAAGUAACUACACGAGAUUCUCAGAUUUUCACUCCAGAUUUAACAGAUAUUCAAAAACUCUUUGGUACAUGUUUUUUCUCUGGCUGAAUAAAAUUUGGAAACCAUUCAGAUCCAUUGAAACUCAAUCUUCUUUGCUUCAAUACCUUCCAUACAUUCAUGAUUUCUCAACAAAAAUUUGUAAAUUUUUGUGGGUUUUGAUACCCUACAAACAAAACUUGUCUUUUUCUCAAUAGGUGCGCAGUCACCCACCACCCACCACCACUACCAGAUCCUGAACUCCCAUCAUAUUUUCUUAAUUUUUAUAUAAAUUAUUAAAAUUAUUAUACUCAUAUAUUUAUAUAUAGACAAAACCUCUUUGUGUUAUAUCACUUAUCAAAACAAACCCACACCCCAACUGGGUUCACUCACUCUAAUGGAAUAACCACACACACACAAAAAAAAGCAAGCACCUUUGGAAAGAAAAGAAAAAACCAUAUAUUUGUUUCCAAGUUUUUCCAACAACCCAAUUUGCUUUUCCUCUGUUUUUGCUUUCUGUGUUUUUGUUGCAAAAACACAGUCUUUUGCUCUCAUGGAACGUGCAAGGCGGCUGGCUAACCAGGCCUUCGUGAAGCGCUUGGUUUCAGAGGCCAAGCAGUUUCGCCAGAAUGAGACUGUGUUGAGCUCUUCAACAUCCCCUGUCUUGUACACGCCUUCAAGGUACGUUUCUUCAUUGUCUCCAUGCUCUUUCAUGCGCACAAGUAGCAGAUCAGAUUCAUUAGCAGGCAAAAAUGUGUCACAUAAUGUUGGUUAUGGCACUGGGACACAAACAAGGUCGAUUUCUGUUGAUGCAUUGAAAAACAGUGACACUUUUCCUCGCCGCCAUAACUCAGCCACCCCAGAUGAACAAACCAAAAUGGCUGAGUUAUGUGGGUUUGGUAGUCUUGAUUCACUUAUCGAUGCCACCGUGCCCAAAUCGAUUCGACUCGAAUCGAUGAAGUUUGCCAAGUUUGACGAAGGGUUAACUGAAAGCCAAAUGCUUGAGCAUAUGCAGUAUUUGGCUUCCAAGAAUAAGAUUUUCAAGUCUUUUAUUGGGAUGGGGUAUUAUAACACUUAUGUCCCUCCUGUGAUUUUGAGGAACAUAAUGGAAAACCCAGCUUGGUAUACCCAGUACACUCCUUACCAGGCUGAGAUUUCCCAAGGGAGGCUUGAGUCUUUGCUCAAUUUCCAGACCCUGAUCACUGACCUCACUGGCCUACCCAUGUCAAAUGCUUCAUUGCUUGAUGAAGGAACCGCCGCUGCCGAGGCAAUGGCGAUGUGUAACAACAUUCAAAAAGGGAAGAAGAAGACCUUUGUUAUUGCUAACAACUGCCACCCCCAGACCAUUGAUAUUUGUAAGACUAGAGCAGAUGGUUUUGAUCUUAAAGUUGUGACUGCGGAUCUUAAGGAUAUUGAUUACAAAUCGGGUGAUGUUUGUGGUGUUCUUGUUCAGUAUCCGGGGACUGAGGGUGAGGUUUUGGAUUAUGGGGAGUUUAUUAAGAAUGCUCAUGCUAAUGGGGUUAAGGUUGUGAUGGCAACUGAUCUCUUAGCAUUGACACUGUUGAAGCCUCCUGGUGAAUUUGGGGCAGAUAUUGUUGUUGGCUCUGCACAGAGGUUUGGUGUUCCAAUGGGUUAUGGAGGUCCUCAUGCAGCAUUCCUGGCCACCUCCCAAGAGUACAAGAGGAUGAUGCCGGGAAGAAUUAUUGGUGUUAGUGUUGAUUCUUCAGGGAAGCCUGCGCUGCGUAUGGCGAUGCAGACAAGGGAGCAACAUAUCAGGAGGGACAAGGCUACCAGCAACAUUUGCACUGCUCAGGUUCGAUACUAUUCUUCAUUUGAUUUCUUUUGUGAUUUACUUUUUAGGGCUGACUGAUUUAGUUUUUUUUUUUUAAUAUCAAAGGAUAGAAUUAUUGACAUGAUUUCCUUAGCUUGGAUAACCCAAAAACAAGGAAUUACCGAGCAGGCCCCCUCGUGUAUUUCAAUUUGAUUUACUUGGCUUUGUUUGAUUGUAUAUUGUCUUUGUGUAGGCACUACUUGCCAACAUGGCUGCCAUGUAUGCUGUUUAUCAUGGACCUGAAGGCCUUAAAACCAUAUCCCAAAGGGUUCAUGGUCUUGCUGGGGCAUUUGCAGUUGGAUUGAAGAAACUUGGGACAGUGGAAGUUCAGGGCCUUCCCUUCUUUGACACUGUGAAGGUUAAGACUUCUGAUGCACAUGCCAUUGCUGAUGCUGCAAUCAAGCAGGGAAUAAAUUUGCGAGUAGUAGACACGAACACUGUAAGUUUGUUUGUAUCUCCUGCGUCAAUUAUUCAACUAAAAGCUCUCUAGGGAGAGAGGAGGGAGUAUAUUGCUCUACUUUAUCAGAUUACUGAAGGUUAACUCCUUGCAGAUUACUGCUUCGUUCGAUGAAACAACUACCUUGGAGGAUGUUGAUAAGCUUUUCAAAGUUUUUGCUUUGGGCAAGCCUGUGAGUAUUUUCAUGUCUUUAUCAUAAAGGUGAUAGUUGAAAUUGUUUAUAAUUUGCAUCCAUCUAAGUGAGAAUUUUGUUUGAUUUUCAGGUUCCUUUCACUGCUGCAUCUCUUGCACCAGAAGUUCAGCCUGCAAUUCCUUCUGGGCUAACUAGGGAGAGCCCAUAUCUUACCCAUCCAAUCUUCAACUCGUAUAUCUCUUUCCUGAUGAUUUGAACUCUCACAGUCUGCUAUUUGGAAACUAGACUGACUUUCAUUUGCUCUCUAUUAGGUAUCACACGGAGCAUGAGUUGCUUAGAUACAUUCAUAGGUUGCAAUCAAAGGAUCUUUCGCUAUGCCACAGUAUGAUUCCAUUGGGAUCUUGCACAAUGAAAUUGAACGCAACAACUGAAAUGAUGCCAGUGACAUGGCCUAGUUUUUCUGACAUUCACCCUUUCGCCCCUGCAGAACAGGCUGCGGGUUAUCAGGUAGUUACAAAUGUUUACUUACAAACAAAUUUAACACAGUUGCAAAUGUUUUUUUUUUUCCUGAAUUUCUUUUUAUAUGUUGCUUUCCUUCAUACAACUAGUAACUUGAUAGUGUUUGUUGUCAAAUAAUAAAAUCCAGGAAAUGCUCCAAGAUUUGGGUGACCUAUUGUGUACCCUCACUGGGUUUGACUCUUUUUCGUUGCAACCUAAUGCUGGAGCUGCUGGAGAGUAUGCUGGGCUGAUGGUUAUUCGGGCAUAUCAUUUUGUAUGGGGACCCUGAGCUUUUCUUGUUUCCCUCUUUCUAAUAUUUCAUAACAAGCACUUUUCUGUAGAGCUUAAAAGAAAACUUUAACUUAAGGUCUUCGAGGUUAUGACCUAAAGGUUUAUUCUUGUUACGAAUCAUGCUGAACUGUUCACCGAAUACCCACUGCAGGCAAGAGGGGAUCACCACCGCAAUGUGUGCAUUAUACCUGUUUCAGCACACGGUACCAAUCCUGCUAGUGCUGCAAUGUGUGGAAUGAAAAUUGUCUCUGUUGGAACUGAUGCAAAGGGAAACAUCAACAUUGAAGAGCUGAGGAAGGCUGCUGAAGCAAACAAGGAUAACUUAUCAGCUCUUAUGGUAAGCAUCCUAUGUUAUAAGAGGUUUGAAUUAUUUGAAAUGAUCAAAGAUGGAGAACUUGUGCAAUUUUGACAGACAUUUGAUCAUAUUUCGAAUUAUAGGUGACAUAUCCGUCAACUCAUGGAGUGUAUGAAGAAGGUAUCGAUGAGAUAUGUAAGAUAAUCCAUGAUAAUGGAGGUCAAGUAUACAUGGAUGGGGCUAACAUGAAUGCACAGGUCUGUAUUCUCCUACAUUACUCCCCUUUUUGGCUCCAUGCUUUAUAGUUUUGUGCUUGAAAUUUAAAUUCAAAUAGUUUCUGGGCUGCAGGUUGUUGGCUGAGUGUUUUGGUAUUAAAAUUUCAAAUUCAUCUACAUUUCUGCAUGGGCAUUCCAUUGUGAUUGGUUUUUAACUAGUAAUUUAUUGAACAUCUUAAUGUUGCCUGUACAUAUAUUAUGUUUAUUUUUGUAGAUAGUUGUAAUUCAGGCUCAAUUUUUCAUGUUCAAUCUGACGAAGCUUUUCGUCCUUGCAGGUUGGUCUGACAAGCCCAGGUUGGAUUGGAGCUGAUGUUUGCCAUCUCAAUCUCCACAAAACAUUUUGCAUUCCACAUGGAGGUGGUGGUCCUGGCAUGGGUCCUAUUGGUGUGAAGAAACACUUGGCGCCAUUCUUGCCGUCUCAUCCUGUGGUAAUUUACUCUUUUGAAGGUUUCAUGUGAUUCUGCAAAUUAUUGCUUUCUUCAUGUUUUUUUUGAACUUGAGAUGUGUAAAUGGAGGCAGUAUCUGUUCAUAUCUUUCCAACUUCUUGUGAUUUAUUACAUGCUGGAUUUCAAAGCUUUUUGACAUCGUAUUGAAGGUACCUACCGGUGGCUUUCCUGCUCCAGACAAGUCUCAGCCACUUGGUACCAUCUCUGCAGCACCUUGGGGUUCUGCACUUAUUUUGCCCAUAUCUUAUACUUACAUAGCCAUGAUGGGGUCCAAGGGGCUCACCGAUGCAUCAAAGAUAGCAAUUCUAAACGCAAACUACAUGGCCAAACGCUUGGAGGUUCCUACUUCUUCCUUCACUGUUGUUUUUGCUUUACAGUUUGAGCUUAUGAGGUUAUAUUUGCUCUGUUUUCUCAUGUUGUCUAUGUUAAUUUCUUACAGGAUUAUUACCCCAUUCUAUUCCGUGGUGUCAAUGGAACUGUUGCCCACGAAUUCAUUGUUGACUUGAGAGGCUUUAAGGUAUGUUCUUAACACGUGCUUUGAUUUAGCCGCUUGUUUCUUACAUUCUCUGUCUAAUUGAACUCUGGUUUUUUUUUCUCUUUUCCUUGUAGCAUACUGCUGGGAUAGAGCCUGAAGAUGUCGCCAAGCGUCUUAUGGACUACGGAUUCCAUGGACCAACAAUGUCAUGGCCAGUUCCUGGUACUCUCAUGAUCGAACCAACAGAAAGUGAAAGCAAGGUACACUCCCACAGAAAGAUUUUAUAUUUUUUCUAUUUUUGGGUACUGUUUUUCUUUGGGUUAAGUAAACUCAAUGUUUCUUGCAGGCUGAGUUAGACAGGUUUUGCGAUGCUCUUAUUUCCAUUAGAGAAGAGAUUGCUGAGAUUGAGAAAGGAAAAGCUGAUCUCCACAACAAUGUCCUCAAGGUAAAAACACUCAUUUCUUCUGAAGGUGAAAGCAAAUGCAAGUUAAAUUGUUCAAUACUUAUAAAACAAGUUAUGAACCUUUCUGCAGGGAGCUCCUCACCCACCAUCUCUGCUUAUGGGAGAUACAUGGACUAAGCCAUAUUCCCGGGAAUACGCAGCCUUCCCCGCUUUGUGGCUCCGUUCAGCCAAGUUCUGGCCUACUACAGGUAUGCUAUUUACACCCCCAAAAAGAACUUGAAUAGCGUGCAUUUUGGUGUUGUUCUGAUUGCUUUAACUGACAACUAAAUUUUGUUGACUGUUGCAUCAGGACGUGUUGACAAUGUGUAUGGCGACCGCAACCUCAUCUGCACCCUUCAACCGGCACCACAGGCGGUGGAGGAACAAGCGGCAGCCACUGCUUAGUCUUCAGCUCUGUGCCUUUGAACUCAACACAAAGUCUGGUCAUGGAUAUAUCUGAAGUCAUCAUUUCUUCUUCUUCUUCUUCUUCUUCUUCUUCUUCUCCUCCACGUUGUAUAUAAUUAUCCAUCUUCAUACAGCCCCUUAUAUCUCUGGUGACAUUCUUUUCCUAUUUAUGAUGAUGACGAUUAGAUUUUCUAAUAACAACUUGUUGCUGAUUGCAACUCAGAUGUUGUAAUUAUUAUUGCUUCUUUUUUAUCUAUUUUUCCUUCAUUAGGGUCUUAGCUGGGAUUAUACAUUUUCAUGUUUUACCUUUUGUUUUUUCCCGCUGCCUAAGAUUUAAACAUAAUUGGGAAAAAUAAAUAAUAAGAAAUAGAUGCAUCUCUUUGUGUCUGUUAUUGUGGAGAUUCGUGGAUGGAUAAAUACGACGCAGUCAAAGUUUAUCUUCUAUUAAUAUGGGGCUAAUCCAAUUCAUUGACAGUUGUGUUAUACUUUGAUGUGACAGGCAAUGCCAAUAUGCCACAUUUACAUUUUAAGGAAAGAAAGUAUUGUUCCUUUAUCCCCUUAUCUACAUAUGUAAGUAGACCAACUCCUCUAACCAACUAGUCUAAUUAAUUUUUUUAUUUUUUAUUUUUUAAUUAUUUAUUUAUUAAAACAUGGUGCAAUAAAAACUUUAAUAAAAAAAAGCUCCAACGAUAUGAGGAAGACUUUAUUAAUCAUCAAAAGAAACACGGUUGAACAUAAGGCAUGACCCCCGAUUACAACCAUCAAUAAUCAAAGAGUCCUUUAAAAAAGGUCAAGGGCUCCUCAAACCAUUCAAACCUAUCACUACUAAUAAGCAAAGCCUAUGCAUGACCUCAUUAGCAUGUCGACAUAUGAACACAAAAGUAGUCUCUGUCAAACUUUUACUCAUCGCCCUCAUGUCCUUAAUGAUGACUCCAUGAUUAGAUAACACGAGAAGGCUCAAAAUAAGUAAGAUUGCUGUUAAAUAAACUAUCUACAAAAUAAUAAAUUUUAUAUUUUAAAAUAGGUUUUUUUUUUUUUUUUUUUUUUUUGUGUGUGUGUGUGUGGAGAUAUUUAGUCAUAUACUUAUUUUUAGCACUAAUGAUAUAGAUAAACCAUAUACCAUUUAAUUUCUAUACUUGUUUUGCGUUUUUUUAAUAAGGUUUUAGAGUUUGGCUUGUUUUAAGAAAUUGAUGGCGGUUUUGUAAUUUAUAAGAAUUUAAAAAUCUCUUUAUUAUAUUGUAAAUAAGCUUUGAAUGUGUUUCUAAAGUUCAUUUCAUAUCGAUUUUUUUUUUAAUAAUUUAGACCUUUAUAUUUAGUAUAAUAGUAAAUCUCCCAUAUUUUCUUAGGUUCGAUUUCUUUCCUUAUUAGGGUGCUUUACAUUUUCUUUUCCUUUAUUUAUAAGGCAAUAUUCUUAGAUGUCUUAUUCGGAAACAAAACGAAAAAGGAAGAUAACAUUGAUUAUAGACCAUAACUUUGGAAUAGGCUCCCGGCUUUCAACACGGGCCUUGGCGUAUGGUGAUCGCCGAUCGGUGUCCAAACAGACCCAUACCCAAAAACAAACAAAAAACCAGUCCUUUAAAAGCUCUAAACAAAUCCGUACGACUUUAAAGAUAGAGUGGGCCCCACCUCGAGGGUCCUACAAAAUUAUUUAAAAUAAUAAAAUAAGAAAUGACAAUGGAUAAAUAAAAUACUAUUCCCACUACACACUACGCUGAGGUUGCGUGCGAUAUUUUUUUUAAAACAAAGGAAAAAAAAAAAAAAAAGAUGAAUGCUGAAGUCAAAUUUGUUUUUUCAGCCCCUCGCUCUUUCUUAUAGUCAUAAUUAAUUACCAUCAAAACGAAGCAAGAUGUAUAAUUUGCAUAAUUAACUUUCUAAUUGUUGUUUAUAUUUAUGUUGGUUUACGUUCUUUCUUUAUCUAUCUAUUGAUAUCUCAUUUUGCACAUUGCUGAGUUCAACGUGGAUCUCAUACAACGAACGUACCAACAUUAUGCUGCACCCUUCAUUGCUCCAUCCACCACGUUGUGUAUGAAUUUCAAAUCAUUUGCUUUUGACCAUCGCAUUGCCUCUUUCCAACCGUAGAAAGUUAGAAACAUCUCUGAUCAUGAUAUCAACAUAUGUUUCGGUAUAAAUCUCUCACGCAAUCUUUUUGUCUGUUUAGUAACAUCUUUGUUUUCAUUUUUAUACGAGAAAUUAAAUAUAAAUAAAAAAUAACGAAAAAUGAUAAGAUUUAUGAUAAGUUUGAAAAUUUAUAGAACAGAGUAGUCGGUGCAGCCACCACUCAGAGAAGUGGGGUAAGGCUACUAUAUCAAGACAUUCUUGAUAAACGUGAAGGAUACCACCAAAUGGCUCUUUAUAUAUUUAAUUCCUCAACGAUAAUAAACGUCUAUAAAUUCGCAUAGAUUAUACAAUCGUGCAAUGUCUAUAUCAUAAAUGUGGAAUCAAUACAACAUAAAAUGAUACUGGUGAAUCCCACCACACUUCUUUUUAUCUUUUUCACACCUCAACCUCAACAUACACUACAAAAUGCAUCUAUGAGUUACAAUUGUCGUAUUCUCAACAUGAUUGUGUUAAAGUUGUCGAACUCUCUGAAUAUCACAAUAUCUAUAUAAUAAAUACAUAAUCAACAUAGGAAAAGAAUAGCAAUGAGUCUCACCACACUGCUCUUCAUCUUUUUCACACCUACAAUUGUGUUACGGCUGUCAAACUCUCUUCAUGUCGCAAUAUUUAGAUCAUAAAUACAUAAUCAACAUAGGAAAAUGAUAGCGAUGAGUCUCAUCGCACUUCUCUUUAUAUUUUUCACACCUCAACUUCAACAAACAAUGCUGGAUACGUAUACGAGUUACAUUUGUUGUAUUCUUAAUAGAAUUGUGUUACAGCUGUCGAAUUCUCAGUAUCACGAUAUCCGGAUCAUAAAUACAGAAUCAAUACAAACGUAAAUGCUUAUCUCUUCAUCAUCAUAAUCACAAGUUGAUCUUUGGAAAUGGGAUGGAGUGAAGCCCAUUUAUAUAAGGCAAUGCCAUUUUGGUCAUAGAGACCCAUAACACCACCAUCAUCAUCACAAUCCCAACCGUUGGAUAUCUAACAUUUCCACCUGGAAAAUGCAUCAUACAUACUCAACGGUCAAGAUUGGGUGAAGUCCAUAGUAAAGAUGUGUGGAUGAGCGUAUGAACACAGUAGUGGGAGUCCUUCACUUGACUUGGGGGUGAGGAAAUAUAAACAAAUUGUAGAAAUUGUUUAUUGGUUUUAUGGGUUUUUAUUAAGCGUGUUGGAGGGAAUGAGAGAAAGGGUGAGCGGUUAAUCGAAGUCUCUCUCUAAGUGGUGGUAGCUUGACGAAGAAGGGUGCGCAGGUUAAGCGAAUCUGCUUUGUUUUCUAGUGGGCGUAGUUUAAUCCAGUAGACAGAGAGAAGAAGAGAGAGACAGAAGGAUUUCAUAAUUUCCAUUGAUGAUCGAUGUCGAAGAUGAAGCACCUACUAAGAAAGCUUCACAUCGGUGGAGGACUCAAUGAGCACCAAAGACUGGCCGAGACCCGACCCGAGACGAGUCCGAGCACGAAUCUCAACCCUACCGCUUCUUCGCCGGCGUCGUCCACGGGUUCGGCUACAAUGGGGAGAAUCACGGCCGUUGAAUCGGUGAGUGAUCGGACGGCUGGGGACGGUGGUAGCGGUGGGGGCGUGGAUUACAAUUUAUUGGAGGAGGAGUUUCAGGUCCAGUUGGCCUUAGCGAUCAGCGCUUCGGAUCCCGAUUCGCGCGACGACCCCGAUUCGGCUCAGAUCGACGCCGCCAAGCGGAUUAGCCUCGGCUGCCCGGCUACCGUCACCGACACUCAAGCCCCCUUCGAGAUUCUCUCACUUCGCUAUUGGGUACGUUUUUCUAAUAGAAAUAUUUCUAGGGUUAAUCAUUUUCCCGCAUUUACGACUUAAUCUGAGCCAAUUGGAGUGGAUUAGGUUUUCUGCAAACUUUGAAUAUUGUUCGUUGUGUUUAUAUGGAAUGGUAAUUUGCAUUUCGUUUCUUGGAUCAUUUUCUAACCAUAGGGCGAUGAUAAUGGUGUGAGGAUUAUCUUUAAAAGGUUUGAUAGCUGAACUAUGGAUUGCUUUGUAUUGCUUACGGUGCCAUUUUCUUAACAAUUUCAUGUUGAAUCAUUGUGCCAGUUAUGUUAGGCGGGUGCUUCUUGUUAGUUCGGUACCAAAAAAUUUGUGAGCCGUAAGAAUAGUGCAUUGGUUCAAGGAUAAUUAUUGGUUUCAUUUUGCAAUUACAAUUACUUUCCAACCUUAUCUGAAUCAAGUUCCUUCGGUUUUAUUUUUCUUCUUUGCGUCUUAAGUUUGAAUUUGGUGCGGUAUAGUUCUUUAAUAUUGUCAAUUUCGAUGAAAUUAGCUUCUUAACAAAUUUUUAUAACAUGCAGAGCCAGAAUGUUGUAGAUUACAAUGAAAAAGUGGUCGAUGGAUUUUAUGACGUGUAUGGAAUGACCUCAAAUUCUCUUAGACAAGGGAAGAUGCCAUUGUUAGUGGAUCUUCAAGCUGUGUCUGUUUCAGAUAAUGUUGAUUAUGAUGUCAUAUUAGUUAACCGGUUGGUGGAUCCUGAACUGCAACAACUGGAGAAAACAGCAUACGCUGUAUCUCUAGAGUCACGGAUUUCUCAACAUGGUGUCCUUUUAAGUGGAUUAAUUCAGAAAAUUGCUGAUAUUGUUGUUGAUAGAAUGGGUGGUCCAGUUGGGGAUGCUGAUGAAAUUUUGAGAAGGUGGAAAGUGAGGAGGUACGAGUUACGGAGUUCGAUGAAGACUAUCAUUCUUCCCCUUGGACUUAUUGAUGUUGGACUUUCACGCCACAGGGCGCUGCUCUUUAAGGUUGUGACAGUUUUUUUUACUACCUUAUUUGUCAAACUGAAUCAUAGACAAAACAUUGUGCACCAUGUAACUUACUAACAUCUUCAUUGCUUUUCUCAAAAUGCGACUCUCAUUCUUUUGCCCUUUCAAUUGCUUUUCUGUUGUUAAUUGUUUCAUACCUUUGGUUCUAGGUACUGGCUGAUAGGAUAAAUCUUCCAUGUAUGCUGGUCAAAGGUAGCUACUACACUGGUACUGAUGAUGGAGCUGUAAACUUGAUUAAAAUUGAUAGUGGAAGGUAAUGGCCAUCAAUUCUAAAUUUCUAUGUUUAUGCAUAAUUUUCUGAUAACUUCAAUCCAGUAAAUCUUGUGAUGUAGUAACUUUUUUGUGCCCUAUGCUUGUCGCUGAAUUGUUACUUUAACAUAAUGUCAUGGUGUGUCAAAUGGGAUUGCAGAUAGUGAUGGUCAAGUUUGUAGGGUAGUUUAUGAGGGUUUGGAUUAUCAGAUGUGGUGGGGGUGCCAUAGGUAAGGGGAGCACCAUAGAUGGGGGCUGAGCUCAAUUUGUAGCCACAAUUUUUUAUUGAGUGCAGCUCUUAUCCCGAAAAUUUCAAAUCCAGAUGCUUAAAGAACACCCUGUGUCCAACGUUCAUAUGAGAUUUUUUUUUGUUAUUCAAAAUGUACUUAUGUCAAGAGGCUGAUACAAAAUUAGAAUAUUUUUGGUUGCUUUCUAUGUGAAGUGCUUUGAUAUGUGAAUGAAAUUUGAAAAUUAAAUCUAUACAUAUAUGUGAUUUUCAUAUAUUCUCUGCAGGUCCUUUGGUUUCAGAUGCCUCUCUAAUUUUAAGCUGUUUUAACUUUCUAUCAUGUUUAAGUAAGGAUAUUAGAAUUAAAGGUUCAUGAUAUUUGUUUUCUGCUUUGCUCCUAAAAUUCUGUGCACAUUUUCCAUCUAAGGUGAAUUGGUGCAAGCCGGAAGAUGUCCUGGAACUAUUACCGAUGAUUAAUGGGGUUGUUUCUCUGUGCAGUGAAUAUAUUAUUGAUCUGAUGGGUGCUCCUGGAACGCUUAUUCCUGCCGAGGUGCCCAGUAGCCAGCUACCAAAUUCUUUCUUUGCCAUAAGGAGCUUUCAAGAUGCCACCGAAUUGCCCAAAGAUAUGUGUUUGUUGCAAGCUGAAGGCACUGGAAUGUUGGCAGUUCCACCCGAUCUUGACAGACUUUCUAGAGUUGGCAGCUCACAGUCAGAAGAAGCAUCAUAUGUAGGUGUUCAAACAAAAAAUGAUAGAAGCGUUGUUGAAGAAAAUCAAACUGAGAGUUUGAGAAGCGAGAUUGGGACUCCUCUUAGAUCACUUCGUAAAUCAUGUGAAAGUUCAUCAGGCACAUCUGAGAAAGCCACAUCUGCACAAAAAAGGAAAGUGAAAAAUGUGUCAAAGUAUGUCAUCAGUGCAGCAAAGAACCCAGAAUUUGCACAGAAACUACAUGCUGUAUUGUUGGAGAGUGGUGCAUCACCUCCCCCAGAUUUAUUUUCAGAUAUGAAUCCUCAAUAUCUGGACGAAGCUAAAUUGCUUGAUCAAAUCCAUGCAAAUGGGAAACUUGUAGAUGAUGGGAUUCAUAAUUAUCUGGUUCAGUUAUUAUCAGGCAACGAGCAAUCCACUCAAGCUGCUGCUGCAGUGAGCUAUGACAAUUUUGAUAACUUUCUAAAACAAUCUGCCGUGGACUUAGCAGAGCAACGAAAUGAAUUGGAGACGAACAUUUUAUCUCUUCCCUCUGAUACUGUUGAUGAGGGAUUUGUAAUUGUUUCUGGUGGAACUAGUGAAACAACCCAGAUCGGUGCUAAAAGUUCAGAUCCUGUUCUUGUUAGUCCCCAAGGAAUGAAUUCAGAAGCUUUUCAUGAGGAUAAAAGCCAUGAACUUUCCUUAUCUAAACCAAUGGAAACAGCCAAUAGUGGCCUGUGUACUAGUUGCGAUAGUCACUAUGAGAGGUACCCAGCACUGGGAGAAGUUGCAGAGUGGGAAAUUUUAUGGGAGGAUCUUCAGAUUGGUGAGCGCAUUGGCAUUGGUAAGCACCCAUCUGUUGGUUAAAUUUGGUAUAUGUUUUAGAAACAGGCUCACAAUAUUUCCUCUCUGGUAGGUUCAUAUGGCGAGGUAUAUCAUGCAGAUUGGAAUGGCACUGUAAGUGUUCUUUCCAACACUAAUAGUCAUUCGUCAUAUUCCUUUUCCUUGGCUAUACAUACAAAAUUACUUAGCAUGUAAUAUUUUGUUGAUCCGUUGAUUUAAAGAAAUGCUAAUAUUUGCAACAAUUUGAUAAAUGCUUUUAAACUCUCUUUUCUAACAAAAUAGAGAGAUACUUUAAAAUUGAUAUCAGCAUAUUGGUUGCAUUUUUCUUAUUGGUUUUCUUGUUGAAGUAGAAGUGCCAGUUGUUCACAUGGUUUGGAAUUUCGAUGAUAUCCUCGAAAUUUCUCUCCUUGACAAGCACUGAUAGUAGAUAAAACAUUUCCCAAUUUUUUUAAUCAUAUUUCACUCAAAGUCUCUCAACAUCGAUAUUUUGUCAAUAUUUUGUUGAUAGUUUCUGUACUUUCAACGAUGAUACUUUCGUUAACAUCAAUAUUUGAUAUGCUGUUUUUUAUUGGCAUAUGUUGGUUUUUGAUGAUGGCAUGAGGCUUGUUAUGGUAAUUCUGACUGCUAUCAUUACAAAUUGUUUAUCGGUCUGUGUUGACUUUUUGCAUGACAGGAAGUAGCUGUGAAAAAAUUUUUGGAUCAAGAUUUUUCUGGUGAUGCUUUAGUUCAGUUUAAAUGUGAAGUAAGCAUCAAGACUUGAGUUUGUAUAUCAUAUUUGUCGAUUAUAUAUAAGCAUAAAAUUCAAAUUCAUUGGUUUUGUAUUAAUUAUAGUUGAUUUUUGGUGUUUGUUCAUGCAGGUAGAAAUUAUGUUAAGACUUAGACAUCCCAAUGUUGUCCUUUUCAUGGGGGCAGUUACUCGCCCUCCCCAUUUCUCUAUCCUGACAGAGUAUCUUCCCAGGUUGAUUUCCUUAUUACUUGUCCUUUAUCAGAUUUGUUAUAUUUCUGAAAUUGAAUGACCAUAUGUAAUUUAAAUCAUACAAAGUAAUAAAGUAGAAGGAAAAAAAAAACUGAUGUGUAUGCAUGCAGUCCAAGAUAACUAGGAAAGCCUGUAACUAGGCAAAAAUAGGUCUAUCAAGCAAAAAAUUCCUUUACGGGGGCAGGAACAUCAUCCAACCAACUAGACGUCCACAACCCUGUUUCCUUGACAUUGAGUCAUUAGUUAUCUGUUUAAUCUUAUUCUCUUGUUUUGUUCCUUAAUCAUUCACCUGAUACACAGGGGGAGUUUAUAUAGACUUUUGCAUCGUCCCAAUUCUCAACUUGAUGAAAAGAGGCGAAUGCGAAUGGCUUUUGAUGUGGUAAAACAGAUUUUUUAUAUAUUUCUUUGUAGUUUUUCCUUUCCGGUUUCUUUUUGAUUUCUUAAUCAGUGCUCCCUGAAUUUAUGCAGGCCAAAGGAAUGAAUUACCUGCAUACUAGCCAUCCUACUGUUGUGCAUCGAGACCUGAAGUCUCCAAAUCUCCUUGUUGAUAAGAAUUGGAAUGUGAAGGUCAACUCAAAACCACCACUUGCGUUUUAAGUUUCCCUGAUAAUGCUUUUUUUAGUCAUUUAUAUUUUUUCCUCUUUCAAUAUAGAUAGAUUGAUAUUGAUAUCUCUAUUGGUGGGAGAAAAAUUGAUUAUUCUUUCUCAAACAUCUUGUUUAUAUUGUGGUGCAGGUUUGUGACUUUGGGUUGUCACGUACAAAGCACCAUACUUUUCUGUCUUCGAAGUCUACUGCUGGGACGGUAAUAUUUGUUCAAUAUGAAUCUUGAAAACAAAGUUGAAUACCCUAUCAUAUGAUCAAUAUCUCAUAAAAAGGAUUUUUUACAAGAAUAGAAACUCAAGUACCCUUUUGUUUUAUGUACUCAUUGCGUACUAUUGGAGUGCAGCCCGAGUGGAUGGCACCGGAAGUUUUAAGGAAUGAACCAGCUAAUGAGAAGUAAGUUGCCGGAAGGUGGAUGCAUUUUGGGAAUUUUCGUUCUGGAGGUUACCAUUACAAUAAGCUUUGCUUGUUGCUUGCUUGCAGGUGUGAUGUGUACAGUUUUGGUGUCAUCUUAUGGGAACUGGCUACUUGCUGCGUCCCAUGGAAAGGAUUGAAUCCAAUGCAGGUUGUAGGAGCGGUUGGAUUCCAAAAUAGGCGUCUUGAAAUUCCAGAGGACAUGGAUCCAGUGGUUGCUGAGAUAAUACGUGAUUGUUGGCAAAGGUAAGUUCUACACUCUUUAGGCAAAAAUAGGGAGUCUGUAGAGAGCCAAGUUUCUUAGAAAUUGAACCUGAACAGCUUGACUUAUACCAUAACUGAGCUUGGCUAAUCCAGAUUUGCUCCGUUUGCAGAGAGCCAAAUCUACGGCCUUCGUUCUCGCAACUCAUGGUCCGUCUCCGACGUCUUCAACGCCUUGUUGGAAGAACAAACUCUACAAACCAAACGACUGAAUAACCCCAAAAAAGAAAAAACUUUACCGUGUUAAUAAUUGAAGUUGAAGUUGUUCCUUGUCUCGAAGAGCGGGGGCAGCAUAUAAGUUUUUGUCUUCAAUGCAAGAAGGAAAAAGAGAAUGCUGGAUUUGGAAGUGUUGGCUCAGUCAAAGUGGGGGCUCAGCACAACCUAUACGGAAAAGAAGAGUGGAAAACCCUCCUAAAUUAAUAGACUGCAUAAGAAGGGCAGUGGAGGUCCCAUUGAAGACCAGUCUCUCUAGUAGUAGUAGUAAUAGUAGGUUGUAUCAAAUCUGCAUGUAAGAAAAAAAAAAUUGUAGAAAAAAAAGAAGAAAAAACUGAAAAAGAAAGGAAGAAAGAAACUAAUAAUUCUUAAUUCUGCUACUGUGGAGAUCUCAUUUGGGAAUUGUAAACAUCUGAUCUCUGCAUAUGUUAUUGUGAAAAGAGUAAAUACAUUUGGAGGAAGAAAGAAGAAAGAGGAAGAAUUUAUGUGCAAUCCAGAACUAACAUUAUUUGUCAUUGUACACCUUUAAAUAAACUUCAAUUUAAAUCAAAAUAAUAACCCCAAUAUUUCUAUUAAAAUAAAUAAAUAAUAAAAAUAUCUCUGAAUUGGAUUGAGAGAGAGAGCAAGAGGCCAAUAACAGUUCAGAGUUUCAGUACAGAGAGAUCAUCGCACAGUACCGCCAUGGCCUCUGCUGUUCUGUACACAUCACCAAAACCACCUCCACCGACUCUCCUCUUUCCCUCCGCACCAACCAUUUCAACUCCAAGCUUCAGGUAUCACCGCCGCCACUGCAGUAGAAUUCCCAAAAUACCCUUGUCGUCCUCGUUCAGAAACGGAAGCAACAGCCCGGCGGAAACAGGGUGCCCUGUGCCGCCGGAGCAGCAGCCUAUAAACGAGUUCCAGAAUCUGUCGACCUCCUUUCCCUUCUCCUGGGCCUCCGGCGACCUCAUAGAGUACUGCUCUCGACUGAUUGCAACUGGGUCUUCUUUUGCUCUGCUUGUUGGCCUCCCGGUUGCCUCGGUCGGUGCCUUGGGCGCCCAAUCGGAGCCGUUGAAGCAGUCUCUGUACGCAGUUUCAAGUGGGUUUCUUGUGGUCACUCUUGCCGUCGUGAGGAUGUACCUGGGUUGGGCUUAUGUGGGCAAUCGCUUGCUUAGCGCCACUGUUGAAUGUAAUUGCUCUGUUUCUCUCUCUGUUUCAACCGUGUUCCUGAUUUUGAAUCAUUGACUGAUAUUGAGUUGCUGAUGGGGUUUUCUGCUCUUCUUCUUUCUGGUUACAGAUGAAGAGACUGGAUGGUACGAUGGCCAGGUAAAUAGGUUUUUUUAAGCUUGCCUUUGUAGAAUCAGAAAUGCAAUUUCUUUUAGAAGUUGGAAGUUUGGCUUUUCAAAGUUAAGGCCUGAAUGAGAUUUCCUUGGCAGAUGUGGGUGAAGACUGCCGAGGUUUUGGCUCGUGACCGGCUACUUGGUUCAUUUGCUGUGAGUUAUUGACAUUACACAGAUAGAUUGAUUUCUUUAUUUUUCCCAGAAAAUGAAAAUCAGAGCUUGUUGCUGACAAAACAUCCUUUUUUAGGAGAAGAAAAUGACUGGAUGGUUGUUUUGCCUUGAUUUUGUUCAACAGGUUACGCCUGUGCUGGGCAGAUUGAAGGUCACACUGGUAUGCCUUGCGGCAGCCAUACUUUCAUGCGUUGUGCUCCUCAUUUCCAUUGAUGGAGGAGGCCAAACUGAAGAAGCUGGCAAUAGGGUUAUACAUGGAGUUUACAGUGACGAAUCUGCAAGAUCAUUCGAGCCUGACGCCUUCUGUGGCGAAGCUGGCCUUCCCUAAUUCUCAGCCAUUCAACAACUGCAACGCGAUAUGUAUAUGCUCUGUCCAUAGUUAGUGACAAACAAGUCAAAAGGUAUAGGACAAGAAUUUGUAUGUGUUUUGCCUCUCUCUCUUGAUGAUUUGUAUUUAAAUUAGCGUAGCUUUUAUAUAUAAUUAGAAUUAUCCUUCAAAUAAAUAUAUUUCCUUGUUAGGCAAACUGCUACUUGUAAACAUUCAAUUCUUGGGGAAACAAAAACCAACUUUUACACUAGCAUGCAUAAUGGCUUAUUCCACACCCAAGCUUAAAGUUCAACUAUUGAGAAUUUGGUCCCAAAAAGAAGAUUCUCAAAAGAAUGGAGUUCGGUAACUUAAAUUACCAAGCAUUCUCAUUUCUAGUGUCGGUGCCACCCAAAUGGUUGGAAACCUACCAUCCCCACCAAUAAGGGAGGAGGCCCUACCUCAAGGCUGGCUGGUGGUGGUAUUGUCUUCCCAAAAGUUCAUCAAAAUAAGAUAACAUUGAGUUUGACUAUCACCAUCGUGAAGAUUGUUGCCCCUCAACAUUUCAUGUCAACCUGUAUGACAAUGAAAGAUAUUCGAAAAUCCAUGUAACAGUAAAUUUAAAAGUUACUCUUUCGCCAUAAAAUUCAGUGACGCUUUAAAGAAACACACGUGGUCUAUGAAAUUUGAACUCGUAAGUCUCCUCUAACAAAGUGAAAAAACCGAGUACCGCUGGCCCAAGUGGUCACGGGACAUUUGAUGUGGUCGCUUACAUUUUAUGAUGAGAAGUUACAUACAGACAACAUAACUACUCUGGCGGGUAAGUUUAUGAAGUAAGUUACAAACCCAACAACAAACGAAGCCAACCGUUUUGUAAGGACGGAAAGAGAGAAUAAAAAAGGUUAGAAAAAGAUGGCGAAGGAGGCAAAGACAAUUAAGUGAGGAAGGCGGUGGGCCCACUGAGGGGCUGAAUCUCAGAGAGGUUCAUGCACUUUGCCCUGUUUUCGCCUUCUCCUUCAUCGUUUGCAAAAUGAGAAAAAGAAAGUCUUAACAAAAAAUUAAAAAAAAUCAAAAGAUAUUAAAAUUUUGAUCGGUUUUCAUUUUUUUUCUUCAUUUUUUCAGUCAAAAUAUAAUCAACCAGUUAUUGUGUCUCGACAACAAUGAAGAAUAACAAGACCAAUAAGAAUAGCUCCUCUUCGUCUUCUUCUUCUUCUUAUUAUUCUUGUUCUCUCUCUUUCUCCUUCUCUUCAACUUCUUCCUGUUCCUUGUCACCGAAUUUUACCUUACUGGGGCGGUCUCAUAUUUUCCUCAGCUAUCACCAUCCUCUGCAGGUCAGUAGCAUAAGAUCUUUGCUCAAAGCUCUAAUCUUUGUUGACCCAAAUGCAUUAUGUGGGGUUUGGAUCUUGUUUUCUUUCAAUGUAUCAACGAAUUUUAUGGAAAGCCCAUUUGGGUAUUGUCUGCUAGCGAGAUAAUCUUUGGCAAGUCUUAAAGAUUGGAAUUUUAAGCCACCCAUUUCCUCAAAGUAAACAUAAUUGAUGUGAUUCAGUGUUUCUCAGCUUAAAGUUGCAUUGCUGGAAGCAGAUGUUUCCUUUUCUGAGCUAAAUUUUAAGACUUGGGUAUUUUCGGCCUGCAAUGUAUUUUUCAGGAAGUAAAAAUCAAACCAUUAAAGCGAACAGUAAUCUUUCAUUUUUAGUUUAUGUAUCAUAGACUAACUAAUCUUUCUGAUUCUUUUUAAAGAAGGCUUUGCAUUGUAUUUAUGGCAGAUUGAACUGAUUUGCUUAUUGUAUUGGGAGACAAAAUUAGAAUGUCUGAGGGUGUAGUUUGACAUUGGGAUGCUUCUCCAUAAAAUUUUAAACAGAGCAUAUGCAGCACAUUAGAUUUCCUGUAAUGGAGGUAAAAGAAGCUUAUGACGUUGAGCAUAUGAGGUCUACACAGAGUAUCCAGCAUGAGCUGUGGCCUCUUGAUGAAAUUGAUCCAAAGAAGGCAAAAUUUCCCUGUUGUUUAGUUUGGACUCCUCUCCCAAUAGUCUCUUGGUUGGCACCAUUCAUUGGACAUGUUGGCAUUUGCAGGGAGGAUGGAGCUAUUUUAGAUUUCGCAGGUUCCAAUUUUGUGAAUGCCGAUGAUUUCGCAUUUGGUGCUGUAGCCAGAUAUCUACAGCUUGAUAGAACACAGGUACUGUGUCAUGUUGUUCUCACAUUCGCCAUAUUGUGUAAUAAUUUUGUGCUCCCUCCCCCUUCCUCCCGGCUCUCUAAACACAAACUCGUAAGGGUAUUCAUUAGUUUGAUCUAAAAUUGUUUGUGAAAGGCAUUUAAAUGCAUCUUAAAAGUACUUGCUUAGAUGAACAGCAAUUAGAACUGUAGCCAAAUCAAGCAUUUGUCUAUUUGCUUGUUACUUUGGAAGAAAGAACUAGAAUUGACUUCUUAACCUGUUGAUCCUUUGACAAUUUUGUAAUGGAAUCUGAAAUGUCAAAACAGUGUUGUUUCGCCGCAAAUCUGGGUGGCCACACUUGCAAGAGUGGCUACAAGCAUGCAGAGUUUGGGACGGCAAUCACAUGGGACGAUGCCCUGCAGUCAAGUUCACGGCACUUUGAACACAAAACCUACAACCUUUUCACUUGCAACUGCCAUUCUUUCGUAGCCAACUGUCUGAAUCGGAUAUUCUAUAGUGGAUCAAUGAGUUGGAACAUGAUCAAUGUGGCAGGCUUAGUACUGCUCAAGGGGCAAUGGGUUGACUCCAUGUCCGUCUUGAGGUCGUUCCUCCCUUUUCUAUUGGUGCUCUCUCUAGGUGUUUUCAUGGUUGGAUGGCCUUUCUUGGUUGCGCUUCUCUCUUUCUCUCUCCUCCUCCUGGUGUGGUUUCUACUGGGCAGUUAUUGUUUCAAGACCUUGUUAGAGUGCUAGUUCCUGUUUUCACACUAACAGCUUGGAGGAGUAAACAGAUGUUUUGUAGUAAAGUUCCUCUGUAUGACUCUGUAGUUCCUGAUACAAUUUUGCUAUAGGUUUUUCUGUCAAUAUUGUUUCUGAUUUCAAGCUGAGUCAACUUAUUCAACUAUAGUUGAUUGAUUUGGAAAGCUUGUUGAAUUUGUACCCUCUCUAACAUGCUCGAUUUAUGAUUCAGAAUGAGACGGGACCCCUGUUGCAGCUAUAGCAAAUUGUAAAAUGGGUAAAUCUUCAAUGCCCAUGUGGCAUGGUCUUGUUUCUCAUUUUGGGGAGUUUUUAGGUUCUUUCUAUUGAAUUUAGGUUAUGGAAAACGAUGUAUUGCAAGUGGUCUUCAUCUAUUGUAAUGGAAGAUUAACUUGAGUGUUCAUAACUGGCCGAUUUGUCAGAUGAAAUUCUCUCAUUUCCAGAGUUAUCAUUAAAUAUCAAAACGAACAAAACUUUCUAUCCCCAAUUUGCAGUGGGGAAUGCCAAACAUGAGCGGUGUUUGAGGUCACAUACAGAUUAAUCUUAUUACAUGUAGGGUCCGGUAAGGCAAGUUAAACUUGAGAAAUGCUUAGGAAAACAUUUUAGAUAAGCAACGGGAUGCUCUGCCCCUCAGGUUUAGCUUCCUUGCUUACACUGUCUUGUAUAAACUUGCCUUCUCAAGCUCCAUAUUUCGGGGCCUUCCAAAGCUUGAAGGCCACUUCGUGCAGAAACCUAUCCGCUGGUAUCACAAGAUUUCCACCGUACUGCAUAGAAAAGAACAAAUUUCAUAAUUCAUUUGUAAACAUGCAAUCAGCCAUUCUAGUGAAAGUAUCAUAGUUAAGUGAAAUUGAAAAUCUUUGAACUCAACAUGAGACUUAUGACCAGAUAAUGUAUCAGCUCCUAGCUAGGCUAGUACAGUAGAGAAGAUCAACUCUGGAGUCAGUUAUAUCAGUAAAUCUCUCAACAAUUUCCAGCAUGUGCCAUGCAGUAAACUCAAUAUCUGAUAAUCUCAAAUUGUACCUCUUUGAAAUCCUUAAAUGAGAAUGUCUCAGCCAUAUCCUUGCGAGUUACUGCAUAUUGCCACUGAGCAAUUAACAUUGGGCAAUGGUGCCUGUUCACAAAGGAUAGCUGGAGUUACUAAAGGUAUUUCAAGUGUGCAAGAAACCACCAAGUUUUUACUCACCUAACAUCCUUUCGUGGUUGAGAUCCUUUCAUGGUGUAACUUUGACGAGGAACAAGCUUUGAAAGAUCAGAUUUUUCAUCAUCUUUUCUAAAUGAGACUAACAAGUUGGGAUCAUCCUUUUCUGAGACCUUCCCAUAGCUCGUCACAACAGACAAGUGCAAACGGGCACCGAUUUCAGAUCCAGGUUGGGCUAUUUGCGUUAUAGCACCAACCAAAGCAUUGAGAUAUCCCACAUCAUCAGUAGCCUUGUCUUUCUCAACAUUCACCUCACCAGCCCCAACAUGCACAAAAACUAAAUCAUACUGGCUCGUCUCCACUGUCUUCCCUACUUGAAACCCAAGCAACUUAAGUAACUCAGAUGCCCCAAAAUCAACUGGCGGUUCAGCACCGGCUGGACUGUUUUUAUAAAGAGCAUCGAUUUGGAACACGCUGAAACCAAGUUUGGUACCAAAAGAUUUCAAACUUGCAUUGUUUGUAAAUAUCGCAGCUUUCAUCCCCAUGAACCUGAAGCAUUAUGAAAAACGUCACUUAGUUGACAUUGGGUUGUUAAAAGUUCAAAACUUUUUUUUGAACAUUUCCAAUUACAACAGACCGAGUGAAACCCAAAAGUUAUAUUACCUUUCUGAUAUGAUAACCAAAGAUGUGGAUCUCACUGUAUCAUGGUAUGCUUCAUAUGCAUCCAGCAGUAAUGCAAACUCUCUGACUAUUCUCUCAUCCUCGCUUUCUGCAAUCUAAAUUCAAGUAAAUCCCGGUGCUGGGAACUUGGAAAGGAAAGGUGUAAAAGCACGCCAAAAUGAACCCUCAGAGGAGAAGGAGAGAGAGAGAGAGAGAGAGAGAGAGAGAGGCCGCGCGAGGUUUUCUUUUAAGUCAGGAAAAAAAAAAAGGACCCAACCCGCCUAGAGUGAAAUCGCCCGCCUAGUGCCUAGGCGCCGCCUAGGCCGAUUUUUCGAACACCCAAAUACCAAAAAGAAGUAGAUUUGAAUUGCAUUUCAGGUCGCAUAUGACAAAUCAACAAACUUGAUCGAACCCAUAAAGGCAAAUUAACAAACUUGAUCGAACCCAUAAAGGCAAAUUAACAAAGUUGAUCGAACCCGUAGAGUUCACUUGAGAAGAAAGCAAGCCUCAUAUUAUUAAUAAUUAAAUUAUCUAUUAAAAAUGAAUAAUUUCCAGAGAGAGCAAGAGACAUUGAAAGAGUUAAAACCUGAGGGAGGGGCAAUGGGGAGGCUCAAGAAGCCACAGGAAGCUUUAGAAGCGAGAGAGUGGAGAUGGAUGUGUGAUGGGUCGACGAAACGGACCAACCCAUCUCCGUACAAAACCACAGCUCGGCUUGGCUUGUCCGCCAUUGCUGUAUCUCUAAUCACUGAUCGAGGUUUACAACCAGCUGUGAGCGGAGGAAGAUGAAGACUGAUUUUGGGAAGGCGUGGGGUAUGAAUGAAUGAUAUGGGGAAUAUUGUGCACGUGGCGGGGUUUGGAGGAGAUAACAGCAAAAGCUAGAUGCCUCUCAAGGCGAGAUAAUGACAGGGAGAAAGCGGUAAUUUUAGAUUUUUAUUUUUUAGAAAUGGUAAAUUAAGAACUCAGAAACUCACACAUAAGGAGUUGUAGCUCAAGUAAUCAAAAGCAAUUAUUCGUGCACACACAACUUCAAGUGUUCGAAUCCAGUCUUUUCCAAUAUCGCUUAUAUAAAAUGCAUGACAUGCAUUUUAAUUUUUUACAUUGAAACAAAUAGCAGUGUAUGAUUGUAUCGUCACAGACACAGUAGAAUACAUGUUGCAUGGAAUUUCUUCUCCUCUUCGCCAGUGGAGUCCCUUCUCCAUGCUGCUUGUUUCUCAGUCUGACUGCUCUGCCUCAGUAAAGGAUCGAAUGGAUCAGAAACAAGAAGAAUGUUUGGAAUUGGAGGUAUGCAAGUUUGCAUUUUAGCCUUGCCCUUCUACUUUUUCCAUACUGUGCUGUAUAUCGAUUCUUGCUUGAGAUGAGAGUAGAAAAUCUUCUUAAUCAGUUAUUAAUGUUUGGGCUAAUCGUACAAAUUCUCUGUUGUGUUACAAGUUACAACUAGCUUACCUGUGACAAAACUACUAGUUUAUUCACAAUUCAUCGGUUCUAAAAUUUGUUUUUUUAAGGUGUAAAAUUCUAAAAUUUGUUAUUGAUAUGCUCCCUUACCCAUAUAUCUUUGUGGUAUUUUGUUUGAACUUGCAGACGAUGUGCUCUACAAAUGUGUUUAGUUACACGCUUCAAAACUUUUUAAAGGUAUAGCCGCGCGGCUAUACUAUUAUCCUACACAUAUACUUGCGAGGCUAUACCUCUAACGUAUUCGAAUAUUUAAAGAGUACCAAGUAGCUGCGCAGCUAUACGCUUUAAAUAUUAAUAUGUUCUAAAAGUAUAGCCGCGCAACUAUACCGUUAAAAUAUUCGAAUAUAUUUAAAAGAGUAUAGCGACUAUACUCUUUAAAUAAAAGUAAUUAAGUAUAGCAAUUAGGAAAUGCAUUAAACCAUAUCAGAUAUGGAUUAGAAAAUGACUUACAUAUGUUCUAGCGCCAUUGAAUUCUCACAUAUCUGCUGAACCCCAAAAAGGUUGAUGGAUUUCAUAUCAGUCGAAGCAUGUUAAGAUUGCAUUAUCUCUCGUGAACAUUCAGCAAUCAACAGAAGGAAAAAGAAAAAGAAAAAAUCAGUCCGAAAGGAACAGAAGAAAUGUACAUGGAUAUAUAGUAUACAGUAUAUAUCUCUGAAACUACAAUCUGCAACACCAGCAUACGGAAUUUCAUGAAUGAUCUAACAAAAGAUUUUAUAGAAGUUACAAACCUUGAUGAAUGCAUUUGCUACAAUGCUUUAAAUUCCACUAAAUAUGUAAUUCCGCUUCACUCUCGUAAUAAAAAGUGUCAUUUCCUCAUCUUUGCGUGUUAUCUAUAGGUAGAGAAGCACAAACAAAAAGUACCGGUCCAUUUCCAAGAAAAUGUGGCACUCAAAAAAAGUGGUUCUUAAGGAAUUAAUUCCUUUAUUAAAAUACAUUUCCUUUAAAAAGCAGUAGGGUAUAGUCAUUUCUGUGUUUAGUAUCUCCCUCCAAAUCAAGAGAGAAAAGUUACGAUCUGCUAAAGCUGGAGAUGAGCUAACCUGUGCAAUAAGUGAAAUAAUGAAGUCCUCUGGUUCUUCCGCAUCCUGGUCUUCCAUGUAUUCCUACUUGUUUCUCAGUCUGACUGCUCUGCCUCAGUAAAGGAUCGAAUGGAUCAGAAAGAAGAAGAAUGCUGGGACUUGGAGGUAUGCAAGUUUGCAUUUUAGCCUUGCCCUUCUACCUUUUCCAUGCUCUGCUAUUCGAUUCUUGCUUGAGAUAAGAGUAGAAUCUUCUUAAUCUGUCUUUAAUUCUUUGUUGUGUUACAACUACCUUACCUGUGACAAAGCUACUAGUUUAUUCACAAUUCGUGGGUUCUAAAAUUUGUUGUUUAUGGUAAACAGUCUCAAAAUUUGUGUAUCUAAUAUAAAUAAAAAAUUGUAAAUAAAUUACUGUAGGAUGUAAUGGCAUACAUCUUUGUGAUAUUUGUGAUAUUAUGUUUAAAUUUGCAGAGGCAAAUAAUGCCAAAAAACCUAGCCCUGCUUGGGAAUCUUAAGCAAUUGGAGUUUACUUGCUCCCAAGUUAAUGUUCUGGAAUGUUCGGAUCUGCUGUGGGGUUUUUCCCUUCCUCAAGGCUUCUCCUCUUAGCAGACACUUACAUUAAGGGUAAGAAAAUCGUCUUCAACCUUUACCGGGGAUAGAUUGGAGGUGAAGGUACCAAAAGAGCUGAAACUUGAGCUGUUCCGCUUUCGUCCUCCUAAAAUCUGAAGCUUUAUGAAAAGGCAACUUUUAGUUCACGUUGUGCUGAUAACAGUUAAUCACAUAUUUUUUAACCAUUUACAACUGACUGAGCAAAAACUAGAAGUUAUAUUACCUAACCUUUUUGAUAAGGUGUUUGUUUCCCUCUUUUCGGCGGGGCGGCCGACAGAAGGAACUUUUGGUCAUUCUUCUUUUGAGUGUGGCGCGUGCCACCACCAAACUCCGAAUUUGGGCUUGAAUGGAAUGUGAGUAGAUGGAUAUGUUGCGUCCGAGAUCUAAAUUUAAUCAAACGAUUGUUCGGCCAAGCAAGGAACCUCCUCAUAGUCUAGGUUCUUUCACUACCUCGGGUCAAGGCUUUAUGUGAACGACCAAAUGAUGUGAAGUGGGUGGAGAUGAAGAUUGAAGGUGAAACGUAAUGAAAUGAAGAACAAGUGCGCAAAGUAAAGGUGCUUAAACUUGAAUAUAAUUUAAAGACAAAUGCGUAAAGUAAAAUACGAAAGAUAAAUAACGUAAAGACGAGAAUUAAAGUGCGACAAAAUAAAUCAAAGUGAUAAGUAAAGCAAGAACGAAAUGAAAGCGAUAAGAACGAUAAAGUAAAAUGAACUUCAAAUUAAACUUAAUUGAAUUGCGAUAACAAUGAAAAGUAAAGCAAUUGAAAUAAACUUGAAUUUAAAUGACAAGAAAAUAUAAAUUGAACAAGAAUUUAAACUUACACUAAGAAAAGGAAGAACUCGCUACACUAGGUACAUGAAAAGUAAAAUCCUAAGUCUAUGAAAAGAAAAGUGCAAGACGAAAAAUAAGUUUGUCUGUCUGAUGUUGUGUGUCUUCUGCCUUCGUUUGGUGAGGUUUAUAUAGGGCUUCCGUCAGCCCAUGGGCUGGCCAUUGAAUGGCCAAAUGUCAACUCUUUUAAAACUCUUUCCUUUUGAAGCCCCUUGAAUUUGUGGGAUCACAUUGAUGGAAAUAUUCUGAUUGCUUGAUUCUCUCAUGUUUUGGAGUAUGCUGAACUAUCAUCAAUUUCCUUGAUUUGUUUCCUUGUGAGGCCUCCAUCACAUUCACAUUGACCUAUGGAAAUCUUAGGCGUGAAUCCGUGGCUUGGGCAUUGACCUCCAUGAUUUCAUCUUGACAUCUGGUGGAACCUUGUGCCCCUUGAGUUUUUAGAAUUCUAGAGUUGGUUUACCAUCUGUCAACCAUCUCCCAAGAUGGGUGGUAUGAGAACUCCAGAUAUUUGGAUGUUGGGCUUGGCUCUACGUUGGAUUAUAUUUGAGUUCUCAAAUAUUCGAAUAUUGGGAACUCGGUGGACAUACCUCCAGCCGAACUUCAACUCCCUUGGCCCAACUUUGCUUGUCCAAGUGUUGAGAGGAGGGCGCCAAGGUGCACAAGGAGAAAAUUCACCCCAGCCCAGCUUUUGGUAAGAGGAGUGGCCUACCAAGGUAUUUAAGGAGUGUCCGGCCCAACUUUUUGAGAAUGAAGCAUUCGGCCACUUUUGCAAGGAUACGCCCGGCUACUUUUGCAAGGAUACGCUCGACUAUAUUUUUGACAAGGCACCACGCUAGGAAUUCUUGGCUUCUAGGAAUUCUUCGGCUGCUAGGAAUUCUCGGCCGCUAGUAAUUCUUCGGCAGCUAGGAAUUCUUCUGCAGCUAGGAAUCCUCCGGCCCCUAGGAAUUCUCCGGUCACUAGGAAUUCUUCGCCCACUAGUAAUUCUUCGGCUGCUAGGAAUUCUCGGCCGCUAGGAAUUCUCGGCCGCUAGGAAUUCUUCACCCUCUAGGAAUUCUUCAGCCGCUAGGAAUUCUUCCUUAGCAAAUUGGGUGAAUUUUGACCACCCCAAACAGUGUUCUUAGGAUUUCUUCCCUAUUUCUCUCCCUGUUUCAGCUUUUCAUACUGUAUUGUGAAAUGAAGGUUCUUGAAUAUGAAGUUAUUCGCUUUGAAAAUUCUUAGACAACGAUGUUGCAGUCAGCCUAUUAAUUAGUUUUGUCACUGAAGCAGCUCAUAUGACUCGUGACCAAGUCUCCUGCUUUAGAGAAGGACAGUUUGGUUGACAGUUCCCGUCAAGAGAGGAAACGAGGCAGGUACGAAGAAACUCUGGCAUUGACUCACUGAAGCCACCAUUAUUCUCCUUUUACUUGUUUGAUUACGAUAAUAAUCCACUUUGCUACAAUUCAGAAAAAUACUGGUUUAUUUUCUUAUAUUCAAAGAAUCAUGAAAACUUGUUCUCCUAGGAAUGGGGAGAGGAAACUACUUUUUCCAAUUCCCUCUUCAACAGUCAGCAGUUUGAGAAAGUUCCUUCCUCUUUCGUCCCGUUUACCAUUUGGGAACCAAGUAUUCUGCCAUUCAAAAUCCUGCUACUAUUCACCAUUUAUAAACAAGUAUCUUCUCAUGCCUUGAGCUGCAAACCUUCCGAGACCAAGAUAACAUGAUCAAGUGUCCUCCCUACCCUGUUUUUCUUCUCUUACUGUUCUUUAGGAUUUUCUUGGCCAUGGCACAAAACACAACCAUCCCAAUCAAUGUGGGGGUGGUUCUUGACUUCGAUUCCCGGUUAGGGAAAAUAGGGUUGAGCUGCAUCAACAUGGCCCUCUCUGACUUCUAUGCCUCUCAUUCUAACUACAAUACUAGACUGGUCCUGCACACAAGGGACUCCACGAGAGAUGUUGUUGUUGCAGCUGAUGCAGGUUCCCUCUCUAUUGAUCUUCUCUUUUUAAUGUUUUGCUUUUUGUUUCACCCAAAUAUUUUUUGAACCAUCAAUUUCUUUUUUAUUAUUUAUUAGCAUGUUAAAGGUAUCAUAUCUUGUUGAAGUACUUGCUGGGAAAAAGCGGCUUAGAUUAGAGUCAUGCUUGUAAUACGUCAUUGGAUUCGUAAUUGAUACACAAAGAAUUAAAAUAUCAUCAGAGUGUAACUUAACUUAAAACUCUCACCUUUGAAACAGCGCUAGACUUAAUAAAGAAUGUUGAAGUGCAAGCCAUCAUAGGGCUAAAAUCAUCAAAGCAAGCCAACUUUGUAAUUGAUCUUGGAGAUAAAGCUCAAGUGCCCAUAAUGUCAUUUUCAGCAACAAGCCCUUCUCUGCGGGGUUCAUAUUUUUUCCGAAUUGCACAGAAUGACUCAUCUCAGGUUAGAGCCAUAAGUACCAUCAUCCAAGCCUUUGGUUGGAGUGAGGCAGUGCCCAUCAGCGUGGACAAUGAGUUUGGGGAGGGAGUGAUACCUUACCUGACUACUGCUUUGCAAGAAGUAGGUGCCCGUAUCCCUUAUUGGAGUGUCAUUCCUUCAAAGGCCACUGAUGACCAAAUUGUUGCAGAGCUUUACAGGUUGAUGUCAAUGCAAACCAAGGUCUUCAUAGUGCACAUGUUGCCUUCUCUAGGCUCUCGGUUUUUUGCCAAGGCAAAAGACAUUGGCAUGAUGGAGGAAGGUAAUGUUUGGAUAACGACGAAUGGGAUGGCUAACUCUUUCAGUACCUCCAGCUCUUCUGUCGACAUAGAUAACAUGCAAGGGGUGUUAGGUUUAAAGACUUAUGUUCCAAACACAAAAGAUCUUGAAAAUUUUAGAGCUAGAUGGCAAACAAAAUUCCAACAAGACAAUCCAACUAUCCUUAACGUUAAAUUGGAUGUUUUUGGACUUUGGGCUUAUGAUGCUGCUUGGGCAUUAGCCCUGGCAGUUGAGAAGGUUGGGGGUACAAACUUCAGCUUCCGAAAGAUGAACGGUUCUCAUAAUUCCACUGAUCUGGGAAGCUUAGAGGUCUCUCAAGGCGGUCCUGAACUUGUCCGAGAGCUAUCAAGUACAAGAUUCAGAGGCAUUUCAGGAGAUUUCAGUCUUAUUAAUGGGCAACUACAAUCAUCAACUUUUCAGGUAGUUAAUGUGAACGAUAAUGGGGAAAGAGGAAUUGGAUAUUGGACACCCCAAAAUGGACUUGUGAGGAACAUAAUUUCAACUAGAAACACAAACAGAUACUCUACUUCUAAUGCCAGUCUUGGACCUAUUAUAUGGCCUGGAGACACCACCUUGGCUCCAAGGGGCUGGCAGAUUCGCCCGAAUGGGACCAUAAAAGUUCUGGUCCCGGUGAAGGUAGGGUUUGAAGAAUUUGUAACUGUGAGACAUGAUUCUAGCACUAACACAACCAAGGUCACUGGAUACUGCAUAGAAGUCUUUGACGCUGUAAUAAAAGCAUUACCAUAUCCUGUUCCUUAUGAGUUUUAUCCCUUUGCAAAACCUAAUGGGAAGAUUGCUGGCAGGUACAAUGAUUUGGUCAAUCAAGUGUCUCUUGGGGUAUAACUUUUUUUCUUGCUGAUUUUUCACAUUUUAUUCUUAGCAAAAUUAUCCAAUGUUUUCACUUGAAACAUUGGCAUUUUCACUUGACAGAACUACGAUGCUGCAGUUGGAGACAUAACUAUUAGAGCAAACAGAUCCUUGUAUGUUGACUUCACAUUGCCAUUCACAGAAUCUGGGAUAUCAAUGGUGGUGCCUAUCAAAGGCAAACAUGACGCUAAAAGCACAUGGGUGUUCUUGAAGCCUUUGACAUGGGAUCUUUGGGUUACAAGCGGCUGUUUUUGCAUUUUCAUUGGUUUUGUGGUCUGGUUUCUUGAACAUCCAAUAAACGAAGACUUUCGUGGGUCUCCACAUCACCAAAUUGGCACAAGCUUUUGGUUCGCCUUCUCAACCAUGGUUUUUGCACACCGUAAGCUCCCUUCAUGUCAAACUAUUUUCUAGUCUUUAUUGGUGAUUAAUGCUUUGUAGAACCACUUGUCCAACUAACCAAAACUACUCAAAACCCAAUUGGAAAAAUGAGCUUGUGUACCGUUUACAUAUUCUAUGACUCAUGGCCUUCCAUUUCUGUUUUCUUUUGAGUUUUUCUAACAGGGGAACGAGUAGUGAGCAACUUGGGUAGGUUUGUAGUGAUCAUAUGGUGCUUUGUUGUCCUGGUACUGACACAAAGCUACACUGCCAGUUUAUCAUCAAUCUUAACAAUUCAACAGCUCCAACCAAUAGUUACUGAUGUGAAUCUUCUCUUGAAGAAUGGGGACAAUGUUGGCUACCAAGCAGGUUCUUUUAUUUAUGAGAUUUUGAGCCAGCUAGGAUUUCAGGAUGAUAAACUUAGAACUUAUAGGUCCGCAGAAGAAUUGGAUGAACUUUUUCGAAACGGGAAUGAAAAUGGAGGUAUUUCUGCAGCGUUUGAUGAAACCCCCUAUAUGAAACUUUUUCUUGCAACCUAUUGCUCAAAAUAUACCCUUGUUGAGCCAACAUUCAAAGCCGAUGGUUUUGCCUUUGUAAGUUGAUCACUUGCUGUUUUUCUCUUUCUCUAUCAGACCCUCUCUGGCUUUCUCUCGUUUAAUACAUGUUUUCUGAUGUGGGAUUUUUUUUCUUCUUCUCUUUUUGACCUGCAGGUCUUCCAAAAAGGUUCACUUCUGACACUAGAUGUUUCAACGGCAAUCACUCAAGUGCACGAGGGAGAUAAAAUGAAGGCCAUCGAGGCCAAGUGGUUCAAGAAAAAAGCAAGCUGUUCAAACCCCAACACGGCUGGCUCUUACGACACUCUUAGCCUUGAUAGCUUUUGGGGCCUCUUCAUUGUUGCUGGUGUUGCUUCAUCACUAUCUCUCCUCAUAUGUGUAGCUAUGUUCCUCUAUGAGCAUGGCCACAUCUUGACAUGCAUUGAUUCAAAAGCCUCAUUUCGGACAAGAAUUCGUGAAGUACUAAGAGCAUAUGAUCAAGAAGACAAGAAAAGCAAAAAAGAUAGUGUUCAAGGAAUCGCUGCGGUUGAAUCUUCACCGAACACCAACUGUCUCUGCCUCAGAAGGCCAUCAAGAUCAAGGCACCCAAAUAAGAUUAUACCAGAAAUCGUUCUUGAAGAGCAAGGAACAACUUGUACUCAGCAUAGUGAGUUGAAUCCGAAUGUUCAAGCAACCCAAGAAAUUGAAUGUGCUAUCGAGUUAACGGCUAUGACAUAAAUCAUGGAAUCUUGCUAUGGUUUGUUUGAAGCUUAAUUUGUAGUUUAAAUCUUUAUUGUGUAGUAUAUAAGAUGUAUGCAUGCAGCAGUGGUUUUGAUGUUUCUUGGUUACGAGGGUAACGAGCCUAAUUUAUAUAAGAUAUGACGGUAGCGUAAAUAAAAUGUCUUACAUUGCUAAUUAUGAUAUUAAUACAUGAUUUAGUAACUUUAAUGAAUCUAUUAACAAGAUACAUAAUUAGUAAUCACUAAUCGAGGUUUACAACCAGCUGUGAGAGGAAGAUGAAGACUGAUUUUGGGAAGCGUAGGGUAUGAAUGAUAUAUUAUGGGGAAUGUUGCGCAUGUGGCGUGGUUUGGAGGUGAUAACAGCAAGGAUAUGGGGGAGAGAGUGGUAAUUUUAGAUUUUUAUUUCUGAGAAAUGGUCAAUUGAAAACUCAUAAACUCACUUCACAAAAAUAGUAGGGUAGGAGCAGCUAUCCAAGCACACAAGGUCCACUGCUUGAAUUGCCUUUCUCACAGAAGGUCCAGUGUCCGAAUCCCCUCUCCUCUAAUAUCGCUUGUAUCUAUCUACAUUGAAAUAGCAGUGCAUGAUUGUCAUGGAUAUCGCCACAGCAGAAUACAUGUUGCAUGCAAUUUCUUCUCCUCUUCGCCGGUGGAGUCCUUUCUCCAUCCUGCUUGUUUCUCAAUCUGACUGCUCUGCCUCAGUAAAGGAUCGAAUGGUUCAGAAACAACAAGAAUGUUUGGAAUUGGAGGUAUGCAAGUUUGCAUUUUAGCCUUGCCCUUCUACUUUUUCCAUACUCUGCCAUAUAUCUAUUCUUGCUUGAGAUGAGAGUAGAAAAUCUUCUUAAUCAGAUCUUAAUGUUUAGGCUAAUCGUACCAAUUCUCUGUUGUGUGUUAAAACUAGCUUACCUGUGACAAAACUACUAGUUUAUUCACAAUUCAUCGGUUCUAGAAUUUGUUUUUUAAGGUGUAAAAUUCUAAAAUUUGUUAUUGAUAUGCUCCCUUACCCAUGAAUGCCAAGAAAGAAACCUAGCCCUUCUGGCUCUUUCUUGUAUCUAAAAUAAAAAAUGUAAAUUCAUUACUGUAGGAUGUAAUUAACUUAAAUUUGUAAUGCCAUGUAUCUUUGUGGUAUUUUGUUUGAAUUUGCAGAUGCAAAGAAUGCCAAGAAACCUAGCCCUGCUUUAGAGUUGAAGCCUGAAGGCUUCUCCUCUCCUGCAGACAGUUACAUUAAGGGUGGGCAAUGUGCAUAGUCUUGAGCAAAUGGUCUUCAACGCCCCCUGAAGCGACUAUGUUGGAGCUGGGGGAUGGAUUGGAGGUGAAGGUACCAAAAGAGUUGAAACUUGAGUUGUUUGGCUUUCAUCCCCAUAAGACCUGAAGCUUUAUGAAUAGUCAAUCACAUUUUUUACCAUUUCCAAUUACAACUGACUGAGCAAAAACCAGAAGUCAUAUUACCUUUCUGAUAAGGUAUUCUUAGGAUUUCUUCCCUCUUUCUACCCCACAGUGCAGAAGUCCCCAAAUCAUAAAAGCCUUUCUCGUUGGUAGAGUGGGCCCCCAGUUGGCUUGGGUUCAAGCUUUUGAUAUGGUCUUCCUCUCAGCUUUUCUUACUGUGGUGAAAUGAAGAUUCUGGUAUGAACCUAUUUGCAAAGGAAAACAACUAAUACAUAUUAAAUGUUGCAUUGAGCUUAUUAAUUAGUUUUGUCAAAUUGUCACUGAAGCAGGUCAUUUGACUCGUGACUAAGUCUCCUGCUUUUGAGGGGGACAGUUUGGUUGACAUUUUGGGUCAAGAGAGGAAACGAUGCAAGUACGAAGAAACUCUGCCAUUGAGUCAAUGAAGUCACCAUUGUUCUCCUUUUACUUCUAUGAUUACUAUAAUAAUCCAGUUUGCUACUCUUCAGAAAAAUAAUUCAGUAAGGCACAUUUUCUAUCUAAAAUACUGGUUUCUUUUCUUAUAUUCAAAGAACCAUGAAAGCUUGUUCUCUUAGGAAUGGGGGAGGAAACCACCAUUUCCCAUUCCCUCAUCAGCAAUCAGCAGUUUGAGAAAGUUCCUUCCUCUUUCCUCCCAUUGACCAUGGGGAACCAAACCAAGUAUUUUGCCAUUCGAAAUCCUGCUACGAUUCACCAUUUAUAAACAUGUUUCUUCUUCCUCAUGCCUUGAGUUGCAAACCUUUCAAGAUAUUCAAACAUGACCAAGUGUCCUCCUAACCCUGUUUUUCUUCUCUUCCUAUUCUUUAGGAUUUUCUUGGUCAUGGCACAAAACACAACCAUCCCAAUCAAUGUGGGUGUGGUUCUUGACUUAGAUACCCAGUUUGGGAAAAUAGAGUUGAGCUGCAUCAACAUGGCCCUCUCUGACUUCUAUGCCUCUCAUUCUAACUACACUACUAGACUGGUCCUGCACACAAGGGACUCCGCGAGAGAUGUUGUUGUGGCAGCUGAUGCAGGUUCUCUCUAUUGAUCUUCUCUUUUAAUGUUUUGCUUUUUUUUUCACCCGAGUAUUUUUUAACCAUCAAUUUCUUUUUUAUUUUUUAUUAGUUAGCAUGUUAAAGGUAUCAUAUCUUGUUGAGGUACUUGCUGGGAAAAGCGGCUUAGAUUAAAGUCAUGUUUGUAAUACUUCAUCGGAUUCAUAACGAAUCAUCAAUUGAUGCACAAAGAAUUAAAAUUGCAUCAGCGUGUAACUUAACUUAAAACUCUCAUCUUUGAAACAGCGCUAGACUUAAUAAAGAAUGUUGAAGUGCAAGCCAUCAUAGGGCUAGAAUCAUCAAUGCAAGCCAACUUUGUAAUUGAUCUUGGAGAUCAAGCUCAGGUGCCCAUAAUCUCAUUUUCAGCAACAAGCCCUUCUCUCCGGGGUUCAUAUUUUUUCCGAAUUGCACAGAAUGACUCAUCUCAAGUUAAAGCCAUUGGUGCCCUCAUCCAAGCGUUUGGUUGGAGAGAAGCAGUGCCCGUCAGCAUCGACAAUGAGUUCGGGGAGGGACUAACACCUUACCUGACUACUGCUUUGCAAGAAGUUGGUGCUGGUAUCCCUUAUUGGAGUCUCAUUCCUUCAAUGGCCACUGAUGACCAAAUUAUUGAAGAGCUUCACAGGUUGAUGUCAAUGCAAACCAGGGUAUUCAUAGUGCACAUGUCGCCUUCACUUGGCUCUCGGUUUUUUGCUAAGGCAAGAGACAUUGGCAUGAUGGAGGAAGGUAAUGUUUGGAUAACGACAAAUGGGAUGACUAACUCUUUUAGUUCCUCCAGUUCUUCUGUCGACAUAGAUAACAUGCAAGGGGUGUUAGGUAUAAAGACUAAUGUUCCAAACACAAAAGAACUUGAAAAUUUUAGAGCUAGAUGGCAAACAAAAUUCCAACAAGACAAUCCAACUAUCCUUAACGUUAAAUUGGAUGUUUUUGGACUAUGGGCUUAUGAUGCUGCUUGGGCAUUAGCCCUGGCGGUUGAGAAGGUGGGGGGUACAAACUUCAGCUUCCAAAAGAUGAACAGUUCUCAUAAUUACACUGUUUUGGGAAGCUUAGAGGUCUCUCAAGGCGGUCCUGAACUUGUCCGAGAGCUAUCAGGUACGAGAUUCAGAGGCCUUUCAGGAGAUUUCAGUCUUAUUAAUGGGCAACUACAAUCAUCAACUUUUCAGGUAGUUAAUGUGAACGAUAAUGGGGAAAGAGGAAUUGGAUAUUGGACACCCCAAAAUGGACUUGUGAGAAACAUAAAUUCGAACAGAAACACAAACAGAUACUCUACUUCUAAUGCCAGUCUUGGACCUGUUAUAUGGCCUGGAGACACCACCUUGGCUCCAAGGGGCUGGCAGAUUCGCACGAACGGGACCUUAAAAGUCCUCGUCCCAGUGAAGCAAGGAUUUGAAGAAUUAGUAAGUGUGGUACAUGAUCAUAGCACUAACACAGCGAAGGUUACUGGUGGAUACUGCAUAGAAGUCUUUGAUGCUGUAAUAAAAGCAUUACCAUUUCCUGUUCCUUAUGAGUUUUAUCCCUUUGCAAAUCCUAAUGGGCAGAGCGCUGGCAGUUACAAUGAUUUGAUCAAUCAAGUGUUUCUUGGGGUAGACCUCGCAUUCUAUGCUUUCUUUUUCUUUUUUCCUUUUUUGCUGAUAUUCACAUUUCAUUCUAGCAAAAUUAUCCAAUUUCUUCACUGACACAUUGGCAUUUUUACUUGGCAGAACUACGAUGCUGCAGUUGGAGACAUAUCUAUUAGAGCAAACAGAUCCUUGUACGUUGACUUUACAUUGCCAUUCACAGAAUCUGGGAUAUCAAUGGUCGUCCCCGUCAAAGGCAAUGAUGGCGGUAAAAACACAUGGGUGUUCUUGAAGCCUUUGACGUGGGAUCUCUGGGUUACAAUCGGCUGUUUUUUUAUAUUCAUUGGUUUUGUGGUCUGGUUUCUUGAACACCGGAUAAACGAAGACUUUCGUGGGCCUCCACAUCACCAAAUUGGCACAAGCUUUUGGUUCGCCUUCUCAACCAUGGUUUUUGCACACCGUAAGUUCCACGCUUUCUAUUAUAUAUAUAUAAUUUAUGUCUCUGUCUUAAAACUCAAAACCCAAAUGGUAAAAUGAGCUUUGCUUACUGUUUACAUAUCUUAUGACUCAUUUCUGUUUUCUCUUGAAUUUUUGUAACAGGGGAACCAGUAGUGAGCAACUUGGGUAGGUUUGUAGUGAUCAUAUGGUGCUUUGUUGUCCUCGUACUGACUCAAAGCUACACUGCCAGUUUAUCAUCAAUCUUAACAAUUCAACAGCUCCAACCAAUCGUUACUGAUGUGAACCUUCUCUUGAAGAAUGGGGACAACGUUGGUUACCAAAAAGGCUCUUUUAUUUAUGGGAUUUUGAGUAAGCUAGGGUUUAAGGACGAUAAACUUAGGACCUAUAAUUCCGUAGAAGAAUUAGAUAAACUUCUUCAGAACGGGAAUGAAAAUGGAGGUAUUUCUGCUGCUUUUGAUGAAACACCCUACAUGAAACUUUUUCUUGCAACCUAUUGCUUGAAAUAUACCCUGGUCGAGCCAACAUUUAAAGCCGAUGGAUUUGCCUUUGUAAGUUGAUCACUUGCCGUUUUUCUCUCUGGCUUUCUUUCUCCCGUUUAGUUUAGUACAUAUUUUACUGAUCUGGGAUUUUUCUUUUUCUUCUCUCUUCUUUUUGAGUGUGACCUGCAGGUCUUCCAAAAAAGUUCACUUCUUACGCGUGAUGUUUCGACGGCAAUCACUCAAGUGCACGAGGGAGAUAAAAUGAAGGCCAUCGAGGACAAGUGGUUCAAGAAAACAGCAAGUUGUUCAAACCCCAACACCGCGAGCUCUUACAACACUCUUAGCCUUGAAAGCUUUUGGGGCCUCUUCAUUGUUGCUGGUGUUGCUUCAUCAUUAGCUCUCCUCAUCUUUGCAGCCAUGUUCCUCUAUGAGCAUAGCCACAUUUUGACAUGCGUUGAUUCAAAAGCCUCAUUUUGGACAAGAAUUCGUCAAGUACUAAGAGCAUAUGAUCAACAAGACAAGACUUGGCAUGCUUACAAGAAAACCAGAAAAGAAGAUGGUGUUCAUGGAAUUGCUGCGGUUGAAUCUUCACCAAACACCAACUGUCUCUGCCUCAGAAGGCCAUCAAGAUCAAGCAAACCAAAUCAAAUUGAACCAGAAAUUGUUCUUGAAGAGCAGCAGGGAACAACUUCUACUCAGCAUAGUGAUUUGAAUCCGAAUGCUAUAGAGUUAAACGGCUAUCACAUAAACCAUUAAAUUUUGCUUUGGUUUGUUUGGCCAGAUUCUCGUAAGGGUUUUUGUGAAGCUGAAUUUGUAUUACAAGUCUCCAUUGUGGUGGAGUGUACAUAUUGUAUAUGAGUUUCUAUUAGUUGAUAAUGUUGUGGACAAAAAUUGCAUCAUAGAGCCUCAGAAAGCUUCAAAGAAUGAUCUCCUUGUGGUUUUUUUUUUUUUUUUUUUGGGUCACUUCGGUUUGGGUAUCUGGAUACUUGAUUGCCGUAUGUAUGCUUAUCAGUAGUUUAGCACUUAGAUUACUUAUUAUAUCAUGAUAGUGUAAGGUUGCCUUGAGAUACUGUAACAAUUACAUCUUCGUUGUAUGGAAGUUCUAACUUCUUCGCAAGUUUCAAGGCCAGUGGAGAAUUCCUCUUCUUCUUCUUUUUUGGUUCAAAGUGGAGGAUUCUCUGCAUCAGUAAAGGAUCGAAUGGAACAGAAAAAAGAUGAAUGUUUGGACUUGGAGGUAUGCAAGUUUGGAUUUUAGCCAUGCCCUUCUACUUUUUCCAUACUCUGCUAUUCGAUUCUUGCUUGAGAGUAGAAUUUUCUUAAUAUGUUUUCAAUGUUUGAAGUUACUCAUACAAAUUAUGUUGUGUCACAAUUCAUCGGUUCUGAAACUUGGUAUUAAUAAGUUUCAAACAUAGAAAGAAAAAUGAAAUUUUUAUUGAUGAUUUGUAGUAAUUCUUUUGCAUGUGUAUCAAUGUAAUUAGGGUACGACGGUAGGUAGCUUAAUACGGGCCCCAAACCUCAUGGCCGGUCCUUACAUUGCUCUGCCCUGUUGCUUAGUUAAACAAAAGUUAAUGAUCUUUUACAGAAUUUAGUAAUAAAUCUAUUAACAAGAAGCACCGUAAAUUUUUACAAACACUAGUACGUUCAAAUUCACUACAAAAAUACUACUCUCUCACUGUACAAAGGCUUUGAAUUGAUGGAGAUAGCUGCGCUCGUAGCGCUUUAAAUGUUCAAUCCAAAUGGAUAAUCUUGUGAUGCGGCCAUCCCAGCGUGCCGACACUCGGAUGUCUCCCAUUCCCGGCAAUGCUACUUGUGAUCUGCCACAAAACCAUUUCAAAAUUGUCCUGAAUGGAAGUAGCUCUGCGUGUGAGAUGCUGAUGCUUCAGAGUUAAGUUCUUUUAAAGAUCCUCAGUAGGAAAAGACUUCAAAUUCUGAGUCUUCUUCAACUUCAGUGUGAAAAAUGAAACUUGGAAAUACCACGGUGAUGUCCCUAGAGGAUGUGGUUAGCGAAGCAAGUCAGUAAAAAAUUUAACAAUAUUAGAUAUCAUGAAAAGGAGCCAUAGGUUCAAACACAAGUCAGAUUGUAACUGGAAAAUAAAGGUGAGAUUGGAUGUUUGCAUAUCGCAGAAUAGGAUAGCAUCUAAAGAGACACAGGCAAGUUACAUACUUCAAAUAAGGAAGAGUCAUGUUUUUCAAAAGGGUUGGAUGUCGAAACACAAAAGCCUUCCAGUCUUCUUUGCUAAUUUUACCAUCUUUGUCAGCAUCAGCGUCGGCAAAUGUCUGCAAGGCAAUUGAAGAUGCCGUGAGUACUAAAUUCUCCACAAGCUCUGAUUACCACCCAGUAAAACAACAUCCAAACUUACACAACUACGUACUGCUUACCUUAUCAAUGAUAGACUCAAGAAGAUCAUCUGACAAUUUCAAGUCAGAUUCCAUCAUUAUGGCAAUCACCAUUUGCUUAACCUGAAACCAAACAGAGGCCACUUGGUUUAAAUAAUAUCGUGUCUGCGUUCGUAAGUACCCAUAAAAACAUAAAUUUCCUCGGAGACUUAGGCAGUAAAAAAUAGUACAAGACUCACUUCUUCUCGCUCAAUGAACCCGGUUUGUCUCAGAUCAUAGAGCCUAAAUGCAACUGCAAGUAAUUAACAAACAAGAAACGUAAGAUAACGAGAAAGACGCACACCAUUUAGCAUUGCCUUUUAUAGCAGUAAGACUUACAAUCAAUUUUAUCAUCUAUAGGGGCAUAUGGAUGGAAGACAUUGAGUGCAUGAACAAACUCAUCAAAUUCAAUGACACCAUUUUUCUUUUCAUCAAAGAGAUCAAAAACCUAGAAGAGCAAAAACCAGUUCGUGUAAGUAGAGUUGCAGGGAAUUAUAUAUAUAUAUAUAUAUCCUAGUCAGUGGUUCAAGAUGUUGGUAUGAAGCAUUUACCCUGUCCAGGAAAAGAUUUUCACCAUAGGGAGUUCUGAAUAGUGCUAAUUGAAGCUCUUCCUGCAACACAAUCAUCAUCCAAAUAAUCAUUACAAUGCAUGAAACUAAAAAGAAACAGUUUGAAUGAUUCAGAGAAAUUUGGCUGACCUUAUGAAUCGAUCCGUCGUCGAUAAUUGAACUACUCAGCUUCUUAAACAGCUCAUACAAUGCCUCCAGCUCAUUAACGGUAACUGCAUCAUCAUUUCAUGCAAGUAAGCAGCACAAACAGCAUUCAAAAUUACUAUUCAUUUCUUUCUUCUUCUCUUUUUCCCAAAAUCCCCAAAGCAAAAGGAAAUAAUUCACAAUUCGAAGUUCUGCAUAAAUAUAGUUUUCUUAAUCUUCUGAAUUUUUUUUUUAUAAAUAUUCCAUACAUCUGGUUUCAUUGGCGAGGACAGACAUAUCGCCCAAAGCGAAACGGCAUUUGGUUUCGCGCGGACGGUAGCUGAAGCAAUCGGUCACAGCAAAAACCAACACCUCUAUGAUUGCUAUAAACGGUAUAAAUGCCACGCAGAUACGCUCGCCCAAUGAUAAAGAACUCGAUCUCUGGCCAACCCCAAAAAAUUACAAAAUAAAAUACGAUUAAUGAUGCUUAAUUCAUCGGAAAAUAUAAACAACGGGAAAUGAAAAUUCGGCCAUUUUUACUUUUACCGAGAAAUCCAUUGUUGUCUGCAACAACUGAUCAGAUCGAGGCUGCUACUUCUUGAGCUUUGUUGCUUUGUGCUUUCCGAUUAAAUAUGUCCGCAUCUACACCGGAGAGCUUCGUGAGGCGUCUUCUUCUCUCUCGCUGCGUGGAUUGUACAUUUCGUUUCAAAGACGGACAGAGAAGAGGGCGCACGAGAACGCGGGAAUAAGUAAACCACGAAGCUUCGGUUUUAUCUGUGAAUAAAUGGACCCCACCAAGCCAAACCAACUGUUUAUUCUAAUCCGACCUCGCCGUGACCGUGAGUGCUCUUGCUCUUGAGCUAGAUUCUGACACUUGGAUUUCUGAUUGGCUCUGUAGCCCUUGCUUCCAUGUGACGCGGCAUGACACGACACCUCGCGAGGUCUGAGCCUAUGAAAAAUAUAGAGCCAUCUUAUUAAUUCUUGCGGUAAUAUUUUUCCUCCAUAAUGCUCAAUCAUAUUUCAAGUUUGGUUCCCAUUUUGUCAAAUAUCAAUGAGAAAAAGGACUAAUGUUUGGAUAACGACGAAUGGGAUGACUAACUCUUUUAGUUCCAAACACAAAAUUCCAACAAGACAAUCCAACUAUCCUUAACGUUAAAUUGGAUGUUUUUGGACUAUGCUUAUGAUGCUGCUUGGUCAUUAGCCCUAGCGGUUGAGAAGUUUGGGGGUACAAACUUCAGCUUCCAAAAGGUUUUAGGCAUGAACCCCACUAUCUUUUACUCUUUUUGCAACUGACAUCUGUAACGACCCGGUCCUAAAUAAAUUAAUAAAUAUUAUUUUAUUCAGAGAAAAUACCAUUUUGCCUAUAGAAUAUUUUAUUAGGUUUAAAGUUAACUUUUUGACCGGGAAGGAAUUUGGGAAUUCCAACUGUACCGUUACGUAGAGCACGGCGAGAUGAGUCCGUAGACACGUAGUGUGCCCGAAUCGGAGUUGUAACGAAAAAGAUAUUAUCAAAACACCCUCAAUGGCACAAUCGUAAAUAUUGCGAAAAAAGUUUGAUAAAAUCUGAUUAUUUUUUUUUUUGGGAUUGUUCAAAUUACAAGGGAGACUCUGCCAAAAUUUUGCUGGAAGUCUCGGUCUUUAGUAAGUGGGCCCGGCAUCAGAGUGAUGUCGGAAUUUCCACAGGAUUCGUCUCGAAUUUCAGGGAAUUCGGGGCGGGUCCUGUCAACAUAUCCUUUAAAAAUGCUCUAAUUUAUUAUAUUUUAAUCGAGAAGAUGAUCGAACUCGAGUGUAUGAAAUAUAGUCACUUUUAUACUAAGGUUUAAUUGAUCGUUUUUAUUUUUAAUACUAAUUUAUUGGAGGAAUUAAUUAUUUCCAACACCCAUACGCACUUUCACUUGUGAAAAUCCUGAAGUUUACCAAUUCAGCCGAUCACAUCAGCUUUCCUCAUCUUAGGAAGGCAGCCAGGUUUGUUUCAUUUAUUGGUCUUUCUUUAUCUUAGAAAGGCAACUAUAUUUGUUAAUUUUUCGGAUUGUUGUUUAAUAGUUUAAUGGGCAUGUGAUGAUGUGAUUUACACACAUUGAUCAAAUUAAAGAAUAAUGCAACUACAUUAUUAACGAUUGCGUAUAAAACUCCAUUUGCCAAUAUGAUUACUUGAUUGUGGUUGUUAUGACACCAUCAUGGUCUUAUUCAAAUGGAUAUAAAUUCUCAAGCGAAACUAGAUUUUUGAAGAAGACUUUGUAUCGAUUCCUAGUACUGAACUUUCAGAUUCUUCUUCUUAAUUAUUGGCAAAAAAUUAUUAAGAUUGUUAAGCAACCGCAUGGAUUUUCCAAGAUUCCAAAAAUGUCAAUGUCCUCCUUAAAAUUUGAUGAAACAUAUAAAAAGAGGAAGAUAUUACAUCUAAAGUUAUUACUUUCACACGAGGUAUUAUCUAGAUGUUAUUAUUAUGUAGACCCCAUAAUAAAUAAAGAUGAAAGCAAAGAGGGAUACACAAGAUUUGCACAAUAAUAACAUCUCCGGAUAUCGCAUAAGAGAAUUUUCAUAUAUAUAUAUAUAUAUAUAUAUAAUAGGUUAUAGAUUUGGACACAUGGACCUUUCUGUCAAGCACAUGAAACUUUUUGCCCAUAUUUGUAUAACUCAGUUUAUAGGAUGGCCUAAUAUCACGUGUGGCCUUGGGUUGUGCCUGACAACAUUUGUUAAUGUAACUCCAUAUAUAGUUUCUCCUGACAAAAUACAAAACUCCAUAUAGGAAAAAUAAGGAGAGGGUGAUGAUUUGAAAGGGGAUUUACAGAAAAAUUUCCAUUCUUAUUUGAGUACCUAGGGAGGAAAGGAUCUCGAGCGUAGAACGAGAAGAGUAAAGUAAGAAAUAAGAGUUAUAUUGGCUUGCAGACCUUAUUGGUUGUGAUAUUGAUCUUACAGGAGAACGAAAUCAAAGAAUAUAUAGACUUUAAUGUCAAAUGUUUCACGAAAAAAAACAUUCAUAGAAAAAUGAAUUUCAAAUAAUGUAUUCUUAUCGUUUUUCUUUCUUGACUUUUUUAGCUAGGCAGGAUUAGAAACGUAAAAAAGCUACCAUACUCAACUUGAAGGGAAAAAAAACAAAUUAUACAAAUUAUUGGGUUUAUUGAUAUCUACUAGGCGAAACAGUACAGAUCUACCAGAAGCUCAAUCUUGCCUAGGCAAUAAGUCACCUGUAUUCCAAUAAAAUAUAUAUAUAUAAAAAGUCACCUGUAUUAUUUAGUCCUUUAAAAAAUCUUUUCAGAAGGUAGCUCUCUCUCUCUCUCUCUCUCUCUCUCUCUCUCUUCGCAUUCAUUGAGCAAUCAAGGCACAACCCUACUUUGGACUCUUCCUAGUUCAUCAUCCAGCAUCAAGCUUGAGAGAGAGAUAGGAGUAGCCUCGUAAUUAUGAAGCCCCAAGGGUAACUCAUACCCCAAAUUAGCAAGGUGAUCCGCUGCUCUGUUUUGCUCCCUGUAGAUAUGAGAGACGUUGCAUCUCCAAUCACGAUUAAGUAACAACUUGUAGUCUUCAAUCAGACUUGAGCAAUCAUUUUCAGAUGUGCUGAAACUCAACAAUGAUAUAUUCAAUCACUUUAGCCCUGAUCCCAUUUAGACAUUUACGUUGCAGUAAAAAAUUAAGACACAUUAACUUGUAAACACCAUCAACUAUACAAAAGAAUAGAGAAUCCUAUAUUGCUUAUGGAAGCAAGAUCUGUUUUUGCUUCCUCAGUUUGACAUUGCAUUGCAUCGAGAUAGAGUCUCAUCUGUCAUACAUUUUUAUAUCAUAUGUUUCUCGACUUCAAAAACAUCGAAUCCUGGUGGUUUAUAUUUUUGGAAAUCAAAUCAAUAUGUACUUCACCAAUGAGGCAUGCAAUACAUUGAUUAUAGAUUGAAUUGAAGCAUGUGCGCAGGUAAAUGAGUGAAUUUAUUUGUCAUUCUUCUCUCAUGACUCUUAUUAUUGGCAUGAAUAUAUUAUUUUUUAGUAGCAGAUCAAUUUUGGUUUCAUGGUUGGUGAUGAUUAAGAAUUAGGUUUCUUGACAGGUCAAUAGAAAAAUGUGAGAAUUUGAUAAGUUCUGAGGGAGAAAAAACAUGUCAUGCGUUUAAUGGUUAUUUGAAAAGUAGAAAAAUGGGAUAUUGGAGAAAACCAAAUUGAAUACAAGUGUUGAAUACCUUUUUUUUUUUUGGCUGAGAUGAAAUAUGAUAUGACCAACAAAGAUUACUUGCUAGCGAUGAUGGGAGUAUUUGGCAACUUCACCACGGAAGGAAGUAGUGUUCCUUACUAGCAUAUUAUGUGUGUUAUGUCAGACACAUGAAACUUUUUGCCCAUAUUUGUAUAACUCAGUUUAUAGGAUGACCUAACAUCACAUGUAGCCUAGGGUUGUGCCUGACUACAUUUGUUAGUAACUCCAUAUAUAAUUUUUUCUGACCCACUAAAAAAAAAAAAAAAAAACCUCCAUAUAUAGUUUUAAUGUCUAAUAUUUCGAGAAAAAAAACAUUUGUCAGAAGACGUAAAAAAGCUACCAUACUUCAACUUGAAGGGGAAAAAAACAAAUUAUACAAAUUAUUGGGUUUAUUGAUGUCUACUCUAAUCCUAAUCCCUGAAACUAGAUCAUAGCUAAGCCACUUUCACCUAUAUCAAGAUAGAAUGAUUACGGCUUGGGCUCUAUAACUUUGUGAUGCGACUUGUAUCUAAAUUCAAUCUUUGAUAAAAUGUAUGUGCUCGAAUAUUUGACCGAUUAGUAACAACAAACAGCAAUAAUGUGUUUUUGAAAAAUAUAAUAUCAUUUUCAAAGGGUCCGUUUGAUAUCAUUUUCAAAUAGCGUGCUUUGAGAAUUUUGAAACUCUUUUAUUUUGAGUUGUAAGGUUCUCUUUCUUUUCUCUUGAUAGAUUGAUUGAAGCAAAGAUAAUUUUGGUACAUAUCCCCUAUCCUAUAAAAUUUUAUUGUUGUUAUCUGCGAAAUCGGCUAAGUGGAGAGAAAGCAUGAACCUUCCUCUUUUUUCUCUUUCAAACUCAGAUCAUUAUCAACACCAACCCCACCAUACAACUCUUCCUCAACUCCUUCCUCACAUCACAUGCAAGUAGCUUAGUUUAUUGAUAAAAAAAAAAAAACUUUGUAUAAAAAGUAAAAACAUGGAUUUAGGGAAUGCUCUGUUGAUGGAUGAGCCUUUGGUCUUAGAUAGCAAUGGAUGAACCUUCGACUAAGAUUGUCACACCCACUUCCUAGAUUCCUCUGUCAUGUUCUAGAGUUUUUCCUCUAAUUUACUUUCUUUCCCGUACGUAAUUUUACUUUUACCUUUUCUUUUUUAUCACUACUUUUAGUUACUAAAGGCUUUUGGUGUUCUCGAGAAAAACUUUGUUUCAAUGUUCAAUAGAGAUGACACUAUUUUGCUAUUAGCGGCCAAUAACAUUAUACCACGUAGAAAAAUUAUCAGAGCAUCCACAGUGAGGGGGUGUAUUUUCAGGGAUGUAAAGCCACUUUUACAUCCCCUUUACACCUCCGAGGGGUGUAAAUACGUUUUUUGCUCCAAUGGGAAACGAUGUAAAUCUAAGAUAUAUAAUUUUUCCUCUCUUUUCUCGGGUGGGUCCCGCCUACAAAUGAUGUAAAAAUAGAUGCAAAUGUGCAUUUUAUUUUACAUCUUCAUGGUGGUGAUGUAUGUUUACAAUCCUUUACAUCUCCUCAUUGGAGAUAAUUCCGGUGGCAAGGGGUGUAUAUUUAACAUACACCCUCUCAUUGUGGAUGCUCUCACGCAUGUCAUAGCGUUAUUGGUUGGAGAUAGCGAUAUCCCCAUUUUAUGCAAGUGUUUCUCCCUCUCACCGUAGCCUGAGACACAAAUUGGCUCAUCUUGCAAGCAACACACAUAAAAAGACUAGACUACCAAGACCCUCUAUAAAAAUAUUUGCCAUGAAAAUAUAUAUAUAUAUAUUGUCAAACUAUAAAUCAUAUACUGUUUAUUAAGUAAAAUGUGAAUCUUCGAUUUACAGUGAAUAAUUUAAGUGAUGAGAGUUGAGUGAAAAAAUGAGUUAGAAUUAGAUUAAGUCAGAAUUCAAGUCCAUUCUAUUGUAGGUGACCAAGAAAUCCCUUAACACGUGAUAGAAUAAGCUUGCAUAUUUAAGUUUUUUUUUUUUUGGAUAAGAAAAAAAAAAAUUACAAACAGAAACUACGCGGGCACACAGGCCCAAACAGGUCGAAAAAGAAAGGAACCGAACCAUUUAGAGUACAUUAUGUAUAAAAGGUACAAUCUCAAUAAAAUAAAAUAAAAAACCAAAAGUCAUUGUUCCCUUCCCAAUUAGAUUUUAAAAUCGUGGUAAAAGUCUUUAGUCUACCAUAUAAAUGCUACUAAAUUAGUAAAUUAGUAAAUCAAAAGCUGACCCAUUUAAUCUAAAAUCUUGUGCUUUACGCUAAAAUAUAUGUAAUUUAAUUUAUAAUAAUGGAGAAUGGCAAGCAAGAGGGAACAGAGAAGUACUUUUGGGAAGGUACAAUCACUGUCUGAUUAGACAGUAGAUGGAUGGAUGGAGAUAAGCAGCACCAGCAUCAUGUGAUAAAUCCAACACAUCAUGUCGUGUGGGGGUCCUCUUUCUUCCUCUGUUGUUUUUUAUGCUGUUUCUUUCCUUCUGUUUGAUAAGACUAUAGUCUGAGUGUGCCACUCACUCACUAGACUCCCUGAAUUCGUGUCAACGUGUCAACGUAUCAACGCCGUUAGAUUUUCCAAAUAAAGUUGUUAGGUUGUCUUUGUCAACACCUCCUCCUCCCACCCUUUCAUUUCUAUGCCAAAAUAUACACAGAAUUUACGGUCUCCUAUGGACAAAUACCGUACGUGCAUAAAAACCAAUCUUUAAAGGUCUGAACUUCUUUUAUUUAUGGAAAUCAUAAGACCUUAAGGGCUCGUUUGGUACACAAGACUGUCUUGGCAUGGACUAUGCUUAGGGACUGGCUUGGCUUGACUUGGCUUGGUCUAAGUUAGAUAACACUUAUCCUACGUUUGGUGUAUGCUUGGACUAGGACUAGAAUUUUUUUAUUUUUUCAAAAAUAUCUAUAUAUAUGUAUAUAUGUAUUUUAUAAUAUAUAAAAUAUAUAUGUAUAUAUACAUACAUAUAAUAUAUAUAUAUAGGUGUAUAUAUGUAUAUUAUAAUAUACAUGGGUAUAAUACAUAUACAUAUAUUUAUAUAUAUGUAUGUAUAUUAUAAUAUAAUAUAUAUAUAUAUGGGUAUGUUAUAAUAAUAAUAAUAAUAAUAUACAUGUAUAUACAUAUAUUAUAUAUGUAUGUAUAUAUACAUAUACAUUAUAUAUAUUAUAAAAUACAUAUGUAUAUUAUAAUAUAUAAUAUAUUAUACACAGAAUUUACGGUCUCCUAUGGACAAAUACCGUACGUGCAUAAAAACCAAUCUUUAAAGGUCUGAACUUCUUUUAUUUAUGGAAAUCAUAAGACCUUAAGAGCAUUUAUAAUGGGCUCUUUAAACUACAUUCUUAGACAAAUUUUAGGGAGAAAUUGUAAAAAUACAACUCCAAUCAUGCUCCAUAUCCACCUCUUAAAAUAAGGAGACUUCUAGGAGCUCCAAAAUCUUAGAAGAGAGAAAUGACUUUUAGUGGCUCCCUAUAAUUUAAUGUUGCUUUAUUUAAUGAGUAUUUUAAAUAUUUAUUUAAUGCUAACUAUAUUUUAUUUUAUUUUUUAAUAGAGAUGGACCAAUCAAAAAAGAGUUAUAAUAUUUAUGACUCCCUGAACUAGAGAGGAUUAUUGAAGUUUAAAUUUUAUAGAGAGCUCCUAAAAUAACUUUUAUAUGUUUUUAGUUAAAAUUUAACUAAAAAAAUAGAGAGCAUGAUUGUGGAUGCUCUAAGUGCAACGUGCGGGGAUGAUCACUUGAGCUACAAAUCCCUUGUCGAAAUGUAUAAAUUUGGAAUAAUAGUUUAUUGGGUUUAGAGAGAAUCAUAAUCAUUUUCUUUCUAAACAAUAGAGGCAUCUUGGGUUCAAAUCCCAAUGGUACCCAUGUGUGUGAGUUUUCCCUUCCCCUUCUUAACUUUGGCAACCAAAAAAAAAAAAAAAACCUUUUGGACUAACUUUUACUUUCGCUAUAUGUUUGUGCACAAUGUGGACUGAAAAUUUGUCAUCAACCAAAAUAAAAAUAAAAAUAUCAUUUACAUCGUUUUUCUUCUCAGAAUAAUAUGUUAAUUUAUUAAUAUGCUUAUAUAAAUAAUUUAGUUAAGAAUAGUGUUCCAAACAUUAUUGAUACAUUUAUAUUUAUUAUUAUUGUAUUUUUUUAAUCACUAUCAGACAUGUUUUUAUUAUUUUUUAUUAUGCUACCAAACGCAUUCUCGAAUCUUGAAAAUACAAAUUCGUUUUCUCAUUUUCGUUUUAUGAAAAUGUUACCAUAUGGGCCCUAAUAUUUUGUGAUGUGGCUUGUAUCUAAAUCUAAUCUUUGAUAAAACGUGCUCCAAUAUUCAAUCGAUUAGUGACAAUAAAUACCGAAAAUGUCUUUUAAAUAAUAUAUAUAUAUAUAUAUUUAUAUAAGCGAUAUUGAGAGAGAAGGGAUUCGAACACAUCAUCUCUAAUGCAUGAGUGACUACUUUUAACUACUUGAACUACAAGCUCCCUUACGAAGAAUGUUAAUUUCAAUAGAGAUGGAGACGGAUGGAUCAAGGUGCGCUAGAUCUUGAACUUCUUGUUGUCCAGAGAGCACCUAGAGUUGGAGCAGUUUUGUUAGUUUUUUCUUUCAACUUUACACUUUUAGGGAAUAGUUUUUCUUUCUUUGCUUUCCUUUUUCCAAGUGUCUUUUGUUUAUGCUUUUAUUUUAUUUUUUCUGUUUUUUCCCUCAAAUUCAAAUUUUUUUGAAUUCAUUUUUGUCUAUGGUGUUAUUUACUUCAUCUACUUGUUCUUGAUUCUGUUAAGUGCUUGUUAUUAUUUUUUGUUUGUUUUUUUUAUUUUUAUUUUUAUCUUUUUCUGAGUUUUAGUUUUGGCCACUAUUGUUUAGAAUCCUAAUGAAAUUUUCUUUUUGUUUGAGAUGGUUGCAAGGAUUAUUCAUUUGUUCAUCAAUCUUGGAGAACCAUAGCGGCCACUUUUCGUAGCGGAGCAGUUAUAAGACAAGAUACAGUAGUAGGUGGUGUUCUUUUCAGUUGGUGUUGGUACUCGUUCAUGGGUUGGGCUUUGUUGGGCUGCUUUGCGCAACAUUUAUUUAUUGUCCACUUGCCCAAGUUUUGCGUGUUGGUUGUUAUUGAUGAGCAAGCUUUACAGUGGUACUUUUUUUCCUUAAUUGGAUUUCCCUCCGUUUGGGGGUUUUUAAGGUAAUGUUUUAACGAGGCUACUAUUGCUCCAUCACUUGACUCCGUUGGGGACUUUUUGUCCCUCAUGGUGAUGAUUUCUGUUGGUGGCAUUGCGGUUUCCAUGUGCAGAUCGAAGGGGUGUUCCUGCUUCCUCUUCUUUCUCUUUUCUUGUUGUUUCUAUUUGAGUUGUUCAAGCACGAGUCUUUUUUAAGAUCAUGCAUUUGUUGAUGUCUCUUAUGUUUGAGUUUUGGAUAGUAUUGACUGUUUCAGUGCUAUCUUUUGUACUCUCUUACGGUGCUUAUUAUUUUUUAAUAAAGUGUCUUUUCUAAAUAAAUAAAAAUGAUAAAUUAUUCCAACAACAAAAAAAACUGAUAAAUUAUAUUUUCCCUAUAUUAUAUAGUCUUUUUACGUAAAUGGGUUUUUAAAAAAAAGAGUAAAAUAAACACGAACAACUGAACAAGGCCCAUAAUGUUGACCAAAAGAAAAGAACAAGGGCCAUAAUGGCCAGAGUAAAAGGGCUCGAGUCUUUAGAAACGAAUAGGCUGAACAUUUGUUUUUAGACUUUUGCUUUGCUUAACCCAGUCUACCCAAAGUUUCUCUCCUUCCCAACUCAGGGGCCAAAUGACACGUUGUCGUAUUUGCGUAAGAAACGAGUCAAACGACAGGUAUUAGAUUAUCUGUCACAAAUGUACGACAGCACAACAGCAGCUGCAUAUUAGUCUUAUCCGAAUCUAUCGUCAAUUGGCGCGUUAAAAUCUAACUGACGAAAUAGCGCCAAAUUUCUCAUCUCCCAACCGUCCGAUCAAUCAAAUGGUCUCAACGUGCCUCAGAUCAGAGGCGCUUAACAUUUUUCUCUCAUUUAACUAUUACGAAUAUGAAGAACCCAGUCGUGACGAGUUGGACCGAGUCGACUCGGAAUCUCUUCGAACCAGUCAUCGUUUUAGUCAUCACUUUCGCUGCCAUCGUCAAACUAUCUCAGUCUCUCUAUCGCUACAACCUCCGUCGCCGCUCAAGAGCUCGCUCUGGAACGAUGUCGUCGUCUUCUUCAUCUGACAACGGCACCGGCGUCCAAGCUCGUAGGCGCAGUCGUAUUCUCUCCAGCAAGCUCUACUUCGACAUCCCCAACUCCAAGGUAAACUUUUAUAUUAAUUUCAUUUGUGUUUUGAUUUUUUAUUAUUUUGGAUUCUGAGUUUUUUAUCAAUCAAUCAGGUGCCGUUGAUUUACUCGUCUGCAUACGAUAUUACUUUUCUUGGCAUCGAGAAGCUGUAAGAGAUGAAUUUGCAGUUCUUUUAUUUAAAAAAAAUUCAAAAUUUUAAGUGUAAUUGGUUUUUUAGGCACCCGUUUGAUUCGAGUAAGUGGGGUCGGAUAUGUGGGUUUCUGUUGGUGGAUAAUGUUGUGGACAAAAAUUGCAUCGUAGAGCCUCUGGAAGCUUCAAAGAAUGAUCUCCUUGUGGUAUUUUCUUGUCCCUUUGGUUUGUGUAUAUAGCUGUGUGGUUGCUUACUUGUUUGCUGUAUAUAUGCUUAUUAGUAAUAUAGCACUUAGAUUGCUUACCAUAUGUUGCAUUGAGCAGGUACACUCGGAAGCAUACUUGAAUUGUCUAAAGAAAAGUGCAAAUGUUGCUAUGAUAAUUGAGGUAAUGUUAAUAGACCACAAACUUGACUUUGGUUUGAUUGGACAUUCUUGGUUCGUAUACUCCGAAAUGAACUGAGUGCUUCUGAUCUGGAUUAAUGGUUCUGGCCGAGCUUUGUUAGUUUCGUAUAUGCUAUGAAGAUUAUGACAUAUUUGGGCUACGAUGAUUAAGGUACCUCAUGUUGCCGUAUUCCCGAAUUGCCUUGUGCAGCAGAAAGUUCUCUAUCCAUUUCGCAACCAGGUAACUGAUAACCCGUGUUGUGUUUUAAGUUUUCAGUCGUGUUGCCAAAGAGGAAAAGAAAAACAAACCAAAGAGGUUUGCACUGAUCAUUUUCCAUUGCAGGUGGGGGGAACUAUCUUGGCUGCAAAGCUUGCAAAAGAGCGAGGAUGGGCCAUCAAUGUUGGGGGAGGGUUUCAUCAUUGCUCUGGGGAAAAAGGAGGGGGAUUCUGUGCUUAUGCAGAUAUUUCUCUUUGCAUACACUUUGCCUUUGAGCGGUUAAACAUAUCAAGGUAGUAACGUUUUCACCUCAAUUGAAAUAGUUGUAUUAUAGGAUAGGUUUUGAAAUUUCAAUAGUAAUAAAAGAAAGAAAAAAAACUACUUUCAAGUAUGGAUAUGAUCAUUCAUUAUUUGCCAAUACAGGGUGAUGAUUAUUGAUCUUGAUGCACAUCAAGGAAAUGGCCAUGAAACGGAUUUUGCCAAUGACAGUACGGUUACCUCAUCGUCCUCAUAGUCAUAGGGUGAUUUAAACUUUAACUUGACUCUCUUCUGGAAUUCGAAUAACUGUUUUUUUUAAAACAGGUCGAGUCUAUAUACUGGAUGUGUACAACCCUGGAAUAUAUCCAUUUGUAAGAUGCCUGCUCUUGUUCUGUUUUGAGAUGCAAGUUUUUCGCACCAAAGUUGCCUGCUGUACUGCUGUUAAGGUCUAUGAGGGCAGGACUCUAACAUAGACCAAGGAUCUAACUCCACCUUCAUUUGAUCUUCUUUAGGAUUAUGAAGCAAGAAGAUACAUUGAUCAAAAGGUUGAAGUAGUGGUGAGUCAUCCCAAAUUCCCAUUGUCAUAUCAGAUUGUAGUUGUUUCAUACUAUGACCUUGUGUAAUGUAAUCCUUUUUCUUGAAUUUAAACAGAGUGGAACUACAACAAAUGAGUACUUGAGAAAAUUAGAUGAAGCACUUGAGGUAUACACUUAACUUUGUCUCAGAUAUGCUUAACUCUCAUUUGUUGCUGAUUAAUUUGCUCCAUUGAAUGUCACUAGCAAGUAAUGUGCUGCUGUUUCCUCUCUGGAAUAGUGAUGAAAAUAAUAAACCAUAAACAGCUCAUAUUAGUAUUAGUAUUAGUUGUAUUAUUGUUUGAAUUAAUAUUUAGGAAAUUAGUAAUCAUUUUUUGCUUAUAGAAAAUAACUGUUCGCCAAUUUUUGUGUACCAUACCAUGUGAACUAGACCUUGUUUAUGUGUAUGUUAGGUUUCUGUUCAUAGUUUUGAUCCUGAGUUGAUAGUCUACAAUGCUGGAACUGAUAUUCUAGAUGGCGAUCCUCUGGGCAGGUUGAAGGUAAUAUCGUUCAUUGAUCUUUUUGGUCAAAGAGAAUAUCACUUGCCUCCAUUCUUUUUAGUUCCACUCUUUAUGUUGAAGGAGUAGGUCUCAAAAUCUUGAAAUGCAAGCGGAGAAAUUUCCUUCACCGGUUUUCUGUUGAUGUGUGUUUAUGUUGACUUGUGUAGAUCAGUCCUGAUGGGAUAACAAAUAGAGACGAGAAAGUUUUCAGGUUUGCUCGUAAGAGGAACAUUCCUAUUGUCAUGCUCACAUCAGGUGCUCUCUCCCUCUGUCUCAUUUUUGCCUCUUUAAUUUUCACUGGUUUCUAGGAUCGUGUAGUCUUAUUACACUAGCCAGUUAUGAUAAGUAGAUCAAUAAUACAAUAAAUUUACCCACCUUUGAAAUGUUAAAGUGGUUUACCACACUAGGUUCUUGGGUUUUCAUGCCAGUCGGAUGUUAUUGCGAAUUCCAGAUGACUUAUUGUUGCUAGAUAGAUUGCAUAGAAUCGUAGCUUUCUUCAAAUUUAAUCCACCCCUGUUAUGUUUCAGGUGGUUACAUGAAGUCUAGUGCCAGAGUUAUAGCAGACUCGAUAACCAAUCUCUCAAACAAAUGCCUUAUAGAUACAGGUAAAAACAUGACUGCCACAUGAACCAUCCCCCAACGUAUUUCGUGGCUAUUUACGAGGUUGGGUCACUGCCAAGAAGCCAUGACAUGGGUUUCAGGAUUCAUACAUGAAUGAUAUAUGCAUCUGAGACGAGCUAGGCAUGCAUAUUCACUAAAAACAAUGUAUAGCAAUAGCUUAAGUAGCGGGGGAGAUUCAUCAUUCUGCGUUCUGGUUGGCCAUGACUGCAUCUUGUAAUAUACAGUCACGCAUUCGAAUUCGAUGAGAUAAGAGAACGCCUACACUUAGGUUCUGCAUAAAUGUGUUGAUUAUCUGAUAUUAGAGAUUAUCGAAUUCGAUGUAAUAUACAGUCACGCUUUCAGCCCUUGUUUCAUUUGGGAAUUGUCGGGUUGGGGUCAGCUCAGCCUUCUUUCAGGCCUAAUGAGGCGGGGCCUUCUCAGCAAAACAAAUAAAUAAAGAUGACAAACUAAUUGACUAGCAAUGUUUCUUUUUCUUUUAGGAUUUUAAAUUGGUUCAGUUGAUGCCUGAGUUCAAUUUAGGUCAAGUUUUAAUAUAUGCGAUGGGAAUCCUAAUCCUCCCCCUACAAAGCCUACCAUUUCUAUUUGUACGUGAAUUAAUUGUUACCUAACCUAACCUAAAUGUUAAUUGAUUUGGAUUCAACUUCUCUUUGAACAAGGCUUUGGGGUGGGGCAGACUAGCUAUUUAAACCCUAGAAUUGUUGCUAGCUUUUGUAUCCAUUAAUUUCUGGUUAGACGUACUGUUUCUAGCUUUUUCUUAACCAUGUCGGAAAGCUCAGACAAGAAGAAUAACAGCAUCUGCGACUGCAAGGAAAUAUUGACGGUGGUGCCGUUUGCUGUUUGCAUCUUCCUUGGUUUUAUGUUUCUCUUGUUCACGUUCAAGUCAUACGAAGGCCCCAAAUUCAGCAUUAACGAUGCUUAUCUUACCCGAUUCAAUUACACUGAAACCAAGCAUACUCUCUUCUACAACCUCUCUCUCACAAACCCUAACAAGGGACAUCCGAGUCACUGCAUACUAUCAAAACAAAACAUUUGGUCUUGUGAGUUUGGACCAUAGGCAUACAACGUUUCACCAAGACCCCAAGAACGCAUCCAUUUUUCGUAAUGUAGUUUUUCAAGGAUGGAAGGCUCUGGUGUUGGAUGAACCUGUGCUUACCAAUGCUGCUCACCUUACAGUAACGACCUAGUGAUUGCUUUCCAGGAAAAAGUUGGUACAAUAUCUUGCGAAGUCGUGCAAUCUAAAUGUUCCUUUGAGGUUUAAUGGAACAUUUUGGGAUAAUUACAAGCCUAUUCAUUAAAAUAUAAUAAUUAAAAUUUAAAAUUAAAAUUUAAAAAUUUAAAAAAUUUAAAAAAUAAAAAAUAAAAAAAAAAAAAAAAAAAAGGGCCCCCGUAAAGCCGAGCGGCUGCACUCUUUUUAUUUUAAAAAAAAAUCCGAGUAUAGCCGCGCGGCUAUACUAUUUACACCGCAUUGCCCCCACGUGUCCAAAAUAGUACAGCCAUGCGGCUAUACCAUUUUAAAAUUAAAAAUAAUAGUAUAGCCGUUCGGCUAUACGCGUAAGUAUAUUAUAUUUAAAAGGAGUAUAGCCGGACGGCUACACUAUUUAUAAAAAAAUAUACCCCAGUACAGCCGCCCGUCUAUACUCUAUUAAAAAAUUUGUACCUUUUUUUAAUUAAAAAAAUCAAUUGUAUAGCCGUGCGGUUAUACGCGAUUAGUAUAUUAUAUUUAAAAGGCAUAUAGGCGCGCGGCUAUACUAUUUUUUAAAGAAAAAACACCCCAGUAAAGCUUACGCAUUUUUUAAAAAUUCUCAUGCAUAGCCUCCCGGCAAUACUACUUUUAUUUAUUUAUUUUAAAUUAAAAAAAGGGAUCCUCCUAUCGGUUCGGCGCCCACAUGUUAAAAAAAGUAUAGCUACUAUGUUGAAAUAAUAAAAAAUCAUUGUAUAACCGCACGGCUAUAGGUCCUCGCUUGAAUGUAACAAUAUCCAAGUAAUCCAACGACUAAAACUAAGUCCUCACUUGAGGAUCAUAUAUAUGGACCUUAUUAUAGAACAACUCUGAACUUGUGAUACUUUGGGUAUUUGUACUGAUAUGUAUCAACCUUCUUUAUCAUAAGAAAUCCCGCAAGAAUCGGGUAACAAGAGUGCCCUUGAUUGCCAUUUUCUAAUGCUUAGUGGCCGAGACUAGCCUGAAAUAUUCUUUUUGUAUAUGGUGACAUUGUCAAAGUAUUAAAUUUGACAUUAUUAUGAAUUCAUUGCCGUACAAAACAAGUAAUUAUUUUAAUGGUUCUUUUCUUCCCACUUUAUGGGCAUCAUGCUAUAUUGCUGGCUUUUACCGCCUAUGUCGUUGAUUGCAAUUGUUUGUAGCUUCUUUCGUUGGGAAAGUUUUCAAUACCGUACGUGGUAUAGAAAAUAUAUAUAUAUAUAUAUAUAUAUGAGGCUUUUUAUGGCCUUUCCUCUUUGUCAAGUAAUAGUGAUUUUGGCUGCAAGUUGGCGUCAAGCUCAAGUCCAUUUCAACUCUAACAUAAAAGAAUUUAUUUUGGCGUGUUAGUAAUCAAACAUGGUUAUCUUGUGACAAAUGGCCAAAGGCAAUAAUGCACAACAACAUUAAUUUGGAUUGGAGAGGUGCACGACAUAUUUACACUUCCAAUUAUGACAUUAUUCUUUUUUUAAUAUUUGUGAUCCAGUGAAAUAAUGUCUACCACCAUGAUAAGUAAUUUCUCCAAUUGAGCAAACACAACUUUUUUCCAUUCCAAACAAUUAUUCAAUCAUAAUUCUAUUUAUGAUCAAUAAUUUGAUUAGUAAUGUUACGAAUUGUCACUCAAGAACAAUUUGCAUGGAUUGCCAGUUGACACGCUUAUGUGAGUGGUUGUUUGUCGUUGAUGAAAGUGAGUUAUAUGAUCUCUCAACGAAUAACAACUAGCAUAACUCGAAGCUUAACAAACCUUAAUGGUAAUUCUCUAAAUCCCAAAUCACAUUCAUUAAUUUUGGACAACGCCAAUUAUAACUCUCAUAAGGGUAAUUCUAAUCUACAUAAAUGGUGAUUCGAACUUGAAUGCAAUGAGCUGUCAUACUGCCUUCAUCAAUUGGCUUAACCCAAAUAUGUAAUAAUUUGAUUAGUUUGGAAUCCCCAAAAUAAAAAAGAAUUUCUAUAUAAAAUUCAAUAUUCCUUGAAGUUAAUACUUGCACAUGCUUUCGUAGGUGAAUUCUACAAUAUAUCAACGGCUAAUAACUAUGAUAACUCUUCUCUUCUAGUUUUGCAUAAGAGGCAAAGCUUAAAGUAGGAGUAUAUAUCGGUUCGAAACUAAUACAAUUUCACUAAUUUGCAUCCGAUCCAAAAUAAAUUGGAUUAUGAUUUUUCCAAUCGAAACCAAUUGUAUUAGAGGUUUAAAUCCAAUAUGAUCCGAUCCAAUUGCUAUAGGAUUGGAUUGGAUUGGAUGCUCGGUUUUCAUAAUUAAAAAUAUAUAAUAAUGAAAUAUGAAACAUUUAUCGUCAAGUUUAAUAUAAUCAAACAUUUUAAUAGACGUAAAUGUAAAAUAUAAUAAAAUGUUAGAGAAUUAUAAACAUCACUCUAUCAAAUUACUUAAAAUGUUUAUAUCUUUCUUAAUAAAAAUUACCUAAUGAGCAAAAUAAGCAUGAAAUUAGAUUGGAUCCUCACAAGCAAAUCCGCCAUCCAAUCCAAUCCAAUCAUGUCGAUUUUGGAAACUAGAGAUUCAAUCCAAUUCGCCAAAUUAUCGAAACCGACUAAAAUUGAAUUAGGUUAAUCAAUUUAGAUGGAUUGAAUUGGAUCUUACACACCCCUAUCUUAAAAGAAACCAUAACGGUAAUUCUCAAUGUUCCUAAUCAAAUUCAUUAAUUUUGGUCACCGCCGGCAUUAUAAACUCAUAAAGCAUCCCAGAUUACAGUUUCCACCGACGACGGAAUCCCACACAUUUGUUUAAUUAAUCUGAAGAUUUAUGAGUCUUUGACUCUAAGUUGACCACACCGCCCUAACUCUGGUUAGUUCCCACUCUCUCUCUCCCCCUCUCCUCUCUCUCUCUGCUCUCUCUACCAAUUGCGAUUUCUCGUUCUUGAAGCUCGACCCUCUGCGCGCAGUUUUAUCCUUCGCAGCUGCCAUUUCUGCAAUGUUGAGAAGAAGCUCGUCCUCCUCGCAUGGCCUCUUCACUAUUUUGAUCCCUACGCUGCUCCUUCUCAGCUCAGAUUUGCUUUUUUCACUGUCGUUCGCUGAGCCGCUCACUGAAUCAGAUCCCCUCCUCAACGCUAACGCCACCGAGUCCAAUGUCUCCCUCUCCAAGCCAAAAGAAGGCAGCUUCGCUGACAUGAUCGAUAAAGCUCUCGAGAACGAGUUCAAAGAAAAUGAUCAGAACGAAGGUUUGUAACUUCGUAGAUCCGAUGCUCCUCUUCUUUCUCUGCAUUUGGGUUCAAUUAGGGUUUUAGGUUGAAGACCAAAAAGAAAAGAGAGGAAAAUUUCGAGGAUCUUUGGUUUUCUUUUUGGCUAAGAAGAAAAGGCAAGAAAAUUGGUUAUGGGAAGAUUACUUCUUGCAGAAUCCAUAAGAUCACGUUAAGUUGUUAAAAUACAGUUAUUAUAGUCAACUAAUACAUGUUCUUAAGUUUUAACUUUGUUUAUUGUUUUCCUUUGCUUGCUCGCACUUGCAGCUACUGAUCCUGGAAGCUUUAACAACAGCGUAGCCGGCCAGCAGGUUGGUGUUAAGCUAAUUUAUCUAACAUUUCUAUACAGUGAAUGGGCUACAGCCAUAGAGAGUCAUUACAUCAAGAUCUGAUUUUCUUGAAUUCAGUUUAUAAAAUAUUUUGAAAUCCUUUCUCCAAACACCUUCUUAUUGCAAUUUAUGCUUUUCUAGCCCAAUAUGUAAUCUAAUAUUUUGAUGCAUUCGUAAUUCAUUCUCAAAUUUGAUAUGGUUGUAAACUUUUGCUACACUUGACCUUUUACCCAUCUUUCAAAUCCAUAAAGAAUCUGUUUCAGUUCGAAGGUCUGCUAAAUCACAACUUUAUCUGUCUUUGUGUGGAUCAGGCAGUUCUGGAGACAGUUGCUAGAGUUAAGUCAAAGAAAAAUGAGACAAAAGAGGAAAAGUAUGCUUCUUUUAACUUACACUUUUCAUGUAUUCUUGUCACCAUUAGAAUAAUGAGCUUCACUGUAUAGCAGCCAUCUUCAUUAUUUAAAGCCCGCUUCUCACUACUCUGUUGUAGCUUAAAUAGGUCGUUUCAACUGCACGAUGUAUUUAAUCUGGAUAAUGAUAAUAGAGGAGAAGAUACACCAACACUAAUAGAUCGAAAGGUAAGACUGCUUCUUUGAUACUGCUGCAGGUAUUUAUCUUCAUGGUUAUAAAUUUAAAUUUUUUUUUAUAAAUUUUUUUAGGACAAUGUCUUCAUAAUAUCAAAUUUCAAAUCAAAAUAUCCAGUGCUGCAACUAGACUUAAGGUAAACUUGCUGGCUCAUUACAGUUUUGUUAAGUUCAUUGGUCCUCACUUGAUAGAAAUGCUGAUUUGAACUCUUCUACUUAUUGCAUUGUAGAUUAAUAUCAGAUCUGGUGGUCGUUAUUGUAUCUGCAACCUGUGGUGGCAUUGCCUUUGCUUGUGCUGGACAACCGGUCUGAUACAUACAUUCAUACAUACAUACUCGUAUACAUAUAUUUCCAAGCUCAAUAGAGAAAAUAUAUAAUUCUAUGAUCUUACUAAGUGUUCGUAUUCUGCCUCCUUGAUACUAAAACAUUACAGGUUAUUAGUGGAUAUUUGCUAGCUGGAUCUGUUAUUGGGCCUGGAGGGUUCAACUUCGUCAGUGAAAUGGUUCAAGUAUGUUUUACCCUACAAAUUUACUAUUUGCAAGAAGAUUCUCUAGCAAAUUUCUCUAGAGCCCUUUUGUUACAGUGGUUCCUAAGCUAUUAUUUUGUACUCUUAGGGUUUUGGUCAGAUGAUCUCGUAGCACCUGUCAAGAUGAGUAUGAAACUACAGGAAAAAUAUUGUAAUUCAUACUCAUUCUUGAAAAGAAGAAACAGAACUGCCAUUCAUUUUAGCUAAUCCUAUCACUGCUAAGGCUUAGACUUUUUUCACUUGUAGUCUUGUAGUAUCCAAUAAAAAAAUUUCGGUAAGGCACAUUUGCCUCUUUUAUGAUUAAUAAAUGAAAUGAAACAAUUACUUUAUGUUAGAGAUAGAUCUUCUUUUUGCUGAAAUUUAUUUGUUAAUGUUUCUUCUUACAUAAGAUAGUUUUGUGUCUUACAUCCAUCUUUGCUCUGGUUUAUGUGUGCAGGUUGAAACUGUGGCUCAGUUUGGGGUAAUUUUUCUUCUUUUUGCUUUGGGCUUGGAGUUCUCCACAACAAAGGUAGACCUCUCUCUCUCUCUCAGUUUUGAUGCGCUUAUAACUGAGCUAAAUUAGUCAAACUUCAUCCCUACAUAAUUGUAGCUUCGAGUUGUUCGAGCGGUUGCUGUUCCAGGAGGCCUGCUGCAAAUCUUCCUAUUUAUGUGCCUGUGUGGUAUUACAGCCUCAGUAUGUCUACUAAUUUUCCAGAGAACUUACUUUAAAGUUGGUGCUUGCUUAUACCUAUUUUACAUGCGAAAACUACCUCCAACUUAAGCUCCUAAUUCUUGGCAUUCUCAUUCUUUCUACGCUCAAUUCUUUAAGUCAUAUGUAAUUCAUUUUCUAUAUCUGGUAUUUAGAAGCGUGCAGUUCUGAUAAAUUUUCUUGACAUGGAUUUUGAAGCUAAAUAUUCUGUUAAUAUAGACUGUGUUAUACAUGUUUCUCAUUCUCAAUGCUGCAGUUCUGAUUGGAUGCUGUUUGCAGUUAUGUGGUGGUAAAGUUUCCGAAGGGAUAUUCGUUGGUGUGUUCCUUUCUAUGUCUUCAACAGCAGUGGUAAAUUAACUUAAAGAUGUCUCGUGAAUGCCCAAAUACACACAAAUUUGCAUCCACAUUCACACUCUUAGUUAUCAACUUUGUUGGAUGCGUAGUUUUCACAAGAUUUUUUUUUUUUGGUGGUUCUAGGUGUUGAAAUUUUUGAUGGAGAAAAACUCUACUAAUGCCCUUCAUGGCCAAGUUACCAUUGGCACCCUUAUUCUGCAGGUUUGUUGGUUUUAUAUAUAUAUUCUUGUGGACUUCAAUUUCCUUUGUGAAUGCCGAAUUACUGCUUUUUGCACUGAUUUAUCACUCUUCUAAGUAUGUGUAGAGAAGAUUUUGCUUUGCAGGAUUGUGCAGUGGGUUUGCUGUUUGCUUUGCUUCCAGUUCUAGGUGGGACUUCGGGUAUUCUUCAAGGAGUGAUAUCUAUGGCUAAGUUGUGAGUUGUUCAUGUUUUCUUGUAAUUGUCUUUGUUCUUCCCUCAUGGAACAGUCUUGUAUCAUAUGUCUGGUAUUUCAUGUGUUGACCUUGAGGUUUUGAAGUCAAGAUAUUUAUAAUGUUUCUUGUUAUAUUUUUUAUAAAAUGACUCAAUCGGUGACAAAUCCAUCUAUUAGUUUUAAGUUUAUAACAUCUUUCUAUCUUGAACCAGGAUGGUGACGUUGAUUACAUUUUUGGCUGUUCUAUCUAUAUCAUCUCGUACUUGUGUUCCUUGGCUACUUAAGCUGAUGAUAAGCUUAUCUUCACAGGUACCAUUUUCUUAAAUUUGUUAUAGAAAAUUGCUGGAUGUAUUUGUAUUUUCUGUAAUUAAAAUUUCAUCUUUGCAGACCAAUGAACUCUACCAAUUGGCAUCAGUUGCAUUCUGCUUACUUGUUGCCUGGGUAUGUUUUCCUGCCUGCUUUAUUUGUCCUUACUUCAUGUUGGCAAGCUUCACAUUAAUCUUCUCUUAUAUUCUAAAGAAUCAUUUUCCUUCAUGUUGCUUCCAUUAUAUUUGCUGGUUGUUUUCCAUUUUGGCACAAGUCCUUUUUUAAUGUGUUAGGAGAAUUACAUACGGUGUUUCACUUAAGCCUAUCUAUGAAUGGACAUUCGCCUUGACUACUCACAAAAUCCAGUAGCAAGUUGGGUUGAUUGGUGACCUAAGAAUAGUUUUGUCUACAAAUUUAUACUGUGUUGAUUAUAUUUCAAAGAUAUAGCCUUGUUAUGUGAAAGAUUAAUUUUGCUUUGCCUAUAUGUCCUAUUCCGCCUUAUGAGUCGUGUUUAUAAGUUCUGUCCGUUACAGUAUAUGCAUAGACCCUCAGCAUCUGGUCAGUAGGGUACUAUGCACCUUAUGAGUUUCUCGAAAUGAUGUAAGAUAAUUGUGCUUGAAUUCCCUGACACUAGUCAUGACACUAUAGUCUAAUUGUUUUUACAAUUUCAGUGUAGUGAUAAGCUGGGACUAAGUCUAGAACUGGGUUCCUUUGCUGCGGGAGUGAUGAUAUCAACAACUGAUCUUGCUCAACAUACGCUAGAACAAGUAAGGCUAUACUCCAUGCCAUAUUCAUGCAGAUGAUCUUCUUUGGAUGUAUUCCUUAAUUCUAUAGCUCAAGAAUGCAUGCAACCAACCAUAAAUAGAAGAAGUGGUUUAUUUUACUUUCUUUGGUAUGUUGGUUAUCUUCUGUCAAAGACCUUUCUUUGGCUAGGGAGAGAGCACUGUUGUGUUUAUGGUAUCCAUCAUUAUACGGAAGGGAAAAGGUUAUCUAUCAGGAUUUUAUUGGUGGGCUUAAUUGAAUUGGGUCCUUACACCAGCUGAGGUGUUUCAUUGAACAAUAUUAGUGAAAGUAUUUCGCUCACUACAUGAUGUGGGUUUGGAUUCCCUUGGAUCGAUUAAGGCUCUGUACCAUCUACUAGAAAGUGAAUGGUGAGCUUAGUGCAGACAUGUAAGAAAUGUAGGUUUCUAGCCUUCUAAUGUACCAAUACCCUGUAAUUUGGUAAAGAAUGCAACUUGCAGUAAGUGUCACAAUCAUUAUAUAUAUUGGUUUUCUCGUUCUUAUGUGGAUGAUAAAUUGUUGCUCAUAAUGUUGAAGCUCCCUAUAGUAACUUUUUAUAGCAGCACUGAACUUUUCCGUAUUUGCAGAUUGAACCCAUCCGCAACCUUUUUGCUGCUCUGUUCCUUGCCAGCAUUGGGAUGCUGAUCCAUGUUCAAUUUCUCUGGAAUCAUGUUGAUAUAUUACUAGCGUCUGUUAUCUUAGUUAUCAUCAUAAAAACAAUUAUUAUCACCAUGGUUGUCAAGGGAUUUGGUUACAACAACAAAACCUCAUUUCUUGUGAGUUUGAUUUGAAUGUCACAUUGUCAUAUUACUUAUUCUAGUAAUUCAGUUGUUGACAGUUCUCGGAUUCUUGUAUUUGUUUAGGUCGGAAUUUCUCUGGCACAGAUAGGCGAAUUUGCUUUUGUGCUUCUAAGUCGUGCCUCCAAUCUCCAUCUAGUUGAGGUUAGUGCUACUAUUGGUUUUUUUUUUUUUCUUUUUAAUGAUGAUACAUACUUAAAGUUAAAAAUUCACUUGCUGAGGAAAUUUCUGGUUUCAUACCUGAGUAACCUGAUUCUUUUUGGGGUCAAACCUGAGUAACCUGAUUGACGCCAUUGUAAAUAGUUAAUGACCACAGUACAUUAGUAUGUCUGUGUUCUCUGGAUCUUUUAAACCUCCAACUUGUAGAACAAUGUGACUACAAUUAUGAGCUAGUGAGCUAAAACUUUGACAAUUUUCAGGGGAAAUUAUAUCUCCUGCUUCUUGGGACCACAGCCCUUAGUCUGGUAUGAAAAUUAUCUCCUUCUGUUUUAUGAUGUGCUUCUUUAGUCCAUUAUUGAUGUGGUUGCAUUUUAUUUUUCAUUGAUAAAGAAAAAAGUGUAGAUAUGUUUUUUGUAAUAAUUUCCUGCCUACAUUUUCUGAAAUUUAUUGCAGGUGACCACUCCUUUUCUAUUCAAGCUAAUCCCUGGUUUAGUGCAUCUUGGUGUGCUUUUAAGGUGGUUCCCUCCGGACGGGGCUGUUGAGGUAUUGACGUUUUAAAAUUCAUUUUCAGAACUGGUUUAAUAGAACUUGAUUGAAAGUUGAAGUUUCUGCGCUUGUAUUCCCAGCUUUAUCUUCACUUAUCUUACAUAUGUUUGUUGACUUCAGAUUGGGUUUAAAGGAGAUAACCUUCGCACAGAUAGUGGUAAACAGCGCGUUAUUUUGAUGGUCCGAGAAUCACAUGAUUCGUGAUCUCUGUAUAGAGGAAACUGUAAAGGCAAUCUCCGUUUUACCCAACAUGUUUUGCUCCAGCCACAUUUGGGGAGUGGGUGCUUGUGGAGUUGAUAAGAGAAUUGAACUGUUUUCUUCACUUCUCAUACAAAUCUACUCUGGAGUAAUUUUCUGUUUCACAUUACCGGCCUAAUCAACCGCUCAAAUUGAGCUUCAGUAAUGGAAGAACAGGAAAGAGACUAUCUAACUGCUGAAAGAAGUUAACAUGCUUUACGUAUAACAUUCAUUCUUUGCCACAGUGAUUUAUUCUUUUGGAGUUGUAACAUAAUUUUGCGUCCUGUAAUUUGAACUGAAAUUUGUAGUUCAUAUGUUUCUCUUUGUCCGGGAAGUGUAGAAUUUUGGAUAUUUCAAGUAAUGUCUAUAUCAUACCUCCUCCAUGUCUUUUUCUCUUUCAGAUACGCUUAAUUGUAAAGAUUCACAGUUCAAUGGAUUUUUUUUUCCUUGUGGAAUUUUUAACUGGCAUAGUUACCAAACCGCGAUGUAUCACUGAUGUGUGCUAUAGGAACACGGGGGCCAACACAACCAGGAACAGGCGAUUUUUCUCCUGUGGCACUGUGAACCCCGGUAUAUAAGCCAAGUUAAUAGUUUGGAACCAAAACUCAUGGGCAUGGAUCCCAAUCCUUCCAGUGGACAUGAGGAGAGAUUUUAGGAUAAAGUUUAUUAUCCGACUCUGUUUGUUUCUUCUUCUUCUUAUGUCAUAAUCAAUCGGUAAAAGAACACAAAGUGGUCAUGCUGACAAUGAGAACAAAAUCAAAGGAGGUCCCCUGUGACUGUCCACUUUGUGAAGCAUGGGCAUGGCCAGUAUAAUUAAUUAAUUUAAAGGAAAAAUUAGGGCGCCAUCCUUCGCCACCAAUGUUUUUGCAAUUACUUCUAAACCAAUUACCUAGAUUAAUUUAUUAUAAUUAGUUCAUUAGUAGAUGGCAUGUCACAGGUACUUUGCUAACAUUAUUGUUUCCGAUAUAAAGCCACAAAGUUACAUCUGACACAUGAAAUUAAACAAACAUUAAUGUCCUAGAAAUACUAUUCCACUAGCACUGGCAGUGGCCGUAAAUCUUCCGAUCCGUGUCAUGUGCUGGCUAGCUAGAUAAUGCUUAACAUAUAGGUGCAAUUACAAGGGCUCUAGGGCAGGGUUUAGUCUGUUGAUCCAACGGUAUCGGAGCUGCAAGCUCAAGUUCUAAAUCAGUUGCUGCGGUUGGAAGAGGAGCUGCAGGCUCUGCUGCUAAAGUUGAUGAGAAGACAGCUGACAGCUGUCAAACCCAUACCGGUAUGGAAUUAUAGCACUCGAAGCUUCAAUAUUAUUAGGUCUAAAAAUGUUUGGUUUGUUCAUCAGUUGAACUGAGAGUUCAUCUUUACCAACCUGCUUGCAGCAAAGAAAAAAAAAUUCAAUUAAACUAAAUAAUUAACUGAACAUGAAUAAAAAUAGACGCAAACAUGAGCUUAGCCAAGUUCGUUUGAGCGGAGGAACUCCCCCACUUUGCACGUGAGUUUGAAUCCCCUCCCCAUAAUUUAGAAGAUUAGAUUAAAGUAUAAUAUUGCUUGUAUAAAAAAAAGAGAUAUAAUAACUGAAAUUAAUUACAUAAAAAAGGUUGGGACGGCGUCGUUUCUUGUUGAGGGUGUUUAUUCUCAGAAAAUACUUCUGAGCAUGACUGGCGACUUGGGUUGGAGUUCUUGUGGUAACAAAAUGCCGAGAGAUGCCCUUCCAGUCGCCCUUACCGAGCUUUUCUAGCCCCAUCACAAACACUCGGUGCUCUUCCUCACUCCAAGCCACACCUACAUAUUAUUAUUAAUCAUCACCACCAACUCAUCAUCAAACCACAAAAGAAUUAAGAAAUUAGUAAAUUGGCAAUUCUAAUCAAGUUUGUUUUGAUCAUUAAUUCUUAUACUAUGAUAAAGCUAGUUUGCUGGUUUACAAGUAUUCGAAAAGUUUAAGGUGUUAAUGUGGGCCAACUAUAUUGUUGCAUCAACUUCAUGUAUUCCUUCCUCAGACUAUUAGUCAUGUGAAGUACAUUCUGAUGCAUCAAUCAUCACUUUCAAGCAAAGUUGACAGAAAUAGAAACCCAGUAAUUAACGAUUAAAAUGAGAGUUUAUGCAAUGGUACCGUUUUUGUUCAAGAGAGAGAGAGAGAGAGAGAGCAGGACAAGAAGAACUGACCCUUGUUAUUAUUUUCUUGGGGUAACGCUGUGAGGCCAUCAGAGGGAUAGCCAUUUGACAUUUUCUCAGAAUUUAAGUCGAUCAAGGCUCUGCUUUGAAGGCGUGAAGAUGUAGAAGAGGAGGGUGCUGUUGGAGAAGAAGCUGCGACAGAUGGCAAGCAGUGGACCAUGCUCGGAGGACAUCUCUUAAUUAUUAUAUUCUUCUUCUUCCUGGAAAUUAGAGAAUUAGAUGAGGAAGAAGAAGAAGAUAGGUCAAGUACUUGGACCCCAAAAAGCCUAAGGCCACCACCUCCACCUCCACCUCUCUGCCGCGGCUGCCUGACACCGCAAGUCCUUGAAUUGUGACCCAUGUUCCCACAUUGUGAGCAUUUCCUGCCCAUCUCCCUCUCUCUCUCAGAUAAAAAUGAUAUGGUAUCUAUCGUGCAGCGCUUGGUAUUGUUAUAUGUAGUCAACCUCAACCAACCCUUUUUUUUGGGUUGGGAAUUUGAUGAUAUGAGAUUAUGAGUAGUACUAGUAGAGAGAAGGGUGGGCCCACAACAAAAUCAAUGCUUGUGUUGUGUGUAAUAAACUUUAGCUAUCAAUGCCUGUUGCUUGUGUUGUCUCCAGUCUCUGAAUGGAGGAGGAGGAGGAAGAAGAAGCAUGCAGAAGCUGCAUGCAUGUAGGGCCCUUCCCACUGAAGUUGUCCGAUAUAUAAAGGGAAAUUAAAGGCCACCUUCUUAUUAAUCAGUGAUAUGAUAUUAUCAUGUUAUGAAUUUUACGUGUUAUAUUAUAAAUGAACGAUAAUUUAUAAAUAAGUUUAAAAAGAAAAAAAAAAAGAGUCUGAAUCAUCAAUGAAGUGAGUAGCUAGGGUGCCUCCAACUUAGCAGACAACCAUGGAGAUGGAGUCUCCAACUUAGCUGACAACCAAAUGUAAAUGGUUUUCAUCGUACCCUGCUCUUUCUGAUUUGGUUGAAAACCAACCGACCUAGUUCAUCAAUUCUUUCUUUCCAAAGUGUUCUUCUUCAGCAUAUUCAUAAUGUAGGAUUAUGUUCUGUUCAAGCCCAUGUCCAUAACAUUAUGUUCUGUUCAAGCCCAACCAGGAUAAGGUCCUCGGACUCAGAAGCUUGGUGGAAUAAAGAGUUCCGUUUGUUUAUUAUUUGUUUUUCUCAAGCUAUAUUGGAGGAAGGAGGGACUGAACCUAAAACUUCGGAUGCAGAGAUAAAUAAUUUUAACCACUUGAAUUAAAAAGAAGUCAUUGCUUCAAAAGACUACAUAAUUGGAUUAAAAUCUAAACAAAUUUAAUUUCCUUUUGCUAUUUUGAGUGACGAAAAGCAUGGUCUUUUACAAUUCUUGAGCUCAAUCUUGUGCAUGCUGUCGAGGUUUUUUUGUUCCUGCAGCUACAGAUGGGCGUGAGCUGCUGUAAAGUGCAAAUGGAUAGAAUUGCCCCAUGUAUCUGAGUUCAAGAAUCAAACCCCAAUAGUGCUUCAAAAGGUUCGUGGAGCCUUAGGAAAAACCUUGGUCUCCUUCACCAACAAAAUCAACUGUUGCUUACAAGUAAAUAUUUGGCUUGACUUGAGGAGCUUGUGGCAUGGAAUCUAAGCAUUCAUGAGUUUAGCAUUAAAAAGAGAGAGGGAUGUAAUUUCCUAUGGGAAACAAGGGUUCAAAGUAAGGGAUGAAUUUUGAGAUGAUUUGUUGAAGGGAGACAGAGAAAUGAAGGUAGAAAAAUGGGUGGUUUGAGCAAAUUUCUGGUAGCUUGACGAAAGUUUUGUCAGGCUCUGGAGUGACUUGCCAGAAGAGAAAUAGGGGAAUAUGGCUCAAAAUUGAAGGGUUCCAGGGAUGAGAGGUGAUGCUUGCUCUCUCUGGCCAUGUGCUGGAGACUUUAAGAUAUUUUCUAAGUCACUUGAGCCAUUCCCUAAGGUAAUGGGCUAGUUUACUAAGGGGAUGGGCCAACCUUCUAAAGUGAUGGACUAUUUUUACUAAGGUGAUGGGCUAAUUUUCUAAGAUAAUGAGCUACUUUUUUCUCUCUUUCAUGCUUACCCACAUAUUUGGGCUCAAGAAAUUGACUCGAAUUUUUGGGCUUCCAAGCAGCCCAAAACUUUCACUUCUUGACUCAUUAAUGGGCCUCGUGAAUGCUCGUAACCAUCCAUACCACAACCCACUCAGCAAGUCCCUGGCAUUUGCUUGGCUUGAGCCCACUUAAGCUUAUAGCGUAGCUAGGUGCAAAAUAAUAAUUUUCCGCUUGGCAUUACAUGUCGAUUGACGUGUUCGUGCUCGAAUUUUAUUGCUUUUGUAAAGAGCUAUGACGUUUGAUGGAAAAAUUAGCACGGGUUCAUGAAACCAAUGCAUGUGACGGAUUACAUAUUUAUUUGGCAUGACACGUGGAUUAUGACUUGUGCAAGCGUGUAUGACGAACUUUUGAGUGCCCAAUACAUUUGGACUAUGAAUAUAUUUGAGUCCACCCUUGAAUUUUUUGAGCCUCAACACAUGCAUUAUUAUAUUGUUUUCGUUAAAUGGAAGUCAAGUAUUAAUAUUUUGGGAUUGAAGUGAAGACAGACUUUAAAGCAACCUAACAUUAUAUAUACUAGCCUCUCUGGCACGCGCUUCCGCGUUUGCAAGAGGUUUUUUAAAAAAAAUAAGUAAAUUUAUUUUAGAAUUAAAAAAGAUAAUGGGUAGUUGUGUUCCAUAAAAAUAGGAUCCAUUAUCUGCAUUUUCUUUUUCUUUUAAUUUUUUUUAAAUAUGAAAAAGUGUGAAUUUACCAUAUUAUCCUCAUUUAAUUAAUAAUUUGAAUUCUUAAUGUUUGCAUUAACCAAGGGCAUUUUCUGGUAUUUUGAAUGUUUCACCAUUCUCUGCCUUUUGCUUUAUAUAUAUAGAUAUACUUUGAAAACAAUAUUUGCCAUACAUUUCCGCAUACAGCCAUAUAUUGUUGGAUAUGCAUAAUGCACGCAGAGGCAGAGCUGUAUGUUAUCUGUUUCUUUUCCUUUCUUUUUUCCUCAACUUUGUGUGAAACCAAAACCCUCAGAUAAGCAUGAAUGCAUGCCCAUUAUAUAUAUAUAUAUAUAUAUAUAUUCAUAUCUUCCUUCCUAAACCAUCGUUCGAAAUUAACUCAAAUUCGAAAUCAUUUAAUUAUAUAAUAAAGUGGUCGCAACUAGAUGUUUUUAUGAUUUAUAAUUUUUUACAAAGAUGAUAGUUGAAUGGACAAUUAGAAACUAAAAAUAAAAAUGGUAUAUGCAAAUUGCAAUGCAGAUAAAAUAUAUUUAUUAAAAGAAUAUGUCAAUUUCCUUACCAGUUUGUUUGCUGUGCUUUUAGAAUAAAAUCAAGAACCACACGACUGCAUCAUAACUACCACUACCACACAACAAGCUCAAACCAUAAAGCAUAAAGUGUUCAAUCUACUCUCCGUCAUCAAUUGCAACCAACAACACCACAUUAACUAGUUCUUUGGUAUUUAUUAAUUAUUGGACAAUUUUUAACUUCUCAAUCAAUAAUUCACCAAAAAAUAAAAAUUGCAAUUUUCAUCUGCAAUACUUCUUCUUUUUUUUAAAAGACAUUUCUUAUUAGAUAAGAAAAACGAUAGCAUAUUAAAAAAUUCACACGCACUAUAUGAAUGCUAAGACUUGAAGUCAUUAAACUACUAUAUUAUACUAGGUCAUUUGCAUCUACAAUACUCUUUUUCAAAUUAUUAUUUUUUUGAUAACAAAAGGGCAACCAAUUACUGAAAUUUAAUAUUAAAAAAUGACUGAUAUUUUUCAUAUUGACAAAUUUAUGCUUUUUUUUGGGGCUAAAAUAAAAUUAUACCAACUUUGAAAAAAUAAAAAAUAAAAAAAGUUGAGAGUUUAGAUAUCACGCGUGAGUUUGUUAGAGUUGUCACAUGAUCCACGAAUCUCCAGCUUGUCCUUUUCAACGAUUGCGACUACUCCUUCCUUUCCCUCCAAUUUUACAGUCUUUGUCCUCUUUCCCCAUUUUACUCUCCGUACCCCUGCCUUUUUCCCAUAUUUACAUGCAUGUCGUCCCUCCUCCUCUCCUCCUCUCCUCCCAAAACUUAUCAACAUUUCAAUCUUGAUGAUCUCACGGCUAACCAAUCUUUCUCAACAGAAUCAAUGCACGCAUCAAUCUAAUAAAUCCACUUUUUAUGGGAUGAUAUUCUAUGUUAAUUUAAUUUAUAAAUUUAUUUAUUUUAAAAAAUAUAAUUUUCUACUUUAAUUUAAUUUAUAAAUUUAUUUAUUUUAAAAAAUACGGCAAGCACGUGUGCAUUAAUUCAAAAAAGUACUAAUAAUUUUCCCUAAUCAUGAAUUGCAAAUUAAUUAUGGGUCGGUCGACAUGUUUGGGAUUUAAAGUUAGGCAUCUUAUGCUGCCUUUUGGUAGAUACUAUAGAUUUCGGAUUUUCUCUCUCUCUUUUAAAAAAAAAUAUAUAUAUAUAUAUAUAUGUUUAACAACCAAUGCCUCAAGCUAUAUAUAUAUACAUAAAUAAAGUUAGAUUUUUUCUCGAAACUUAUGAUUAAUUUAUUAACUAUAUAAAAAAGAUGCGGUCAACUUGAAUCAGAGUAAUCAUCACUCCACAACUUGUAUAUAUAUUCUAAUAAUAUUCUAAUCACUAUGAUUAAAAGAAAAUCCUUUCACGAAAGCACAACCUCAUGUUCAUUCAUAUGGUAUCUACCUUUUUUUUGUGACUUCCAAAUUUGAGCAGUGGCCCUUUUGUCCCAUUCCCCACAAGAUGAAUAAAGCCAAAGAAGGAUUGAGCUAAAGCAAGAUAUUUCCUAAUAUAGUUGUUGUGAUAGGGUCCACCCCAAUAAUUAUCUAAAUUUGGAAGUAAACACCAAUUUAAGCAAAACACAAGCACAUCAUAGACCCCGCUUGCCACUUAAUUAAUCGAAUAUAAUAACAACUGUAAAAAUAAAUUAUAUCGGUUGGUCAAGUCAGUGUAUUCGCUCAUUUACACCGGAAUUCAAUCUUGCUUCCUAUUAUAAUAAAUAAAUAAAAUAUGUUACAAGGGCAUAUCUGUCCCAAAACAAAAACAACCCCAAGCAUAAAUGCACCCCUCAUGUGUUCAUAUGAUGGUUCACUUAGUCUUUUACUUUUAGUGUUCAUUCAUUUCUUCUCUUCUCCUUCUCCUUCUCCUUCUCCUUCUGCUUGCAUGCUCUAAUUAAUUGUUUGAUUUUCUCACACGUGUGAGCACAAAAGCCAUGGAUGCUAGCCGAGCUCCACCAUAUGGCCUAACCCAAGAGGAGUUUGCAGAGGUAGAGAGCCUCAUCAAAACCUACCACAAAUUCGAGCCGUCGCCAAACACAUGCACGUCGCUAAUAGCACAGAAAAUCGACGCCCCGGCCAGCCACGUCUGGCCUCUGGUUCGAAGCUUCGACAACCCGCAAAAAUACAAGCACUUCAUCAAAAGCUGCAACAUGAAAGGUGACGGCGGCGUCGGGAGCAUAAGGGAGGUGACCGUGGUUUCGGGGCUUCCGGCCUCCACGAGCACCGAGAGGCUCGAGAUUUUGGACGACGAGAAGCACAUAAUUAGCUUUAGGGUUGUGGGAGGCGAACACAGGCUGAACAAUUACAGGUCGGUUACUUCGGUUACUGAGUUCGUUGAUGGCAGAGACGGGGUGAGUGAUCAGGUGUACUCGAUUGUAUUGGAGUCUUAUAUUGUGGACAUACCAGAAGGCAACACUGGGGAAGAUACGAAGAUGUUUGUGGACACUGUGAUCAAGUUGAACCUGCAGAAGCUUGGGGUGGUGGCUAUGAAUUCUGCGCACGGCAUUGGAGGACAGGAAAUUGAAGAAUCUUGAAUCGACACACCAGAUUAUGUUUUUAUUUUUUUCCUUUUUUUGGUUCUUUUUUUCAACUUUUAGUGGUUAGCAUUGUUGUUUGUUGUUCCCUCCUUUGAUUUUCUUUUCUUUUUUUGGGUUUUUUUUUAUUCACUUGGUACAGUUGGGAUUUGAUUAAUUAAUGUACAUUUUUUUUAUUUUAGUUUGGUUGGGUCAUUGGGGUGGAUUAUAUUGUUAUGGGGAUAUUAUUUUUAUAUCUUAUCAUUUUUCUCUCCAAUAAAUUAAAAAAGCAAAGGCACUUUGUUAGUUGGUUUCAAUUCAAUGUAUUAGUUUAUAGCAAAUUUUUAUUAUUUUGUAGGGAUCGACCGCCCCCUCUUCAAAACUUGAACCCUACCAUCUGGAAAUUUGUUCAUAAUCAAAUUGGAGUUGGAGUGUGUUGCGAGGGUAUAUCCUAUGCCGGAGAAGUUGAAAGUUUGUUUUGCACUACGUAAGAUCUUUCGUAUUUUCUUCACUUAUUACUCAUUCGUUUUGAAUUAGAAAUUAAAUUAAAUUAUAUAAGUGUUCAGUCGUCACCCAAUAUAUAAUUGCUUCAUAUUGAAUACAAGGCGCAUAUUUUUCUAAGCAGCUUUCGUGCACUUAAAUAUAAAAGUACGGCUAUGAGCUUAAAUCCGGACAAAAAUAUUGAUAGAUUUCUGCCUUGUAUUUGUGCACGAUUGAAGAAAAAGAGAGAGAGAUUUUUAGGGAAGGGGCAGAUAGUUGGUGCAUAAUUUGGUCCAGUGCUUUUUCGUGUGGCUUAAAUGUCAAACCUGAAUUCAACGGCAAGGACAGCAAAAGGAAAAGGAGAAAAAAUUAGGGUGACUUGUGAUCAAGCCUUGAGGGACAUGUGACCAGGAAGAAAGAAGCCUCUGCCUCGUCUGUCACUUUAGUGAAGCAGCCAAUUGUGGCCACUUAUAUUUCAUUUACAUUAAUCUCAAUUAAUUAAACCACUAAUUAAGUGUAGUGUGGUGUAGUUCCUAGCUACAGCCUAUUAGUAGGUUAAACAAAGUUGGUAAAUGUAGUGAUCAUAAAACGAACUUAUUUCACUUUUGAUUUAACAAUCAUUUUCUUGCACAAGUCAGUUGGCUAAGGUAGCGAGGCAGCCCUUACAUACACUCAAUUUCCGAUCCUUCUUUAGGAAUGACAAUUUUUCCCACAGGUAAGGGUUUUUACCGGGAUUCGACCCUAAUGGGUUAGGUAUGAGGGACCAAAAACAAGUAUGGAAACGGGUACGGAGAAUUUUUUAGGUAUGGUGUUUGGGGAGAGGCGAGGAUGAUAUUUUAAUCCCCAACCUGAACCCUCCCCGUUUAGAAUAUAUAUAUUAUUUUAUUUUAUUUUUGAUGAGGUAUAUAAAUAUAUAUUAUAACAUAUAUAAAUAUGCUAUUAAAGUGAUUGUACUGACUAAGUUUUAUAUUUUAUAUUAUUAUAUUAUAUACUUAUAUAAUUUAUAUAAAUCUUAAGCCAUAAUACUUAUUUAUUUAGUUAACCAGAGAGCUUCCAUUGAGGGAUCCCUCAAAUAAGCUUAUUUGAGGGACACCCCUUGUAGGCCCCACUCCGGAUUGUAUUUCACUAAUCCAAACCGUCUAUUUUGUAGAUACUCAUUCAAAGAUCAUCCCUACAAAAAAUCACUUGAAUCCGAUAUCAUUUGACCACUCAAUUAAGUUAUUGAAAUUUUAGCAUUUUCUUGAAGUACCGUGUUCAUUGAUUUUGUAAGACACAAUUGGAUGUCGAAACGGUUUCCGAUUUGUCUAAUUUUUUGUAAGGAUGAUCUAUGAAUGAAGACCUAAAAAAUAGAUGGUUUGGAUCAUUGAGAAAAAAAUUGUAGGGUACCCUAAAGGGCGUCCCUUAAAUAAUUUUAUUUGAGGGAUCCCUCAAUAGAAGGAGACUGUUAGUUAACUUCCUAUACAUAUAUAAACAUUCUCAUAUUGUCUUGUAAGUAUGUAUUAUUUAUAUUCAUUAUCUUGCCUUAAUACAUAUUUUUUUUUUCUUCAACAAAGUAGUUAUAUAUUGGUUUUUUUUCCUUAAUGGGGCGGGUCGGGGAAUCCAUUCCCCAAUGAAGGUAGGAAUAAGGAAUCCCCAAUAUGAAUAUUGCGAGUAUGAAGGCAGGAAUGGGGAAAAAAAGCUUAACGGGGAUGGGAAUGACACACCUAGCCCCGAUUUGACCCAUUAUCAUCCCUAUCCUUCUCCUUAUAAAUUAUAGUAAUUUAAACUAGCACUUCGCUUGUAUUUUUAUUAUUUUUAAAAACACUAAUUAAAUAGAAUACAGAUUUGUGGGUCAUCUAAUCUAUUUGGGUUCUGCAUGAUUUGUAGGCCCUUUUGUUCAGGCUUAGGCCCAUAAGCUACUUGAAGCUGAUCCUGGGCCUGGCCCAAUACUGGUCUUUCUUCCAUAGUUGAAUCUGGAAGGCAGGGCAGCUAAGUUUACAAAUGGCAGUGUAGGUAAGCCGUAGGAAGAAGACAUGGGUUUUUCCAAUUUGCAGUCGUUGAUUAUUUGAGUGUAUUUACUUUUUAGUCAAAUCAUGUACUGGCACAUGGAGAUGGGCAGCAAAAUCUCAGAGCAGGUUGCAUGUACUGUCACAUCAGGAGGCAGAGCAGCUUCAUGUAUUUGCUUCUAAUUUUUUUUAAAAAGCAUUAUUUGUUUGUAUUAAAUUCAUGAUCCAAGAAUUCAAAACAAGAUCAGUUAAGUGUGAGAGAGAGGGCCACUCCUUCAUCAUUAUGGAAUCUCAUCUCACCAGUUUGGCAGAUUCUCAUCAUUACUUGUUAGAUUUUAAAAGCCUAUUUGAUAGUAAUUAUGUGAUCCUAACCUAUUAGAAGUAGGGCAUAGGAUUGGUUUGAUCCAUGCAAAGAGAAACUAUGCCAAAAGAAAGUAUGCAGGUGGGUGGGUUUGUAAUUGCUCAUAAAUUCAUGAAGAUUUGCCAAGUAGAUUUUCUCAUCAGAUUUUGGGUUUGCUUGCAUCAGCAUUGUCUACAAAAGUACACUGCUCGAACAGUGCAUUGGCUCUCUCUCUCUCUCUCUUUUCACCUAUCAAUUUGCCUUUUAAGCCAUUAGUUGUUGGAUUCUGAAGAGAAAGUUUGAGAGCCUCUUGCUACAUUUACUCGUUUCUCAUCAGGUUAAGCUGGCUUGGUGUCCAAAAUAGCUAAAAAGCAAAGGCCUUUUUACUAUAUUUUGCAUCUCUGAAAAAUGGGGCUGAGGGGACCUGGCAAGAACAGUGGCUUGAACAGAGAGAAUCCAGAUAUUUUGGUUGUGAUGAUUGCAGAGAAGCAGAUAAUGAGAGGUGGUGAGGAGGACAAAAGAGAUCAGAAUGAGAGGGAAAGAGAUGGGCCCUCUAAAGCCUGCAGAGGAAAUAAGUGGCACUCUGCCACUGCACCAUGUAGUAAUGUGUGCGCUUGUAUUUCCCUCUCUUUCUUUCUCUUUCUAUCUCUACUAUGUGUGUUUGCUCUUUGUGUUGUGUGGCUCCUCUUACUCUCUUUAUCUUAAUUAAUGGUCCAUUUCAUAAUUUCAUACACAUUCAAACUCCACCUCUGUGAUAAAAGCAUUUACCUCUCUGUGAUAAAAGCUUUUCAUUUGUUUGUGUUUCUCUUUAGCUUUUUGACUCACUCACUCUCUUUCUUUCUUUUAUUGGGUUCUCUGAGAUGGGGUGUCCUUUAUUUUUCAGACCCAUUUAUGUUUCAUGCUUUUUUCAAAUCUUGUGGCUUUAGCUAGUGAAAGAAAGAGAGAUAAACUCUCUGAAAAAAACUUGAUGGGUCCUGAUUCCUGAAACUCUGAAUCUCAGUUUCUUGGGUUUUGGUUUUCUUGAAAAAAAUUCCCACUUUUCUGUUCAUUCAAACAAAAAACUUCACCUUUUGUGUUGCCUUUUUCAUUUCUUGUGAUUUGAGAAAGGUGGGGGGAAGGAUGCAUGAGACCUUAUAAUUAGCUUUUUCUCCUUGUUCUUUUUGUUAAAGAAGGAACAAAGUUAUUUUUCAUUGUACUCCCUGUAAGGCUUUAAGGAUAAAGUAAACGAAUCAUAUCUUGUGAACUUUCACUGAAUUGGCUUGUUCUGAGUUCCAAGGAAAGUAUACAUAUAUUGUUGUCAAUCACCAUUCCAUCUUUCAUCAUUAUAAAUCUAAGGGGUCUGAUUUGGCAAAUCCCAUGAAUCUGUUUGAAGAUUUAUAACAACAUUGUUUUGCCUUAGGGAAGGGUUUGUUCCUAGAAAGGCCUGCAUUCUCAUUGAGGUUGUUUGCUGGUGGGUGAUAGCUCCUCCUCUGCAAGUAGGUGGCAGGUUGGUCUCUUUCACCUCUUUCACGGUUUUGUUAAAUGUCUGUGUUUGAUUUAAAACACUUUCAAUUGAUUAAUCAAGAGAAAUUCCAUAACAACACCUUGACUUGCAUGUACCUAAUUUGUUAAGUGGUUCCAUGGUAUUUAUUUUAUAGAGUUCAUUUCAUGACAGUCUGCAUCUAUCCUGUUUUGCCCAACUGUUUCCAUGGUAUUUAAGAGCACAGACUGCACCUAAAAACUGUGUGCGGUUUUGUUUUACUUCCUUCUUUGUUGUCUUUGAAAUGUUGUUUGUGUUUUAACUUUAUUUUGAAACUUUUCCAGGCUAAGAUCGAUCUGUAUUGGUCGUCAGUUCAUCUUAUCAGAAGGAGUGGCCUGAUAUUAUAUUCAUCUCCCCUGCUUUUUUGUUAAACUAAAUUUCCUAGAGUUUCAAAAGCUGCUGUUUAUGCUCAAUGCUAACUGAUAUUUGUUGUCUCGUUUUAUGAUGGACAAUCAAAUGUAUAAUGUCCCUACGGACUUGACCGCCCGAAAUUCGGUUGUCAUGGAUGGGAUUGUACCACAUACAACGAUGAACUCACUUGUUCAAUCCUAUUCAUUUGAUCUUAAUCACCAAAACCAUGGCAUGGCCUUAGUUCCGGUGCUUUCAUCCUUUCCAGGAGAACCUGUCAUGCAUUCUCAUUCUGAGUUUAAUGGCACAAACGGUGCCGGCAUUGUUGAAUCAAAUCCAUUUGUUACAUCCCAAAGAAGGCAUAAUGUGAGAGACUCCUCAUUCAUCAGUUCAAGUUUCGCCGAUAAUACUGUGUUCCAAGCAACACCUCAUUCUGCUGCUUCACUUGCUACCAUUUUGGCUGCAAGUGGUAGUCUUCAAGAAAAUCUCAACAACUUAGCAAUUUCAGGAACUCCGGUCAGUUCUUCAGAAGCUUACGUUUCAAAUGACUGCUCUAACAACUCUAAUUCUCUGUUUGCAACCUCUGUGAAUUGUGGAUAUGAUGAAAUACUUGGUAGUAUAAGUAGUCAGUGGGAGAUCAACAAGUACGCAGCUCCUUCGGAACUUGGUGAGAGAACUUCGGUAAGAACAGGGCUUCAACCAUAUUCACCCACAGGAAAUCUGGAUCCAAAUGGAUGGUUAUCAUCAAAUGGUGAAAAUGCAAUGACAUAUCAUUCUUACAGUUCCUGUAAAUUCAGCAACGAGCUCGCUCUAACUCUUGCCACAUCCAGCCCUGCUAUCGUCGGUGGGGUGGAUAUCCGAAAUCAGUGUUCAGACAUUGGUUCUUCUGGGAUGGCUCACCCUUCUUUGAAUCAAACAAGGUUUGGCUCAUCAGAGCAAAAUUCUUGCAACAGUGAGGAGCUUUCUCUAAGUUUUGGUUCUUGCAAACCUCCUCAACUAUCCCACGUAAUAUGUGGAUCAAGAUAUCUUCAUGUGGUUCAGGAAAUACUUUUUGACAUUGCAAGCUACUCACUAGAAAAUCUAGACCAGUCGAGUUUUUCAUCUGCGAGGAUCUUGUCUGAGAACGCUGACAGCGAUAGUAGAUUUGAGCUGCAUAAGGAGACUGCAUUGCAAAAACAGGAAAUCAAAACAAAGAAAUCCAAAUUGCUGACCCUAUUACAAAUGGUAUGUCAGUUCUUUUGUAUUAUUAAUUAGUCUAGAGUUAUCUGUUCUGGUUCUGAUUCUAACUGAGAUGUCAAGUGCAUUUAGAUAUUGGAAGUCGUGUAGACAAACUGGAUUAAAAUUUGACAUUUGGUAAAAUUAAAGUUUCUUAAUAGACAAAAGGUGUAGAAAUGUUUCAUUUUACACCUCAAUAACCUUGUUGGCCUGUUCUCGCAUAUUUGUUUGCUCAUGUGGUGGACUUGGAAAUAGUAUUUGGGCACUGUAAGAGAUUGAUAAGAUUGAUAUUGUUCUUCUGUGGAUGCAGCUUGAUGAUUGCUACAACCAAUGUGUAGAUGAGAUUCAUACAGUUGUAUCAGCAUUUCAUGCUGCUACUGAGACGGAUCCCCAUAUACAUGCUCGUUUUGCACUUCAAACAAUCUCUGUACUGUAUAAAAAUCUGAGGGAAAGGAUUAGCACCCAUUUCCUUGCAAUGACUGCAAAUUCGGACCCUGCAUCCCCCAGUGAGAGUGAAAGGUCGUUUGAAAUCCACAAGCAGUUGGCUCUGCAGCAUCUAAAAAAGAAAGAACAUCAAAUAUGGAGACCCCAGAGAGGCUUGCCUGAAAGAUCAGUCUCAGUUUUACGUGCAUGGAUGUUUCAAAACUUCCUUCAUCCGUGAGCUUCUCACUUAAAUGUCUUGUGCUUGUGCUUGUGCUUGAUUGAGUAUUCGGCAUCGUGAUGAGCUCAAACGAUGCAAUAUAUAUUUUGCUGAAAUGAAGUGUUUGUAAGUAGAGAUAUCCUAGAAUGUCUUAUCCAUUUGAUUGAUUUCAGGUACCCUAAAGAUGCAGAGAAGCAUGUCCUUGCAGUGAAAAGUGGAUUGACAAGAAACCAGGUAUAUUUGAUCUCCGAUUUUAUUACAUCCCCAACUUUUGGUUUUAAUUUCCUUUUGUUUGGCAUUUGAAUCCUCAGCUUCUAAGAACUCAUUCUCUAUAAAAUUGUCCAUGCCAGGUAUCCAACUGGUUCAUCAACGCUCGUGUCCGGCUAUGGAAACCGAUGAUUGAGGAAAUGUACUCGGAGAUGAACAGACGAAAGACUCGUCAAAGUGACAACACUGAGAGAAACAAUAGAAGCCACCACCACAACAUAAGUAUUAACCAUCACAAAUUUGGUGUGAACUGAAGGUUUUUGAAAGGGUACAUAGCGAAUGGAAAAUGGGGCAUAUUCCACAACAUUAAUGCUACAAGUGUAUAUAGUUGUGGAAAUUAUUCAGGAGUAGGUUUCAGUGACCAUGCCCAUUGCCCUUGCCCACAAGAAUGUUUUGCAAGCAAUAGUAGAAUCGUUGUGGAAAAAAAUGGCUAGAAAAUUAUUUAUUUUGGAGCUUUUUCGUAAUGAAAACCGAAAGGUUUACACGCAUGAUUUAGUUUAAUCCUUAAAUUAAAUUACGGUUCAUGCAUGCUAAAUAGUGUUUGGGAUUUGGACGUGGGAGUUUAUAGUUCACGCAGGACACAACAUUGUCCACUAAGUAUAUGCAUACGUACCCUCCUCCCUUUAUGUCCCAAAGCCAGGGACUCAGUGCUUGCUAAGCUGUAAGCAAUUUGCUAAAGCAACCCCUAUAAAAACAGAUUAAGGCUUAAGCCUACUGUGUCACUUGAUUUACACGCGCUACUUCUACUCUCUCUUUGAUACUUUUGAACUACCAAGUGGUGGUGGUGCCGGAGCAAUGGCGGGGCUGGUCGUUGUUUUUGACUUUGACAAGACGAUCAUUGACUGGGAUAGCGACAACUGGGUUGUGGAGGAGUUGGGUGUCAAAGACUUGUUCACUCAGCUCCUCCCUACCAUGCCUUGGAACUCUCUUAUGGUUUGUUUCAAUUGGUUUUUUUUUUUUUCUUUUUUAUCAACAAUUGUCAGUGUGUACAAGAUUUUAACUCGGUACUUUAAAAUGAAGAUUGAGUGACACUAAACCAAAGGAUCAUUUAACAGUUGAAUUGGGUGUGUAACUUCAGGAUAGAAUGAUGAGGGAGCUUCAUUCUCGUGGAAUGACAAUUGAGGACAUUGCAGAAUGUUUAAAGAAGAUUCCACUGCAUCCCAACAUUGCCUCUGCAAUCAAAUCAGCCCAUGCUUUUGGGUAAUUUCCUUUCCUUAUAAACAUCCUAUGAAUUGACAAAACAGAACAAAUUAUGCUAUAAUUGUUAUGAAAAAUUCUAAUUGUAACACAUGCAGGUGUGAUCUGAGGGUGUUAAGUGCUGCAAAUGAAUUUUUCAUAGACACAAUAUUGAAGCAUCAUGGGCUAAUGGAUUGUUUCUCAGAAAUCAACACCAACCCAAGCAUUAUUGAUGAACAGGGCAGGCUUAGAAUCUUUCCCUACCAUGAUUUCCACUCAUCUUCUCAUGGCUGUACCAUUUGCCCUCCCAGCAUGUGCAAGGUGAUUAAACUAAACUAAUUGCAUAUAUUUAAGUAUCCCAAAUCAAAAUCACAAGUUUAAUUACAUUGGUUUAGUAUGUUUGUGGGGUUUCUUUUGUUACAGGGUCUAAUAAUGGAAAAGAUCCAAGCUUCUGUUGCAGCAGAUGGGAAGAAACAUAAACAGUUCAUCUAUGUUGGGGAUGGAGCUCCUGAUUUUUGCGCAGGUUUGAAGCUUGAAGAAGGAGAUUUUCUGAUGCCAAGGAGGGAUUUUCCUAUCUGGGACUUAAUUUCUGCCAAUCCAUUGUUUACCAAGGCAAAAAUUUACGAAUGGAAUGAGUGUGAUGAGCUUGGGGCUGUCUUGCUCAACACAGUUAAUGCAUUCUUCACUGAAAACAAGUCGAGGUCAACUGAUCAAUUGGUUCCAGUUGACUGUAAGUCUCAAAACAGUUCGACCUGUCUCACUGCCCAUGAAGCCUUUCAAAAUGCUCUCCCAGUUCCACUUCCUCGCCAGUAGUUAAGAUUUAAGAACGACUUCAUGUUGAGGUAGCUUAAUGUUGUAUUCUAAGUCCUUAUAGUUAAUCCAAGUGGCGACGAUGCGUGGACAAAAAUAAGUUAGGUUUAAGGUUUGAUUACCUUCUAUUGUACAGCAGAAAAUUGUUGUAUUAUGUUAUUUUGUCUUCAUGCAAAAGUUACGUUUAAUGGUGAUUUACUUAUCAGAUUGUCCAAAGGCAUAAAAUAUUAUAUUGUCGAAUUGUAAAUAUGGGCCGUUGAUCAUGUUCCGACAUCUAGGAAAGAUGAUGAGCAAAAAAUUGUUCAUAUUUGAUGACAAGCUUUGCAAUUAGCCAAUCUUAUCAUGCAGGCCAUGACAGACUCCACCAAGUCCACCUUGAGGGCAUGCAUAGUGAUUCAUGGAACCAUAUUUUGUUUGUGGCAUUAUCAUCAUCAACUAGCAAGUGAACAAGAAUGACAUUGCAUUUUCAUCUGGUUUCACCUUUAAGACGCAAUAAAGUGCCAACGAAGGAUGGGCUGGCUGACACAUGAGCCACCAUGAAACUUCCAUAGUGUGCCACGUCAUCCAUGAAACUAAAAAGAAGAAAUAAAUAAACAUACAGGAGAAAGCACAAGCUCAUCAUCCAUUUUAUAUCAUUAUUGUAAUGUCCCUUUUUUUUAAAAAAAAAUAAUUAUUUCGAACGUAUACAGAAGAAAACUAGCCCCCUCCCCUCCCCAACUAACAUUUGUGGACUACAAAUGAAAAAAUGAUGUCUGCUUUCCUUAUCAAUUUUCCCUUGUAUCUUUCUCUUUCUCUCUUUAUCUACAGAACCGCUAAUAACCCCUCUCUUUUCUUAAUCCCCAACCAAUCAAGUGAGAGCUCAGACUCAGAUGGCUCGAAUACAUUACCAAAAAAAACCCGAUUUUCCCUGCAAACCCUUUUUUUCAACUUCUCUCAUGAGGAUCCCGAACCCGAGUUUUUAUUGGUUUCAACUUCAAGCCCAUGCUUUCCGGUGAAAGAAGCUCCGGUGCGAUGCAGGACGGACUUAAAGGGCUUCUCGGGCUGACACUAGACUGAGAAGGCCUGUAUAAGCCAUAUCCCAUGAGGAAGUACUCUAUUGGUAUCAACAUUGCAUGGGGCUGCUCCUCUGUCACCAUUGACCCGCAUGCCUGAACCUGCAGGUCACACACACCUCCAGUGAUGAGUUUGCUUUACAUUUAUGGAAAGAUACAAAUAAUGCAUGAUAUGACCGUGGGAAUUUGAUAUGGGUUCCAUACCUCAACCAAGGCACUAUAUCGUCUGUCUAGUUUUGAAGUCAUGUACAGAGCUUCUGAGUGAAACGGAGAGCUAUCCCCAACAAAUAUUAGUGAACGGCAUUGUAGCUUUCGCAAUCCUUCGGAAAUGUCAGGUCUCCUGCUAGGCAUAAAAAACAGAGUUAAUUCCAUGCCACCUAAUGCGUCAAACUCUAAUUUAUUUAAGCGGAAAUAAUUGGACAUCUCGGAUGCACAAAGACAGUUCACGUGACAGAAAACUUGAAAUGUAAGAUAAUGGAGGUUAACAUAUAAAAACUAAAAAGAAAUCUUGGGGACGGGAUUUACCCAUUCAUUGCUUCAAGAAAUCGCCAAACAUUUGAACUUUGCCUUUCAUCAAGCGACUGUAAGAGCAUCCACACAUUAGACAUGUGCUCAGCACUUGACCAAUCUCAUUGUUUGAUUUACACAGACAAAGAACUUAAUAUAAAUCAGAGAAGGUAAUAAAGGCUAGAACACUAACCCUUCUGCAUGCCUGAACUAUAUCUGACUCUGGUAUGUGAACACCACCACGAACUUCCUGCCACCAGGAUUAAAAACUUAAAACAAUCAAACCAAUUUAAAUGUGGUGACACAAGUAUAUGUGAGUUAAACUAAAACAAUGGCAUACCUUGCUGAAGUACCGCUUAAGCAGUAUCUCCUUUACCACCCCGCACAUGCCAUAGAAGUACAGUAAAUUUGACAUCACCUGCAAAUGAUAUGGAAUGUUAUGUGAGAACUAGAUUCUCUAAACAGAACAAAAUUACAGGUCCAGGAAAGGGGAAAAAAACCUUAUUAUACAACCAUUCAGUCCAAGAGGCUGCUUUGCAUAUAGGAGACACAAGUAUCAAGCCCAUGACACGUGAUCUAUAUUUCAUCUGUUGCAAAGAGUUAUGGAUAAAUCAGAAGAUCCAUAAAGGAUUUAUUGGAAAAAUUAAUAACACAUAUGAGCACUAUAGUGCACUGUGCCAAUAGAGAUCUUACAGCAAACCGGGUGAGAAUGUAAGCUCCAGCUGUAACCCCCAUACACAUCACUGCACCAAGUCUACAGAGGGAGAAAGAAACAUCAGGGUAAUUCCCUUCCUUGUUCAACCUAUCUAAAUAUGUAAAGAAUAAUAAUGUAUUAAAGGAAACGAUAGCUUCAUGGAGCUUUUUUUUUGUGCGUGUGUAGCAAUAGCAAAUGUGUCUAAACAUCUUUUUCAACAACUAAACCAGAAGCAUUCUGACUAACAGACAACUAAUUCAGAUUACUCUAAGGCAAGCUCCUGAUUUACAUAAAGUUAAAGCAUAAACGGAAAAUUUGAUUACCCAAAAAAAUCAAGAACCUCGGCAAUCUGAUCUACUAAAUCAUCAACAGAAUACACAGAAUCAUCAAGGCUGAUUGCAGAAGCUCCCAACUGAAAUAGUUCUUGAAGAAAGCACGAGAUAAGAAACGAUGUGAAUAAUAGCACUCAAUAUAAGAGAUAAUUAGACCCAUGUAGACAUGAAAAUCAAGUGGGAGCCAUAUAUGUAGUCAAGUUAUUGAGUUACAAACCUCAUGGCCAGGAGGACUGAUAUGAUAUAUGCAAAAGUUGUGGAGCAGCAAGGAACAUGCUUCUGGACAAAAUAAUAGUCCUUGAAAGCAGGACAUAUCUGAUAAAUCACACAAUAAGACAAAAGUUAAGUUGGAGCUUCAAAGUAAUGUCACUGAAAAAAAUAUGAUGUUGAAGUGCAUGAUUUCUCUUGAUCUUUCAUUUACGUCCAAAUGCAACAAAUCAACUAGUUUGGUUGAACUAAUCCAUGAUCCUUCAGAUCGUAAGUAUUUAUAUUACAGUUCAUAAAUUUCUCCAAUUUAGGAAGAAAAGAGCAAAGCUAAACUAUUUUGGAACUGCACUUUAAAAUCCACAAUGCCCCUCUGCCACCCAAGAGUAAAUAAAAAAUAAUAAUACGAAUCAAAAUGAAUUUUAGAAAUAUAAAUGUCAAGCAUCUUUGCUUCUUACACCUAUACUAAAAAUAUGGCAUUCUCGAUAUGAUGGGUAAGAUCAACCAACUAAUAAGUAGAACAAGGUUGAAAUGCAAGACAAAAACAAACCACAAGUACAACCCAUAAAAAAAUAAUAAUUAUUGGUAGCUAAAUUUUGUUUACUUACGGUUUAGGGCUAAAUCUGGAUAAGUGACAAGAGCUGGCUUGUCCUGAUCUCCCAACACAGCGACAGACACAUAGCCAAGACAGGUUUUUACAAGAUGCUCCUGCAGAGAGAUUCCAUAAUAAGAAUACAAUUCCGGCAACAUUCCAGGAAAGUAAAUUGAGAAAACAUAAUAUAAGUUACAAACACAGAAUAGUGACAAAGCACUGUUAUGACUGAAAUGAGCAUUCAAGAGAAGAACUAGACAUUAAAAAGUUUAACCGCCUUUUGGGGUAAUUUUCUCCAAGGAAACAAAGUAUAUCAUCAAGAAGAAAAGUAGUGGUAGCCUUAAUUCAAAGUAGAAAGUUAACCACUUCUGCUCAUAAAGGCAAAUUGGCAUUCGUCAAAUACAGAAUGUUAGAAGUUUUUAUUCCUCGACUCCAAGAACAUCUACAUACAAUUACGAAACAAAAACCAUUAUAUUUCCCAAAGCAGAGAAAUCAAACUGCUAACUAAUUAACUUGAAAUUUGACUUAUAUGCACGCUUCCAAAUGAGAAACUUGCGCUGUUUCAAGCAAAACAAGAAUUCAAAAAACAAAAAAAAAGCAAAAAAAAUAGAUAAUCUGAAUUUGCCAGUCUUAGCUAAAUUAUUAAACCAGCAAUGUUACACAUAAUUUACAGACAAACCAUUCCUAUACAACCUGCAUUUAAGAAAAACUAAUGCUUGGCAUAUUCCUUGUAAUCAAACAGUGGGGCAUUUCACAAUAGCAGAAUCAACGCAAUAUUUGCAUUAAACAAAUUUCAAAUGAGACCCAUGUCAUUAACAAUAACCUGAGAGGUUCAAUGCUUACAUGGUUUAAUUUUUUUCAAACAUUAUUUUCUUGGUAACCAAACAGAGCAAAAGUGUUGUUAAAAGCAAAAUCAUAAACAAACACAAUACAAUACAAUUUCUAGAAAUGUGGGUACCUUUCCACCAAGAGAAACCCCCUCCAUAUCCACCGACACUGAAUCACUUGAAUCCCCCAUUUCCCUCUCUCUCUUUCUCUCUCUCUCUCAAGUCUCAAAUGGCUGAGGCAUUGGGCUUGGUUUCCAUGUAUUAUAUAUUUAUAUAUGUAUAUAUCAAUCUCUCUUUCUCUCUCUGCCUCUGUCUCUGUCUGUCUCUUUAAAAUGUUGACGCGCGGUGAACUCGCACGAGUUGCUAACCGAGUCACCGACGCUUAAUCCCAGAGAGGCUCACGAGCUGUCCGUAUGUAUGAACGGGGUAUGGUCCUACCACGGACGCGGGUUUUAAUUUAACCAGGGUUAGAGAUAGAAGCCGACAGUUUUUGCGAUUUUACCAAAUUAUCCCUGAUUUCCUAAUUUUUCUUUUUCCUUUUUUCCCCUUUUCAAACAAUAACCCUAUUUGAUAAUUUUUGUGCAAACAGGUGAUGCUGAUUGAUGGGUAUAUACUACUGGUGAAUUAGUUAUGUAGUUGAAGCUGUUUUUCCUUUUUUGAAGUUGUUUUCUUUUUCAGGUAAAAUUUUGACAAAUAAUUGUUAGUUGCAUUUUCAACCAAGGGCCAGAUGGUAAAAUAAGCCAUAUGAUGCUGGCAAUUCUGGGGACGUCAAAGUUGUCAAAGCGUGCCAUUAUUUACGUGUCCUUGUUAAAUGACGGGGAUAUUGUUUUCAAAUUAUUUGUAGAUCAAUUAGAAUGAUCCAUUAAUUCAAAUUACGCGUCGUAAUUAAUCCUAUUAAUUCUAAGGAUAAGUCGAUAUGUCCAAUAAAAAAAAAAUGGAUAAGUCGAUAUGUCCAACAAAAAAAAAAAGGAUAAGUCGAUAUGAUGAACAACAUCGAAAAUGUUUAUUUAUUUUUAAUAAAUCUAUGGCCGUACAAUACACAAAUGUACAAUGGUUUUUUUAUUCUAUGUUUUAUAACAAGCGAUAUUAAAAUAUUUACGAUCAAAUACUGGAUUUCGACUCUUCGAGUUAUGAGGAUUUAAGAUUACUCUCAAAACGCUUUUGAAUUUACAUAUACACAUGCACACACAUACCGCACAAUAAAUAAGACUAACUGAGUUGUAAAAAUAAUUUUGUGCGUGAUUUUAUUAAUCACAUAUUGAUUUAGUUUUCUUUCUUCUUUUCUGUUUUGGGGAAUAUUAAAAAUCUUUUUCUAACAAUCUCAAAUAUGAUACAUGUGUAAGUUGUGAAUGUAGCUGAAAUUCGAAUAUACUAACAGAUUUUGUAAUUAUUAUUUUUGGGAUGCAUGGUAGGCUUUCAUCAUCUCAACCCACAGGAAUCUGUGGUUGAGACAUCGUGUGGCUAGAUUUAGCUUACAACUUCAAAAUAUGAUAUAUUGAAUGAUUCAAGUUGGUAUCUGUCAUUAGCACUCACCAGACAGCAAUUCAAAUGUUCUUUUUUUAACACAACUUUUUUGUCAUUUUAGUAAAACGUUUUUCUAAUACCAGAUAACGAGUUUUCAACGGAAAUUGCCACACAAACAGAAACAGCCUAUAUAAUUCUCAUAAUUUGUUGCCUAUAAUUCUUAAAAAGCACGUUCUAUUAUUAUCAAAUGGGAUUUUAAAGGUGGGGAUUGAAUUGACUUCCAAUUUUAAUUUUAGAUUAAUGUGAUCUAGUAUUUUUAUUUUUAUUUUUACAUGUCAUUGUGCAUGCUUGUUUAAAGAAAAUUUCAACCAACGGGUCUAACCCAGUGAAAAAGAGCAUUGGCUUGUAUAAUAUAAGUCGUUUGAACCCCCAUGAUAUUUUAGUUGUGUGCAUGCGUGUGAGAAACCCCCUCACCUGUAAUUUAGACUAUCACUUUUACUAAAAAAAUAAAAUAAUUACAUUUAUAUACGAGUUCAUUUUGUGGCUAGUGGCUUUUUUGAAUGAAUUAUGAAUGUAAUCAUAUAAUUUCUCAACAAAAAAAAGAAGAAGAAGAUACGAGUCCAUUUAAUCAAUGGUGCUGAUUAUUCUCUAAUCUUGUAAUUUUUUUAAAAAAAUUAUUAACUUUAUAAGUUUAAGAUAUUUCUAAAAAAUAUAUUAACAUGAAAUUAUUUGAUGUUAUUUUAAAAGUUAACUCCAUUUUUUAAUUGCAUAUAGAACCACCUACUCAAUUCCAUGUUUUUAUUAUUAUUGAAAUUGCAAAAUGAAUCAAUCACUCAACUAGAGCCAAAAUGAACUCUCAGAAAUUUUAUUGUUACUAAAAUUCACACCAUUUUUCUAUUCACCAAUUAAAUUCUACCAACUCCCUCCCCAUAUAUGCGAUCUAGCAAAACAUACAAAAGUCCUUAUUCUUUAGCAGCUAGAAUACGAGACGUCUUGUCAAUCAAAACUCCCAUCGGCCGUCUAUAUGACACUUACCAACUUCAUAAUCUGUUUGUCUUAAAUCGCUUUUAAAAUAAUUAAUCCACGAGCCAAACAUGCCCAUAUAAUUUAUUUUGGAAUUACUCAUUCUUUUGAUACACUCUUCUAAGAUUAUAAACCAGAAUCUUUGACUAGUAAACUAACGUAAGUACACCAUAAGUUCCAAUACCCCAUCGCUAUUUUCCCCACCAACCACAUUCUAAAACCUCUUUAAUUUUAUCCCCCAAUUUUUUUUUAAUGGUAAUAAUCUCAUUUAUAUAAUUUGUAAUUGGCAAAAUAUUAUUUCCCAUAUGCGCUUAAAUCAUUUCCAUCAAAAGUAUAUUUUAAUUUUGGUAUGGCUUUUGAAACAUAUUUAAAUAAUGUUUGCUAAGGCAGAUAAUGAGAACAACAAAAGCGAUAGCUCAGCUCAGAGUGAUGAACAACUUUUCUUGAAAGCUAUGGCAGGUAGGGUAUUGACUACACUACAUUAAAUCUUUUAUAAACAAUAAAUGUUAUUAAUUGGCUACAUAGCUUAGCCAAAAGGAAAAGAAAUAUGACUCUGCCUUAUUUUUCAACCAAGGUACCUUGGCAUUUAUAAAUCGCAUUGUUGGUGUUCUCACAGUUUUGAACAACAACCAAAAGCUGUGUCGGUCAUCAUGUUUGGCAACAUAACACAUAUAAUUUGUGGAGGAGUGUUACCGAUAGUCGCGGAUGGACGUGUGAUGAAUUUUUUUAGUUACGUACUGAUGUAUGUGGGUUUUAUAAUUAAGUUUACAAUGAUUAAUGAGUAAAAAUACUUCACACAUCCACGCACGAUUGACAGUAACAUUAUUCUAACUCUCCUGAGAUUUAAAAGUAUAAAAUAUAUACUCCAAGCAAAUGUAAGGGAAAAAGAAAGGAAAAAGGUUGGUGUGGUUUCAUAAUCUGUGGGUUCUUCUCCUCCUCGCACAUCAAAGUUAUGACCGUCCCUCUCAAUCUCGAGUGCCACGUCGUAAUUGGCCCCUUUUUAAACCUUUCUUGUGCAAAUCAUUAGUAAAGUUUGCAUAAGCAUUGCGUGUGAUACAGGGCAAGAACAAUCCUUCUUUUUUUCUUUUUGGGCACCAUUUUUAAAAUUAAAUCCUCAAAUAAUAUUUAUAAUUAUUUUAUAUACAAAAUAAAAUUUGAAAUUACCUAUUUAUAGAGAUUAAGAUUCAACUCAGCAGCAUGCAGGCAAGGGAAUGUAAAAAAACCUUUGUUGAAAAGCCGGACGACAUGGUAGACUUGUGAAUGUCGUUUGCUCGCGUUGGAGCUUGGAACUCACACCACGUAUUACACGUGACCAGUUCAAGUGUGGACGCUUGGAGAGAAGUGGGCCCACUUAAACCACAUUGGCUUGCUCCUGUCGGUCAUAAGGACCAGUCAGGAGGAGGUAGAAUUGAAACAGGCCCGACCCAAUCCCUCUGCCUGCCAAUCAGAACAAAACGACAACAAGCUAUUUGAAUGGGCUGCUUUUAUGCCAUUUGAGUUCAUGGGUCAGCCCCAUGUCAAAAUUCUGGUCUCUUGAAGAUUAUGCCAACUUAGUUUGGGCCUUACGCUAUGUGCCAAAGUUUUAAUAAAAGAAUUAGGGUUUGUUUGCUUCAUGAUCUAAAAUUACGUUUCAAAAAUCUAGGAUAAGAUCCAAAAAUAUGGAUUGUACUCUAUUUAUAUAAAACCUUAAGAAUUAUGAAAGUGUUGGUGGUAGUUAUGAGUUCAAGUUUGAGUUUCAUAUUUAAAAUUUUCAAUUGAACUGCAUAAUUUGGAGUUUUAUGUCUCAAUUUCAUUAUUCAUAGUCUAGUUCCACGUUGAUGUCCCGCACUAACCCUCACAUAAUAAGGCCCUCUAUCCAACCAACCAUUAUAAUGGGCAUAUUUCACCAUUCGCUUGUUAGAUAUGUUUGGAAGUUUGAAUUGUGUUUUGAGACAAAUGUGUAUAGAAGAUGAACUUGAUGAGAUGACAAAAAUGACAAGAUUCGGACCGGAAUGAGCCGCUAGAUGGUAGAUAUUCAACCGAAACCCUGCCACCUAAAUAUGUUGUUAGAGAGAGGCCUUUUAAGAGAGGGAGAAAAGAGAGAGGCUAAGGUAAAUGGUUUUAAUUGAGUUAGCAGAAAAAUAACAAGAAAUUGGGAUACAAAACACACAUGCAUACACAUCAACUUUUUAGUUUGACAAACACGAACACCAUCUUAAACAGAUAAAGUAUUCCUUUUUGGAAUUGUGCGAUACAUUAAAUUUCAGUACCAAGAAAAACAAAAGUAAAAGAUAUUGGAGAAGUCAUGCUCCUAAAUAAAAACCCAUCACCGUUGAUUUCACUGUUGUACACUUGUAGCCCAACAAACAACGUUGGAUCAAAGCAAGACAGUAUCAUUGUAAUCUACGCCGAAAUUCACUCGACCGCAUCCAUAAAGUCGAAAAUAUAUAAAAGCAUAUAAUAUCAAAAUUAACGUCCCUUUCAAUAGUUAUCACAUCUUAAUAUAUCACUCCCACUUUUCUUUCAUUAUUAUUCUUUAUAGGAAUUUGGCUUCCAUAUUUAUUUCACGCUUUAUUAAAGUCCAAAUUUUCCCCAAAUAAAUAUUCCUCCAAAACACAAACACAAAAAAUUGAAAAAACUAUAUAAUAAAUUAUUCAUAAUAAGCGAGGACGAUGAAUUAUUUAGAUAUCCACGACAAAAUCAGCUAAAAAGCUACGUCCUGCUGCGUCAUUUUCUUCCCCUCUAUUUUUCAGCAACGAAAGGAAAAAAAAAAAAAGAAGAGAUCAGAGACAGAGACAGAGAGAGAGAGUGGAAAUUCCAUCGCUGUGAGGACCGUACGCGUAAGGCUGGGAAUGGAUGAAGAAGAAGGCAGAGACUGCAUUUAUUUUUCAAUGAAGAUUGGUCCGAAUCCGUGAGAUUCACGCAAAUCCGGUUUCCCAGAUCGACUUCCUCUGCAUUGAUUUGUUUUCUCUUUUUUCGACUCAUUUCUCUGUCAAUUUUUUGGAAUAUUUAUAAAUGAACGUCGGCGGGGAGGGGCUCUUGGCUCCGGCGAGGUCGGCGGCGGAUUUAUCGCCGCUGGAGUGGAAGUUUUCGCAGGUCUUCGGAGAAAGGACCGCCGGAGAAGAAGUUCAGGAAGGUACUCUUCUCGAUUGUUUCAAUUCGUUUAAUAUUAUUUAGGGAUUCAGUAUUGAUUUCAUUCUCAUUAUCAUUAAUACUUUUUAUUUAAUGUUGCGAUUUUUCCUUUUAUUGGAUGAUUAGCUUCAGAAAUUGGGCAUUGAAUAUCGAGAAUCGUAACACGCCAAUGGAAUUUAAUGGAUAAAGUGGGAUUUUAUAGUUUGAGGACAGAGUUUAGGUUUAUGAUGGCAGAAACACUUGAGCUGUAGUUGGUAGACAUGUGGCGUGUAUAUUUGAUAACUGAUGCCCGAUGCUGUUGUCAUGAGAUUGAUAUUAUGAAGGGUUUAUCGUUUGGAAUCUUAGAUAGUGAAGUUGAUGGCUGUGGGUUAUCUGGCUAUUAAUUAACGAAACAAAAACAUUGGAUGGCUGUCUGUUUUGUAUGUAUGUAUGUCUGUCUGUCUGUUUUAUUUAUGUUGUUUUUAUUUUUGAGCCCCUACAUUUAGAUGAUAAGUUUAGGAUGCAUUUUGAACAUGCUCUUACGAUUGCGACAUACACAUUUAUAUAUCUUAAGCUCAGAGGGCCUAGAUUUAGAGUGAAGUUAACUGGAAAUCAAUUAUGACGAAUGUAUCUCUUUGAAUGAAUGUCAUCACCCGAGUACUUAUUUUUAAUUUUUUUUUAUAAAGAUACUUCGUAAGUGUUUGAGGGCAUUGAAGUUUUCUUUGGUACACUUCACGUGCACGACUACUUAGCUUGUUUACAUGCUGACUGAUUUUUUGCAGUUGAUAUAAUAUCCGCUAUUGAAUUCGAUAGAACUGGGGACCACCUUGCCACUGGAGAUCGUGGAGGUCGGGUGGUAUUGUUUGAAAGAACUGAUACGAAAGAUGUAAGUUAGUUGAUACAUUUUUUUUGGGAGGCGGGUGGGAGUGUAUUUUCCUUAUAACCAUUCUGCCUUUGUAUUUUUGCUCGUUACACUGUUGUGAUUUAGUUCUUACUGUACGGUGUAAACUUAAAAUAUGUAGCAUGGUGGACAUCGGAGAGAUCUAGAGAGGAUGGAUUAUUCAAUCAGUAGGCAUCCCGAGUUUCGCUAUAAAACUGAGUUCCAGAGUCAUGAACCUGAGGUAUUACUUUCUUUGUGCUUCCCUGUGACUAGUAUAAAUUGACUUUUCCUCCUUGCUGGAAUCUGGAUUUGACUAACUUGCAUCUUUCUUGGUCUUUCCUAAACCCAGUUUGACUAUCUUAAGAGCUUGGAAAUUGAGGAAAAAAUCAACAAGAUCAGAUGGUGUCAGACAGCUAAUGGUGCGCUGUUUCUUCUCUCCACUAAUGACAAAACCAUCAAAUUCUGGAAGGUAGCACUAGCCACUUUUGAACUUUUAUGUGGUUAGAUUAUUAACUUAUAGAUGAUUUCCCCUCAAAAUCUUAUCUCCCUGUACUUAUUUUUAUUCAACCGCAUUGCCUUUUUAAUUUAUAUCUUGUUCCAAACAAAGAUGGCGAUUACUCCAACCAUUUCACUUUACACAUCAUUCUCGUAGUGAACACAAACAUAGACAUACACGCAGAUUGUAGUGAAUGACUUUUUAUAGCUGCUAUAGUACAAUGACUUCAGAUUUAAUUACUUUUAAGUUUCACAUUAUGGAAGGAAAUGUUCUAAUCCUAACCUAAUUCUGAGCAGAUCCAAGAAAAGAAGGUAAAGAAAGUAUGUGAGAUGAAUGUAGAUGCUUCUAAAUCUGUGGAAAAUGGGGCAGUUGGUUCUCUGUCAGCAAGCUCCAAACCGUCUCUUGCAAAUGGAGUAUGUAAAGAGAGACCCAUCAGUUCUCCAAGCAAUGACAAUUCGAUUCCAUCUGGGGGUUUGCCAUCUCUGCACUUGCCCGUGGUAGUUGUAUUCCAUCUGAUUUGUUUAUUUUCUGACAGCAUAUGGUUUUGGUAUUUAAAAUAGUUCCAGAGUCUAUUAUAUUUGACUUUCUUGUUAUAUUAUACUGUGAGAAUUGGCACCUGCAGUUAUUGACAUCUUGGUGAAUGAUAUCGUAUUUUCAGCUCUAACACUUGAACAAUUGUGGAAUCCAGGUGACCAGUCAUGAGACGAGCCUUAUGGCCAGAUGUCGAAGAGUCUACGCCCAUGCCCAUGACUAUCAUAUUAAUUCCAUUUCAAAUAACAGGUGCAUUUUGUCUAUGAACUAAUUUUGAGUCUUAAUUGUAUGUAAUAUACAUUUUGGUAUUGUUGCUUGGCUGUUACCUGGCAUGGUUUCCAUUUUCUAUACACUAAUGUAUCUUACUUUUUGGUUUUGUAGCGAUGGAGAAACUUUUAUAUCAGCUGAUGACUUGCGAAUUAAUCUUUGGAACUUAGAGAUUAGCAAUCAAAGUUUUAAUAUUGUUGACGUGAAGCCUACAAACAUGGAGGAUCUAACUGGUAGAACCCACGGCACUAUGAUGUCCAUUACUUACUUUUCUAAUUGUUAACUAUUGUUUGAAAUACACGACAAUAAAUGGGGCCUUGUCCCAACUAUUCAGGGUUGGCUACAAGACUCCUGGUCUUCCAUUCUUUGCUAUCCUGUACGAUUUUUCGUUAAGCAAUGUGCAAUAAUAUUUUUCUUAGUUACCUUCGACGUUUAAAGAUUUAGAUGUGUAAAUAUAGUUAUUAGUUUUGAUGUUCCUUCUUUACUUGCUGUUUGUAUUUCUCUCCGUGUGGAUUUUUGUACUCGUUUCCUUUCUUAUGUUUUUUUUUUCCUUUGUCCCCCUUUCAUUAUGUUUGGAUGGCUGUGUAGUAAACUAGAUAUGCCUUAUUUAUAUGCUUUGUUAGUCCAACGGCUCCACAUGUGUAAUUAUGUUUCUUUACAUACUUGACUUUUUAUGUGCAGAGGUGAUAACUUCAGCAGAAUUUCAUCCUACUCAUUGUAACAUGCUGGCGUACAGUAGCUCAAGGGGCUCAAUUCGUCUUAUUGAUUUGCGGCAGUCAGCUUUAUGUGACACUCACAGCAAAUUGUGAGUUGUUCAGUCAUUCUUUCUUCCUUCCGCCCUUUUUUGUUUUUACUCUGUUAAAUGUUUUUACCCAUAAAAUAUGAUUUGGUAUUGGAAAUGUAAAGUUCCUUUGACACUUCCUACUUCCUAACUUAUUUUUUCUCUUCACCAAAACAAAUUUUAAAUAUGAUUUAUGAUAUUGGUGCAGGUUUGAAGAACGAGAAGUGCCUGGUUCAAGAUCUUUUUUCACUGAGAUAAUAGCCUCAAUUUCAGAUAUUAAGUUUGCUAAGAAUGGAAGACAAGUACUUAGUCGUGAUUACAUGACUCUUAAGGUUCAUAUUUUCAUUCUCUUAUUUUUUUAAAAGGUUCAUUUUUCAUACUUUGAACCUUCAGAUAUUCUAAUCCUACAAACAAAGUUACAGAACUACCGAUGCUUGAAAACCUUGUUUUAACAUACAACUAUGGGUGCCACAUCUUAACAUCUCACUUAUAUUAUUAUUUUGUUUUUUGUUUUUCAGCUGUGGGACAUAAACAUGGAUUCUGGCCCAGUUGCAACUUUCCAGGUUCAUGAAUAUCUAAGACCUAAGGUGAUGUAUUCUUUCAGCAAGCCGGUUUAAUCACAGAUGAUCUAAAUGAAGAUGAUACAAUUAAAUACAAUAAAAUGCAACUUAUUUUAGUUCUUUACCUUGCUCAGCUGUGCGAUUUGUAUGAAAAUGAUUCUAUCUUCGAUAAAUUUGAGUGCUGUUUAAGUGGAGAUGGGCAUCGAGUGGCAACAGGUUCUUACAGGUUAGCUUUAUUCUCAUACACAUCCUUCGUUGCUAUAACUUAAACUCUGACCUAUGUUGUGUGCGGCUCAACAUAUGAAGAAACACAUUUCUGUGAUUCCAGCAAUCAGUUUCGAGUGUUUGGUUGUUCUGAAGGGAGCACAGAAGCGACGACAUUGGAGGCCAGCAAAAACCCCAUGAGGUAUCUUUUAUAAGUACAUAUAAUUCUCAUUAGGCGUGCGAUGCUGAAAACCAUUUCCUAUAGCAUAGCAUCUUUUAGUAAGAGAGAAACUCUUUUUCGUUAUUUUCUCUUAAACUGAUUUCCUUAAUUUGUUCUCAUGGGCUUCCAGGAGACAAGUGCAAACGCCAUCAAGGCCUUCUAGAUCUUUGGGCAACCUUCCUCGUGUUCUCAGGCGAGGCAUGUGUUUCAUUGUCAAACUCUGAAACUUUUGAGCAGUCAAGUUUAAUUUACCAUAAUUGAUUUCAACUCAAAGUCUCAGACAAACUUGCUUUUGUAGUAAGAGAAAAUUAAAUUUCAGAGAAUGAAUUAGGUUUGAUAAUUCUCUGAUUUAUUCCCUAUUUAAUUUGAUUUAAUGAGGUUUGGUUGCACUUGAUGGUGAGUAGUCAAGUGAGUCUAAACUCAGAAAGUUAUUUCCAUCAUUGUGUUAGUUUGUAUCUCCACUGUCUAUUUGACUAACCUGUCUAUAUUCUUUUUCUUCCAUUAUAAUAUAAAAGGUGCGGAUAACUCUGGAGCUGAUGCGAACGGAAAUUCUUUUGAUUUCACGACGAAGUUGCUACAUCUUGCAUGGCAUCCUACUGAGAAUUCACUCGCCUGUGCUGCUUCAAAUAGCCUUUACAUGUAUUAUGCGUAAAGAUGGUAUCAGAAGUUGUAUGUUUUGGCAGGCAAAGCUUCUCUCGUUACUAUUGACUAAAGGCUGCUCUGCCUUCUUCCCCGGCUAGUGAUGUGAAGCUGCACCCUUAAUCAGAAACUCUGCAAUCCAUUACCUAACUGCGCAACAUCAGGAAACAUUUUUUAGCUGAUGUCAAAGUUUUCAAGGAGAAAUUAGUCUCUCUCCCUCCCGUUGAUGCGGAAAAUUGAUGUUUAUGCUAUACCAUAAGGAGAAUGCCAUUGUCCUAAUUGUGUCUUGUUAAUUGAAGAGAUGUGAUAUUAGCUCAUCUGCCUACGGAAAGAAUACCCGGUCGAUAUUUGCUGCCACAGUAGACACCAAUCGGGCCCUACCCUGAAGCUGGGAGAAGCUCUAGUGGUGCAUCUACUCUGAUUGAUACCUCGGGGCCUUCAACCUUUGUAUUAUUUGAAUUAAAGUUAAAAGGGUUGGUGAAAUUUUAUCACUGUUUUUAUUCUAACCAUUCUUUCCCCUCUUUCAGAAUCUGCUGAUUUUCUUUGAUCUUUAGCAAAAAAGUAUUGGUUCCUUUGGAUUGAAGGCCCCAUGCAAGACAUAUUCUUUCAACAGUUUCACUGGGAACCAAGAUUUGUGGGUCUUAAUUCGUCUGGUUUUCUGGUGUUUUAUUCUUUAGGUAAUGUUUUUUAUGUAGGCAACUGAUCAUCUUCUAUAUAAAUCAGAGGGUCAUAAAAGUGGAAGCCUGAGACUUGUUUUGUUGAUCAUCUGCUCUGCCCUUCUGCUUAGACUCUGCUGACAUUAGUGUUGCCCUUGGGGCUAGAAACUGUAAAAACUCAACUUCUCUUAUUUAUAACCCACUGUUUUAUGAAAUAUAUGGUAAACCAAUACCGAUGAAACCCUUGUGAAGUGAUUUAUAGUUUUACUGCGUGUAUCGUGCACAUUGUGCAUCAUUUUUCCCAAAAUAAAAUUACCACGGUGAAUUAAUUAUUUCGCUUUAUUGGUAUUAACUUUACUACCACGGUGAAGUAAGAUAAACUUGCUUGAGUGGGCUCAAGGCCUGCACGUCAGGCAUGGGCCGUGGCGGUGGACUUUGAUUUGAUGGUCUCAAUUUUGCCACAUUGGUUACUUUAAAUAAAGAGCAGUAAAUAUCAAUUCUCAAUUAAUUGCCUAUUUUGACAGAGUUUACUAUUACUUUAAAUAAAGAGCAGUAAAUAAAUAGUAUGUGUCUGAUUUGUGAGGCUUUUAUUUUUUUUCAUUUUUUAUACAAGUUAUAUUGAGAGAGUGGAGAUUCGAACACAUUAUUUAGUGUUUAUGAGGUCUUAAUCAAUUGCAUUAUAACUUAUAAGCGAAAUUAGAGGAGGAGGAAUCAAACUUAUGACCUCAAUGUAAGGGUAAAUGCUAUUAAUCAUUUGAAUUUUAUUUCAUAAAAUAUUAAUAUGGAUUAAGUGGUUGAUAAGAAUAAAAAUAAUUUUUACCACAAAAACAAAUAAAUAAUAAAAAGAAGAGCCUCUAAAUCCAAUAAUUUAGGAAAAACAAAUUGUAAAAACGUCCAAAAUAGGUAAAUCCCAUAUGUUCUAAAUUCUAUUCCUAGAAAUUGUCAUUUGAUUCAGAUGCAAAACUAACACGGAGAAAAGAGCUUCAGGCCAUUUCAGCUUCCUCAAACUUCUCCUCCUUCUCUCUGUGUCUCUCAGCUCGAAGCUAAGGUCAUGGCUCUGCUGACCCGAGCCUCACGCAUCCCUCUCCAGCUCUCGGCCCAGCGGGCCCUCUCUCUCCACACGACCGUCCCCUCGCUGUCGUCUUCCUCCCCCUCCGGCUCAACUCCGACCACAUAUGCCCGCCCUCCUCCCCCCUCGGCCUCGCUGCCUCCGGCUGGCCUCUCCAAGGCCGCCGAGUUCGUGAUCUCGAAGGUCGACGAUCUCAUGAACUGGGCCCGCCGUGGGUCCAUCUGGCCCAUGACCUUCGGCCUCGCCUGCUGCGCCGUCGAGAUGAUGCACACCGGAGCCGCCCGAUAUGAUUUGGACCGAUUCGGCAUCAUUUUCCGGCCCAGCCCUCGCCAGUCUGAUUGCAUGAUCGUCGCCGGCACUCUCACCAACAAGAUGGCCCCCGCUCUCCGCAAGUAAGUGACUACCCCUUCCGCAUCUCUUAUUUUGCUGAAUUGCUGUUUAGGGUUUUUGAAUUUUUAGCUAAAAGUUGUUUCUUUUAAUGUUAAUUAGAUUUGUAUUUACCUGCUAGAGUCACAAAUUGGAAAAAUUGGAGCUGCGUUUCAGCAGUGUAACGAAACAUGGCUUAUUGCCCAUUGCUUUAUGAAUCUUUGAUUGAAUGGGAUUAACAUGUCUGCCAUUUACCCAUGUUUGUUAUUUUGGAGUUUCUUUGAGAAACCAACUUUUGUUUUGUUGCAUUUUCAUGCAUUCUGCUAAUAAAAAUGCACAUUUCUAGUUAUGCUGAUAGUUUAAUGUUUACUCUUGAUAACAAAAACUGGUUUGUGUUGCGUUGUGUUGUGUUUCUUUUGAUGGAUGGUCAGUAUUCGGAUAGUAUUAUUACAUUUGUUUUUAAGAAUUUUGAUUUCAUUUGGUUGUAUAAUUUCCUGGAUUUUGGGAAUUAGAAGGUAUUGACCUUUUCACUCUUUGUGUUAUGCUAAAGUAUGCACAAGUAAACAAGGGGGAUAAGUGAUUUUGAUAUCUAUGCUGAAACUUUGUUGCAGGGUUUAUGACCAAAUGCCUGAGCCUAGAUGGGUCAUCUCUAUGGGAAGCUGUGCAAAUGGGGGUGGUUACUACCAUUACUCGUAUUCCGUUGUUAGGGGUUGUGACAGGAUUGUCCCUGUUGAUAUCUACGUUCCUGGCUGUCCUCCCACUGCCGAGGCCCUACUUUACGGCCUUCUCCAGCUCCAGAAGAAGAUCAACAGGCGCAAGGAUUUCCUCCUUUGGUGGACCAAGUGAGGGCAUGGAUUCACCUUGUCUUUUGGGGCAGCUUUGGCUAUAUCUAAUCAAAUAAUAAGUCUAUCCGGGGUGGUUUGCCCUGGCUAAGCACCAUGUAAAGGGAUAAUUUUUUUAAAUUUAGAUCCCAGGGUGUCCUUUGUUGUGCUUUCCGCAUAUUUGUGUUGUUUUUUGGGAGCUAUAAUAGCAACCACAGAUUCUGUAAAACUGUUUUUCUGUUGUUAAACUGGGUGCUUGAACUAUCUGCCAUUGUUUAUCGACAUGUUUGAUUGAUUGCUAGAAGCUGCUAGUUUUCUCUUAAUCUGGGAUCAAAUAAUGUGCCUGUAUUUGUUUAAACUCGCGAAUUUUGUGGUUCUAAUUUUGAGUAGCCCUGUAUUGUUGUUGUUCCAGACUCUCAGAGAUUAUCUUUUAACCCUUCUCCUAAUGUUCCUUAGUAGAUCUCGGCUUUCAAUCUGUAAACUUUUGCUGCUUAAAAGCUGUGGUUCAAGUAUAUAUUCUAAUCAAGCUCAAGCUGUGGUCGGUUGCAUUAUACUAUUGUUCACCCUAUAACAGUCAAGAGCUGUGAUAAAGAACUGAUGAAUAUCGGGAAUUAAUGACACUUUCCUUUUGACGGAUGAACUAAAUAUGAAAGAGUGAUGAUCCUAUUGACGGCUUUUAUUUCUUAGAUCCACCUGCAUUGCUGAUCCUCAUUGCCCGAGCCAGACUCGACAUCUUCAUCUCCACAUGCUACCCUCAUUGCCCGAGCCAGACUCGACAUCUUUGUCUCGAUUGCGUUGUAAUGCAUUACACAAAAGCUUUUUGUGUUUUAAUAAUAUCUCUAACGAUCAAUAAUUUGUUAUUUACCACAUAUAUGGACGAGUUAUUCUCUUAUAAGGUUUUGAAGGGAAAUCUGUUUUCCAGUCCAUUAUGUUAAUAAGCUCCUGAUAAAGGAAAGAACAAUGAUAUAUAGAAAUAAUUCUCUCUUUACAUAUUUAAGUUUAUAAUUCUUUUCUACAAUUACUUCUAUUUUACUUCUUGUCACACAUUACAUAUGCUUCAAACUCUAUGUUAUGUUUUUAUAUGUUGAUCGUGAUUAUACAUUUAUUUUUUCUUUUUAUCAAAAUCCUUUGUAAAAAAAAAUUUAAAACACGCUUGUUACCCGAAAAUACUAUACACGCGCUUUCCGUCCGGUAAAGGCUAUAGACCUUUAUUCCCAAACGCAAACGCCAAAAAAUCUCCGUCCCAUAUAAAAAUCCUACUCGUGCGGACCUCACCCAAUUCCUCACUCCCUCCUUUUUAUCUCUAUCGUCUAGGGUUUCUUCCUCUACGCAACGACAAUGGCCGACGAAGCACAAUACUCCUCUGGUCCCGAUUCGGGGAACAACAAGCGCAAAUACGAAGAGCAAACGACGCCGCCUCCGCGUAGAGCCACUGGCUUCUCAGCCCCCAUCACGUCCUCAUCGCCCGAUUCUGCACCUCCGUCCUACAGCAACGUUCCUCCGCCAGUUGAUGACAUUCAGGUGGCCAAGCAGCGCGCGCAGGAGAUCGCAGCUCGAUUGUUCAACAACGCCAGUGGUGGUGUUGCUGCUGGUGGCCUUGAGGCUAAGCGCCCUAGGGUUGAGAAUGGCUUUGAUUCCAUUGACAAGGGCUUUAGCUCUGCUCCACCUGGUUCGCCUCCUCUCGUUAGAGUUUGCUUUAUUUAUUUAUUUAUUUUAUUAUAUGCUUAUUUGGGUUUAGUGUUCUCUUAGGGUUUUCAGUAGUUUUUUUUAUAGCAUACUCGACAUUAACGAGUUGAUGGUUUUAGUUUUUGCUGGGAUUUGUUUGCUAAUAAUUGAUUUGUUCCGAGGUGCUAUUUGUGUUUUGUUGCAUAUGUGUAUGCUUUGAUUAUGAAUAUGUAUGCAACAAUUGUGAUUGUGUCUUGUUGAAUGCGAUACAGAUUUGAAGCCUCACUUGUCAAACACAGCUCCUUCAUCGAUCCCUGUAUCGUAUGGUAGCUUCCAGGGCUCAAGCAAAAAGAUUGAUGUUCCAAAUGGAAGGGUUGGUGUUAUUAUUGGUAAAGGUGGUGAGACUAUCAAGUAUUUACAGACUCAGUCUGGAGCCAAGAUUCAAGUUACCCGAGAUGGUGAUGCGGACCUCAGUGCUCCAACUAGGAUGGUGGAGCUCAUGGGUACUCCAGAGCAGAUCGCAAAGGCUGAGCAUUUGAUAAAUGAAGUUCUGGCUGAGGUUCUACUUGUGCACUUAAUUUUUAUUUUUAUUUUUUAUAUUUGAGUUUUAUCAUGCAUCUGCUUGUGAUAUAUGUAAAAGUUAAUGCAUUUAAAUUCUGGAUUAUCAUCAUGGUCAUUUUUUGUGCUAAGUUUUAGUUAGAUGAGUUUUAUCAAAUUGGCUUAUAUUUCUGCAGGCUGAAUCAGGAGGUCCUGCCAUAGUUUCACGAAGGUUAACAGUACAAGCUGGUGCUGAACAAUAUGUUACAAAAAUUCCUAACAACAAGGUACAGAGGUUUUUCUGCUUUUAUCAACGUGUUCUAGGGGUUUGGUUCUUUCGGAUUGGUGACUCUGUAAUUCCAGGUUGGGCUUGUAAUUGGGAAAGGAGGUGAAACGAUUAAAAAUAUGCAAGCUAGGACUGGAGCUCGUAUUCAGGUUUGAUUUGAAUCUUGGAAAAGAUCUUGGUCUUUUCUCGUGCAAUUAUCUGUGCUUUUCUUUGUGGAACAUGAAAAACAUAAAGCAUUUUUCAAUCAGUUUUUUUGAUAUAUACCUUCUAUGUAAGGUUGUACCUGGUUUUACUAUAAUAUUGGUAUAUGUAAUGUGCCUUAGUAGUGGAAUCAAAUAUAGCAUGAUGGUUUUGAUUUGAAAGUCUGUAUUCUAUAUAGGUGAUUCCCUUGCAUCUGCCACCUGGUGACACAUCAACAGAAAGGACACUACAGAUUGAUGGGACUAGUGAACAAAUUGAAGCUGCAAAACAGUUGGUCAAUGAAGUUAUUAGCGAGGUAUGUGUGAUUAGUGUUUGCCUAAAAAUUUGGCCUUGUACACUUGUAGUUUGUUGUAGUCUGAAUUUGUUAAAUCUCAUGAGAAGUAAGCUAAAGUAGAUAUGAUUUUCUCAGAUUUUCUUAAGGCUACUUUAACUUCUGUCUAUGCCUUUAAUUUGUGCACCUCUACUUGCUCCAGUUAGUUUUUUCCCCCUCACAUUUGCUUCUUGAUUUGUAGGGCUGCAUUUAGUAUACAACGAAGUUGUUUCUUCUGUUUGGCACUGCUUCUUGAUUUGUAGGGCUGCAUUUAGUAUAGUACGAGAGUUGUUUCUUCUGUUUGGCACCCGUACUGCCCCAUAGUGCUUACUGAAAUAUGUCUACUGACCUGUUUGAAUGGUGAUUAGUCCAGUCUUUCCAAUAUAUCUUAUGUUCUAACUUAUUUUAAUAGCUUUGGUGGUCUCGCACUUUUGCAUUUUGUUCUGGUUUUAGUUUUCUUUCUUGCAGGGUACGUAAGUCUUAAAACGUAUAAUUUUUAUUUUUAAAAACUCUGGCAAAAUAUUUUGUUUAGGAGCUUCUAGAUUAUCUUUAUCUUUUGAAGUAGUAUCACCUCAUAUACAUCUUUAAUCUUAUCUAUACCUCUGUGAUUGAUUUUAUAUUGCGGAUGACUUUAUUCUACAUUCUUUCUUCCAUGAAGUUGAUUAUUGAUCUGAGUUCCAUGUCGGUUACUUGCCUUUAUACUAAACUAUUUUUUCUGAUAUGAGAUAACUUUACCAAACAUAUACCGUCCCUAUAUAUUGUAUUUGGUAGUCUAUAAGGUUGUACAUUUCACCGUGUCAUGAAAGGUGUAGAUGCUUUCCACUAUUGUAAACUCAAAUUUUUUGGCCAGUGUUUGGGCACAAUAUGUUUAAUGUUGCUCUAGUUUUGCACUUGGUAUUUUGAACAUGCUUAUGGACCCAAGUAUCAUGAGGUAUUGAGGAUUGGAUAAGUUUCUAUUGUCCUCAAUUUCCUUUCUUCAUUUUUAGUCUUAUUAAUCCAGAAGUUGUAUUUUCCGCUGAUCUUGUUACCAUGGACAGCAUAGCUGGCUGAGGUUUUAAGUUAACAUUCCAUGUGAACACUGGAAGGAGCCCGCUUCUGCAGUUAUAUAUGCGUUGAGUAUUGAAUCAUAUGCAGGGUUCUAGUUUCAACUUAGGAAACUGGAGAGCAUGGUAAUCAAUUUGGAUCUCCUAUAGAUGAAUCUCUAACUGUCUAUAUAGAACCUGCUGUGUCUUCUGAAUUGUUAUAUUAAAUAGAUAUGUUAUAUAUCUGCAAUAAGUUUCUUCUUCCCGUGUGAUUGAUGCAGAAAGUGGCUAAUUUGACCUUAAUGGACAGAGUGAAAUAGCAGGUUGAACUGCCAAAUUCUUUUAGGAGUGAUUAUUAUGACACGUUGAGCUGUUCUAGGUCAUAUGCUAGCUUAUUCAAAAUUUAGUCUGUGGAGGUCUUAUACAUACAGGUUUAGGUUAUCAAGUCACAUGGAAGCUUCCUUAACUCCAAUAAUGCUCAACGGUACAAUUAGUUGUUCAAUGAGUGAAAUUAUUGGGAUAACAGAUUGUUCUACCAUCAAUGUGCUUAUUUCUAUUGUAUCAUGUGACUGAUUUUCUUAUUGGGAACUGUUGUAGGGUUAGUUUGUAUUGGACCAUUGGUGACACCAACAUGUUAUCCUUUGUGUUGGUGUUCCCUCAGCAUCACUCUGGUAUGGUUCUAAAUCCGAUUUCUGGCAUUUAGUAAUGAUAUUGCGGAGAGAAGCUUUGUCUUGGAAAAAUCGAAGGUUAAUAGUAUAUUUCAGGAUAAUUUGAGUCCCUUUUUUUUAAUUUUUAUAAAUGUGUAAAAUAGUUGUCUUUUAACUCAAUUAAACUAAUGAGAUUUAAAUCCUAGUUUUUUUCUUGUCACUUUGAUUUUAGGCAUAAUUAUAUAGCGCUUCACCUGGGUUGAAGCUUCUAUUAAAUUCUAGAUUUUCUUAAUAUCAUAUUGCAAAUAAUUUAAUUGUUUGUUUUGUAGUGGUUUUUAAAUGUUCUGUGUUUUUAUUGUUGUGGGAAUUUCCUUAGAUUAUUUGUUUGGAAAUUGUCCUUUGCUUCCACUAACUUUUAAUUCCUUUGUCUUUUGCUGGAUUUAAUAUUUAAGUACCAUUUUAUUCAGUCCAGCUUAUUUUUGUUGAACUUGAAUAUAACAAAUCUGUCAGUUUUACCUGCUUUCUCUUCGUUCUCCUCUUUUUUUAAUCCUAUAUGAUGUCUUCUGUUAGAAAGAUAUUUUCUGAAUAUAUCACUAGACAUGAUUUAUGCUUCCUUUAUCCUGAAUUGUUCCAGUCUUCUUGUUCCUUCCCUCUUUUUUCUCGCAGUUCUUCUGUGUAUAACAAAAUGUGGAUGGAUGCUUGCUGCUUAUGUGUUAUGUGCUUAUUCUGUCAAUUUUAGAUCAGCUUCAUACUUGUGGGAAGUUGAAAGGGUCUAUUUGUGUUAGCUUUUAAGAUGAUCCCUGGAGUUUAUGUCCCUGGUUGAUGCAUACAGGUUUUUCUCUAUUGAUAAAGAUUUAUGUCUUUUACAUAAGUUUAGAUAUUUGACUUCGACUGAUUACACCUUUUUUCUAUGUUCCGUAAGUUUGGAUUUUACUGUUGAUCCCAUAAUGUGGUAAGCUAUUAGUGAUGUUUUAGUACAAGGACGAUGUCCAGAAGACUGGAAAUGUUUCUAGGAUGUCUAUUUAUUGAAGCUAAACUGAUUCCUAUGCAUUGCUUGGAUAUUUGCUAAUCUAGUCUAUUGUGUGCAUGUUGCACUUAUUGCCGUUACGUUGUUGCCUCUUGUGGCAAUUAGGGUUAAAUGUCAGUUUGCUUUUUAUGUAAAAGCUUCUAUAUAGUAUUGUGUUAUUCUCGUACCCAUUCACUUCAAAUAGGGAGAGGGUGGGCUUCUGCUGGAGUAACUGAAUUUUUACAACCACCAGUACGGUAUGUAGGCAUUUACACCUUUUUCCAAUAUAAUAUGAAAUCCAUUAAUCACUGUAAGAUGUUUUUUGGUUUUUCCUAUAUGUUAUGUGUUCUGUUGAAUCUUAGAAAUUUUCAUUUAUACAUGUUUCCAAUGUUUGUUUUUGUACAUGCUGUGUUUGUGUUUCUUUAUUCCUCCAUGUCCCAGUAUUAUGGGAAGUUCGCCAUGGUUAUUUUGUUAAAACAAUUUUCUUGCAGAAUCGUGUUAGAAAUCCAGCAAUGGCUGGAGGAUACUCUCAGCAAGGUUAUCAAGCGCGCCCUCCCACUGGCUGGGCUUCUGGUGGACCUCCAAUGCAACAACCUGGUUAUGGCUAUGGACAGUCUGGAGCAUAUUCUGGCCCAUCACCGCAGUAUAAUGCUGCCCAGCCUCCUUAUCCAGGUUAUCCCCCUCAACCAACAUCUGGUGGAUAUCCCUCCAAUUGGGACCAGUCAGCUGCUGCACCAACUCAGCAGACUUCCCAGGGAAGUGGUUAUGAUUACUAUGGCCAGCAACAACCAUCACACCAACAACAAAAUCCUGGUGGUCCCGCUGCACCCGCUGACAAUGCUGGUUACAAUUACGGCCAGCCGCCUGUUUCAGGCUAUAAUCAGCAAGGACAAGGUUAUCCUCAAGAAGGCUACGGUGGGUAUCAUGCACCACCUCAGUCUGGGUAUGGUCAGCCACCAUCGUAUGAUCAACAGCAGGGAUAUUCUGCAGCUGGCUAUGGUAAUGUGAGUAACCCAACUCAAGAUGGACAUACUUCCUCUUAUGGAUCUCAGGGGGAUUCAGCCCAAGCACCACCUCCUGUUCAGCAAGGAUACAGUGCAAGUCAACAGCCUAGCCCUAACCCUGCAGGUUACCCACCCCAAGGGUCUACUCAGCCAGGCUAUGGAGUACCCCCAACUUCUCAAACUGGUUAUGGUAGUCAACCACCAGCUCAGGCUGGAUAUGGAGCUGGAUAUGGAGCACCUCCAGCACAAAAACCUCCUGCAAAUCCCGCAGUUUAUGGGCAAACCACACAGUCGCCCAGCACUCCUGGAGCCUAUGGUCAGCCAGCACCUGUGCAGCCAGGCUACGCCCAUUCUCAGCCCCCACAAUCUGGUUAUGCUCAGCCAGAUUCUGCUACCCGUGCCCCAUCAUCCGGCUAUGGCGCAGCUCAGGCUGGGUAUGGGCCUCCAUCCUAUGGUGCACCACCCGUUGGUCAGCCGGGUUACGGGCAGGCGCCACCACCUUACAAUGCAUCUUAUGGUGCUGGAUAUGCACAACCUCCUGCCUACUCUGCUGAUGCCAAUGCAAAUGGGAACACUCGCGGGACAUAUGAUGCUGCACCUGCUUCACAGGCUGCUCAGCCAAGUGGAGUUGCCAAAACUUCCCCACAGAGUUGAUGUGUUACGGUGAGUGGGUUUUAACAGAUUGGUUAGUGCCCUUGAUGUUUUAUUGUAUUUUCUGUAGUAGCAAGGCUAGUUAGGUUAGUUUGAAUGGGACAUCGUAUUUGGUCUUAUGUGUUUGGUAUUUUGGGUUUGUAAGGAUAUGAUGAUUACAAGAAUUUGUUGGAUCUUGCUCUCUCUCGUUUUCUAUGUUCCCUCUGAAUACUUGUCCAAUCUUUUUCACUCUUGUUCAACUUCCUCUAAAUGGCGGGUGUAUUUGAUUUGUGAAGUGACAUUGAAAAUCCAAUGGAUCCCGUUUGUUUAUUAUAUUCUUGAUGUUUUAAAUGGGAUUUUAACUUGAAAACGAUACUAUUUGUUGCAAUUCUGAUGGUGGUUAUUAUUAUUAUCUUUUGGACGGAAAAAAAAACACCAUCAGAAUUGCAACAAACAGUAAAGAGUCUGAAGGAUUAUUAUGGGACCCAAAAACAAAGAAAGAUUUAACUCAUUAUUAACAAAUUAGAAGGUUUUUAUUAAGAAAUAGAAAGAUAUGCUGAGAAUGUAUUGAACAGAUUUCGAAUAAUAGUUGCUAUAAACUUAUUUCUAAUAAUAGGCGCAUAGGCACUUAAAAAAGAAUGUAUUUAUUUAUACCUGUUCACAUUUAUUUUUUCAAAUAACCUCUCUCGACGAGAUUCCGUCGGCAGAGAUCUAUCCCGGCGAAGUUUGCCAAAUAGAUCUCUCCUGACGACAUUUCGUCGGAACAGGUUCUCUUGGUUUUUUUAAAAUAAAUAUAUUUUAGAAAUAUAAAAAUAGAUAUUAAUUUGGCAUUAAAAAAAAUAUUGAAAAAGGACCCUCUUAGUUGCAUUAGUUUAUACUUUAUCGAUAUUAAUUUGGUAUAGCCGUGCGGUAUACAACUUAAAAGUUCGGCCAUUAUAUAAUAUGUGAUAAUUAUGAGAUAUAAUGUGUAUAAAACGUGAAUUAUUAAAAUUUUUGUAAAAGAUACAUGUAUUAAAAAUGAAAAUUACGCAUGUCCAUGCGUAUAAUAGCGCGGCUAUACUAUUUAUUUUUUUUUUUUAAAAAAGCGGAGUGAAGCCCUGGGGCUAUACUCUUUUUUUCUUUUUUUUUUAAAUUCGAAAAAACAGGGUAUAGCCGGGCGGUUAUACUAUUUCCUUUAAAUUUUUUUAAAAAAGAGUACCGCCACGCGGCUAUACUAUUUAUUUAAAAAAUAAAAAAAGCCGAGUAAAGCCCGCGCGGCUAUACUAGAAAAUUAAAAAAACGGAGUACAACUGUGCGGCUAUACGAUUUCUUUUUAAAAAAAUUGAAAAAACCGAGUCUAGCCGGGCGGCUAUACUAUUUCUUUGAAAACAAAUUUAAAAACCGAGUCUAGACGGGCGGCUAUACUAUUUCUUUGAAAACAAAUUUAAAAACCGAGUCUAGCCGCGCGGCUAAACUAUUUCUGUUUUAAAAAAUUGGAAAACCGAGUAUAGCCGGGCGGCUAAACUAUUUCUUUUAAAAGAAUUGAAAAACCUUGUAUAGCCGACCGGCUAUACUAUUUCUUUUUUACACAGCUAUACUAUUUCAUUUAAAAAAUUGGCAUAAACCGAGUAUAGCCCCGCUAUACUAUUUAAUUAGCAUAAUCUUGAUUUCUCAUUUUUAGUUACUUUGAUUUGUAGUUAUCUUGUGAUUAUUAUUUACUUAGUGAAUAAUUAAUAUCUAAAUAUUUUAUUAAAAUAAAAUAAUUAAUGACUAUUUAUUAAGUAAUAUAAUUUAUGAAGUUAAUUAAAAUAUUUAAUAUUAUUAUUCACUGAAAAAAUAAUAAUUAAAACAUAAUUACUAAUGGAAGUAAUUAAAUAAGGCUAAGAUAUUAUUUGAUUAGUAAAAAGAAAAUUUUGAAAAAAAAUUUAUUGACCUAAAGAUUAAGUUCUAUUGGCAAGAUAAUCAAAUUUUAUUUAAAACUACAUCAAAUAAAAUAUAUUGCUGAUUCUUAACAUUGAAAAUUGUUUACCAAAAUGAAAUUAGCCCAACAAAAAAACAUGAGUUUUAAAUAAAAUAAGGGGUUGCCCGAUUUCAUUUGUUUGGCAUUGCUGCCAUGUGAAAAUAAUCGCUGUCAGAUUUGCUGUGAGAGAAAUCAACUGUGAGAGAAAACAGUUCGGUGUUUGGUAAAUUUUUUGUUAAAAGUGUUGUUGGUAUUGACUUUACACAUAAUCAGAAAAUGAUUGCUGCAUAAUCAUUAAACCCAGCGCCUCUUCGAAACUGAUUCUUGCAUAAUCAAAAAAUGAAAGCACCUUAUUAGUUGCUUUCCUUUAUAAUUUUUCUCACAGCAAUUUUUAAUAAUAAGUGAUUUUCUCACAAUUUAUCAAACGGGUUGGGCUUCUCAAAAUUUUUAAAAAAUUACUUAUUAUCCCAAAUAAGCAAUGUCAAAUGAGCACUAAGGGGUGGCUUUGAUGACGUGGAAUGAAUUUAGUGGCGGGAAUGAACACCGGAUAGACUUCACCGGACAGUAAUAAAUUGCACGCCAAACUUUGCUUGGUCGCUACUCCACGACUGUAGCGUAAAAACCCCCAAACAAAGAAAAAAAAUACCAAAAGUUCUCUUGUAAACGAGAACAGAGCACCAGAGCAGCAAGGUAUGUUGUGCUGUUUAUGAAUCUGCAAUUUGAUUCUCUACGCAUUCGCUUGUUUCAGAUUCUUCUUGCAUAUGAUAUAUCCAUGGUUUUUAAUCUGUUAAAUUCAACUCCCACAAAAACCCAUAUCUGUCAAAAGCUUUUUUUGGCAUGGUCUGGUCUGUUUUGCCUGAAAAUUUUCACUUUCAAAUAUGGUGAUUUCAUUUUGAGACGAGACAUUAGUUUCAAGAUACCAUUUUGGUUGGUUAUCUAUCUUUAAUCCAGGGAAAGAAAAAGGAAAAAAGAAAACUGAUGAUGGCCUCGAAGCUGGUUCAAUUGCAAGGCAAGGCUACUCAAGCUUCAAAGGUUGCGGCUGAGUAUGGAUCUUCCUAUUACAAGCAGCUUUUGGAGAAGAACAGGCAUUACAUUCAGGAGCCACCCACUGUUGAAAGAUGCAACCUUUUGUCCAAACAGUUGUUUUAUACCCGUCUUGCAAGGUAAACCUUGCUUGGCUUGCCCUGUCUGAUUUCAAGAAGAUUUCUAUUAGAGACACAUUGCUUGGCUUGCCCCCUUGAUCUCUAUCAUUAUCUUUUACAGUAUACCGGGGCGCUAUGAAUUGUUGCGGAAGGAGGUUGAUUCUGUCAAACAACUGUGGAAGAACAGGCAGGAGCUGAGGGUGGAAGAUGCUGGGAUUGCUGUCCUGUUUGGCUUAGAAUGCUUUGCCUGGUUUUGUGCUGGUGAAAUUGUAGGUCGGGGAUUUAAAUUCACUGGUUACCAUGUCUAGGUUCCGGAUGGCCUUGAUCUAAUUAGUUGAUUUUGUUUUCUAUAUUUAGAUUCAUUGUUAUCAGAGAGAUGAAACUCAGAGGAACGAAUUUAUUAACCCAUCAACCAUUCUCCAUUUUAAUGUUAUAUCUAUCUACUGCGCACGCACCAUUAUGCUUUGUAUGCACCUUAUCUAGAAUUGCACUUGAAAGAUCCCAAUUUGUGGACUUUCUUAGACAUACUAGAUUCAAUGUUCAAUUAAUCUUGGCUCUCUCUCUCUGGGAAGCGACACUCUAGUUUUUCAAAUUAUUGGAAACCACCAUAAAACGAUGAUACUCAGUCUUCAGAAUCUAUGCUUUCAUAAAUCAAAGCAACGUUCACCAAAAUUAUUACAAAAAGAAUAUUAAAAAAAAAAUAAUACAUAUCCUGGAUGAAGGCCUAAAUACAAAACUUCUCUCCUAAAGAUGUUGAGAGUAGGGAUCUUUUGCCUUUUAUCUUUCCGUGUUGUACGAGAAAGCCAGUAUAAUAUUGGGUAGUAAAAUAUCGUAAUAUCCUUUAAAUAAGGUGGUUCCUAAAUGCCAUUAUCAUUUUUGGUGAAAAAAACAAAAUGAACGCCAAGAAGGAACCAAAGAACAGUUUGAUAGCAUAUCUAGCAGGGUCGUGAUCAACUUCUUCUGAGGUAGUUCUUGGGGUUGACAUGGGUUUUGCCAGUGGUGCGGCUUCAAUUACUGCAUCUGCUAGAUCCAUAAUAAAUGAAGGAGUACAGCCAAGGGCAGGCACUCGGCCCCAAUUCUCAAUGCCGGAUUCGAGGGCCAAUUCCUUGUACUCCAUAUCAAUCUCUUCAAGAGUCUCUAUGUGCUCACUCACGAAGCUGGACAAGAAAUAGAUGUCAGAUUUACUUAAUUCUCUUUUGAGUGAUAUGAAGAACCGAAAAUGUCAGAACCACAAACCAAAUGGUAUUCUCUAAUAGCCCUAGAUAUACAAGACAUCAGAGUGUCAUGAUGAAGUGAAAUACCUGACUGGAACAGCUAGCAGACUUUUCACACCUUUCUGGCCAAGCUCCACAAGAACUUCAUCAGUAUAGGGCUUCAGCCAUUGUACAGGACCAACUCGGCUCUGAUCACAACCCAAGCACAAAAUAAGGAGGAAAAAUAAUCAGAAAACAACAUUUACACAAGUUGGAGCCCUACAUGGUAGACAGCAACCAACAAAAGUUCUGAGAAUCAAGAAAGCCAGAAAAGUAAAAGCUAGAACUCAGAAAAUGGACUUUUAUAACCAACCUGAUAAGCAAGAGUAUGUUCAUUGUUGAUCCCUCUAGAUUUCAACUCUUUCAUUAUUAAGAAGAUGCACUCCUCCAUUUGAUCUUUGUAUGGAUCUCCAGCAUCCUUCACAUAACUCUCUGGUACCCCGUGGGCACUGAAGAAUAUCAUGACCUAAAUUUCAUACAAAAUUAGUAAUGCUUACCAGUGCUGUUAAGUUAGUGGAAUAACCAUACAAUAAAUUUGAAAAAUAUGCUUGAUAGCAUCAUUUGACCAAAGAGAAACAGAAAUUUAAUUCCAUUGAAAGAGCCAUUUCAGAUGAGUCCGUGAAUUAAUCAAGCGCACCUGUGCAGGCUCAGAAAAUGUUUCUAGCUCUUUGGAAAUCAAAUCAGCCAUUGACUUAAUAUAGCCUUCACGUUGAUACCAUGAGUUUAUAAUAGAAACAGGCAACCUUGAUAGGUAGGCGUCUUUCCUGCAAGUGGGCUAACAUUCAGGAAAAAUUGAACAAUGUAUAAAAAUGUAUGUAGUUACAUAAAUUGACAGUGAAAUGUCACCUGAAAAUAUCUUGGAGCACACGAAUGCUUGAUCCGGUUGUAGAGAUAGAAAAUUGAGGAUAUAGAGGUAACACAACAAGCCUGGUUAUUCUGUCUUUCUUAAUCUGCGAAAGGUAAUGGAAGAAAUUUCAGUUAUUUGAUUCACUCAAAUAGAAGAUAGAUGUAUAGAUUGAAGACUUUUAGGUGACAAUUCUAUCUUUUCACAUCAUUUACAUUAACCAAAUCAAGUAGCUUACUCCUUGGAAGUAUUAAUAUAUGAUAUGUGUGUUAUACAUGUAGAAAUUAAAGACUCACUUGCUGAACUGCUUCCUCAGUGAAUGGGUACCAGUAACGCAUUCCCACGUAGACAUUUACAGGCAAGUCUUUUGACUUCAAAGCCUUUUUGAGUUCAUUUGCCUGUAAAAAGUAGCAAAAACCAUGUAAGUGCGAAAAUAAAAGAACAAACCAACAAAUAGUCUAUUUAAUAAUAAUUCUUGCAGAGCAGUUAUUCUUUUCUUUGGUAAGGAAACAAGACAGAUUAUACAAACAAAACUAAAGGAAACAUUUCAACCGGACAAGUCAUGUAUCUGCUCUACCUGCUCAUCUGUUAUUUUUCGCAACGGUGAACCACCUCCAAUAGCAGCAUACCCUUCUUUGCUUUUGGGAGCUCGAAGCACAGAAAUUAAUUUUGCCAAUGGUUGCUGGAGAAACUGAAACAACCUUGGGAGCCGGAUGAUAUCCUGGUUCACACAACAUGGCAAUUUAUCAGUAAAAGUGUGUAAACAACUAAUGGGGACACAGACUAGGCAAGUAAGCUUGAGUAGAACAUACCGGAUCCGCAAAUAGAUUGAACAAAAAUGGUUGAACAUCUUGAAGCGUCUCUGGCCCUCCAAGAUUGAGGAGGAGGACUCCCACUUUCUCUUCCGCAGUAUGGGAAUGAGAUUCUACCGUCCCAGCGUAAGUGUAUACACCCGCAGGACAUAAUGUUUCCCCAACAGGGCUUUUCUUACAAGAAUGUGAUACCCCAAACAUGUCUCCUUUAUCGCUUGGCGUAGAGCACGAAACCGUGAGCUGUUUCGGAAGUCGCAAUCUCUUGGAUGAAUGGCAAGAGUCAAAUCCAAGGGAUCUCGAGGAAGAGCACGACCUGCCACUAAAUACAUAUACACAUUUACUCAAUAUCUCAGCUCAACAGAAACUCCGAAACUUUUAAACCAAAACCCAAUUGCCAUAACUCAAAGCUUCUAUUUGGUGGUUGUAAAAACGUAAACUUUUAAUACGAUUUUCCGGGAAACAAGAAAGCCAUAGAAGAGAAAGCUUACGCUCAAGAAAUUGAAGGACUUUCUUGCAUAAUUUAUAUAAAUAUAUGAAUCUAAUACCAUAAAAGAGCCAACUUUACUGAUCCAAACACAAAAACACAGACAAUUUUUUACGAUCGGAGGGCUUACAUCGAUAAUUUAUGAUCCGAAUGGGAAAGCUUCAUUUGGGGAAGAACCCCGGAGCAUGAGGUGGCGUUCAUGGCGUUUGGCGUCCAAAAAAUAAACACAAACUUUUCUCAGAACCUUGAAGCGUAACAGAAACGUCUCAGCACUUCUUUAACAAAGUCGCUACCCUCUCUGUCUCUUAACUACUCUACUACCUACCUUCUCACUCUGCUACUAAUUCUAAUUUUUGGUUGAAUACGUGUUUGAAUAAUUGGACCAAAAACUAACGAAUACGUGUUUGAAGACUUCAACCCCCACGUCAGCGAGUCUAACCAAAAGGCGGUUGCCAUUGUUUACCCUUUUUUUACCUGGAAGUUCGCCGUCACGUGACGUCACGUGUUGAAAUAGUUGGGCCUGGGAAAGCUCAAAAUGAUGUGUUUAGCCCAAUAUAAAAGUCAGGCCCAACUAUUUCAACACGUGGGCUUUGAAAGUGGGCUUUGACUUGAUGCUUCUUCCUCGUACACGUUUAGGGUUAGGCAUCAGCACCUAUAAAUUCGUAGUUAGCUCAGUCCCUCAUGCCUCUUCUCUUCCAUAUCUGCCUACUUUUCCAUCUGGAACUCAAAAGCUGCCUGCAAUUGUUCUCCGUUACUUGGAUUACAGUGUUGUAUGAACGCUUCUUGGUAAUUAAAUUUCAUUUGAAUUAUAUAUAUUUGUUUUGGGUUCUGGUUUCUGGGUUGUGGGUUGUGUUUGUUUUCAGAAAUUGAAACCGGGGCUCCAUAUUCGAGUCAACAGCAGGCGCCCAUAUUGGUGGCGACCCGACUGCCGCUUGGAGCCGAUAGUAAAAUUAUAGUAGUGGGUGAAGAUCCUUGAAACUCAAACCCAGUUUGUUUCAUGACACAAUAUCCACUAUACAUUUUUUCAUCUCUCUGCUGUUUUAUUUAUUAUUUUAUUUUAUUUUUCUUAAAAUAAUUUGUUAUGAUUGCAUUUUUUUUAACUGGUAAGGUAAAAGUGAAGUAGGAAGAAGUGAAUUUUGGCACUCCAGUCAGACACGGGUGUUUGUUACUGAAUUACAAUAACAAUCAACCUUUUGCAUGGUGCCUAUAAAGAGCUACUUAUCACGAUUGGAGGAAAGCCAUUCAUUUUCCACGCUUUCCUUCAAAUUCAAAGCAGCUAAAUCUUCUUAAGUAUUUUCUGGUCUAGCUUUCAGUACAUCAAGCAAAUUGGUUUUUUUUUUUUUAAAUUACAAUCUGUUGGGUUUUGAUUCUUUUGGGUCCCUGAAAACAAUGGGUUAAAGACCAUAAUAAUGUUGAAUCACCAGAAGCAGAGAUUAAAGAAGCCUCCCUGUAAAUGAAAAUAAUGAAAGAGUGUUUUGGGCUCUAAAUAUACGAGUCAACAGCAAGAACCAAUUAAAUUCCAUGGUGCCUUGACUGCCGCUUGGAGCCAAUAUGAUAUUUGCCAAUAGAAAUUGUUUAGCUUGAAAUGCUCUCUGGUUUCAUGCUACAAUCUUUGGCUACAUUCAUUCAUGAUUCAACGUCUCACUUCUCAUAAUGGGUUAAAAUUGUAGUUUCAGUGGUUGGAUUUGAUGCCUUGUUCAAUUGUUUUGUGAUGCCUUGUCUAAUUUGCUGUUUCGAUGUUUGUGUGGUUGCAGCCUUGCAGAUUGCAUGUUAGACCCGUGAUUAUCUACAAAAGGCUUGACAAACAAAAACAACCAUGAGGUGAAGACUUGUUCAAGAUUUCGAAUUAUUCUAACGGUCCGACAGUUGUGUUGAACGUGAUGUCACUCCAUGAUUCAUCGGCAUCGGAUUCACUUUUGGAUUUUCCGAAGAGUCAAGAGUCACCAAUCCAAAAGGAGCUGAGGCCUAUUGGCCGAAAGGUGGCUAAGGCGAAGAGAAGGAGUAAUUCUUGCAAUAAUACAUCAAAAAUUUUGGAGGAAAUUGUGAGGCAUGGCGCCAUGAGAAUUGAAAUAGACAUACGCGCCCAAGCAAACGAGAGGACAAUUCAAGAAGAAUAUGCAAAAGAAAGGGAGUAUAUACGCAAAAAAAAUAUUGACAAGCAAGACCGGGAAACUAUGGCUAUGAAUACAAGCCAUAUGUCCCCUGAAACAAAACAAUUUUGGAAGUUAGAACGAAGGGAUGUUAUGAGAAGAAGACUCUUCCGUGAGGAUGGACCUAGCAACACGGAUUGGUUAAAUGAUCAAAAUCAUUAAGUUAGUUUGCUUGCCUUUUAUUUCAUUGUAUUUUAAUGUUUUGUAUUAAAGUAGUUGUAAUUCAUGUAUUUUAUUUAAUUAGUAGUAAUUCUAAAUUACUUGUAUUGGUUUUCUUUGAGUGAAUAAAGAAAGCAUUCAAGAAAAUACAUUUUUAUUCAACACAUUUCAUACAUCAAACAAAAUAUAAUUUUAAAAAAACCACAAUCAAAGCAUAAUUAAAAAAAAAAAUCACAACCAAAGUUUAAUUAAAAAUAAAACAUAAACAAGGCAUAAAUAAAAAUAUUCUAAAAGUUAAUUAUUUAGGUUUAAAAAAAAAAAAACCAAAAGUAAAUAGUAUUUGUUCUUCGCUAUGACAAUAUGUGAAAACACACAUUGCUUUUUGCAAGGGCAGCCACUAUUCAUGUAAAUAGUGUCUUCCCUAGCCCCCCCCUUGCCCUUUGCCAUGGCAAAUAGGUGAAAAUGCUCUUAUGUACUUGCAAACAAAAUGGACGAAAUAAAAAGAAUUUGAGUUUCAGUCAAUCAUGCUCGUUUUAUCAUUGCCAUCAAGUCUGUAGAGUUCCCAGCGAAGAGGAAUUAUUCAAUAACAACUUACCAACAAAACCUAAAUAUCGGCACAUAUCGCCAAUGAUUCAGGCAAAGCAACAAUAAGUUCAUUAUCAGAAAGGUUGUUUACAUCAUUGUGUAGUUUGAAGUCCUAGGUUUCAAACGCAUCACUUUAAUCUAUAUUAUCAUAACAGACUAAGGUCUGGAGCAGACAAAGGGAUGAAGAAAGUACAGCUGCAACCAACAAAAUCCACCUCAAGACUUCUCUUUUCAGAUUUUUUGGAUUUAAAUACUAGUACAGUCAUGAUUUAAAAUUUAAGAAUUCAUAAUCACAGGACAUCGGUUUCUAAGAUGGCACUGAUUGAAGAAUGAUCAGGAGUCAUUAAUCAGGUUCUGGUGUACAUAAGAGCAAGUCCAGCAGUGGGAGCUGGACUCGGGCUGGGGGGGAUUUGGGCAAAAAACGGAGGUCCAGCAGAGAAGAAGCAGCCCGGGCGAGCGUGGGGUCCACCAAACAGGGCAGGCCCGAAGGCGAUUUCGGUCCGAGCUCGGGCCCGAGGUGGAUGACGUCAUUGCUGACGCCAGCGUGACGUCAACCCUUACGGAUUCAAAUUUUUUUUACCGUUGGCGCGUGCACGCGCCAACGUUAAAAAAAAUUUCGAAUUCACCGCUACAGUAGCCGCCAACGGCUACUUGACACGUGGCAGCCUCUGGUCGCUCCGAUUCGAAUUUUUUCUUCAAUCCAACGGCAUCCAAUUUUUCUGCAAUAAAAAAUUGAAAAAAAAUCGAAUUUUUUUUUAAAAAAUACACAAAAAUUACUGAAUUUUUUGUGUAUAAAUACCAACCAAUACUCUUCACUUUUAAUACCAAAUCCUCAUAUAUUUCUUCUCCUUCUACUAUUAUUCACUUUCUCCUCAAAAUUUAUUUACUUUCUAUUCAAUAUUUUUUCACUUUGAAGUUGUAUUUUUUUUCUAUCAUAUUAUGGGUUCUUCUAAUGAAAAUGGAGGGGCAUGGAGCAUGAUGGAAGAUGUUAGCUUGUGUGAGGCUUGGGUCCAAGUUAGUUUGUCCCGUAACGGGCAAUGAGAUGAAAUUUUCUCAUAUGUGGAAAAAAAUUCAUCAAGCAUUUUGUGAAAGGGCAAUUGGUUCUACACGUACAGAAAUGACAUUAUCCAGUAGGUGGAAAGUUCUUAAUAAAGAGUUGGUGAAAUGGAGAAAUGCCUUAGCAAAAGCGAUGGACAAGCAUCGAAGCGGAGAAAACCUUAGCAGUGAGGUAAAUUAUUUGUCAUUUUCCUUCUAUUAAUUUCUAUGUCAUAUUAAUUUUUAUUUAAAUGUUUCUUGCAAUUUAUAUAUUUUGUUAAUAUGUCUCUAGUUUUUUUUUUUUAUAUACAUGUUGCAUUUUUUUUUAAAUUUAUUGAAUUUGCAUUAGUUUUUUUUUACAUGUUGCAUUGCCAAUAUUUUUUAAAGUUUCUUGCAUUUCCAUUUAAUUUUUUUUUAUAGAUUAUGCAAGCUCAAAUGUGGUUUGGUGCUACGGGGCAAGGGAAAAAAAGUUUCAACCAUACCCAUUGUUGGGAGGUGGUGAAGACUUGUAAGAGAUUCCAAAUUAUUCCAACCGGUUCGACGGUAGUCUUGAACGAGACUCCACUUCAUGAGACGCCGGCAUCGGAUUCACCUAUGGAUUCCCCGAUGAAUCUAGACUCACCCAUUGAAAAUGAGCUAAGGCCUAUUGGGAGGAAGGCGGCGAAGGCGAAGAGAGGGGGUAAUUCUAGCAAGAAUGCAUCUCAAUUUUUGGAGGAACUUUCAAAGCACCAAGCCAUGAGAAUUGAAAUGGACUUGAAACAACAAGAGCACGAUAUGGCUAUUCAAGUAGAAUAUGCAAAAGAAAGGGAGUAUGUACGCAAAGAAAGGGAGUAUGUACGCGAACAAAAUAUUGAAAAAAAAGAUCGGGAAACCAUGGCCAUGGAUACAAGCUAUAUGUCCCCUGAAACAAAACAAUUUUGGAAGCUAGAAUGAAGGGAUGUUAUGAGACGAAGACUUUUUCAUGACGAUGGACCUAGCAACACGGAUUGGUUAAAUGAUGGAAACCAUUAAAAUAGUUUUUUGCCUUUCAUGUCUUAGUUUACUUGCCUUUGAUUUCAUUGUAUUUUUUUUUGUUUAAUUCAUGUAUUUUAUUUUAUUAUUAGUUGUAUUGCUUUUCUUUUAGUCAAUAAAGAAAAUAUUCAACAAAAAUCCUUUUUAUUCAAAACAUUCCAUACAUAAAAAACAAACUACAACCAAAGCAUAAAAAAAAUAAACAAACCACAACCAAAGCAUAAAAAAUAUUAUCCGAAAAUAUUAUUCAAAUUAAUUGUUUAAGUAAACAAAGUUGUGAAAAAAACAAAAAAAUGAAUAGUAUUUGCCAUGGCAAGCCCCCAACUGCUGGAAACACAUUUUGCUGGAGGGAGCUAGGGCAGCCACUAUUCACGUGAAUAGUGGCUGCCCUAGGGCUCAUCUUGCCAUGGCAAGAGGCAACCGGUGGAAAUGCUCUAAGAAGAGCCAAAAACUACACUCAGCUAUCCUCAAAUUGCAGAAACCGAAACCAGAACCAAAUUUUAAGACUGGGAAAUGUCACAAAUUCGCAAGUAUCCUUAGAAGCAACAAGAACAAUCAAAUGGACAAAGCGGUGUGCUUCCAGCAUCUGCCUUAUUAAUUCCCAACUCUUCUUCUGUAUAGAUAGCAAAGCCAUCCUGCGUUCUCUUUCGAGAACUCGACAACUUGUUCAGAGCGGCCAUCCUGGCCACGUUUUGAAACUUUGAAUACCUAAUGAACAUCUUUGGGCAAGGAAUCCCCAUUUAAAAUUUAAUUGGAAUGAUUAACAAUAAAUAUCAUUACUUAACUGUACUGAAACUUAGAUUUUUAUUAUUUACGGAGAAUCAGAGGGAUAGCAGAUGGUAAAAUAAAACUAAAAAAGAAUAAGGUUUCCUUCAUUGUGCUCAAUUUUUAUAGUUUUCAUGUUCUAGAAAAUUAAACAUGGUUUUUGAAGCAGUACAAAAGGCAGUGAAUAAAUACCUUGUCUGGUACUCCAACACUCCUUGAAAAUUUUCGACCAAAUCCAACUCCUUAAAACUACAAGAAGACGUGUUUCAAGGCUGAAACGUUGAAUAUUUUCAAGUAACUAUGGGACAAGCUAAUAUGAAAGCAAUACCUGAAUGGCUUGCAUUCCUUGAACACCUGAAAACUCAAUGCCAUCUUGGUUGAUGAACCUAUUUUAAGCAAUGCAGUCUUGUUUUUAGUAUUUUCAAAUACAAAAAAUGCAAUGAAGUGAACAUUGAACACCUAUCAAAGACUGUUUUGAUAUUUAUUUUAUUCGAACUACACCAAUAUAAGAAAUCCGGGCCUUAGGUAGAAAAUAUUAAAGUUCAAACUUAUGCACUCAUCUUGGAAGUACUUGUUCCAUCAACACCACCAAUAAUUGAAAUGCUCUUGAUCUUGACAUCUGAUGUAAAUCUAUCAGAAAUAAAUGAACAAAAUAUAACUCAAUCAGAAUGUAAAGUAACGACAUCAGAGAUAAAUUCGUCUUAGAAUGGUAGGUUUUAAUAAAAUUUCUCAAGAUGCAACGCAAAUGUUUCAAAAUUAAGUACAGCUAGUUUAACAUCAGAUAUAGCAGAUGAGCACAAGAACAAAAGAUAAUUAUAAAUGACACAAAAAUUAAUUUGUUUUAGGUGAACCUGGGGAUGCUACUAAGGUUGAAUCCCAUACUCAAACUCAUACAGAUUUGACCAUGGAGAUCUAACAAAACAUGUUACUAUUGAAAUUGAAUGAAAAUAUGGAAAAAUGGGUAUAACUACUCAACCAAUGGAUCUCCCUGUCCCCAUCCAUUUCAUGUUUAUGCAUUCUUUAACUCAUGUCCUGAAGAUAACACAUAAAACAACAAAAAUGGAUACUCACAGAAUGUAAACAAGUAACUCAGGAUCACCCUCAUUGCUCUCCAAGUGUUCCUGUUGCAGAAAGUAGGAUCAGAUGAGGCUUCACAUGCCUAAUAAUUGAAACAUAAAUUAAAACCAAUAUAUAUAUGGUAAAUCUGAACUGAACCUCAACCAAUGGUUCAUGAUCUAAGGUCUGCUGCUGUAGACAAAGGGUGAAGAAACCUCAAGCCUUCUCUUUCAAAUUUUGGACUUAAAUACUUGGUACAGUCAUGAUCUAAAAUUAAAGAAUUCAUUAUCAGAGUACAGAGAGUUAUAAGAUAACACUGGCUGAAGAAAGAUCAAAUUCAUUUAACCAGGUUCUGUUGUACAUAAGAAAAGCCGAAAACUACACUCAGCUAUCCUCAAAUUGCAAAAACCAAAACCAGAACCAGAACCAAAUUCUUUUAUGACUAGGAAAUGUCAUGAAUUCACAGGUAUUUAGAAGCAACAAGAACAAUCAAAUGGACAAAGCGGGGUGCUUCCAGCAUCUGCCUUAUUAAUUCCCAACUCUUCUUCUGUGUAGAUAGCAAAGCCAUCCUGCAUUCUCUUUUUCGGUUUAGAAAGCAGGUCCCCAAAUCCACCAUCUCUAAUCCUUUUGUCUUUCUUCUUUUUAUUCAGCUUGUUGGGGUUUUCUAUCCCAUCUCCAUUUGGAUUUUUAGGCUUUUCAGACUUUUCGGUUUCAGGUUUCUUCCUCUUCUUCCCUGCGAAUAUUUCAUCGAUCUCAGAAGUUCGCUUUUUGGCUGAAGAUGAGUGUUUUUCAAUCCCAUCUUCAACUGGUUUUUUAGCCUUUUCAGUUUCAGGUCCCUUCCUCUUUUUCCCUGCGAAUACUUCAUCAAUCUCAGAAGUAGGUUUUUUGGCCGAAGAUGAGGCUUUUUCCUCUUCUACAGUAGAUGUAUUAUCUUGCAUCUCUCUGGGAGUUUUUGAUUUACUCUUUUUGCCCAUCUUAUGGAUCCAAAAGCUGCAUGUCAUCCAGAUUACAUUACUGAGAAUUGACAGAACAGAGAUUUAAAAAGAAAAAAUGGAAUGGAAACUUUCCAUCCAAGAACAGAUUACUCAAAAACUGGAGCCCCUGGAGGCAACAACUCCUUUUGGGUCAACUUGCCAGACUAACUCAGUUUGUAAACAAUCAAAACAACAGAAGGAACAUGAAACUGGAAAUUUAGGUUACAGGAUAUCUGCUCCUCAUUAGCUUCCUAGCAACCAAACAUAACACAAACGAAAAACAGAAAAUGGAAAAUACUGAUUUCAAUUGCAAUUUCUCAGCUUGUAGGCUUUCAAUUUUCAUAGAGACGAAUUUCUGUGAAACAUGGACUUGAUCAAAAGAAAUAGCCCAAUAAUUAUUACAAAAGCUCCAAUUUUGAGAACUCGACAACAUGUUCAGUGCUAUCGAAAAUUUGAUAAAUUUCAAACAAAUGCACUGUAAGUCACAGAAACAAACACAGGAUAGUAAAGAAAGAACGCACAGAAAAAUAAAAAAGAGUUCGAGUUGUUGGGAAGCGCUAACCUUUAGGUUGUUGAUAAACAGCGAGAAAGAGUGAGUCGCUAAAACACUAUCUUGAUGAAUCUGCAGAGAUACCAGCGAGCUUUGUUGCAGAGUUGCGAGCAACGAAGUAUAAAACCAUUUAUUUGUUUUUUGUUUCUGGCGAGCUUUUUAGCUAAAACCCUAGCUUGAUGUGGGAUAUAAUUCGUUCCCACGAUUUAUGAUUUAAAAAUAAUUUGGGUUUUGCAAUUAAAUUAGCCCAAUAAUAAUAAUCCCAUAGCCAAUCGGGUUUUGAUGGAAAAUGACAUUGACUUACAGUGUGUUUGGAUGAGGAAAUUUAAAAAUACAAAGAAUUUCAUAAAUGACGGAAUUUAAUGUUCUAGAAUUUACAAAGUUUCUUGUUUUGGUAAUGGAUUUAAAAUACGGAAUUUAACCUUUAUUUGUAAAGUUGUCUUUUUUAAAAACUCAAUCUCUCUUGUAAUUUUAAAAAUGACGACUUUUAGAUAGAAUUUAAAGUUGGGAUUUAUGAUCUCCAAAUUCUUUUUUUUUUUUCCCACGCUGAAUUUCUAAAUUUAUAUAUAUUUUUAUCCAAACACGAGAAUUGGUUCAUGGCAAUUUAGAAAUUCUAAAUUUUGUCAAAAUCCUAAGUUUAUUUUCCUCAUCCAAACGCACCGUUACAGAUAAAUAGCAAAUCAAUGGUCUCAUGUUCGAACCUUCGUGGCACCUUGAUAGUGUGUGUGAAAAACCUCACCCCUCUUGUAGUCGAGACUAUCACUUGUAUUCAAUAAUAAUAAUCCCAUAUGAAAAGGAGUUAAUUAUUUAAUAAAUGAAUCAUUUGGAUUAAUUUGGACAAUAUCUUAUUUGAACGAUUCUAUCAAAUUCCAAUCCAUUUUGUACAAAAUAAUAAGCUAAUCCAGCUCAACAUUCCAAUGGAAAAGGAAGAGAAUGGCUGGCUUUUUUUUUUUUUUGGGGGUUUGAGAAUGGCUGGCUUUAAUUUUAAGAGUAGCAUUGUGCAACCCAUAAAAAAGAAAGUCAAAGAAACAUAGCACAGGAAGAGGAGCCACAGCAAAUAAAAGGAUUGUGAUGUGACAACAAUUCAAGUAAUUUCCUUGGUGUUUAUAUUAUCGAUAUACAAAGAGUGUUCCAUUCUUAAGAAGCACAGCAGGUCAUAGUUAGCAUAACUUGUUCAUUUCAGCCUUUGAACUGCUAGCAUGGCUUGAGUUUCCUCAUUCCACAUGUGAAAAACCCCCACCUUCAGCCUUUGUCCUGCAAACAAGCACACAAUUGACAAACAACAAAACCACAUACAUCAGUUCUUUUCUCCACUGGUAAAUAGUCUCAAAUUCUUUCGACAAGACAUGAAACUCUACAUUUUUUUUACUGAUAAACCCACAAAAAGUAACCCACAUUUCUUUGAAAAAGACCAAAUUUUCCGUUCCUCAAGGAUAACGAAAGCUUACUUGUGAUCGGAAGGAUUUGGCCUGAGUUCAUAAACAAUUGUUGCAACAACAUCCCUCUUCAACUGUUCAUCAAAGAAAAGAAAAUGAUGUAUUAGUUAUUUGCACAAUUAACGCAACAGAAUAUGCUCAUAUGGAAUGAAAUUACCUGAGUAGCCUCGCCUUUAAAGCCAAUGUACUCUAUCUUAGUUGUAUCACCACCAAAACUAUCAGGAAAAUGCAAUGUGAUGCUGGCCACGUUUUGAAACUUGGAAUACCUAAUUAUACGGAGAAAUGUUACAUUAGAGGGAUAACAGAUGGUAAAAUAAAAAUCAAACAAAACAAAAAACAACAAAAGAACUCAUUUCAGUGGCAAUUCAAAGUAAUUUACCGUCACUGUUCAAUUUGAAAAAGAAUAAGGUUUCUUUCAUUGUGCUCAAGUUUUAUAGUUUUCAUGUUCUAGAAAAUUAAACAACAUGGUUUUUGAAGUAGUAGUACUCCAAAAGGCAGUGAAUAAAUACCUUGUCUGGUACUCCAACACUCCUUGAAAAUUUUCGACCAAAUCCCACUCCUUAAAACAAUAAGAACACAUGUUUCAAGGCUGAAACGUUGAAUUUUUUCAAUUAACUCUUGAACAAGCUAAUAUGAAAGCAAUACCUGAAUGGCUUGCAUUCCUUGAACAUCUGAAAAGUCAAUGCCAUCUCGGUUGAUGAACCUAAUUAAGCAAUGCAGUCAUGUUUUUAGUUUUUUCAAAUAUAAAAAAUGUGAUCGAUAUUGAACAUCUGUCAAAGACUGAUUUGAUAUUUAUUUUGUCAGAAUCAUAUAGAACAAGACUCGUGAUCAGUACUAUUAAAGUUUGAACUUACACCCUCAUCUUGCUAGGACUUGUUCCGUCAGCACCGCCAAUAAUUGAUAUGCUCUUGAUCUUGACAUCUGAUGUAAAUCUAUCACAAAUAAAUGAAAAAAAUAUAGCUCAAUCAGAAUGUAAAGAAACAACAUCAAAGAUGACUUCAUCUAAUAAGUUGGUGUCAGAAUGGUAUGCUUUAAGAAAACUUAUCAAGAUGCCGACCAAAUGUUUGAACAAUAAAUACAACUAUAUUAAGCAUCAGAUAUAGGAGAUGAGCACAAGACAAAAGGAUAAUUAUAAAUGACACACAAAUUAACAGUUGUGUUUUGCUUUAGGUGUACCUGGAGAUGCUACUAAGGUUGAAUCCCUUACUCAAAACUCAUACAAACCCAACUAUGGAGAUCUAACAAAAUCAGACACAUAUUAUCAUUGUAAUUGAAUGAAAAGAUGGAAAAAUGUGUAAAAGUACUCAACCAAUGGAUCUACCUGAUCCCAUGCAUUUCGUAAUUAUGCAGUCUAUAACUCAUUUCAUGAAGAUAUCACAUAAAACAACAAGACGGGACACUCACGGAAUGUAAACAAGUAACUCGGGAUCACCCUCAUUGCUCUCCAAGUGUUCCUGUUGCAGAAAGUAGAAUCAAAAUGAGGCUUCAUAUGCCUAGUAAUUGAACAUAAAUUACAACCAAAAUAUAAGGUAAACCUGAACUAAAUCUCAAUCAAUGAUUCCUACAAAUUUUCGUAAAUGUCAUUCUGAGCUUUCAAGUAGAUUAACUUAUGAAGUUUGGAUCAUUACUUUUAACAAGGACGUAUAGAGAAGUAAAUAGAUAGCUCAUUACCCCAGUAGAAUUCAGCCGUUGCUCCCAAGCUUUAAAAACCGACUUGACACUUCCUGGAACCGCCUCAUUCAAAGCCGAAACCUAAAAACAGAAUAAGACAUUCUCUCAAGGAGAACACGUCAUCAUGUCAAUCAGCAAGAGGAAGCUCCAACGAAAUAUUAAUUUACAAAAUAACAAAGUGUGAAAAUAUUGCAAAGUAUAAAUCACCCCACAUCAACAAUCAUCAAUUACCAGUCAUAUAGCCACCCACAACCAAACUGCCCAAACCACAACACACAAGCACCCGUCUCCCAAAAAAAAAAAAAAAAAAGUUUCUAAACAUUUCUGGAAACUAGCAAUAACAGCAUCUGCAUGGAGUAUCAUUAACAAAGCUUCAUAUCCAACUAUUUUCAUUUACAACCAAGAAGCCUACACAUAAGAACCAUUAUGCUUACGGAUAAAUGCUUAUGAGAUUCAGCAUUUGAGCUUGAGGGUUUAUGUUGAUCACUGUUCUUUCAACUAAUUUUCAUUUGGGCACUUCCAGAUAAAACCAAAACAAUCACAAAAUGGGAGCAGACUGAAACGUACCAGUAUACGCAGAGCAGCAGUGUGAUAGCUAACAACGAAAACAUAGGAAUAGAAAAAUUAAGACUGAGCAAAGAAAAAGGCAGAGAAAUAGGACCUUGGGGAGGUCUAUAUGCUUGUAGAGAGACCAAUCAGAAGAACAAUCAUGCUCUUCGCAGCUGUGGUCAUGUAAGCAAGCCAUCUCUCUCUUUCCCUGGAUCACCAAAUUUCUAAGAAGCAGCACAAAAAGGCGAAGAAGAAAUAGAAGCAACCAGAAAUAGGGAGCGAACCGUGGCUUUUUCUGUGCAUAGUGCCGAAAAGGCCCUUGUAUCGGUACAAUAAAACGCACCGUUUACCUGUACAUAUAUGUCCUUUUAGGCUUUUACUGUGAAAUGCAAACGAGACUGUUUUCGCAAAACUUUCUUCUUUGCUUUCAUUUGGGAAGUUCAGCUCUGAGCUCUGUGAGAGAUGGAGGAAAUAGUAGAAGGGGACGGGUCGGGUGCGGGCAGAUACACGCUGAGACCAACGAGGCUAAGCAACGAGGACAUUCUGUUCUGUAUAGAUGUUGACCCAGAGUCUAUGGUGGAGAUGAAAGCCGCGAUGGGCCCAAAUGGGCGACCUUUAACCCGCUUGGACUCGAUCAAGCAAGCCAUACUUGUCUUCAUCAACGCCAAGCUCACCAUCAACCCAGAGCACCGAUUCGCCUUUGCCUGUCUCGGAAAGUCCGCGUCUUGGGUAGGUUCUCUCUGUUCAUCUCUCUCUUUAUUGCUUGGUUUCUGUUCGGUUUCCGAGAAAAUUUGCGAUCAAGGGCAGAGGAUUUUAUGGUUAUUAUGUGUUUUUUAGGAAUUGAACUCCUGGAAACCAUGAUUAUGGCUUUGGGUCAUAGUUUUGAGGUUUUUUGUGAUAUAUACGGUUAUGGGUAGAUUAAAAUUUUCAUUUGCAGGAAAUGUAAGCAAUUGCGUGCCAUGAAUUUGGUUUCUGGAUGAAUCAAUGAAGGAAAAUUAGUUUAAAUCACUAUUUUCAAGUAGCCCAUUGUACAGAGUCUCACCAAGUCAAAAACGUUUUGAUAGCAUGAAAGAGUUUAGACAGAAGUGUGAAACCCACGAUACAAUAUGGGGUUGCUGUGCAUGUAUAUUUAUAAGAAGUACUACGUCGGUAAACAAGAUUUGGAUAUGAACACUACUACUGAGGAGGCUUAUCAGAGAAUACUAAUGAUGAACCCUUGAAAUAAAAUACAUGAUAAAUAUAAACAGAUAAACACGUGAGGAAACUAAGCAGGUAGCACUUCUAUCAGUUUUCCUUUGAUUAAGCUUUGGUCACUUUUAUUGAAUGCGGGUGAGAAAUCAAUUCCUUUACUAUCUGUUAAGGAGAUUUCGGAUCUUGAUCAUAGUUUCAAAGUGUACUUUCCAAGAAUCAUCCGCAUACCUUGAUCAUUUUUGGUCCUAGACUUAUUUUAUGGGGUGCAGUACCAAGAAUCGUUCACAUACCUUGCUGUAGGGUUGAGUUUUGAUGCAUGAUAUGCAUAAUUAUCAUGCAAAUACCCCAUUAGUAGUAAAUAUUUAUGCAGUGUAAGCAAACCUUCUGCAGGUCUUUGUUCAAAACACUCAAUUUAUCCUUUGUGUCUGUUUGUUUGAUUUAUGUUUCUGUAAUUGAUUUGGAACCUUUUGUUUUUCGUUUUUAUGAAGCUUCGGAAAGAGUUUAGCAGUGAAGUCGAUUCUGCUAUUGCUGCAUUUCGAGUACUCUCAGCUACUUCAUCUUCUAGUAAUGCAGAUCUUACCAGUCUAUUUCGAGUAGCAGCUCAUGAAGCAAAGAAAUCUCGUGCUCAAAACAGACUUUUAAGGGUGGUAAGCAAUGGUUGGCUUAACUUUUCAUGCAAUUACAUUGGUUAAUUAUUACAUCCGUGCCAUUGUGAUAUUCCAUCUUAUCCCUUCCAUGAUGUUGAAAUUUUUGUGUGUUGAUUGCUAAAGGCUGACAUGCUUGCCCUUAGAUUCUUAUUUACUGUAGAUCAUCUGUAAGACCAAAUCAUCAAUGGCCUGUGAACCAGAAACUCUUCACUCUGGAUGUAGUUUACCUUCACGACAAGCCUGGACCUGAAAACUGCCCUCAAGAGGUCUAUGAUUCACUUGUGGAUGCCCUGGAACUUGUUAGCGAAUAUGAGGGCUACAUCUUGGAGAGCGGUCAGGGAUUAACUCGAGUUCUCUUCCGUUACAUGUGCAUGCUGCUAUCACACCCUCAGCAGCGUUGCCCACAAGACCAUCUGGACAUACCUAAGCCUCUUGCGAAAAAGUUGCCGGCAGCAGAUUCAACGACUACUGAUGAUAGUAUUAUAACUGUGUCCGGCAUAUCAGAAGUUCAGAACAUUAGAAAUUAAUUUUACUGAGGUCAUUUUGCUUCUAAAAGUCUCAUAUGUAUGUAGUUUGUCUGAUGUUGAUGUAAACCUCUUGUUGAGUGAGAAUGAGUAGCCGAUUUGAUCUUGGUCCUAUCUGUCUGUACAAAUUGUGAAUGUUAUGAAUCCCAAUGUUUAUUUUAACCUAUCUGUCGAAGAAUUUUUUAUGACAUUCAAGAUCACGUAAAAUAUAGCAAAAGCAAGAAGUUCUUAGUACUAGUUUGUAUGUGUAUCCCCAUUAAUAUGAAGAGGGAGGUGGGAGCUGGCUUGCUACGCCGCGUCACACGGCACGCGGCAGCUAGGCAUAUUAGACGUCGAAGGAUUCUGGCAUUAAAUGUUAAGCAUUUAUAAACUUUGCCAAGGCUCAAAUUCUCCCAUAAGCAGCCUAAAAUGAGGAUGUUGUAAGUUGAAUUUUGCUACAUAGAACUACAUUCUCGGAAAACAGCUUAGUUGCCACUUUGCCAGUCACAUCACGAGACAUGUGUCGAAAUCUCCCCCGCUCGAAAAAAUAAAAAAUAAAUAAAACAAAAAAAAAAGGUAAGCCUUCCUCAAAGUCUAACGCUACUAGAUUGAAAGGUGAAAAAACUUGAUUGCAUAAGUAUACUACCCAUUGGUAUUGAUGAAAGACUUAUGAGGUUUGAAAUUAAAUCUUUCAAGUUCCCCGCAGAACCCUGCCUUGCCCUUUGGAGUGAGGCUAAGGUUUUCUUCUCUUAUUAAAAAAACCAAUCGACUAUUAUUUGCAUUCCCACAAAACCGUAUGACUCAUUGCUUCCAAUGGUGAGGUCAACAUAUUGGUAAUCAGAAAGAAAAAAAAAAUGCAGAGCUCGAAAAGUUGAAAUGAUAACCAAAAUCCCUCAUCCAUAUAAUUUUUUUUAAGUAGAAGUCAACUUGGAGGGAUGAUCUUAAUCACACAAAUUGUCUGUGACAUCUCUAGAAUUAGUUUUAGUAAUGAAAUAAAUCGUUUAACUCUUUCGCUCAAGAAAUCUGCCGGCAUGACGUGUCGCUUGUGCGUUCCUUGUCCACUUGUGCAUGCUUAUAUAUUGCUUGCACGAGUACAAAGAAAAACUCCAGUUUGAAAAACUUUUUAUACUAAAAAUAAACCCUAAGCAUUAUUAAAUUUGUAUUGUUUUUAAAGUUUGACCAACUGUUUUGAUCUUUUUUUCAUGAACUUGUCCAAGCCGUUCUGGCGCUCUUUAACUAUUAUUAGUCUUAAUAAUCUAUUUCUAAUUGUCAUGAGUCAUGACCAAUCUCCCUUCUCUGUAAAGUGCAUCAAGUUGGUCAUGUCAACUCAUUCUUUUCUUUUUACAAGUGAUGGUGGGGAUAACUAGGUUAACACUUAAAAUUGCUUCCAUCUUCACCUACUUGAAUGACAGAAGAACAUGGGCUCGUGCCUUGUGGGUCACUUAUCUUAUCUUAUUUAACUUUUUUUUAUUGCUUUUAGGUGAAUCGACUGCACAAUCUUAAAUGCAUGAAUGAAUGCUUUAAACUAUUUAAAUUACGAGCUCUUUAUUGUGUUCCUUAGACAGAAGUUAAAACCAUCAUGAUUUGCUGGUUUUGAGUUGGUUAAUUAGUGUUUACAUGGUGUGAAUGUAAAAGUAAAUGGUAAAUGGCUUACAUAGCAAGUUAGUUAUAUAUAAGUUAAAGAAGACACCUCUCAAGUGGUAUGCGAAUCUUGGGGUGGCAUAAAAUAAUUGAGAAUUUAUUUAAAUAUAGUCAAAUUAUUGAAGCUCCUUCAGCUCUCUGUGGAGCCACUUUAAUUUGCUCCAAUAGAUGAUCAUUUUGCUAACAUGUGCCCUUUAUAUUCAUGAUUAAAGAGAAGAGGACUUCAAAUGAACUUUGGACUAUAGGAGAUAGAUAGGAGGAGGAGGAGGAGGAGGAGAUAAAGGAAAAAUCCAUUUCCAGUUUUAAUGGGACUCUGCAUAUCUUCUUCAGCUCACAAAAUUCAGGAUGGCCAUGAAGCUCCAAUGUCCUUUGAAAGGACUGACGAUUCUAAUGGAAUUCAGAUGCACGGUUCCCUUUAUUCUUUGGAAGGAAGCAAAGGAGUAAACCAAGAUAGUGCCAUUCUUUACCAGGUUUGUGAAUAUUUCUUUCCCCUUUAUUAUAUGGAAGGAAGCAAAGGAAUUGUUCUGUGUGUUUCUCUAGCUGCUCAUUUCAAAACCAUAUUGUUUGUUUUUCGCUUUGUCUAUACAUAAAUAUAUAGAAUGGCAAGGCUUGUUUUCUUAGAAAAUCAUCAGCAAUUUCGUUUCAAAAGCAUUCAUGCAAAGCAUGUUGCAUAAUCGGGUUUCAUAUUAUUUUACUAGGCUUCUGAAAGUCUGUUGAUUAUAGCUUUAACCUCUUCUUAUUUUUCUUGUCUUUUCAAUAGGGCUAUGGAUUGGAAGCUGAAGCUUUCUGUGGAGUUUUCGAUGGACAUGGAAGAUUCGGGCACCGAGUGAGUCAGCUGGUGAGAAGCAACCUGCCAUCACUCUUACAAGGCCAGAUGAAAGCUCUUGAUCAACAAGCCAUUGCAGUAGCAGAGGAUGAUGAUUCGAAAAAUCACAUUGACAGAAUAGAAACCGAGUCAGAAGAUUCAGAACCAAGCAAGAAAUUUCACAAAUGGAAAGAAGCCUUUGUUAGCUCCUUCAAAGUCAUGGACAAGGAGAUUAAGCUUCAAGAAAAUCUGGACAGCUCUUGUAGUGGAACCACUGCUGUUGUUGUCAUAAAACAGGUGAGAAAAACUACACAUGAUCAUUGAACAAAUUAUUUAUCUUUCUUUAUUUCUUUGUGUUCGGCUUUAAUUCAAGAAUCAAACAGGGUGAGGAUCUUUUUAUAGCUAAUCUGGGUGACUCAAGGGCAGUCCUAGGAACCACUAGAGAGAAUGGAAUUGAGGCCAUUCAAUUGACCACUGAUCUAAAGCCUGCUUUACCUAGUAAGAAGUUCAUCAUUUUUUUCCAUUUUUUUCCUCUUGUUUAAUUUGAAGUGAUUAUCUGACAGGUGAUCGUUUUUAAUGCAGGUGAAGCAGAACGAAUAAGGGCGUGUGAUGGUCGAGUGGUUGCACUAAAGCAAGAACCUAACAUCCAAAGAGUGUGGUUGCCUCAUAUUGACCUCCCAGGCCUAGCCAUGUCCUGAGCUUUCGGAGACUUCAUACUCAAGGACCAUGGCAUCAUUGCCACCCCUGACGUCUCCUAUCGCCGCCUGACUUCCAAAGAUCGAUUUGUCGUUCUUGCAACGGAUGGGGUAAGCCCUAUUGGAAAUGAAAUGUGUACUUGUUAAGAGUUUUAGCGUUGCCAAAGAAAAAAGGGCACAGUUGCUUUCCUAUGAAUGGCAUUUUAACCACAAUGAUGCGUUUUGUUCUUGGGCUUGGUAUUUAGGUUUGGGAUGUGCUCAGCAACCUUGAAGUUGCAUCCAUUGUGUGGGAAGCUGAUAGUGCACAAGCAGCGGCAAAGGCGGUGACGGAGACUGCGGUGGCCACAUGGAGAAGGAAGUUCCCUUCUGCUAAGAUAGAUGACUGCACUGUGGUUUGCUUGUUUUUGCAAGACAAACUACAUGAUCAUGUUGUGCCUGUAAAGAUAUGAGCUUUUGAGCAAUGCUUGUUGCUUUGUGAUCUUUUUUUAUCUUCAUACAUUUUAACACGACACUAUACUUUUUCAAUUUCUGAUAAGCUAUACUUUUUCAAUUUCUGAUAAGCUACCCGUCCAAUUAUGUACAUAAGCCCACAGGUUCCAUUUUUGGUUAAGACAACAGUUGCUUUCAAGAAUAAAUUUUUGGUCAAAUCAUCCGCCAGUAAAUGAAAUCUUUCAAAACCAAACAGAACCAUUGGCAACCUUCAAAAUGCUCAGUAAAUUUUCAAAAUGUCCACGAAUAAACAAUGAUGUUUUGAUUUGUUUUCUCCAGGCAAUUCUAGAAAGACAUCACAGGGCUAGAAAUUCAUGAACAUAAAUAUAAUAAGACUUGACAUAGUGGCAAAAGGCAUUCUUGAAAUUUCAUUGAAAUGCUUUUAAUCACAAUAGGAUAAGGCCGAUAAACUUCAGUUAAACUCUUUAAUAGGGGAAAAGAAUUAUGUUGCCUCCAGGCAAACGAAACAAAAGAGAACUUUCUGCAUAUAAAAACCCCAUUUGUGAGUAAACUCAAUGCCUACCAUCUGGAUGAAAAAAUAGAAACAGAAGAUCCCGGGCGAAUAUAAAUCCAUUUCCUCUAAUAUUCAAGUGCAUCAUCUUUGGGCGCCUCUCCAAGCAGGUCAUCAUCAUAUGAAACAGGUACCCUUAACCUAUCAUGAACAGAAAGUUGUUUCCCUUCAGUAUUUGACUGAAUGCCUUGAGUUUGCAUUUGACAAAUAACCGGUACGGCAUCUGAAAUAUUAGCUGGAGUAUCAUCCUUGAAUGAAUUCACAAUUGCUUUAGAUGAACCUUCUUUCCCUUGCUGUAUUGGUUGUCUAUUAUUUGUUGACCUGAAUUGCUUCUGCAUGGAGAUAGAAAACAUAAAAAGUAAUCAACGAUGCUGUAGUUUUACACUUUUUCUAAUAAAAGUGAUAUUUAAUUGACGUUUGGGAAAUAACAUCAGAAACAACACUAUGAAUCUAUGAUCCACUACUGCGCACCUCAAAUUCCCUUCCUUUUUUCAUUAUCUCUUUGUAGGCCUUUGGUUCUCGUGCUUUGAUGAUACUCCAUAGUACUCCACCACCAAAUCGGAAACGUUUGCCAUCAUGAGUCAUCUGACCUCCACAAGCCUGGAUCGCAUCCACCUGAAAUUUUUCAUCAUUUCACAAAUGAUAUCCUAGAUACACCAUGGUUUCUAGCAGGGAAAAAGUAUCCAUUCUCCUGAUACUGGAUUCCAUCCGGACUACAAAUAACUAAUAUACGAGAAACAUAGAAACACUUGUAACAACCACAUUUAAUAAAAUUCAGAAAUUACUUAACUAAGGAUAUCGUUCCCUACAAUCAAAGUAAGCUCAAAGAUGUUCAUAAUCACAAAAGUUUCUGUAAACCAUCUCCGGAUAGAGCUUAUGGUUCCUGGGGGAGGAGCAAACAUGAAUGAUGAGCUUUUUGGAGCAAAAAUAGAUGUGUAUUGCUUUGUUACGCGUAUCUAUUAGAGUACUCUUACAUGUGUUUUGCAUGCAUAUUGGCUAAUGCAACUCCAAGAAAAAAUGAUAUCAACCUACACAAAUAGCAUAUGAUGAAGUGGUUCAUCCAGGGGACAUCACAGCUCAGAGCACAAGAUUGAAAGGAGUAAAAUGGCUUCUGCAAGAGAAAUCUGCAAGGGUAGGGAAACAAUAUUGAGGAUCAGAAAUUAUGCAAGGCUGCGUGGCCAAAUAGUGUGCAUAAGCAUCGGCAGCUCUAAGCUGGUCCAAAAUUAAGCAACCCAGAAUCUCACCUUCCCUUGCAAAAGGCCAGUCGAAUCAUUCAAGUCCACUCUCAACAAAGGAUACCCUGCCUUCCCCUUGAAGCUAUAAUGUGAAGGGAACUUAAAAAGGGACAGAUGGCUCAGAAGGUAAAGACAACCUUAAAAGUACCCCAUAAAGCAUAACCAUCCUCCCAAUAACAGGACCCCCAAUUAGCAAAAAAACCAGCGUGUUCAAGAAUCUAUAGAACAGAAUUGGCACAGACAAUAUGAUAGGUGAUUUUUAAUUGACAUCACUGAAACCCAGCUCUGAGUGCAAAUCCCAUGUUCUGAACAUGAGCAGCAAGGUCGGAUCAUCUUAAAGCUAGAUGUGAAGCGGAGUCAAGGCAACCUUAAGAAGUACCCAUAAAGCACGCCCAGACACAACCCAUUCACCCAAUAACAGGAUUACCAUUAGCAGAAAGACCAAGAGUGCUCAAGCAGGUACAUAAUAGAAUUACUUUGAACAAUAUAAUAGAUGAUUUCAAUUGAGAAUAUCACUGAAAACUCCACUGAAAGGUAUUGGGCACAAAGCACAUGUUCUUAAACUGACAGCAAGGUCGGAUCAUCUAAAAAUGCACAUUAAUGCAGAUAAACAUGUACCAAAUUUACAACCAGUUGCUAAUGGCGUCUGUCAAGGAGAUUUUCAGAAGACAAUUACAAAACAUAAUGCAAUGCACACGUAGUUGCGUAUAAAAGAUAAAGAAAACAAUCCCCAAGUUAUAUAAUUUGCUUUGUCACAGCAUUUCCACAAAAGCACACAACGAAGGGCAGCAUACCUCUUUGACGAGAUCAUUCAAUGCAAGAACACCCAGACAACCAACAGCAGUAUAUACCAGAUAUGAUUUCUUCUCUUUCAGUCGCCUACAUGUAUCCAUCACAAACCUGAAAAAGACAUAACAUUAAAAGAAUGUAAAAACCCACAAGAGAGCUCCAAAUUCCUUUUGAAUAUAUGUAAUUUCUUUCGUUCUUAAUCGGGCAGGGCAUAACCUGUCUAUGUCAGUGACAUUAAUUCCAGGGCCACUGUUCCUUCUCCUAUUCCUCUUCUUCUUACCCCUGCGCUUCUGAUUCUUGCCCUGACGUUCUUGGUUUGCUACACUGACAUUGCCACCACUGAUCUGUCCCGAACCAUUUUGUGAGUUAAAAUCCACAAGCUCCCCUUCUUCCACAAGCUCUCCUUCUUCCACAUCAAGCAUCUCAACAUCUUCGCCAUCUUCAAAGUUAUCGUCUUCAAAUACUGCGUCUAGUAUGUUGUGUUCUCCUUCCAUAUAAGGUUUUCUUCAAUGGGGGGAAAAAACGCACCACAAAAUUUAUAAGCACCUACAGAGCAGAAAGCAGGAAGAAAACACGCAGAUUUCCACAGACGAGACAAAAACUGCAAACUCGUGCAAAUUUUCUCUAUGGCAAAUCACCAAACAGAUUAUGCGAGCCCUAACCAGAAAAAAUCACAAGUACAACGAAAACAAAAAAAAAAACGUAAAUAAAUAUUUUUUUUAAAAACCGAUGUACGAACCCUAACAAUGCAAAAACAAACACAGCAAUUCAAAGCUUAUGGAAUUUUCCAAUUAGAGUGCUCUGCUUAAGGACGAUGAAGCAUAACCGCGGCUUUUGGCGUUUGGUUGAUCAGAGGACUGCGUUUCGCUGGUAUGGUCUUUAUAGUGAAGCCUAGAUGAGCGCUGGCGGUAAUCAGUAAUGGCUUGUUUGGCUGCGUGGCAAACGAUGAUAUUAAUCCGGAUUGGGUUAUAGGUGGAAAGGCCCAACCCAAGGACGCUUUGCUUAUCUGUACUGAGCGAGCCCAAAAUGGCUGAAACUUAGUCCAUCCCCAAUCUAUUAGUGAUAUUUUAUGAUUUGUUUUUGUUGAAUACGUAAUUGUUAGUAGGUUAUCUGUCGACGUUUGAUUUCUUUUCAAUAGUGGGCCAUACGUCAUUGGCCAAUCCGUACGAGUCCACAACAAAACUGAGUUGAUGUGGAUUGUUGAGUGUGAAAUUUUGAGGAGUAAGUUUUGGGUGAAAAGCUCGGACCACGUAAUCUAUCUGUCCAACUGUUUUCAUAAGAGGGUAUAAAUUUUAUUGAGCGCCUGUCGGACGGAUGACAUGGUUUUAGAGCAAAGCCAAGCCCAACCUCAUAUUCAGACACCAUUGAUUGGAACGGGUAUGAAGUGGAAAUACAGGCCUUCCUUUAUCUUGUUCAGCAAGCAAUGGUGCAUUUUUGUCCUGUAAUUCAUAAAUCUAAUAGAUGCCCUUUGUCUGCAUCAUCACUUUUGUUGUAUUCUUUAAAUUAUACCUACCUUGUUUUCUACCUAUUCAAACGAGGGGAAGGUGGGCAUGAUUGGUACCAAAGUUUCAACCUAACGUUCUUCAACAUCUAGUAGCUUUUAUAUUAUAAAGUUAAAAGAAGAAAAAUACAAAAAGAAAACUCAUUAGAGCUUCCAGCUCUUGUUUUGAAUGAUGAUAGAUUAAGUCUGAUGUUGGGUUGAAAUAUUCUUUAUUAUGGCUAACUUAGCAUUGAUGUGCUAUGAAAAUAUACGCUGUUAGAUUUAUUGUGAGAAAAAUCAACAGUGAGAUAAAACAAUUUGGUGUUUGAUAAAAAAACAAAAGGGUCCCCACUUGCUCUAACAACAAAAAAACUAAAAAUCUUGCAAGUUAACUAAAGAAACUGUAUUCUUUAAUAAAUGAAAUUUCCCGUUAUUAUCUAUAUAUAUAAAGCAAAAGGCAGAGAAUGGUGAAACAUUCAAAAUACCAGAAAAUACCCUUGGUUAAUGCAAAUAUUAAGAAUUGAAAUUAUUAAUUAAAUGAGGAUAAUAUGGUAAAUUCACAAUUUUUCGUAUUAAAAAAAUUAAAAUUAAAAGAAAAUUCAGAUAAUGGAUCCUAUUUUUAUGGAACACAAAUAUCCAUUAUCUUUUUUAAUUCUAAAAUAAAUUUAAAUUUUUUUAAAAAAAAACCUCUCGCAUGCGCAGAAGCGCGUGCAGAGAGGCUAGUAUAUAUAAAGCAAAAGGCAGAGAAUGGUGAAACAUUUAAAAUACCAGAAAAUGCCAUUGGUUAAUGCAAACAUUAAGAAUUGAAAUUAUUAAUUAAAUGAGGAUAAUAUGGUAAAUUCAUAAUUUUUCGUAUUAAAAAAAUUAAAAUUAAAAGAAAAUUCAGAUAAUGGAUCCUAUUUUUAUGGAACACAAAUAUCCAUUAUCUUUUUUAAUUCUAAAAUAAAUUUAAAUUUUUUAUAAAAAAAACCUCUCGCAUGCGCGGAAGCGCGUGCAGAGAGGCUAGUACGAAUUACGGGUGAAAAAACCAGUGGAAUUAUACGGCGCCAACACUGUAAUUCCCGCAAUAAUACGGUGCCGACGUGUACGCUCCAGAUUGCACCCCUUUCCAAUUAAAGAGUGAGCUCACUGGGGCCCGCAAUCAAUCAUCCAAGUCGCAUUGAAAAAGAGAACCCACGUGGUCACCAAUAAAUAUCAACUCCUCCUCCGACCUUCGAUCUUUGUGUUAUAUGUCAGCUCCACCAAUCAGAUAUCCUCAUACCAAUUUGACCGGAAACCGCCAUGACUCGGUUGGCUAGCGCCGUCGUCCUGUUGUUCCUUGUCUCCCUCUCCAGUUUCGCUGCCGGUAGCCGGGACCUGAUCGGAGACGUUUUACGGUUACCUUCUGAAGCUUCUAGAUUCUUCGGCAGAGGCGAUGACGGCCCUGAUGAGCAAGACGACGGCACCGUGGGGACCAGAUGGGCUGUUUUGAUCGCUGGCUCAAAUGGAUACUGGAAUUACAGGCAUCAGGUCUUAAUUUUACACGAUAUCAUCUUUCUUAAUUCAGAAAUAUUCUUUUUUGUUAUCAAACUUCAGUUGUUAAUGGAAUUUGAGUUAUAAUUUUGGAUGUUAAUUUCAAUUUUUUUUCCCUUCAUGUUUUUUGAAUUGUUUGAUAUCUGAAUUUGGGUAACCUCAUAUUGGAAAGUUUAUGCUUGUAUAAUCUCGUUUAAAUUUGACUUUCAGCUUAUCCAAUUUCUGAUUCUUUUACCUUGUUGCUUUCGAAUUUGUCAAACUAAAUUUUGGAAGCUUAGAGUUUGUUUUGGAACUAAUAUGAAUUUAGCUCAAGCUUGUGUCUUUCUUAUCUUCCUUGAUCUCAUCUCAUUUUGACUAAGACAGAGUUUUAAAUUUACAUGUGGCUUGAGUUUGUUUUGGAACUCAUAUGCAUUUAGUUCAAGUUCGUUUUAUUAAUUAUUAUAUUCCUUGAUCUCAUCUCAGUUUGAAACUUUGACAUGGAGUACAUGAUCUCAACGUUAACCAUAUUUGUAUAGGAGCUGGAUUUCUGUGUCAGGGGUGAAAUUGAUACUUUUGUUGUGUCUAUAUCUUCAUAUGAAUGUCAAUAAAUAUCUUAUUGGUUUCACAUAUUUGAAAGCUAAGCCACCCUCAUUUCUUGAUUGAUGUUUAACACGGACCUUUUUAUCUUGUUUGUUUAGGCUGAUAUUUGCCAUGCUUAUCAACUACUGAAGAAAGGUGGGCUGAAAGAUGAAAACAUUGUUGUAUUCAUGUAUGAUGAUAUCGCUUAUAACGAAGAGAACCCUAGGCCCGGAGUCAUCAUUAACAGCCCACAUGGUGAUGACGUUUACAAAGGAGUCCCAAAGGUCUGUUAUCUUCCCCUCUAGGUGUUUACCUGCUUCUGAAUUGAUAGUUAUAAUUCCCCUCAUGCGGUCGAUUUUACGGUGGCAGGAUUACACCGGCGAUGAUGUUACUGUUAACAAUUUUUUUGCUGCUAUCCUUGGAAAUAAAACUGCUCUUACAGGGGGUACUGGGAAGGUUGUGGACAGCGGUCCAAACGAUCAUAUUUUCAUUUACUAUUCUGAUCAUGGUGGUCCUGGAGUUCUCGGUUAGUAUCAAUUCUGCACAUGACAAUACUGACAUUAUUUUGCCCACAUCCCCAUAUCUUAUCUACUUACUCUUUCCCUAGGGAUGCCUACCAGUCCAUAUAUUUAUGCUAACGAUCUAAUAGAAGUCCUGAAGAAGAAGCACGCAGCAGGAACCUAUAAAAGCUUGGUAAGUUUCUAGUUGAACUGUAAAUAGAUGCUGCAUAUACCAAUAGAGUUGGACUAAUUCGUAGAACUGCAGGUAUUUUAUCUUGAAGCUUGUGAAUCCGGAAGUAUCUUUGAGGGACUUCUUCCUGAAGGUUUGAAUAUCUUUGCAACUACGGCAUCAAAUGCAGAAGAGAGCAGUUGGGGGACUUACUGUCCAGGAGAGUAUCCUAGUCCUCCCCCGGAGUAUGAAACCUGCUUGGGUGACCUGUAUAGCGUUGCUUGGAUGGAAGACAGGUAUGCAGAAUUAUUUUAUUUUGUUAAAUUUUCAAUAAAGGGGUGGGAAGAAAAGCAGCUUAAUGUUAGCUUCAUUUUGCAUACCCUUGGUAAAUAAUAACAAUUUCAUCUUUCCCUAAAAGUGCAUUACUUCUUGAGUAUUGUCACUUUAAGAUUUGCCUCAAAAUAUGAAGAAUAUAUGAAUUAGGUAGAAGUUUGAAACUGUAUCAUUUCAUGCCAGUUGUUUUUUCUUCUUUAAUUCUUGCACUGGUGGUGUGGGUGUUUGGAUUGUCUUUGCAAGAGCAGUUUCUUUCUCAGGUUGGAGAAUGAAACUGUUCAAAUUAUAAUUUUCAUUUGAGAUUUAACAUUUUGACCUUGUGAACAGUGACAUACACAACUUGAGGUCGGAAACUUUGCACCAACAGUAUGAGCUGGUAAGAAUUCGUCUCUUAACACAUUGUUAUGGAACAGAUAGAGAUUUUUUUUUCUUCUUUUGUACAGGAAAGACCAGCUGUUUAUUAUUGUAUGUUUAAAUAAAAGAGAUUGUCUGUAUUUAGAGAAGUCUUGGGGGUCUAGCCAAGAAAUAUCUAGAUGUGAUCCUGCUAGUUGCUAAUGUCAGUUCUUUGAUUUCAUUAUGAUGGCCCAGGUUAAAACGAGGACAGCAAAUGACAAUUCUGGCUUUGGUUCUCAUGUCAUGCAAUAUGGCGAUGUAGGGCUCAGCAAGGAAAACCUCUUUGUGUAUAUGGGGACAAAUCCUGCAAAUGAUAACUACACUUUUCUGGGCGAGAACUCCUUGAGGCCAUCUACAAAAGCUGUCAACCAGCGGGAUGCUGAUCUUGUCCAUUUCUGGCAUAAGGUUAACUCUUACCUUUUUCAUCCGUGAAUAGUUAUUUUGCCUUUUCUUUUAAAUAUCUAGUCUUAAAAUUUAUGUACUAGUCAUCAUCGGUACUUAUAUUUGGAAGUAUUUCAUACUGUUAGAUAUUAUGAUUGAUUUGAUUAAAAGUCAGGAGAGAUCAGUAAUGAUGAUUGGGGAAUACUCCAUGUUUUCAUUGUUUAAACGGUAACAUAUCAUAAGUACCAUGGAGGUUUUGGAACCAUGCCAUUUGCCCUGCUCUCCUGUGAAGCUCCAAACAAAGCAGUAGAAUAUCUCUGCUUGGAACAAGAAUUUUGAAUACCAAAAAGGGAAUGAAACCAAGGUUUUGAUUAAAUAAAAGCCUUAAUUGUUAUGAAAAUCUAAGGUUCUACUUCUGAAUAUUCUGUGGUUUUGUAACUAUUUCUGUGUGUUAGCUGUCAGCCUGAAGAUCUAAGCCCCUUGUUUUCCCUUCUUUUCUUUUUCUGGAUGCAGUACCGCAAAGCUCCUGAAGGCUCACCAAGGAAAAUUCAAGCUCAAAAGGAUUUUGUUGAAGCAAUGUCUCAUAGAAUGCAUAUGGAUCAAACCAUGAAACUUAUCGGGAAACUCCUGUUUGGAAUCAAGAAAGGUCCAGAAGUGCUCAACACUGUUCGACCUGCUGGGCAGCCACUUGUUGAUGACUGGGACUGCCUUAAGACAAUGGUAGUACUUCUGCUGUUCAUUUUCUCCUUAAUGCUGUUAAAACUUUUCUGAUUCCAUCUUGUUCUGCAUAUAAAACAGAUUUUCACAAAUAAUAUAUGUGGCUGUGCCUGAUGGGUUUGUGUGUGCAGGUGAGGAGUUUUGAGACAUAUUGUGGAUCCCUAUCUCAAUACGGGAUGAAACACAUGCGGUCCCUGGCAAACAUCUGCAACGCCGGAAUGACAAAGGAGCAGAUGACCGAGGCUUCAGCACAAGCCUGCACGAGCGUUCCUUCUAGCCGUUGGAGCUCCCUGCACCGGGGGUUCAGCGCAUGAUUUCAAGAAGAAGAAAAAAUGUGGGAUUUGAAUAACCAAUCCGUGGUCAUCUCUAUAUGCAAAACAUAUCUUAGGAUGCAUUUCGAUUAUUGUUAAUGUUAUUCUGAUUGCUUCAGUGUAACCUUGUGUAAAUACAACUCAAGCCCCUGUACUGUAAUGCACGUACCUACUGAAUCUUGUAAGUAAAUAUUAGCAUGUUUGUUGCGUAUGAAUACGUACCUGUUUGCUGCAGCUGGUGUACGCAUCAGGCUCUGGUUAUAAAAAAGUUUGCAAUUACGAUAUGCCUUUGUUUUAUGUUCACUUUGGUUGCUUCAUUAAGGAAGUGAGUGGCUUGUCUCCAUCUCCUUCACCACCACCACUAACAGAACAUAAUUAUCGCGUAACACUUUCAACUUUAUGUCUAUUUGAGUUAUUAUUUACAAUUACAAUUUUUUUAUAUUAAAAUUUAUCAAAUAAUUUUGACAAUGCUUUUUGUACUAGCACUUCAAAAGAAUUAUUUAUUAAACAUGAAGUUGCUUUACUUUACAAUUAAUUAUUUUUAAAGCACAAUAAAAUUAAAUUUUUUAAAAAAGUCACAUCAAUCUCAAAUUCCCCUUCUUUCUUGUCCGUCUCCAAAUGGUAAACUGGUAAUCUAGCUUUUGACCCCCAAAAAAAUGGAAAUCUAGUGGGCCUUUCAUAAGAUAAUGUCAUUAUCAUUGUGUGAGUAUAUUCCGUGUAAUUGAGUAAUGAAAGAUAUCGAUCGCGUUGGGAAUUGGGGAAAGUUAGAAAUAUUUAAGAGACGGAUUUACUCCCUCAAUUAAUGUAAUUUAUGGGUUUUCAAGAAUUAAAUGACGGAUUUUAAUGUGGAACACACAUAAAUUUGUAUACCUGAUGUAAAUUUAAGAGUUGGAAUAAUUUUAAUAUCCAUUAUAGGCAAAUGAACAUGCCAUGCUAUAGGUGUGUGCCCAAUUUCAUUGUGGAGAACGUAGCCGUAGGAGAGCAUGCGUCCAACCCCAAAUUCCCUUUCUUCCUCACCUUGCUCCAACCUGUAGCUGCCAAAAUGUAGGUAAGCAACAGCCUACAUUACGGGUCCAAUAAUGUACAAUUUUGGCAAAGUCCAAUUACUUUAAUGAUGGAAUGAUUGUAUAGUUAAAUCUUACUUAAUAAGAUAAGAGUGAGAGUCAAAUUUAUACGGUGCAUAUUUAUUUCAUGUGUCAAUGCCAAUUAUAUUACAUAUUUUAAUUGAAUAAUACGGACCAUUUAACUUGACACAUGCAAAAUUAUAGAUGAGCUUGUAAUUGUAACAUUAAGAUUCACACAAAAAACGAAACUCACAAUAUUUAGCUGAAUGGAAAAUGUUUUCAAGAUGCAUCUAUCAUAAGUUCUAGCUGUGAACAUUAUUAUAUGGCAGUGUCCCAUCCCAUGGUCUCCCCAAGACUCACAACCCAACAUUUUCUUUUUCUUUUUCUUUUUCUUUUAUUUUUUUAUUUUUAUAAAACGCAACCCAACUUUAAAAAUAUGAUCCAUAAUUGCAUAUUGUCAAACCAACAGUGAAAAAAAAAAAAAAAAAAAGGGAAGCAGGAACCGACGCUCUAGAUUCAACAAUUUUAUUUGGUCAACACACAAAUAUUUAAGCUUGGCUUAUAUACGGUCUAUAAUCGGCCACAGGAACCGGACAUCAAGGACAAUUGUCUGAUAACGUGAAAUCCACGACUCUGGUUAAACUUACCAUGGUUAGUUCACUAUAACCAUACUACAACGAACCGGUUCACCAGAAAAAUAAAAUUAAAAAAUUAAAAAAUUAAAAAAAGGUAAAGGAUGAAUAAAAAAAUAAUUGGGUAAUGCAAAUUAUUGCCACUUAACGGAGUAGUAGAUUCUGUUAGAUUCAUUUGACGAGGCGAAGAGGGGGCGCAUAGUAAGAACGUUGUAACGAGGUUUAAAAGAGACGGAGCUGACGGUUUAAGAUAGGGAGACGCGGGAGCCGUUGGAUUGUUGAUCAAGGGCCGAUAAUGCAAGGCGUUGGACGGUUCAAGUGUGACGGAGAGUGGGAGGGGUCGUAUAAAGCCUGGGUUUUGAAAGGUGAGAGUGCAUUUCGUUCCAUCAAAACAAGAAGAAGAAAGAGGAAGAAGAAGGAGAAAGAGCCUCUCUGACGUUUUGGCCUUCGGUUUUUCUUCUGCUUUAGAAUUUAAAGAGGAAUUCGGGAGAGAAUUCGUAGAGCUGGACUGUGUGUAAUGUUAAGGAUCUAAUUACGAAGCUUUUCUGUGAGCCUGUUGUGUGUUCGCGGGAGAGAGAAGGAGAGAAGAGCUUGCAGAGGUUGGUGAUGGAGAAAACAGAGCUCGAUUUUGGUAGUUUUAAUGUAAUCUGAUUUCUUAGAAUGACCGGGUUAUUUUGUGCAAUUUCUGUUUUGCAGAUACAUUCAGAAGAGCUUUUGGAGGAAUUUGAAGUGAAAUCGAUUGCGAUUUGCUGGGAUAAUUUCCAAGGUGGACCUCAUUUCAUUGAAAUUUACAGAGAAAAGGUCGAGAAAUCUAGUUUAGAGGUGAGGGGAGUUGGAUUUGCUUAAUUUCCUAAACGAUUUCACUCCCUUAUUCUAACUCAUCGUUCGUUUGAUUUUGGUUUCACAGGUACAUUUCCCGGAGAUUUGACCCCUUUUUUUUGAAGAAAUCUCAACUGGGGUAUGAGAUAAAGAAGAACAAGCAUCUCUCAUUCAUGAGUGUCAGGGACAUAGGCUCUAAGUUUCAAUCAUUUCGUUGAUUUUCGGCUCUAGAUUUGCAUUUUGCAAAGUCAGAAGGCCUAGAAGAGCAAGAUUACCCAAAAGAAGCAAACUUUCUUUUGCAAAUUCAGGAUUGUAGCUGCUUGCGAAAUCUCAGUAUAACAGGUGAGGAUUCAUUUUCCGAAUCCUAGAUCAGUGAAACCAAGUCUCGGGCUUAGGAUUUCACUGGCUGAUUUGAUUUCCUUCCAUUUUCGGUUCUUCGAAUUUUGAUAUCUUUCUACUCAAUUUGGUUUCUUCAAGGAGGCUCUCACUUUUCUCUUCUUUUUCCUCAUCUGCAGCAGAGUCCAAGCAAUUGGUUUCUCUGUUUUUUGAUUUUCGAUGUUCAAAAGCAGAUAACUUUGCAACAGAAUUUUAAGCUUUUCAAAUGAAGCCAGCCGAGUUCCUUGACUCUCUCUCUCUCUCUCUCUCUCUCUCUCUCUCUCUCUCUCUCUCGCUCGCUGGGUCUUACAUUUGGAUCCAUCAUCUUUGUCCAUCAUCUUCUUUCAAUUUUCUGUCAUCUGCCUUCUGUGCAAGAAUUUUCAAUUUCAAAAAACUAAUUGACCUUUAUAUUUGGGAAGAUUAUCUCUUCUUCUUCGUCUUCUUCUUCUUCCUCUCCUCCUCCUCCCCAUUUUAAAGGCUUUUAAUAUAUUUUUCUGAAUGAUUUCCGUCUGUAUUAUCAGCAUUGAAAAGAAAAGACCUUCUCUAUGAAAUUUUACCCGCUGUUUUGUGAAAAAUCUAUCUAUCUUUGGUGUUCUUUGCUGGCAGUCCGAAGUUUGUGUCUUUUCCGAAAUUCAAACACCAGCAGAGUGCAAAAUCUUCUGUUUGGUUCUCGGGAAACUGAUACAAGAAAAAACUGAGCUAACAGACGUAAUUGCUCAACUUAUUUAAUCGCAAUUCGUUGGAAGCGUCUGAUAAAAAAAAUAUAUAUAUAUAUCAAAGAUACAAUUUUCAUUCUUUGUCCUUUCCCUGCCUUUUUUUUUUUUCGAUCUUCAUCUUCUCCGUCUGUUUGGGUAGGCCCUGCUUUUCAUUUGAAUUUUAUUUUUAGGCACUCGCAGUUGCAGAGAGCCAGCCACAAUCCAAUUCCAGAUUCUCAGUUUUUGCCAUUUCCGUCCCUAACUUUAAUUAUGAGCAUUAACCGCGGUUAAAGUGUAAAAAAUCAUGUUAACUAACUAACCGCUGUGAUUAAUUCUUGUUUUGGCAUGGGUGGACAGGUGUACAAAAGGAGAUGGAAAGGGACUGUCUUAGGCACACCCAUACUAAAGACACCCACAAUCCCAACACUCGAGACAAAACCGGAGGGGACGCCUCAGCCUCUCUGCUGUUGAGAGCGAGCCCCGAUGCCAUACGACACGCAACGACGUCGUCCGAUUUCGUUUUGCAGUGGGGGAACCGCAAGCGCCUCAGGUGUAUGAAGAUCCAGGUCAAAGACAAGGGCAAAGACGACUCCGACGCCCCGGUUACCCGAACCACAGUCCGGGUCGACCGCCGGGUCGUCCGACCUGAUAAGGACCCGGCCAAUCAGCCUUCCACGGCCGGUAACUCUAAUCAGACGAAUGGGUAUUUGAAUCUCCGUCAACGGCCGUUAUCUCCGCAGCAGCCGCCACUUCAGCGUGUUCUCAGGUUACCACUUGCACUUCACGCUUUUGCUUUAUCUAAUCUAUAUCUAUUGCUUCCACGGGACGUCGUUUCGGUCCUGCCUUUCGUUAACAUGUAGUUUCGUCGUUUUGUGGGGUAGUUGUGGUGGCGUUUUGUCGUUUAAAUUAGUGGCGGGUGGGCCAGGUGCGUGGGUUUUGUCGUUUUUAGUUAUUUUGGGACUUGUUGCCUACGGUUACAUCUGUACAGUUUUGGUGCGGUUUUUAUAUAUACCUUGAUCUCACCGUCAGAUGCAUGAGUCAUAAUCAUCAGAUCAGGAGAUUUUAUAUUCAGACUUGCUUGAUUUUAGAUUUUAGAUUUGUGAGGAAAAAUCUCAGAUGAUUGCGUGGCCAAUUUCUCUACGUCUGUGAAGGUCAAAGAGAAUAAUUUUGUUAGGUAAGUGUUUGUUGCUUUGAUUAGAUUAUUUCAUAUGCAACAAUAGAGUGAUUGCAAAUUCUGUUAUCUUCUUCCUUGUUUGGUUGAAGAGAAAAUCUUGUUUGCGUGAAGGGAAAAUCUCUGAUUUUCUUGUGCAAAUUUGUCGCUUUAGAUUGGAUUGAUUUAUAUGAGUGGGACUGGAUAAAUGGAUAAGGCUAGAAAGCAUGGAAUUUUGUCCCACACCACUGGUUUUUUAUAUUCCUGGCCUGCCAUUAACAUGGCUGUGUUUAAUCCUAUGUGCUUAAUGUGUAGUUGAAUGAAAUUUUGUCGGAGGGUUUUUGAGAUUAGGAGUUUUAAUGAUGAAAUUUGGGGCUGAAUUUGUUGUGAGGCUUAUCUUAAUGAUCAACUCUCCAAUUGGUCAGGUGGGUGAAGAGAUGUAAAAGCCCCAGAAGGAGAGCUCAUGGUAAGUGCAUGAGGGUAGGGUGCCUUCUUUGUUUGUCUUUGUAGGAAACUAGUAGCAUAUGAUUGAAUUAGGUUGCUCAUGUAGUCAUGUAAUCUUUUUGGCUUGAUUGUGCACAACAUAAAACACAUUAACAUAACAAACAACUUAAAUUAGAGAAAGAGAGAGUCUUAGUGCCAUAAGGUCAAGCAUUUACCCUCACAUUCACGGCAAGAGUUUGAUUCUUCCUCGUUCGUGUUUUUCAGGAUGCGGUAUUAAAUUAUGGUAUCAUACAGGAUGGUGUAUCAAUAAGUUGAUGUCAAGCAUGAUUGAUUUGAUACUAGUUCUAGUUUUCUUUUUUGGAAUAAAUGCCUUAUUUAUUGUGAUUGAUUUGUUAUUUAUUUUAGACACGAUGUUAGGGCUGAUUUGAUCAUAAAUCUAGAAUGAUUAGGCUUGAGUAAAUUGAUUUCCACUAGGACUUGUGUAGCAGGCUUAUGUUGCUCAUGGUCACACCGGAUCGGGGCUCCACUACAUCUUAGCAUGAUAGCGUCCGAUCCAUAACGACCGGCACCCUGAUUCCAUGGGCUCAGUGGAAAUAGGAAAUGGGCAACUCCUAUUCCACGUGUCCACGGAAAACCAAUUCUUCAACCCCGUUUCUAGCCCUGGGAUCACUGAUGGAUCAGGCAAUGGAUCCACGCCUUCCACGUUUCAACACGUGUUCCUUAACCCCACAAAAGGCACUCUCAAUCCAACGGCUAAAAUCCUGCCCAAAAACCAGCUGUGCACGUUAUACAGUACAUCACAUCCCUUUCCUCUCUCUCUCUCUCUCUCUCUCUCUCUCUCUCAAAUAUCUAACUUUUCAUUAAAGAAAAGAAAAUUAACAACUCCCUCGUUUAAAAGCAGAACACAAAGGUCCCCCAAAGAAGCCAAAAACCACGCUAAUUUUCUACGCAAAACCCAUUACAAAGCCUCUCUCUCUCUCUCUCUCUCUCUCUCUCUCUCACACCAAUCCACCGAUCUAGAUCGUCUCAAGGCCAUUCCCGUAAUUUCACAACUACCCACAUUAAUUUAAUUUAAUUUAAUUUUUUGCCCAAAAAGUAUCAUUUAUUAUGUUUUGUGCCAGCUUUUUUAUGGGUUUAUUGAAUUCAAUUGAUUUGAUUUGAUUUGAUUUUGAUAUGCGUAUCUGAAUUGUGUAGAAACUCAGAGACCACAACAAGUGCCAUGAGAGGCCAGAGCAACGGAGGCUUGAGGGGAAUUGUUUCACCCGACAACAGAGGGGGUGCGCACGAUAAGAAAGGCAACCACCACCAUCACAACCACCACCACCAUAAUAAUGAGAAUAACAACACCAAGUCUGCAGCUUCUUCGGACACGGCGCACGAUAGUAAAAAGGGGGGAGGUGGGUCUUCAUCGGGAAGCGGCGAAGCAGCGUUGGCGCCACCGAUGGUCUGGCCGCCGAAGUUCGUGAUUGCUUUGACCAACAAAGAGAAAGAAGAGGACUUCAUGGCAAUCAAAGGGUCAAAAUUGCCUCAGAGACCCAAGAAGAGAGCAAAGUUCAUUCAACGCACCCUCAAUGUAAGCUCCUCUAUUUUCCUUUUUUAGUUACUUUAUUAAUUAAUUAGUAUUAAUUAAAACUAACUAGUUUUUUUUAUUUUUUUUCUUUCUCUUUUUAAAAUAACACCAUUGCCUUGCAAAAACAAAUCAAAACCCAGUUUGAUUUUAUUAUAUUUAUAUGGUUGUUUUACCUGUAUUUAUGCAAAUUGUUGUUGCGACAAAAUGUGGACUAGCUUAGAAGGAAGGAAAAGCAAAAAAUAAUAAAAUAAUAGAAUAAUAAAUAGAACUUUCUGGUAUUUGUUUAGUUUGGGUUAAAAGAAGCCGAAGAAGAUUGCUAAAGUGACAGCAAGAACAAGGCAUACACGUGUCCGCCAAGCCAUGUAUGCAUAUACCUAAUAUGCCUAAAAGUUAGUUUGCUGUCCGACUGGAAUAGUAUUAAUAGGACGAUGGUUUGGGUUAAGAUUAAAUUCUAUAUUAUUCAUAAUAAUAUGAUAAUGAAAUAUUUUAUUUAGGGUCGCCUCGUUUAGUGGAAAAUUGAUGUCACACGUGGCAAUACAUGGUUGUUGCUUUUGGGUUGGUUAUCGUGGCGAUGGACGGUGCGUGGCGUCUCAUGUGGCCGCAUGUGAUUUAGUGGGCAUCAGUGGACGUUUAAAGCAAGUGGGCCUUAAUUCUGUACUAACCGACAAAAAAAGGGCAUAUGGGUCGAAACGGACCCUGGGCCUGUUACCGUUGGUUUUUUUUUGGGGGGUUCUUUUUGGGAAAUAAUAUGCUUCAUGUUGAGGGCAUAUAGGUAUUUUCACUAGCCCUUAAUUAUGCUAACUGUUUUCUGGCUUGGACCGCACUGCCAACUGCUGAGCACAAAAGCACGAAAGCUGACUACCCACAAUGCACCGUUUUCGUUUUUUAAGUUCCAAACAUAGCAAAACUCAUCAAAGUGCUUAUCAAAAAGCCUAUCCCGCUUUUUGCCCAUUACCUAAAGCAAAAGCUACGCUUUUGCCAGUCUGUUUUUGCUUGUUUUGGCCUCUUCCUUUUAAUUAGCUGGAAGAUUAUUGUUCUAAUUAGUUUUUUAUUUUCUGUAAUUUUGUUUUAUAGCUGGUAAGCCCAGGAGCAUGGCUCUGUGAUCUGACCCUAGAACGGUACGAGGUCAGAGAGAAGAAGAUUUCCAAGAAGGUAUUUUAUUGAGUAAUUUUCUUCGAUUCAGGGCCUAAAUCAAAUUUCCUUAAUUUGCCUUUAAUGUUGAUAUUUUUAUGCAGCAGAAUGAAUAGUUUUUUUGUGUUUUUGCAUGAUGCUGCAGAGACCAAGAGGGCUAAAGGCGAUGGGCAACGUGGAGUCUGACUCUGAAUAGAAAGGAGUUUUAGUGAAAAGACUAAUAUAGCAUUUUCGUUUUUUUUCUCCUCCUUUUUUUGAAGGUAUGAGAAAAAUGUUAGAACUUUGUAAAAAUCUUCACCUUUCAACCAUCAGAAUAAUGAAUGGAUUCAUUUCCGGUCCUGUAUACAGUCUUGUUCCUCAUCUUCCUACUAAGUUUGUUUAAUCAGAACAAGAAAAAAAAAACAAAUCAUCACGUCCAAGCACACGAACAAAUGAAAUUUCUCUCUUUCAAACCCUAAUUGUGAAAAAUAAUUAAAAUAAGCUUCAGGGAUGUAAUUCAAGUGGUUAGUCAUGACAUGUUACACAAUCCAACAAUUUUUUGUUUUCUUGUCAACCUACAACACAUUUUCUUAUGUCGUAUUAAGUUAGAAAAGGGAAUUAACGGUGUUGGAUAGUCGUCCAAACGCACGUGAGUGUCUUAUGAUUGUUCAUAUAUUAACAUAUGGGUCUCAGUCUAACAUACAUCGAUGACUUACGGUGGAAGUGCUCAUUAGGCAUGGGCAAAAUCAGUUUCAGACUUCACCAUCCGAGUGAAAAAGAAACUCGAGACUCGAUCGCUCUCAAGAUGUGAAGAAAAUCACGAAAUUGACUCUUGAGACGAGAUUUGAGACUCUUUAGAGGUUAGACUUCAAGAAGGAAGAAGAAAAACAACAAACCAUAACUCUCUUUAGCUGACACACGUAACGUAAAACCACAAUAUAUGAAUUUGCAAAGCUAUUAAAGACAAUGACAUCUAAAAAUUUACCCGAGACAGGAGAAAAACCAGAACCCCAACUCCCUAAAGUUACCUAGUCAUUAGCAAAUUGAAGGGCCACGUCUAAUUUAUAAUGAUAAGAGAUAAUAUCAUUGUUUGGUCGCAUGAUUUGUGGAUGCCACUUUACAUUAUGUGGCCUCCUUAAUUGGUAUUUUGAUGUGACACGGAACACUUAACGCGGUAAUUUAAUUUCUUAACGUAAUUGACAAUUUCAAUGAAAAUCCAUGACCUAUCAUAUCAGACCACCAAACCAAACCCAACUGAAUUAAACUAUUGGAAGAGGAGAAAACAUGGGUCCUAAUUCAAAUUAACAUUCAUAAUUCGCCAUCAUUGACGGGAAGACCCGAAUUAAUCCCCUUAAUUAUGCCACGAAGAAGCAUAAACACAUUUUAAGAAUAACAUCUGCUCUGUGAGAGUUUGUGGAGACAGACAGAUCCACCACCCACCAUCCAGCUGGUUCUCAAAAGGCAAUUCUAAUGCUACCUGCGGGUCGUGAAGAAAAGAGGAAGAUUUUUCAAUUUAAUUAGCCCCCAAAAAAUAGCAUGGAAAAUACCCCCAAAGGGCCCUAAAUAUACCCUUACCCACUGGGCAUAUUUGUCAAUAAACACUGAAAUUAGGGAUUUUUUCAGGACCCAAACACAAUUGCUAUAGUCGGUGACCCAGAGCCUAUCAAAUUAUAAACUCAUUACGUGUUGCAGUUGGAAUUACAGCUUUAUUCUGUUAGAAUAAAUGAUUAAUUUACACCGACUUGGCUACGCCGCUUUUUUGGUCCAAGCGAAAAUAAAAUAAUUGGAUCUGGAUUUGUAAUUUGCCGCUUUUUAUUUGCAGGUAAUGAAAAUGAAAUAACAAUUUGGAUAUUAGUUAAUUUUGAUAUCACAAGCUAGACAAACACCAUUCUCAAAGCAACUCAAGCAUCAAACACAGGAGGAGGAGGAGGAGGAAGACAAACGAAAUAAAAUCAAUGAAUUAUUUACUCAUAAUAAGGAUAAUAAUCGAAAUCCACAAAUACAAAACCCAUAGUAAUAAACCAAGUGCAUUAUAUAUGUAGUCUAUGCACCACAAAAACCCAUAUGACACUGAAAAUCCUAUAGAUCCAUAAUCACCAGCUACUAAAAUGACAAACGCUACUAAUAAAAAACCAAUCAGAAACCCAACCGCUCUCUACACAGCCCCAACCAUAGUUGCAGUAGUAAGCGAAGACUCAAACCCUGAGCGCAGAUCCGAAGACGAUAGCGGCGAAGGCGGCGGCGAAAGCAGAGAUGAACGACGGGGAGAUGGAGGCGGAUGCGGAGGUUGGGCUAGGAGCUGGAGAUUCGGCGGCCUGAGCGGCGCCGAUGACAGAAAGGACGGUGACGAAGACCGCCAUGAGAGCCACGAGUGAAGUUGCCUUUGAGACUGCCAUUGUUGAUUGGUGUGAGAGUUUCUUGUGCUUCGGAAUCUAGGGUUUUGGGAAUACGCCGAGAGACUGAAGCACAAAUAUCAGAGGUGGAAUGAAGUAGGCUCAAGGAACGUAUUUAUAGCGGGGAUUUUGGGCUGGGGUCGGGCAGCCUGGGCAGCUGCCCGGUUCUACAGGCUGGCUACUUGUGAUUGGUUCAGCGCGACAGCUCACACCGCUGGUCGGGGUAAAUUUUUCUCUGUGGGCCCCACUAGAAACCAGUGUCUACGCGGAGUCGUUUCACGCACGAUUUUACCUUCGUCUGAAACGACGCCGUGUGUUCACAUUCCUUAACGAAAGGGCUUUUCGCUUCGCGGCCGAGUCGACUCAGUGGAGAAUAUAUUCGCAAGAAUCUUCUAGCUUGCGACGCGCGGAUCAGAUUCUGUCCGUACGGUGUCAUUUGAGUCACAUCACAUGAUGAACGGUCCAGAUGAACCCGUGGGAACACGUGGGAAUGGAAGAGGUUAUAACGGUUUCGCGGUAAAAAAAUUUGGUUUUUUAUUUAUUUUUAAACUUAAAAAAUGGCCCACAAUGCGCAAUCAGGGAGAUUACAGCGCAGAAAACACAGAGAGGAUGCGUGACUUUCUGGUGAGCGACUCGAUGGCCAACGGGCGAUCGACACGUGGGGAUUUCGAAAAAGACAGGUUGUUAAAUUGCGAGGAAAAAGAUACGACAGGUGUAGGGUGGGAUUUGGUUCUGUUGCUUCUGAUAUUUUUAUUUCGCGGGAUUUCCAGAACAUUCGCUUGGCAUUUUGCGUUUUGGAGUUGAGGGGCGCACAUGCGUGCGGGUGAAGUUACCGUAAUGCCCUUGAGAGUGAUUGGGUGCGUGUCAAUUUUAUAUUCACGUUCAUUAUGAGGAGCUAUGAGUAUCUACUUAAGAAAACCAAAAGGAAUGUGGCGCUGAAUCUGAAUGGGUUUGAAGUCCAUUAAUGCGUUCCAGGGCUUUUCAACAUUUUGUUCCAUAUUCCAUGCCGUGCCCACUGGCUAAUGGGUUUGAUGUGGGCCCAACAUAUUCUUUUCUCGUCAAAUCCAAAUAAAGAGGCCGGGUGUUACGGGAGCUCCUAUAAUCCAGGUCGGUUUAUGUCGUCGAAGUUUCAAUUCAGCUGUCUAAUAAUAAUACUCUUAAAGUGUUGUUGAACGAACUCACAAAUUAACUGUGUUCACUUUACUAAUAAACUAUUUAUUGAAUUAUCAAUUUGCUCUAGUAUAAAAUGACCAAAAAUGAUAUAUUGAAUUGUGAAAUAAAUGUAAUGUUAAUAAAUACACCAUACACUAAAUAAAUAAAUAAAAAUUACACCUUUCUCACUAUAUUCAACCAAAUUGAACUUUUGUUUUCUUUUUCUUUUUCUUUUUCUUUUUCUUUUUUGGGUUUGUUUGUUAACCUCAAUAAUAAUAAAUGAAUAAUUAGGGAGGGACCAACCAUAAAGCCAAGCAGGAUUAACAAAUAUGUAUAGAGAUGGGUUAGUAUUAUGAGACAACCAUCACAAUGUCUGUCUGAUUCAUAUAGAACUGCAUAAUUAAUGACAAUGAUGAUAUUAGUGUGUAUCAGGGGUAUUUUUAAAGUUUUUAUAAUUGUGUAUUAGUGUGUAUCAGGGGUAUUUUUGGUAGUUAAAUAUGGUGUACUUAGUUAAUUUUACAUUUUGAUUUAAAUAUUAAAGUAUGUUUAGAUCAUAGGGUGUACUUAGUUAAUUUCAGAGUUCGUUUAGCAAUGCUCUACUUUUAUUGAUCAGACAACUAUGAAGACUCCCACACUAUAGCCUCAUACAAGUGGUACGCAGCAUAAAUGGGCAUGUAAACCAUAGAGGACCAAGAUAUAGAACCGUUGACGCACGUAAGUUCCACAAUACUGUUAAUAUAUGUGCGGGCGACUCCGAGUAACUGUUAACCUAGAGUCAGAGAAAUGAAAUUCAAAUAUAAAAUAUUUUAUUCUAAUGUCGAUUUCUGAAUACAAAAAUGUGAAUUUGAUGCAGUGCUAAAUAAGGUGUGCUACUUCUCUGUACAUCUGAUACUGAUACUGUUGUGGACGGGGGUUUUGGCCAAAGAGCUAUCAAGUGAACCUCAACUAAUAAUAAUAUUACAGCUGAGGUUGAAUUCUAUGAUGACAAAUAACACACACCACAAACAGGGAAUUUUGCAUGCUCUUCGGCUAGAGAAGUUUGAUUUGACUGAGGAUUUAUGUGUUAGAAGCCCAAAAACUUUGGUGCUAAAUGCAGAAGGGGUUCCAUAGCACUUGGAGCAAAUUUUCUUCCAAAAAGAAAGCAGAUUGAAGAGUUCCGGUCGUUGUAAGUGCAGCGAUGACCCUCGAGCAUUCUCUUGAAGAAUUCCUCAGUGAUAUCAGCUCUUCCAAAGGUAGCUGGGUGAGGUCCACCCCUUGACCAAUCCACCCAAGUGAUGCUUCUGUUUGCUAAGGAAUUCCCUGCUUGAAUGGUUAGCAUGGUGGGGAAAUAGUGCUCAUCAACAUAACAUGCGGGUCUACAGAACUUUUCAAAUUUUUGGUAAAAUGUCGUAUCUUCGACAAUGCUGAUGGCAAGCUUCCGGUUAACUUCAAACCAUUGGGAGCCCUUGCGCCACUGGGUUAUAUUCACUUCAGGUGCCAUGUUAUUAUUAUAGCGUCCUCUCCCGAAUGGCCCAGGGUCGUCAAAUGCACCGAUGAAGCUGUACUUGGAUUUCAUUAAGUAGUGGUAAAUGACACUGAAGUUAUAGAGCGGAAUGCAAGAUUCGGAAACAAGAAUGAACCAUUCAUUGGAUAUGUCAAGCAAUGCAUUAGCAAGGAGCCUUCUCUCAGCAUCACACAUACUCAUUCUUCCCCACUCAGAAACCUGCACAGCAGAAAACCAAAACUCUUAGCAGAUAUGUAAGAGAUAUUGCAUAAUAUCUAUCCAGAUUUGAACAGAAAAAAUUUCUACAGCAGCAACCAAGAUGACCUCAAAGAAAUUAGACAAAACAAGUUAUCCUCAAGCUACAAAGCAACAACAAUAUAAUUUUCCCUGGAUACUCUGUUUUUGAAGCUACUAACUGCGGAUCAUGAGUUUCUCUUUUGUUCAAAACACCCAGGUUAAAAAGUAAAACAAGCAGAGAUUUUAUGGAAUAUGUUCAUGAAUCUGAAAUAAAUACUUGGUAUGUUUCUAUACAAGCUUGAACUCUAUCACAAAGCAUCAUUCACAUAAAUAAUUAAUUUCUUCCUCAUAACCUGAAGGCAGAUAUCAUGACAGUAUGGAAAUGUCAUGAUUGUGGCACGAGAACAAGUCAGGAAUCAAGAACGUAGAUUAAAAAAAAAACAUCAGGACUAUGUGAAGAGGUCCAGGGUGCCACCCCAGUAGUCAAUGCCUUUACAUCAGCUGUUCAUCAUGUACGAAAACAUUUAUGCAUCUGCUUUUUUCAUGUUUAUAAACACAGGUGUUGUAAUAGUCUCAAGAUCCAAAAGUUAGCAGCAGAUGGAGUGGACCUAGUGGAGUUUCACAUGCAGGAUUGUCAAAUUCAUGGAAUAAAGAGUCAAAUCCAUUCACUUAGUUGAGUUUGCACUUGACACACGAGUCCAUGGAACAAAUAGGGCGUCCUGCCCUCCCCAAGAGAUGGUCUAUAUAUCCUACAUCACUGUAAUUCUCAAUACAUGAACAUGAUAAAACUGACCUGUUCCUUUCUACCAACACACAGAAAGGUAGUUUUAACCCUUUCUUUGAUGAUAAGCAAAAAUUACCAACUCUUGGAAAGAUGAAUUUCGGAUUUCAUCAUGUCUUAAGCUUCACAUACAUAACCUAACAUUUUUAAAUGCAAGAGACCAGGGUGUGUGCUCACCACAGAGCAAAUAUAGGAAAUCAAGAUGUGCAGAAAGUAAAAACCAGAUAAACCAGUGAUAGAGAACUAGAUAUCUACGAAUUUACCUCAAAAUAAAAAAUAAAAAAAUAAUUUUGUACUUGCUGAAGGAUGCUUAGUAGAACAUGCAAUCUCACAAAGGAUAGAAUAUGGACCUGGCUAGGAAUGUGUCUCCCAUAAAAAACGGACGAAGUGUGAAAAUGAGGUUGAAAUGACGGCAGUGAAUGAACGUAGAUUGAAUAACGUCCUUCAUGUCCCUUCAGAAACCUCUCCCAAAGGGGUGCCAGCGGCAACGGCCCCCUGGUCAAGAACAUAAAUGCAAUCUUUGGAACUCUCUCAAAAGGAUACUUCUUUAUUCUAGGCAUAAGAGAAGCCCUCCACAAUAAUUCCUUAUCAGUCAUAGUGUGUUGAAGAUUUGAUGGCGGCUUAAUCCACCGGUCCAAACCACUCGGUUCCUCAUAGCAUGGCUGGAAAGAGGACGUGACCGUUGUCAUCACCCCAUUAAUUCCAAAAUGACGAAUCGUCAAUAUGCUAAUGACUGAGAAAGUAAUACAGAAAAGCACAAACAGCACAAACAACUGAAGUAGCCUUAUCGGCAAUGCCUUGGUUUGGUUUGUCCUGCCAGUAACUCCGGGGUCCUUGCCUUCCUCUAAUGGCACAACCCUUGAUUGCAUGGUUUGCAUCUUGAUUAAAACACUGCACCAAAAUCAAUUUCUAGCUCUUCUGAUUACUACAGAGUACCUCCAAGUCUCAAAAUUUUGGACACCUAUUGACUUCUCUCAAACAAGAAAACCCACAGUCCAAAAUUGCAUCUUGCAUCACAAACGGUGAAGUGAACACGAAUUUAAUCACAUUGGAAUCUGAAUCACUCAGUUUUCUUCAAAACUGCAACCCCACCAAAUAAAAACACACUGCACAGAUCUGAAACUAAUACUACAGUACUGAACACAUACUGCGUAAAAAAUUUUAACUUCAGCACAUGGGUUCUUAAUAAACUGAGCUUAUAUCAACGAUCUAAGCUAAGAUCAUACAAAUAUGGAUCGAACUUCUCUUUCACCAGAGAAAAAAGUAUGACAUACCAUGUGACUUUUGAGGUUGAAAGCUAAAUUGAUGAAGACGAAUGAAGGAUUUAGAUCCUUGUAUUUGACUGCUUGAAUUGCGCCCAAGAAUACGGGAAGUGGUCAAUUGGAUGAAGAACAAGAGAACAGAAGGAGGAGGUCACGCAGAGGAGACUUUGGCGGCAGAAACAAAAAGGUGCAGUGACCAAUAAUAAUGAGAGAGUUUGAAAAACUUGGGGAGAAGUCUUGACCGAGUGUGCGCGUUGUGUGUGAGAUGAGAGAAUUGUGAGGAAGACGACGACUCUGUGAUGAUCUGUAGAAUCUCAAGUUUUAAGAAUGUCUCUCACACGGUGCGGUGCGAGUGAGGAGGGAGAGGGGAUCCAGCUUGUCGGCUAACUUGGGAGUGUGAUAUAUAAGCACCCAUCCAGUUUCAUAGCUUGGUGGAAAAACGAACUUGCCUCAUCUGUUGCGUGUGUGUAUUUUUGGGUAAAUUCAUUAGUGACUAAAAUGAUAAAAAUCGACCUUCGGAUGCGAUUACUAUGUUUUGAUUAUUUUUUUUCUUUUUUAGUAGAAGCGAUAGUUUCUAAACUGAAUGAAAGUGGAAUUUCUCACACACACACAUCUAUAAUGUCAUGGAGAUUCAAACUUGAGACCUCUAUUAUGCAAGUUAAAAUUUUUCCACGCAAUAGACCCUGUUGGCGAUACACUUUGAUUUUAAGAUGGGCAGAUAACAAUAGAAACUUUAUUUUAUUUAUUAUUAAUUGCAAGCACCCUAUUGGAACACGUUUCACCCUAUUGGAGCAUAAUUAGCAUCAAAGCAAGAAAAUCAACUAUUUUCCCCCCUCAUAGCCGCAUAAAAGAACAGAUAAAAGGAUAGAGUAUAGAAGCCUAAGUACAGAUGUAAAUGUAAUUAUUGGUUAGAGAUUGGGUUUAGUUUAAACAAGUUAAUGAGGCUUUGAUUGGUUGUUGAAGCUUAAUGUCUUAUGGUGGUGGAGAACCCAAUUGUAUCAAACAACGUAAUAAACACGACGUGGUGUAGUUGGGCAGACCGCAAGUCUUGGCCUCUAGUUAGGUGGGAUUUCAGUUCUUUCACCAAACCAAACAAGCCAUGAGGAAAGCUAAAGAAAGUCUAAAGGUAGGAGCCAUAUGUAGGAUCAAAUCUGCCUAGUAACCAGUUGUAUAUCCCCUUCUGUCUACAACACUUUACAUUACGUAAUCGGUUGCAUAUUUCUAUUCUAUCUGUUUAAAACAAUCAUCAUCUAUAUAUAUAAAGCAAAAGGUAGAGAAUGGUGAAACAUUCAAAAUACCAGAAAAUAUCCUUGGUUAAUGCAAACAUUAAGAACUAAACUUAUUAAUUAAAUGAGGAUAAUAUGGUAAAUUUACACUUUUUAUAAAAAAUUAAAAUUAAAUAAAAAAUAAUGGAUCUUAUUUUUAUGGAACACUUUUUAAUUCUAAAAAAAUUUUAAAUUUUUUUUAAAAAAAUGCCUCUCGCAAGCGCGUGCAGAGAAGCUAGUGUUACAUAAUGAGUGUUGUAGACACGAGAAUACAAAACCGGAGAUAGCUAAGAUUCUCUCCAUAUGUUGAGUCUACACCUACCUACAACCGCAUCUAAGAUUCCCCCAGCAAUAAGGACACAGGGACAGCUGAGGAUCCAAAAUGGUUCAUAUACAUGGGGUCCCGAUCUCGAUCUAAACUUCGUUAAAAAUAAAGUUGAUUGGUUGAUAGAAUCAACCACACUCAAAAAAACAAGCAGUUUUAACUCGAGAGAGGAGUAGAAUCAACCACACUAAAAAAAAUAAGCAGUUUUAACUCGAGAGAGGAGUAGAAUCAUAAAGCCUUCGCUGCUGUGAAUGGCGAUCCUGCAAAACAAUUCAUGAUGUAACUGUGAUUUGCAAAGAAAACCAUCCAUGCAUUCAUUUUGAACGUGUGAUAUAAUAACACGUCAUAUCGACAAUGAGAUCCUUGAAAACUGAGCAACGUCACAACAUUAGGUCUGUAAUUUGCCAGUAUAUCUACUGUCUAUGAAAACGCCAAAGUUGAAGACUAAAACUAAGAUACUACAGAGCGUUUUCUGCUCACAGUCACAGCACAUGAAACAGCUAAGAUGUAGAUGUUUCUAUCUUAUUCACAAAGGAACAGUUAGCUCCACAUCCCAAAUUCUAUAUACCAUGGCAUAUUUCUUGUAGCAUAUACCACUCUACUUCACCACAAAACUGGCACGGAGGUUGGAAACCAUAACUGGGCACUCUCCCUUCUCAUCAUAUUCAACAAAGUCCCCUCCCGACAAGUCAACAUGGUCAAAUUUUGUCCCUUCCACCUACAAGAAUGAACACUAGUUUAAGUUGAAAUAAAGAUGCAUCCAGCAGAGUCGAUUGCAGUACAUAAAAAUGAAAACUAGAACUUCAAAAAUCGAAACUAUUCUCCUAUUUUCAAAAAUUCAACAAUUCAAAUGCAAAAAUUCAAUUCACUGGGGCCUCUAGUAAUUCGUUUUUCACUCCUUGUUUCUUUUUCUAAAUUUCAUUAUCAAUCUAAUUUUCACUUUUAUUCUCCUUGGGGUAGGGAAUGGCGAUAGGCGGGCAUGACACUCCUGGCCAAGCAGAACAGUAAAAAUGAGUUGACAUUUGGUGACACCAUCUCUGGUCCAAUCCACAUGGUAGGCUUCCAUAGUAAAUCUAGUGUACAAGACAAUUAUACUGUUUGUGGGAUGCCCUUAACGUCAGAAAAAUAAAAUAUCACUAUUUUCUGCAGUUCCCACCUCUUGAAUAUGAUAUGCUCAUGAGAUGUACUAACCUUAAGAUCUUUAUGCUAAAGGACAGAGACCUGAGCUUUCUCACCCCAAAAAGAAAGGAUCAGAACUCAAAAGGACAAAAAUACCAAAAUAAGCUUUGAAAGGCGCUACCACAUUAUGGAAUAGGAUAUGCAAUCCUUAAUGCUUAAUGUACUAUGUACUAUAAGUACAAACAAGGAGAGUUAAGAAGAGAAGAAUAAAAGAAUUUAUACAUAUGCGCUGAAGUUCAUAGGAGUUAGUGAGAUUUAGUGCUUAGGAAUGUUCGCACGAUUACUAUUUAUAAGACCAUUCAGCUCAAAGGUCCCAGCAAAGUCAUUUUCCAUCCAUAAGUACAAUAAGAAAGUUUUAUACAAUAUGCUACAUAAUUGGAAGGUGGUGUGUGAAGAAGAGAAACUUACAGAUUCAACCUUCCACCCACUAGCAAAUACAUAGUCCACAGGCUCAUAACCCCUGCACUCAAACAUCAUCAAGGGGGAAAAUUUCCUUUCUUCACACAUUUGCUGGGUCAGUGGUUUACCAUGACCUGGCAUCAUUGUCAGAGUUCCAUCCCUUCCACAAAACUUGCACUACAAGGGGAGAUGCAAAUCACCACACAUAUAUAGCAAACUUAACCAGAAAAUAUUCGUUCAAAGAUAAAACAUAAAGGGAACAACCCCCAUAUCCAUGAAUUGAAGAUAUGCAAUAGUAAUAACUUAUGUCAACGUAGUUGACUCAUAUGUCAUCAAAUAGAAACUGCACAGAGAAAUGUGUUGGAACCCACACAUGUAAACUUUAACCAAGAGAAGAGAAAUGAAAUCCCGAUAAAAUCUCAAAGUUGUCGCUACAAUUAGGCACCCAAACAAACAAAGCAUUUGCUCAACCAAACAAGCAUACUACAGAAAACACAAACUACCAUAACUCUUCUGUUCCUUUCCUUCUAUUUCCUCAGAAACUAAAUAUACUUCAAUAAGCUCUUAAAUUCCAAAGCCCAUUGAGCAAUUAGUAGAGAGAGAGAGAGAGAGAGAGAGAGAGAGAGAGAGAGAUAAUGGUUACCUUCUGAACGAGAUUAACGGUUGCCUUGCCCGAUGGAAGAGGAACAGUCUCGUUCAAGCUCACACAAGUUUCCCUCUGGCUCAGCUCUCCACACCUCUCACAUUUCAACUGCAAGAUUACAAAAAGAAUAGAAUCAUGUUAAUAAUGACUAUAUCAAGCUCGGGAGACUAAGCGACGAACAUCGACGUCAAUUUUAAGCUACAACCCCUAGAAAUCUGAACACGAACACCAACUAUAAUGACAAAAUCGACUGCAUUUUUGGAGCAAAAAACUUGACGAAAGGAAAUGAAGGUGACCUUGAAGAGAUAGGAAAAGUUGGGGUCGUUGCAGCCUUCCUGGGGCUGAAGGUUCGUCAGGUUCUCGAGGUCCGCAGCGAUCUGAAGUAAAAAUUUCACCAUUUUCGAUUUGGCGUCAAUCUCGAGCUGCUCACCGCGUCUUUGUCUCACUGUGUGUAGCUAGUGGCAGGAUGAGUAAUAAAUAAGGGGGGCUUGGGCGACGAAUAGACGCUAUCAGUUAAACGGCGUCGUUGUGCGGAAUUUAAUUUUUUUCCGACACGGGGAUUUUUAGCUCAAGUUAACUACAAUUUACCCUAAAAUCGAUGGCCUAUGUUCGAAUCAUCUUUCUUAAUAUCGUUUGUAUUUUAAAAAAUAUUAAAUUAUAUGAAUCAUAUUGUGAUACCUGUUACAAAGAGAAGUUUAAUAUUAUGAAAGUCUUUCAAGUAGCAAAUGUGAAUUAGGUCAGUUAGUCAAAGUAGUGUGUCCAUCUUUUUUCACAUUAGUUUUUAGAUUUAUGAUAAUAGUACUUCAUUUGAAAUUUUGAAGGCCAUUGAAGUGAAGGAACCAAAGCAAUAUUGUAGGAAUUUAACAAUCAUUUUGCCAUUCUAAUUUGUGAGGACACGUCAUAAUGUUAGUCCUCAUACCAUUUUCCAUUUUACACACCGCAGUUCAAAUAUUGGACCAAAAAACAAAACGAAAUUGGCAUGAUUGGAAGGUGAACCAUGCAAAGUUUGCAGAUAUGUAAUCAGAAUCAUGUGCUACAUAUUAUGGAGGCACUGUCCUUGAAGAGAUUCAACUAGUGUUGGGAUCUUAGCCCAUCUCAUAUACUGAAAGAAAGAUAAUUUCCAUUUCAUGAUUUUGGGUGUUUGUGAUUAGUUAACAACAAAUUAAUGGGGGGAAGGGGGUUGUUUGGUGGUGAAGGGAUUGGAAUAAGGGGCAUAAUGGUAAUUAUGUUGGGAGCAACUGUGACUCUUAUUAGAUGUGGGGUGCUUGUGGAGGGUAAGUUGUUCUCUAAACAGAAGAUUUUGGAAGCCGAAAGACAAUUAAACCAACUUAGAAGGCCUGCAGUUAAAACCAUUCAGGUAAGAAUUGUCCAGAACUUGAGCCCUUCACAUAAGUUUUCUGCAUUGUAUUCAUUUACUCAGUUCAUAUUAAUCUCUAUGAUUGCUUGUAGAGUGAAGAUGGUGAUAUCAUUGAUUGCAUUGACAUCUACAAGCAGCCAGCUUUUGAUCAUCCUGCUCUCAGAAACCACACCAUCCAGGUCUGCCUUCUGUUGUGCAAGUUGAAAGUAGACAAAGAUUUACUCUGCAACUUUAAUCUUUUUGCUACCAUAUAACAACUGCUUUGAGUCUUUUUUUCAGAUGGCACCAACAUAUGAUACAACCAAGGAGACAAAGACAAUGAAAAAAAUGGACAGAUGGAAGAAGAGGAAUGAAGAACAAUCUCCCAUUACCGUGAAGCAAACAUGGCACAAAAGUGGAAGCUGUCCUCAGGGAACAAUCCCGGUCCGAAGAAUCCAGAAAAAGGAGCUUCUGAGAGCUAGCUUGGUUAAGGACUAUGGAAGAAAGAAGCACAGUUCUACCUUGUCUCGUCAUGUUUCACAGUUAAGUGACAACAAAACUGUGUACCUUCAACGAGCAAACCACUCGGUACAUCAAUUCCCCACACACACAUUUUUAAUUCAUUGGAAAAUUAACUACAACUAUACACCUAAUGAAGAGGGUUUUUUUUUCUCUGUGUGUAAUUUGUGAUGGCAUCAGAAGGCAAUAUUGUUUACAGAAGGGUACAGAUAUAAUGGAGCCAAAGGAGACAUCAAAGUUUAUAACCCAUCUGUCGAGCUUGAUGAUGAAUAUAGUACUUCUCAAGUUUGUCUCAUAAAUGGUGCUUAUUAUGACUUUGAGAGUGUUGAAUCUGGAUGGGCGGUAUAUAUAUAUUAACAUAAUAAACCCUUUCACUUUCAUCUUGAAGCUACUUACUUCUUCUGUCAUAUUAUGUUCAUGGCAUAACUUUUUAGUCUGAAAAAUUACUCUAAUCCCUCUUCAGGUAAAUCCCAGUGUAUACGGGGACAGACAGACUCGAUUUUUCGUGUAUUGGACUGUAAGCAGCCAUGAAUAAAGACUUAACAUUCAUGCGAGUAAUUCCACUAGAUUUGAUGUGAUUUCUGAUGUUUCUGCAGGUUGAUGGCUCACAGAAAACUGGUUGCUUUGAUCUCACUUGUCCUGGAUUUGUUCAGACUAGCCAUGAAAUUGCUCUUGGUGCAGCAAUCCAUCCAAUCUCUGUUCCUCAUGGGCUUCCAUAUCAAAUAAUAGUCUACAUCUACAAGGUCAGGUCAACAGUUUAACAACAUAACGCGCUUGAUGAACAGUUUAGCAACAUAACAUGUCUAACAUUAUUCGUAAUACUAAAUAAGUUUUCCUAUCGUAUCUUCAAUUGAAUUUCUUUUUUGUUUUGCCUCCAAAUUUAGGAUCCAGUAACAAGCAACUGGUGGGUGCAAUAUGGGGAGAGAAUUAACAUCGGUUACUGGCCGCCGGAGCUGUUUGUUUUAUUGAGCUACCAUGCAACAAGUGUUGAAUGGGGAGGUGAAGUUUAUAGCUCAAGAGUGGGAACUACGCCUCACACAAGAACAGAUAUGGGCAGUGGACACUUUGCUGAGUCAUCAGUUUGGGGGACUUCAGGCGUCAUAAAAAGAAUUCGAGUACAUGAGAAUUCACCUGGGCUGAAAUUCCCUGAUAUAGUUAAUACUUUGAUGGAUGAGUUCAACUGUUAUGAUGUCAAGUAUCUUUCGGAUUAUGUUGAAGAUCCUGAGUUCUAUUAUGGAGGGCCUGGUAGAAAUUAUAUGUGCCCUUAAGCUUAUGUUAACUUUGCUAGGACUUGUUUAAGACCCCAUUAGAAUGGGUAAUUAUGUUGUUUUAAACUUUCAUUAGUUAUUUUUUCAAUAUCAAACUCUGUAAACCCCAUCUUAUUUCUCAAAAUGACAUAGUUUUAGACAUAGACACGAUACAAGCACUAAAAACACAAGUGGAUAAUCCUAUUUCGUCCCCAAAAGGAAAAGCCUUAGAGAGUGGAAAUCUCCUAAUAAAUUGGUAAAAAUUAGGCAUAUUAAUUUUAAUUUCUAUCCAGAGGUUGCGCAAUAUUUGAAUUCAGAUUUAGAGGGAAGUGAAGUUUUUGGUGUAUAGGCAUCGAUUGUGUGUUACACUAACAUAACAUGUAUAACUUUGCACAAACGACUUGGAAUUUCAUUUUUUAUAUAUAUAAUAAUCGAGAAAAAUAUUUGUCUCAUUUCUUAAAAUGAGUCAUUCCUCCUUACAUGCAAAUUACAAUUUGACAUGAUCUACACGUGUUAGGUUGACUCGUUUAAUUCUACUAUUGACACGUAGCAUUAUCUCCUAAUAACAUAGAAAUUUAACAAUCAUACUGUAGAAAUUUAACAAUCAGUUCAUACUGUAGAAACCAAGCCAUACUGUAGAAAUUUAACGAUCAGUUCUUCUUUGGCUAAAGAUUUAUGUAGCUGGGUUUACCAAGGUUAAGGACACACUUGUCCAAAUAUUCAACAGCUACCAUUUUGAAUUUAACACUUGGCAAUUCAAAUAUAGAAUAAAAAUGUGAAAUUUGCAUGAUUUGGAAGGUGAAUCAUGCAAAUUUUGCAGUAUAUGUAGUUUGCAGAAGAUAUGUAUGCUGCACAUUGUGGGUGGCAUUGUCCUUAAAUAACCUAAGCUUAACUUAGAUUCUGAAAGCAAGAUAAUCAGUUUCCAUUUUAUGAUUUUGGGUAUUUAAAUUACCUGAGAUUUAGUAUAUAAUCAAACAAAUGGGGAAAGGGUUGUGUAGUGGUGAAGUGAUUAGAUUAAGGGGGAUGAAGAUGAUGGUAAUUAUGUUGGGAGUGACAGUGACUCUAAUUAGAUUUGGGGUGCUUGUAGAGGGUGAUUUGUUCUCUAAACAAAAGAUUUUGGAAGUUGAAAGAAAAUUAACCCAACUUAGAAGACCUGCAGUUAAAACCAUUCAGGUUUGAAUUGUCCAGAAUGAGCCCUCCACACAUAAGUUUUUUUAUUAUUGUAUUCAUUCUCAGCUCAAAUGAUUGUUUGCAGAGUGAGGAUGGUGAUAUCAUUGAUUGCAUUGACAUUUACAAGCAGCCAGCUUUUGGUCAUCCUGCUCUCAGAAACCACACCAUCCAGGUCUGCCUUUCUGUUGUUCUAGCUGAAAGUAAAAAAAAGAAAAGAUUUACUCUGCAACUUCAAUCUUUUUACUACCAUAUAACAAGUGGUUUGAGUCUUUUUUUAGAUGGCACCUACAUAUGAUGCAACAAAGGAGACAAAGACAAUGGGAAAAAUGGACAGAUGGAAGAAGAGGAAUGAAGAACAAUCUCCCACUACAGUGAAGCAGACAUGGCACAAAAGUGGAAGCUGUCCUCAGGGAACAAUCCCGGUCCGAAGAAUCCGGAAAAAGGAGCUUCUGAGAGCCAGCUCGGUUAAGGACCAUGGAAGAAAGAAGCACAGUUCUACCCUGUCUCGUCAUGUUUCAGAGUUCAGUGACAACAAAACUGUGAACCUUCAACGAGCAAACCACUCGGUACACCAAUUCUCCACACACACAUUUUUUAAUUAAUUGGUAAAUUAACUACAACUAUACAUCUAAUGGAGAGGGGUUUUUUUGUUUUUUGGUUUUUGUGUUUGUGUAAUUUGUGAUGGCCUCAGAAGGCAAUAUUGUUUACAGAUGGGUAUAGAUAUAAUGGAGCCAAAGGAGACAUCAAAGUUUAUAACCCUGCUGUUGAGCUUGAUGAUGAAUAUAGUACUUCUCAAGUUUGUCUCAUAAAUGGUGCUUAUUAUGACUUUGAGAGUGUUGAAUCUGGAUGGGCGGUAUAUAUAUUAAAAUUAAUAAACCUUUUCACUUUCAUCUUGAAGCUACUUACUUCUGUUACAUUUUAAGUUCACGGCAUUACUUUUUAGUCUGAAAAAAUGCUCUGAAUCCCUUCAGGUAAAUCCCAGCGUAUACGGGGACAGACAGACUCGAUUUUUCGUAUACUGGACUGUAAGCUGGCAUGAAUCAUAAAUUAGUUUUCAUAUGAGUAAUUCCACUAGAUUUGAUAUGAUUUCUGAUGUUCCUGCAGGUUGAUGGUUCAAAGAAAACUGGUUGCUUUGAUCUCACUUGUCCUGGAUUUGUUCAGACUAGCCAUGAAAUUGCUCUUGGUGCAGCCAUCUAUCCAAUCUCUGUUCCUAAUGGGCUUCCAUAUCAAAUAAUAGUCUACAUCUACAAGGUCAGGUCAAUAAUUUAACAACAUAACGUACCUAACCGAUAGUUUAGCAACAUAACAUGUCAACAUUACUACUUGUAACACGAUAAUAGGUUUUCUUCUCGUAUCUUCGAUUGAAUUUCUUUCUGUUUUUGUCUCCAAAUAUAGGAUCCGGUAACAAGCAAUUGGUGGGUGCAAUAUGGGGAGAAAAUUAACGUCGGUUAUUGGCCGCCGGAGCUGUUUGUUGCACUGAGCUACCAUGCAACGAGUGCUGAAUGGGGAGGUGAAGUUUAUAGCUCAAGAGUGGGAACAACUCCUCACACAAAAACAGAUAUGGGCAGUGGACACUUUGCUGAUUCUGUUUGGGGGACUUCAGGCGCCAUAAGAAGAAUCCGAAUACAUGAGAAUUCACCUGGGCUGAAAUUCCCUGAUAUAGUUACUACUUUGAUGGAUGAGUUCAACUGUUAUAAUGUUAGGUAUCUGUCAGAUUAUGUUGAAGAUCCUGAGUUCUAUUAUGGAGGGCCUGGCAGAAAUUAUAUGUGCCCUUAAGCUUAGCUUAGCUUUGCUAGGACUUGUUUAAGACCCAUUAGAAUGGGUAAUUAUGUCGUUUUAAACUUUCAUUUAUUUUUCCAAUAUAAACUAUAAAAACCCAAAACUCUUAUCCUCAAAAUAACGUAGUUUUGGACAUAAACACCAAAAACACAGAUGAUUCUAUUUGUGAGAAUGUGAAGGUAAAGAGUCCCACAUUGGAAAGUUGAGAAACCUAGCAAGGGCUUAUAAGGAGUUGGGUUACUCCCCCCAUUGCCAAUUGGUUUUGGGGUAGAACCUCAACUUCCUUCAUGGUAUCAGAGCAAGGCUUCACAUGUUGAGCCCAACAGCCACACGUGCUCCCACGUCACCCAAUAUGUGUUGUCCACGUGUUAGGCUUGAAAGUUCGCCACACGUGCGGGGGCGUGUUGAGAGUGUUUGUCCCACAUUGAAAUGUUAAGGGACCUAGCCUGGGUUUAUAAGGAGUUGGGCAACUCCCCCCAUUGCCAAUUGGUUUUGGGGUGGAACCUCAACUUCCUUCAUGGUAUCAGAGCAAGGCUUCACGUGUUGGGCCCAACGGCCACACGUGCUCCCACGUCACCCAAUAUGUGUUGUCCACGUGUUAGGCUUGAAAGUUCGCCACACGUGCGGGGGCGUGUUGAGAGUGUCACGUGCUCCACGUCACCCAAAAUGUGUUGUCCACGUGUUAGGCUUGAAAAUUCGCCACACGUGCGGGGACGUGUGAGAAUGUGAAGGUAAAGAGUCCCACAUUGGAAAGUUGAGAAACCUAGCAAGGGCUUAUAAGGAGUUGGGUUACUCCCCCCAUUGCCAAUUGGUUUUGGGGUGGAACCUCAACUUCCUUCACUAUUUCAUCCCAAAAAAGAAAAGCCUUAUGGAGUGGAAAUCUCCUCAUUAAUUGGUAAAAUUUUGCGUUAGUUACUUACCAUCUUCAAUUUGACCGAAGUUCUAUCCAAAGGUUGCACAAUAUUUGAAUUUAGAUUUAGAGAGAAGUGACGUUUUUGGUGUAUUGGCGUCGAUUAUGUAUACAUUAACAAGUUCAAUUUUGCACAAAGGACUUGGAAUUUUUUUAUUUUUUUUAUAAAUAAUAAAUCAAGAAAAAUAUUUGGUUCCUUGUUAAAAAUGAGUCAUUCAUUUUCAGAAUGCAAAUUAAUUUGACAUGAGUGUAAAUUUUUUAACAUGCUUUUAAUAAGUUAUUUAUGUAUAAGUGUUAAGUUGCGAUUUGAAUGUAAGGAGAAACGACUCAGUUAGUUCUAUAAAUCAAACUAGAAGAAACACAUACACAUCCGUGUGUAAUUUGCUAAUUUGUAAUACCGGUUGCAAAGAGAAAGUAGGUAUGGUGGAAGCCUUAAAAGUCCCCCAAUACAUUGUAUAGCCGUGCGGCUCUACUUUUAAAAUUUUCUAUUUAUAAAGUAUAGCCGGCUAUACCCUAAAAACGCCGUGAAAGCAAAUUCUUUCUUUAUAUAUACUAGCCUCUCUACACGCGCUUCCGCGCAUGCGAGAGGUUUUUUUAAAAAAAAUUUUAAAUUUAUUUUAGAAUUAAAAAAGAUAAUAGAUAUUUGUGUUCCAUAAAAAUAGGAUCCAUUAUCUGAAUUUUCUUUUUUUUUUAAUUUUUUUAAUGCGAAAAAUUGUGAAUUUACCAUAUUAUCCUCAUUUAAUUAAUAAUUUCAAUUCUUAAUGUUUGCAUUAACCAAGGGUAUUUUCUGGUAUUUUGAAUGUUUCACCAUUCUCUGCCUUUUGCUUUAUAUAUAUAGAUAGAUAUAUACAUUACCGCCCAAUAGAUUUGUAAUUCAAAGCCGUGCGGCUAUACUAUUUUUUAUAAUAACAACCAUAGUAUAGCCGACCGGCUAUACCCUUUUUAUUAUAUAAAAAAAAUCCGAGUAUAAGUACCAUUUUUAAAAGAGGACCCACUGGAGCCUAGCGCCCCCUUUUGCCAUGUGUCAAAAAUAGUACAGCCGAGCGGCUAUACGCAAUUAAUUAUAAAAAAAUAAGUGUAGCCGAGCGGCUAUACUAUUUAUAAUAAAAAAGGGCCACCGCUUAACGAGCAUGGCCAAAGUAUAGCCGCGCGGCUAUACUCUAUAAAUAUAAUAUUCUGAAGGUAUAGCCGGUUGGCUAGACUCAUACUCGUUUGCCCGUAAUUUGUUUUUAAAAAGUAUAGCCGACCGGCUGGACUCGGCAUUUUCUUAAUUGUUUUUUAAAAAUAGUAUAGCCGAGCGGCUAUACCCGGGUUUUUAAUUUUAUUUUAGGGUUCAGGGUUUAGGGCGGCUAUACUCGUUUUCCCCUAAUUUUUUUAAGAAAUAGUAAAGCCGAGGGAAGGAAUCAAGCCAUAUUGUAGAAAUUUAACAAUCAUUAAUUCAUUGGCUAAAGAUUUGUGUAGCUAGGUUUAACCAAUUCUAAGGAAUUGUUUAAAUAUUCAACAGGAUACCAUCUUGAAUUUAACAUGUGACAAUUCAAAUAUUGAAUAAAAAUGUGAAAGUUGCAUGAUUGGAAGGUGAAUCAUGCAAAUUUUGCAGAUAUAUAUAGUUAUCAGAAAAUAUAUAUAGGUUUAGGAAGAUAACCCAAGCUCAUCUUAGAUUCUGAAAGGAAGAUGAACAAUCUCCAUUUUAUAAUUUUGGGUAUUUGAAUUACCUGAGAUUUAGUACAUAUCAGACAGAGUUUAGUUAACAAAAAAUGGGGAAAGGGUUGUCUGGUGGUGAAGUGAUUAGAUUAAGGGGGAUGAUGGUAAUUAUGGUGGGAGUGACAGUGACUCUAAUUAGAUGUGGGGUGCUUGUGGAGGGCAAUGUGUUCUCUAAACAGAAGAUUCUGGAAGUUGAAAGAAAAUUAACCCAACUUAGAAGGCCUGCAGUUAAAACCAUUCAGGUUUGAAUUGUCCAGAACUUGACAUAAGUUUUCUUCUCAUUGUAUUCAUUUAAUCAGCUCAUAUGAUUGCUUGUAGAGUGAGGAUGGUGAUAUCAUUGAUUGCAUUGACAUUUACAAGCAGCCAGCUUUUGACCAUCCUGCUCUCAGAAACCACACCAUCCAGGUCUCCCUUGUAUAAGUUCUAGUUGAAAGUAAACACAUUUUUCUUCUCUGUGACAUUAUAUAUUUACUGAUAAUCUAACAAAUGCUUUGAGUCUUUUUUCAGAUGGCACCAACAUAUGAUCUGACGAAGGAGACAAAGACAAUGACAAAAAUGGAUAGAUUGAAGAAAAGGAGUGAACAAUCUUCCGUGACAGCAAAGCAAACAUGGAAGAAAAGUGGAAGCUGUCCUCAAGGAACGAUCCCAGUCCGAAGAACUCGAAAAAAGGACCUGCUUAGAGCUAGCUCAGUUAAGGACUAUGGAAGAAAGAAGCACAGUACCCUGUCUCGUCAUGUUGCAGAGCCUAGUGACAACAAAUCUGUCUACCUUCUACGAGCAAACCACUCGGUACAUUAACUUCCCAUUUUCACAUUUUUAAUUGAUAAAUUAAUCACAUCUCAUGAAGAGGGGUUUUUUUUUUGUUGGUAAUUUGUGAUGUCCUCAGAAGGCAAUAUUGCUUACAGAAGGGUACAGUUAUACUGGAGCCAAAGGAGACAUAAAAGUUUGUGCCCCUUCUGUUGAGCUUGAUGAUGAAUAUACUACUUCUCAAGUUUGUCUCAUAAACGGUCCAAGUUUUGCCUUUGAGAGUGUUGAAUCUGGAUGGGCGGUAUAUUAACAUAAACCCUUUCACUUUCAUCUUGAUGCUACUUACUUCUGUUACAUUCUAUGUUCAUGGCAUAACUUUUAGUCCGAAAAAUUACUUGGAAUCCCUCUUUAGGUAAAUCCAAGCGUCUAUGGGGACAGAAAUACUCGAUUUUUCUUAUACUGGACUGUAAGUUGACGUGUUUCAUGACUUAGUUUUCAUGUGAGUAAUUCCACUAGACUUGAUGUGAUUUCUGAUGUUCCUGCAGGCUGAUGGUUCAAAGAAAACUGGUUGCUUUGAUCUUACCUGUCCUGGAUUUGUUCAGACUAGCCAUGAAAUUGCUCUUGGUGCAGCAAUUUAUCCAAUCUCUGCUCCUGAUGGGCUUCCAUAUGAGAUAAUUGUCUACAUCUUCAAGGUCAGCUCAACAGUUUAGUAACAUAACAUGUACAGUUUAGCAACAUAUAUAUCUGAUAUCUGAAAAAGACAAUGUAAUAUUAAGUGUUCUUCUCAUAUCUUCGAUUGAGUUUCUUUUUUAUUUGCUUCCAAAUUUAGGAUCCAGUAACAAGCAAUUGGUGGGUGCAAUACGGGGAGAGAAUUAACAUCGGUUAUUGGCCUCCGGAGCUGUUUUUUGCAUUGAGCUAUCAUGCAACAGGUGUUGAAUGGGGAGGUGAAGUCUAUAGCUCAAGAGUUGGAACUACUCCCCACACAAAAACAGAUAUGGGGAAUGGACGCUUUGCUAGUACUGCGGGAUUUUCAGGUGUCAUAACAAGAAUGAGAAUACAUGACAAUUCACCUGCACUGAAAAUCCCUGAAUGGGCUGAGACUUACAUGGACGAGUUCAAUUGCUAUGAUGCUAUCUAUGUUGAAGACUACGUUGAAGAUCCUGAGUUCUAUUAUGGAGGGCCUGGUAGAAAUUAUAAGUGCCCUUAAACUUAGCUUAGCUAGGAAUUGUUUAAGACAACACAAGUCGAUAAUACAAUUUCGUCCCGAAAGGGAGAACAUUUCCAAUUAUCAAUGUUUACCAAAAUGGCAUAUCAGCUUAAUUUCCAGGUUUCCAAAUGAGGUUUUUUUCUUGGUAGGUAACAUGGAAUCUGUGUUUGUAUGUAGUCGGUAUAGCAUAUCUUAGAAGAAAGUGAGACAGAAAGGUAACAGAGAUGUUAAGCAAAUGUCCACGAUUCACAAUAUGUGACUCUCUAAAUUAAAUGAAGGGACAAAAUGCUGCUAAUGGGAACAUCUUAAUUCACUGGAUAAAGAUAAAACCCGUUUUCUGUACAUGCAAUUAUGUCCAAAUAUUGCACCAAGACAAGAGUACUUAUUAUGUUUCUAUAUUUAAGAGAGGCGUGCAUGAACUGCACAUUUGACAUGUGGAUGAAGCCGCGAGGACUUGCAUCAUAUAUAUAAUAACACAUUAUCUUCUUUCUUUUCAACCAGACAUGCCUUCAUUUGGUUUCUCAAAGGUUAAUUUUACCACCUAAUUAUCCUGUUAAUUUUAUCUAUAGCUUGAUUGUAUCUCUCUGUGUGUACAAGAGUGUAAGUGAGACACAAAAAGAGAUUGAAGAUGGGGAAGAAGAGGGCUUUAAUGUUCUCGUUAGCAUUGGGAUUGUUUGUUUUUUGUGUUAGUGCAGCAGAACAUCACCAUGUGAAGGCUAAAACUAAACGAAUUUCUUUGGAAGUUCAUAAGAAGUUGAAGCUUUUGAAUAAGCGUGGCGUGAAGACUAUCAAGGUCUGAUUUUCUGCCAUUUUUAUUAGCUUUCUGACUAAUCACACUUUCACAGAAUUUUAUCUAUAUCAGAUCUGUUAUACAAUUUUCUUUCAGCAGUCUUCUCCAUUUCAAAAUUUAGCUCAACCCUUUGUGCUAUUGCCUCUGCUGUCUUAAAUUUCACAAUUUCUUCUUUGUUGUGCUACUGCUAUGACUUGGUAAGCUCAGAGGACUGACUGUAUGUUUUACCACUUGAUUAUUUGAUUUCUUGCAGAGUGAGGAUGGAGAUAUCAUUGACUGUGUUGACAUCUACAAACAGCCUGCUUUUGAUCAUCCGGCAUUGCGCAACCACAAAAUUCAGGUCGACUUUUAAACCUUUGUACAUUUGGAGAAUGUAUGAAACAAAAAAUAAAACAUUCUCCAAGUUUUAAAAACGUUUUAAAAACAAUCUCCAAGUUUUAAAAACGUUUUAAAAACAAUCAUGUUUUCUUCCAAAUGUUGAUAUAGUUGGUGUAUAAUAUUGCAGAUGAGACCCAGUAAUCAUGUACAAAAUGAUCAUAAUUCUUCUCAGCUGGUAUCUCAAAUUUGGCAAAGGAGCGGAAGCUGUCCAGACGGAACCAUUCCCAUUCGGAGAAUUCGAAAGCAAGAUUUAUUGAGAGCUACUUCACUUGAAAACUUUGGGAAGAAAAUGCCAGUGCAUUCUUCCUACUCCCCCACAGAUGACAAGGGCACUGUGUACAUCAACAGCACCCGAGUCGAACUCGGGCCUCAAGUCAAUCGUUCAGUAAGCAAACAUCGUGAAGAUUUAAUUAACAAAGUUUACUUUGAUCCUUGUCUAACUUGUGCAAAACUGUGUUUGCUAGGCUGCUAUCCUGUUAACUACUGGAUACAAUUACAUAGGUGCUCAAGGAGAUAUAAAUAUUUGGACUCCAAGAGUUGAAUCACCAGAUGAGUUCACUACUGCUCAAAUCUGGCUUAAGAAUGGACCUGGAGAGGCUUUUGAAAGUGUAGAAUCAGGCUGGGUGGUAAGUAGUAUAUUAUGGUAACUUCAUUUGGAAAAUAUUACUUUUCAACUAUCAGUUCCUCAAAAUCACUCCAUAUAUGUGUAUAUAACUGCUACUCUUUUUUGCUCCUCUUCGUUUGGCUUUGGACAGGUAAACCCAAAGGUAUAUGGUAAUGGAGCAACUCGACUUUUUGUAUAUUGGACUGUAAGUACUUCAUUACAAAAUGAUCAAAAGAACAGGAAAAUGUAGCAUAUAUUAUGUUUGCUCCAUCUGAAAUGUGCCUGCACUUAAUUCUUCUUUUUUUUUUUGGGUUUUUUCAGAAGGACUCAUACAAAUCAUCAGGCUGCUUUGAUCUCACCUGCCCAGGAUUUGUGCAAACCAACAAAGACAUAGCCCUUGGUAUGGUCCUUGGACCUGUAUCAUCUAAAAUGGGACCCCAAUAUCAAACCACCUUCAGCAUCACCAAGGUUUGAAAAUCUUAAUCACUUUUCGUGCAUUCAAAUCAUUUCCAUUGUUAGUCAACGGGAUUUAGCCCAGUGAAAAGGGCUUUGACUUGCAAACCAGUGGUCUCAAGUUCGAAUCCCCAUGGCACAUUGACAGUUGCAUGUGCGAGAAAAACCCAUCCCCUUCCUAAAUUUGACGCACAAAAAAUACAUUUCCAUUGUUGAACAAAAAUGUGAUGGUUUAAAACAUACGUUGUAGGAACCAAGCACAGGAAAUUGGUGGGUGCGUAUUGGCCAAAACGUUCCUGUGGGAUAUUUUCCUGGAGAGCUCUUCUAUUAUUUGACACGCGGUGCUGCAACAUUAGUUGAAUGGGGAGGAGAAGUGUUUAGCUCCAAGGUGAAGCAAAAUCAUCCACACACUGCAACAGGGAUGGGAAGUGGAGAUUUUGCAUCGGGCAAAUUGGGCAAUGCAUGCUAUGUGAAGCAAGUUAGGAUUAUAGAUUAUUCAAAGCAAUUGAAGUACCCAGAAUGGGUAGGCACUUAUUCAGAUGAAGAGUAUUGCUACUCUGCAUUGAACUACGCUCUGUCACUUGCUCAAGAACCUGUGUUCUACUUCGGCGGACCGGGUCGAAAUCCUCCUUAUUGUCCCUAAGUUGUUCAUAAUCUCAAAUGAGGACGCUUAAUUUCCAUAGUUUUUUCUUGAAAUAAUGUCCAAAUAUAUGAUGGCUUGAGCCAAUGUAGCAAGACUAUUUUAUAUUUGAAGCCUAUUGUUAUUGAUUUAUAUGUGAUCAGAAAUGGACUUAUAAUUUUGGUCCCAUUGUCUGCGAUCCUCUUGCAUUGCUCACUGGUUGUGCUUUCACAGAGAUACAUCUACAUAUAUGAGCAUAUAAAAGCCAAAUUACAAGAGAUUUAUCAACAUAAUUGGUCUAAUAGCCCUAUUAACUUUAUUGGCCUCCUCACAUUCUGAGGUUUCGAAUGAUUAGGUUUUUUUUUUCUUUCUUAUUUUAAAUUUGGUGAAUAAUUAAAAUGGAUUUUGAGUUUGGUAAUUAAGGUGAUCACUUGUUCAGUAUUGACAAAGCUUGGAUCGAAAGUAACAUAAAAGGACGGUACAAUUUCUGGAACUUGAUUUUCACUUUUUAGCUUGAACUUCCAGACAACAAUAUCAGAUAUUCAAAAAUGGACAAUUACUCCUAUUACCCAAAUAGUUGCUACCUAUGCCCAAUAACACAAUACAUGAGGGGAAAUAUCGCAUAUUCAGAUUACACUGCUCAGGUUGUGGUAUUCCAGAGGUAUACAAGAUAUACAUAUACGAAGAAUAUACAAUCACAAGAUCAAGAAAUAAGGAAAACCCCAUUACAGAAUAUCAUACCAAAAUGGCCAGGCCACACCAACUUCGAUGAGACCAAUAUCAUUUGCAAGCCAAUGAGAGAAAAUCAGCUAGAUCGAAUCAUGCUGUUUUCUCUCUUCUUGUAUAGAUUGGAAAAUACGAGCAGCUGAUGCAGUUGCAGUUCUUGGAUUGUGUGGCACAACUCUAAUCGCUCGUGUUGGCUGGCCUGAAUCAUGAGGUUGGGCAACUCCUUCUGGAAUUACCGGAGCCAUUGGAAAAAGUUGAAGAGCAUCACUUCCUUCAGCAUUUUGAUCUGUCCCCAAUCGUGCUGUGUCACCUGGACUAUUUGCAGUACUUCCUUGUAGCUCACUGUCGUUAGAUGCCUGAAACAUCAUGGCAUGAGGAAUAGCUCCACUUUUCUGGGAUGGCAUAUUGCAUGAGCUUUGAUGCUGCACAUUAGAGUUUGUUCCCCCUCCUGAUAACUGAUCGAUUUGACCAUGUGAACCAGGUCCGGCAAACCAAUGCAUUUGUUCAAUGCCUGAGCUUGGCAUGGCUGGAUUCAUAACGGACAUGCCAUAUGGAGGAAAGUAAGUAUGGCCUAAUGGAGGAGGGGCAGGAAGAACCCCCGUCCCUUGAUGAUGAUGAGAAGCUGGAACCCCAUAGUUUGGCUUAACAAAGUUACCCGUCAUGGGAGUUGAGUUGAAAGGUCCACAUCCUCCACAAACUGGUCCCAUAAAUCCAGGUCCAUGAUAUGGCUUAUAUACAAGUCCUUCAGAGGGAGACAUUACAGGAAUUAACAACUGGUGUCCAGGUGAUUGAUGGAAACACCAAGGACUGGCUUUAUUAUCAGUACCGACAGGUGUUGGCUGUGGGUUCCCUACAUAUGGCCCAUAAUUUGAAGUCUGACUACCAUUUUUCACAGAAGAAAGAGAUGUUUUCCCAACUGCAUUUUCUGCGGAACAUUCAAUUUUGUUGUUUGGCUUCUCAGGUUCAUGUUUGCGCUUUACAACACGUAGUAGUGGCUUUACAACAUACUCUGAUGAAAGUUUCUUUGCAGGAGAACCCCUUAAAGAAGAUGUGCCUAGGAAAGCAGUAUCUUCAAGCAAAAGAUUAGGAGACCCAGCAAUCAGUCGUUGGACCUGUUGAAAACAACUAGAAAGUUAAAAAUCUACCCUCCUGUAGUCCUUUUGGGGUUCAAAUAGCAUCAUUUAUUCUGUGUUUAUAUAUACAUUUUUUUUUUUGGGACUAUAUACACAUAUAUGUUUAUUUGCAUCUCAUAAUUGCAUUCCAAGAGAAGCAGAAUUACAGGGUCAGAGACUAUGUUAUAGUCUUACCUUAAUGAGCCUAUGCAACUCAAAUACUUGCACUGCAAACAAUCUUUGCUGACUGUAGAAAGUAACAGGGGUUGGAUCAAAAACAUAAUUAUACAACAUAUACCAAAUCAUAUGAAACUUGGCAAAACACAAAACCGAAACCAAUACAAGGAAAAAAAAAGAACUGAACAGAAAUGAAGGAUCAGGCACUUGAAAGAAUCAUUUAUACCAAAACAAUCCUUACUGUGUAAUAUAUUCCAUAUAAAACUCACAUUAUGUAAGAGAUAACAGCCAAAGGACUAGGUGCUUUAAUCACAAAAUAUCUGCUUACCCCAUGAAAAGCACCAUAGCCUAUUAACUCCACAUGACCACACCCCCAAGCUAAUCCUUAGACUUGAUAUUGAUCAGGAGUGCAGGCAAAUAUGACAUUUACCAAACAUGGGAAGAAAACAUCUUAAGGAUGGAUUCAGAAAAUUGCACAUCAGAAAAUAGUUAUAAACAAUGAGGCACAGAUCAGUAAAAUAAUAACAAAAAAUAAUAAUAAUAAUAAUAAUAGUGAAUACAAUAAAAAGGAAAGCUAAAUGCUAAAAACACUAUCUUCAGAGCAAUAAAAACGAAAGCUAAAUGCUAAAACAGAUUCGAAAACAUAGCAACUAUCUGCAAUAUAAAUCAAGAUGUCUGCAAAUCUCCUUUAUUUCACAUAAUUAGAGCUCCAAAUAUGUAAUAUUCAAUCAAAACCAUAUAAGAACUAUACAUUCAGUUGUAUGGAUGUCAUAAAUGAUCCUCGUUACAACAAAGUCGGACAGCAAGCGCAUAAUAGAGCUUUCUAAUUCACAUGUAAAUACUUACAGCUCUUUUCUUAUAGUACAGAAAGAAAGAAAAUACAAAACCUUCAAUAACGAAAAAAGAAUAUGUAAUGAUGAGAAGAAGCCAUAUAUAGGGGAAAUCUCAUAUUCUAUAAAGCAUAUAAAAAGAGUACGCAACCCCAACCCAACAAAAUCUUCCAACACAGGACAUCAAAGCACUACAUAAGAGAUGUAAUCCUCCUCACCACCAUGUCCACCACCAAUUCCACAAUGUCAAAUAUAGUCCAAGAUCCACAAAAUGUAGUCCCAAGGAUAAUCCUUCAUCACUUGUUCCCCUCCUUGCUCCCAGCCCUCAAGUGCCAUGAAGGGAAAAUUUUCCCAGUGGCCAAAAAACCAAAGCAUUACGAAACCGAGACAGGAAUACACCCAAAAGGCAGAUACAAAAGGGCAAUGAAUAAUGAGAUGAUCCGCUGUCUCGGAGGUCGCGUUGCACAAGAUAACUCUAUUAAGAUGUAUGUUUCCCUGCUUUAAGAUGAUCCAUAUCCACUGUUAAAAUGUUAUCGAGGGCCUUUUAACAAAAAGAAAUUCCACUUUAGAAGGGAUCCAGGGACUCUGCACUAUGAAAUAUCACCUCCCUCAAAGUCGCAUUUAAACAAAAUUCAGUCUAUAGUCCUAGUUGUUAUAUUUGAUGGUGUAAACGCUUAUGAAACAAAAAAUCCAAAGUACAAGUGUGGAAAUAUUAAAUAAAACAGAGGUAUUAUGAGACCAAAAUGCUUCACAAGGACAGCAAAACAUGUACUAUAUUUGGAAAAGGGUAAACUUCAAAUUAAGCACAAAGUAACAACUGAAUUGGAGCAGCUAUUGGAGAAAAUAGAGACUUACUUGACGAUUGCUUUUCUUGCCUUCCAGAAAUGUUUCUGACCUAUUAUUCCUACAACGUCAUCGGGAGAGAUAUCCAAGCCAGAUAUAGAAUCCACCAUGGAGGUCUCUGAGACAUCAUCACUUUUGUCUACAUGUCCCAUUUGAGGUGAAAUACACGUUCUAUCUCCACGGUAUUCACUGUCAUUAUCAAGCUCAUUGGGACCACCAGGAUCCUCCCCAGAAUAAGACAGACUUCUUUCCUGGAAAACAGCUCCCUUCUCUACAUCUCUUGUACACUCAACAAGACCAUCACCUUGCCCAGUGAUGUUUGGCUGUGAUCCAGAUCUAGACUCUUGUUGUAAGCAAGCAUCACUCUCAGAUAACCUGCUGAAUCUAGGAACAGGAUAGUCUGCAUACUCUUGAUUUGGAGAUGCACUUACUUCUUCUGCAGGCCCAUCAAUCUUUUGUCUAGUUGAUAUUUUUGUGGCAGAUUUUGCUGAAUGGUCCCUAACCGGGCCACUUACUUUUAUUAGAUCCUCUUCUCUUUCACUUCUCAAUUCUCGUCUCAAAUUGAGAGUAGUUGGGGAGCUUAAUUGUUUUGGAUCCUUCUUGCCCGUAUUUUUUAGUUUCACUGUAUGGCCAGAAUGAGAUGGGCCGAUUGGAGCAAGUUUUUCCUUAUCAAUACCAAUUUGAGUUUUACUAUGACAAAGACCCAUCCUUGAUUGAACAAAUACAGGCACCCUAAAAUCAUCCUCCUCUCCGACUUUCUUUCUUUGGUCGGGUUGUGUCAAGGGCGUGUUCUCAUUUGCUCCAUCAGAUUGACGAGCAUGAAACAUCUCAGCCUGACGACUAGGUGUAGAUGGAUGAACAUGAAGCGGAACAGGCAAAUUUCCUUCAGAACGACUUCCCUGAAAACAUAAAUUGCUCCAGAAAAAUCAGAUAUGAAAUAACCAAUUUUCCCUAUAGAAGCUUCCAAUACUAUUUCUGAAAACACUAUUGAUUUUCCCUUCUUAAAGUGCAGAUAUAGCAAUAUUGGUUAUAUUGGCAUUUUCUUUUCUGGACUGAACUAUAUUGGCAAUAAAACACAACACAUGUACAUAGUAGCAUGCAAAACUACUGGAUAUAGCAUAAAACAGAAUUUGUAGUUAGCUACUACAAAAACAGAAAACAAACCUAGUGAAAUCCAUAACCUAACUAAAGCUUAAAAGGAUAACACUUCAAAACUAAUCCUCAGUAAACCUUAAACGAGAAAGCUAGGCACAAAUUAUGAGUUUACCUGGCUCGAGAAAGCUGAGGGAACCACACUGCUAGUGUUAUUUGGAUUAAGAGGCAUCACCACAGGGUUGAACCUCUGAGAAGGGAUACUGAGCUGUUCAUAGAGCGCCAUCUUAUUCCUUGGAGGUGCUCUUGGCCCUCCUUUAUCUGCAUCAUUCACAUGGAGUCUUGGGAACAUAGGUCCCAUAACCUUUUCUUCGUUCCCUCUCUUCAUUUUCAACACCAACACCAAGUCCAAAAAUCUAUUCUUAUAUUAAAUUCCCAAAACCACCCUCAAAAACUCAAACUUGUUCAAACCCAUGCACCAAAAACAUCUCUUUUGUUGAAAUUGUGCUCGCUAAAACGAGAAUACCAAAAGGGAUCUAACAAAAUCCCAGCUAGCUAAAAGCCUUCUCCUUUCUCAUAAUAGAUCAAAUUCCAGAAAACCCAGAAGCAGACCAGGCUUCUAAAACCUGAACCGACAUAAACAGACUCAGCUUAUCACACCCGAAAAAACCAAGCUCCAAAUUAGGCAAGACCCAGAUGUCAAACACCAAAAGUAAACAGAUUCCCUUUGAAAAAACGAGAGAUUUCUUCACAACCCAGCUGGGAAAAAAGGGUACUUGAGAACUGAAACUGAUGGAGGAACGAACUAAAAGCGUGAAUUGUGGAAAAGAAGGGAUAGGAAUAAAAGAAGAGCCAAGAAAGAGAUUGGGAGUUGAGGGCUGAGAAAGGCUAAGGCUUAUUUUAGGGAUUCCGCAAAGGGAUCGUCUUCUUAGAAAAAGGAAAAGUGAAAAGUGCGGGGGUUGGUUGGGCCCUUGUUUGGGAUAGACCCAGAAGAAGACUAGAACCUCCUCUUAAGAAUAGAAAAAGACCAUAUGUUGCCAUUGCCAACUUGGAAUUAUCUUUUUCUCAAGACUACUCCUUCUGGUAUAAUAUAUUUUUGUCUGAACCAUGAUUAACUCUUUUUUUAACUACUUUAUCUGAACAUAAUUCAACUCAACGAGACGGAUGAGGCCAUUUUAGUUGAGAUCAUAGGAAAAUUGAAUAUACAUGGUACAAACCCAAUUACCUAUGGUAUUUUAUUCUCAAUUCUGAUAAGUGUCUAAUAUUCAUAUUUUUUAUCUCGGUCGCAUAUGAGUUACAUUCGAGUAAGUGAUGUAUGUGCAUGAUUAUAAGUCUUUUUAUUUAUGCAGACGUAUGAUUAUAAGUAAUUGAUGAAAUGAGUCUCACAAUUCACUAAUGUCUAACGAGACACAUGCACAAUGCACAAACGACUGACGAUAACAUUCUCUUAUAUCCUCUCAUUCCUUUUUUCUUUUCUAUUUUGUUAUAAUCUCUAUCUUGCCCUCAAGAUUGGCCAUUUGGGUCAAUUUUGCACUUUUUGAUCCUAGGUGUAGCUGGAACAUAAGGGACACGUGUUAGUAACUUUUUUGGAGAGUGGGAUCUAAAUGGUGAACAGCUUGACAAGCAACACAAAAAGUUUGAUUCGGUAAAAUCUGCAGUCGUCACACACAACCAAAACUAUUUUUAUCUGAUUCCAUAAGCAUUAAACCCAAUACUUUUGCCUUUUAUAAACAUUAAACCCCACAUGAUUUUCUCAGAUAACAUGGACAAUAUCACAAAAUGGUAGUAUAGAAUAUAGAAAAUAUAGCACUUUAGACUAGUUUUGGGUUAGGGGGAAUGUGGUCCACUCCUACUACAAGUAUAGAAGUAUUCAUUUUUCUUUGUCAAACCAAAAAAAGUUUCAAUUUUUCUCAAUUGGUUUGUCGAAAAUGAAAUCGGGUCGGGUUAUCCCCACGGGCUGUCGGCUUUCUCAAACUAAAAAUAAAAAUAUAAUAAAAGAAAUGGACAUAAUAUUUGGUGAAGUGGAGAGAGAACCAGGGUUAGUUGGUUUCAGAGGCAAAAUUAGAUUGGCGUGGAUGGUCCGAUCACAUGGCCUCUUUACCUCCUCCAUAUCAGACACACCUUCCUCUAUCGCCUGACCCAGGUGGGUCCUUUCAAUCAGAUCCAAUUCACGAAAGUUUUCAUUUUUAUUACAAGUUUCGUGUGCCUUUGAUUUUAUGUUCCCUUCGGGGUUUGCUCAUUUGCUUGCUGGGAAAAAUGUGGGAAAGAAAAAAGUAUAUGCAAAAUGUUGAAUCUUUGAUGAUCGAUUUACAUAUAUGCGUGACCCCAAAUGAUUUUGAAGUGGGUUUAUGAAUUUGAACUAAAAAAUAUUUCCUUCUUUUUUUUUCUUUAAUUUUCUGGAGCACCCAUUAACCUGUAAAUUUGAGCUAUUUUGUGUGUAUUGCAGGUGAGAAACCCCUAAAUUCUGAACCCCAGUUGCCGCUGGUUCCUAUUCAUGUAGUCACUCGUGCAUCUCAGCUUCCUGCCGAGUUCCUGGAGCCAUCAGCUGAAAGGCAAUUGGUAAUUGGCUUUGAUUGUGAGGGAGUUGACUUGUGCCGUCAUGGAACACUCUGUAUCAUGCAGGUAUGUAGAGUUUUACUUACUCUGUACUCUUAUGAAUAUUUGUUCCACUUCAAAUUUCGUUCCAAUCAACCUCAUUUAGUAGAUGCGUGCCUAAUCCAAACAAGGACAUAUGGGUUGCUACUAAACUACCACAAACAAAAGAAUUAAUAAAAAAAGAAAAGCAGUUAUUUGCAUCCCAAAUUGGUUGUUGAUUGGUUUCUGAUUGAAUUUCAGCCAUUUGCUUGUAUUCCCUUGCAGCUAAAGAAAAUAACGAGAGUAUCUUACUUAUAGGUCUUCUUUAUUGUGAAUUUUCUGCUACUCAUAUCCCUGGUUCUCGUUCUUGUUUUCUUUCUGUCAGCUUGCAUUUCCAGAUGCUAUAUAUCUGGUUGAUGCCAUUCAGGGAGGGGCUAUGCUUAUCCAAGCCUGUAAGCCUGCACUUGAGUCUAGCUACAUCACCAAAGUUAUUCACGACUGCAAACGAGAUAGCGAGGUCUCUGAUUGGUUUUAUUUGCAUCCCAUCAUGUACCUUCUUGUAAUAUGACAUUUCAUUCCCAUGAUUGAAUUUUUUCCUAUUUUAUAGGCCUUGUAUUUUCAGUUUGGCAUCAAGUUGAACAAUGUUGUAGAUACUCAGGUGAGCAUCCUUUAGCACUGGCUUUAACUUUUCAAUGGAUUGUUUUUUUAAGAGAAACGUUGAUUUAUAAGAUAAUUUUGAAUUCUUUCAAUGGAUUGUUGUUUUAAGAGAAACGUAUAAUGGUAGUUAAAGAAGUAAUAUAAUUGAGAUGGAGAAAAUACUCAUAUGCUAAGUGAUUUGAAAUUUCCCUUUUGGUAUUCAGAUUGCCUAUUCGCUGAUAGAGGAACAAGAAGGGAGGAAAAGAUUGCUGGAUGAUUAUAUAUCAUUUGUGGGCCUCCUUGCUGAUCCACGCUAUUGUGGUAUUAUAUAUUUCGUGGUAUCCAUUUGAAGUUUCUGUUUCUGAUCAUAUUUGAUUAUGCUUUUGGAUUACAUUGAUUUUAUGAAAUUAAAUGAUGCUUUUAUUUUUCUAAGAGUUUCGAAUUAAUAUUAACGGGGAAUUUAUUUGAAAGAUCAUUCUUGAAGUACUGCCUCCAAGUAUUUUACGUUAGCUUAUUCCAUACCAGAAGUUUUCUGGAUGACAAAAUAAAAAUAGACAUGAGGGCAUGGUGCGUUGGAUUAUUAAGUUUUGAUCUUCACAUAUGGCUUCAGUUUUCACCGUAAGAGUUUGAAUGCAGGAAUAUCUUAUCUUGAGAAGGAAGAAGUUCGAUUCCUCCUUAGGCAGGUUAGUGCCAACAUCCUAAGAAUUUUUCUGGAUUUUUUUCGUUUUCUUAUUCUCUAUGUUUAGAUUUUCCAUAUAACUCAGUUUGUUACUAGUCUUCUUAUUGUUAUCUGAUACUAUACUAGAUUUCUAAUAAAAUAUAUUGAAGGUUUAAGUCAGUAUGGUGACUGGGAUGUGAUAAUGAGAUUACAGUCCAAUGAACAAUAGGUUUAGAAUCACUCUACAGUGGUUUUAAACUUGAGGUUAUCAACAGAGCAUUAGCCUUAUAACUUAAAUUUGUCUAUUUUGUUGAUUCAUAUUUGCUUUACACUUAGCAAAGGACUUUAGAUAAAUUUGCUUCUAGACCUGUAGUUUUACCAGUGCAGCCACAGUAUUGUUUGGGACUAGGAUCUUCUGUCAAAUGACAUUUAUUUUAUAUGUAAUGUACAGGACCCCAACUUUUGGACAUACAGACCUUUAUCUGAACAGAUGGUCCGUGCAGCUGCAGAUGAUGUCCGCUUUCUUCUGUAUAUCUAUUACAAGAUGAUGGAGAAAUUGAAUCAACAGUCAUUAUGGUAUCUUGCAGUUCGAGGUGCUCUCUAUUGCAGAUGUUUUUGCAUCAACGACAACAAUUUUGCAGACUGGCCACCUCUCCCCCCUAUUCCAGGUAUCGAAUCCUCCCUCACAACUAUACCAAGACUUCAAAAUGAGAUGAAAUAUUUUGCCUUCAUAUAAAUACGUUCUCAUAUGAAUACAAGCUUAAAGCUAUUAUGUCUGAGGCUGAUGUUCGUAAUUCGGCUCCAAUUGAUUCUGCCACUAAGCAUUAUGUGCAUGUCAUCCAUUAAUGUCCUCAUUGCUAAUUUUUGAUAGAAUUAUGUGCAUGUCAUCCAUUAGUAGAAUCUCUAGCCUCGUAAACUUACUACGGAUACCGUUUUAUGUAUGACAUUAGACCAUAGUGUUUCCCUAAUGUACUUGAGAGCAUACGGUUUUGUUGGAAUGUGCAGCAAAGCACUUUAGAGUGUACAUUUAAUUGAAUACUAAUUGCAUUUCAAAAAAACUUGAAUACUAAUUCAGAUGUUAUUUCUUCUAGCAGAUAACCUAAUAGUGGAUGGCAAUGCUCCGGAGGAAGAAAUCCUUUCAGUGCUUGAUGUUCCUCCAGGAAAGAUGGGACGUGUUAUCGGGAGAAGAGGAGCUUCCAUUUUGUCAAUAAAGGAAUCUUGCAAGUACCAUUCUAUCUCUAUCUCUGCAUGUUUCGGUAGUUUGUGCUCCAUUUUUCUCUCCAUCUCCCCCCACUUAUUAUUACUUCAAUGGUACAAUUUUACAGUGCGGAAAUUCUCAUUGGAGGUGAUAAGGGCCCACCCGAUAAGGUCAGUCCAUUGCAUUUAUAUAACAGUUUCAAAGUAGGCGUAAAAUUAAUCCAAUUUUUUUUUUUUAAAUGAUUUAAUCAUCAAAGCAAAAAACAACUGGAAUUUGGAAAAGUUUCAAAUUCUUUUGUAAAUUUUAUUUGGUUUUGAUGUAGGUGUUCAUCAUAGGACCAGUGAAGCAAGUGAGGAAAGCAGAAGCCAUGUUAAGGGGGAAGAUGAUGGACGUGUACUACUAGAAACAUAUCAUGUUGUCGUCUUCGCCCCUUUCUUUAAAAAUAAAUAAAUAAAAGAAUUCUAAGAAAUUGGGCAUCUUUUCUUUUUCUUCUUUCCGUGCUCUUUUUCUUUUCUUUCGGUACAGAACAGAACCCGUCAUCUAUUCAAAUUGUUCUGUUUAUGAAACGACAUCCUGUUGUGCAAAUAAAUUAUAUAAUUGUCAAACAAAAGGACAAAGUAAAAAAAAAAAAAAAAAAAUCUGUCGUGGCUGAGACAUUGGCAAAAUUAAACGUUUAAUAUACAAAUAAAAUCAUAGUCAUCUAUUGAUAUCUAGAAUAAUUUUUUUGGACCGACUAUGUUAAUUGCCACCACAUUGUUCAAAAGACUGGAGGAUUAAUUUAAUCACGAAGCUGUUUGCAAUCCACUGGAAUUUAUAAAUAAAAAGUGUCGCAAUCAUCUUCACUCACGAUCAAUACAAUCCUCAAUACCACAAUAUCCAUUGACGGAUGUAUGAACAAACUAAGCACACCAAAAGAAAGGACUUUCUCUUCAAUAUUUUGGCCGAGUAGGCAAAAGAAUAUGUAGACGGAAAAAAUGGCAGAAAUAACAAAAUUACUUUUGGAAACCACCGUAUUGGUAUUGUUGGCCGCCGCCACCACUGAGACUUGAGAAGAUGUCAUCGCCUCCCAUUCCCGGCGAUGAUGGGAACCCAGAUUUUCCAAGACCAGUCCCGGAACCCAUUGCUCUACCCAUGUAAUACGAAGUUGGGGGCCCUUUCUCCCUUUCAUCUGAUCCGUCAGUCAAUCCACCCACAAUCCCUACAUCCGCCAGAUUUACCUUCUUGGCUGCAAGUACAUGAAGUGAAGAGGGGAUUACAACAGCAGCCUAAACAUGUGAUUCGAAAUGUCAACAUACAUAGUCUCUGCUCAAACAAUUAUAUAGGCAUACAUUACCCGGACAAUUUUUCUAAAUCUCAACUCACACCUUGAACAUUAAGCAAAAUUUACUUUCAUGUACACACAUAUAAAUUGUGCUCAUGAAAGGCAAAAUGCUAGUUGAAAUGGUUGAACUUACGAGCAGAUAUAUUAAGAUCAAUCAGUCCACGGCUAAGUGAGUCGGCCCAAAUGCCAGAUUUCACCUGGAAAUCCUUCUUGGGUGGACCAUUCAGGUCUGCUGAAGAUUUUUUACCCAAAUUAGUGUCGCUGCCAUCAUUGACAGAACUUUGGGAAGGUUCUGAAGAUGUUGAAUCAGACUGAGAGGUGAAGGCCCCAAAAAUAUCAGAUUCACCAAAAUUGUGAAGUGGAACAGUGGCAAAGGGAUCAACAAUGUUGGUGUUUGUUGGGGCAGCAUUUGUAGACUUGGUUUCUGGCUGCGUAACUGGAUCAGGGGCGGAAAAAAGAUCUACUGUUGAAGAAGCCAAUGGAGAAAGGGUUGGUUGAGAAGCAAAUAGAUCAACACCAUUCUGUAUAAUUAGUUAGAAAAGAAGAUUGUUAGCACUGAACUUUAAACCCUGUAUGAGGAACAAAAGUAAUAUUAAAAUAAAACUUAAAAAUGGAAACUCCUAAAUUCAGUUGCUUGUUAGAAUUCCAAAAUCACAACUAAAAUAUUUCUACAUGUUCGAAGGUUGCAUAAAUUAAACUCUGCCCCCUGUAAUCAGGGGUACGCUUUACUCAUACCCCUCUUUGUUAUUGUUUGGCAUUUAAUGACAAACGUCACAACCAAAAUCGAUGACUGGCUAAGCAACAAGCACACUGAAAAAGCUACCUCAAUUGUGAAUGGGUGUACAUGAGCUAUGUGCCAAAAUUGAGUCGUAACUGCGUCUGACCUGAGUUUGAGAACUUGCUCCAUUUGCUGUCUGGGGUGGUGCUGAUACAAAAGUUGAGUCUGCAAAUGCUCCAGUUUCUGCCUGGGGUGGUGCUGACACAAAAGUUGCAUCAGCAAAUAGAUCAACCUCUGAUGAACUGCUGUUAAUCCCAGGCUUUUCUGCAGGAACAGAUGUUGGAGCAUCUAUGAAGUCAUCCAUCAAACUUUGUCCAAACAGAUCCACUUGGUUUGAGCUUGCAACAGCAGCCUCUGUUGAAAUAAUAUAGGGCAAAAUGAAAUGUUCAACUAUAUCCCAGGAAUCAUACAUAUUAUUUAAAAAACCAAGAACAGUAAUUCAAUAAUCAAUGCACUAAAAGAUUACCCCAUUAAACGUCAUUGCAUAGGAUAGAAGAAAAAGCAGGAAAAAAUUACAUCAAAAAAUAAUGUGUUGAAUGUAACUAGUGAUAUUCAUAUAAACGCAUAUGUUUGAACAACUACCAAAGAAAUGAACUAAAUAUAUAGUACAUCCUAUAGCUCAUGCAAAUAUUCAAAAGAUCAUUAUGUUUAACAAAUCAAACAAUCUCGAAAAGCAUCCUCAAUGCCUUCACGACAUCACUUGUGAUAAAAAAUCAAAGAGCCAAAUGGCAUCAAAUUGAUUGUAGCUACGAGACACAUAGUAGAUGGUAAACAUGUAGCAACAUUUGCCAAUGUCUGCCUUGCAAAACUUCCUUUUAACUAACACUAAAUUAACAACUGCACCAGAGUUCGUAUACUUACUAGCAGCAGAAGUCCCUCGGGGAUCAAAAUCAUCAUCAUCGUCAUCAGGAACAUUUGCGCUUUGAGUAUGAACUGAACUGUACUUCUCAGAGUCAUUUGAUUUAUUAGAUGACUUUGACACACUGGAUGAUAUAUUAUCCUGAUCCUUCCUGCAAGAAAAACAUUCGGAAGUUAAUAAAAACAAAAUCACAAAGCAACAUAUAUGUGCUACAGUCUCUCUGUAUACAUCUGUGCAAGGUGUGUGUGCGUGAGAGAGAGAGAGAGAGAGAGAGAGAGAGAGCUGCAGUCAAAAUUGGUCAUUUGUAAUAAAAAUCAUAAUUAUUCCCAAAUCUUUCCCUCUAGUUCUGAAUCUCAGAAGAGCCUUAUCCAGUGUUGGUCAACAUUUCUCAGCAUAUAGGCACAAUUGUUUGACCUAUCAUGAACAGUAAUGAUUAAGUACCUGCUGCCAUAGCGUGCUGAGGCCUUCUUUGAAGAGCUCUCUCGACGUGACCUGCUAGAGCUGUCCUUCUCAAUCUUGUCUUCUUCAUGUCGAUCCCUGUCUCUAUAGCUAUCUUUGAACCUAUCACCAGCUCCAGUACCACUUAGACCUCCAUAGCGUUCGCUACUCUGAUAGCUGCUACUACUAAAUGAGGCUGAAGUUGCAGAACCUGACUUAUAUGUUAUCCCAGUAGAUGAAAGUCCAAAGUACCUAAAGUUGGCAAUGUGCUAAAAGUUUAUAAGAUGAAAACUAAUCAAAAGAUUUAGAGAAGUUCAAGUAAACUUGAAAAUUUAGUCCCCAAAAAAUAAACUUACUUGUCACGAUUCGCAGCAGCUUUAUUUCUAACUUCUUGUAUUUUAUCUUUGUUAUUUAAAAGAGCCACAAUGGUUUCCGCCUUCUUCCUCACAUUUAUUCCCAAAUCCUUCCCAUUUGGCUCAACAUAUUCAAAACUUGUGAGAGCCUUCACCACCAAAAAAACCAAAGGAUAAAGAAGUUUGAGUACACUCAACCGUAUUCUUAACUUCAUAUCUGCCAAAAAAAUUCAGGAUAAUAGAAAUAGUCCUUACUGAGAUUUGGAAAGUAUGUUCUAUAAUGUCAUCCACAGCUCGUUCAGAUCCAUGUGACACCAAAUAUUCUAUAACAGCCAAUGCCUGAUACAGAAAUGAUAAUGUUGAGGGCAUAAAUACGCACAUGAUUCUAUGAAGUUAUAAUACACUAGAAUCCUCUUUAAGCACAAUAUUUGAACAAUAUUAACUGAAUUCUUACCUUAUAGACAUAACGCCAAUCUUUUCCUGUCUCAGUCAAUCUUGUCCACAAAACAUUCAUAACCAUCUGACAUUCCGAACUGAAAGAUAACAAAAGUCAGCAAAUGCGGGUAAGUACAGCAAGCCAAGUUCUUUCUGAUUCUGAACUUUACUGCAGGGAGGAUUAAACAAGGAAAAAAACAGAUAAAUGGAGUUGAAAAUUACAAUUUUUUUGUGGCCUGUGCGAUCUCUGCCAAUGCAGAUCCAUGAGGACCCCAAGGUUCAUUAUCCGUUGCAUCCAAUACCUGUAACAUAUCAGUAAUGAAACAAAUUUGCGUGAGCUAAAAUUAAAAAUCACAAAUUGAGAAAUAGCUGAUAUUCAUAUCAUCCACAGUUUACCACUAGAAGACGAGAAAAAACAAAACGUAUCAGCUACUUAAGCUAAAAUACAAAUUUGAUGCAUGGAUUUCUUAAUUGGAGAAGACUUUUUCCACCAACCUCUCAAAGCUAAAAGAUCAAAACUAAGUCCAGAAUAUCAUUAUUUCUGUCUAAAUGUAUCUUAAAAGAUAGAAUUUAAGCUUGCAAAACGCACAAUGGUACAACAAUCAUUGAACACAAACAGAAAGGGCACUAUUCGCACCAUGAAUACAAUAAUUCGAGUUCAGAUCUAUAAUUUUAAUCACAAAAUAAAAAUUCUAAUGAAAAAUGAAAAAUUCGAAGAAAUUAAACGUAACCGAAGUUAAUUAAACUCUAUUUGUUGCUUUACCUUCUGUUCCAUCUCCGGAACCUUCAAGACCUUCAGAUUCACCUCCCUCUUUCUGCACAUUAAGACAAGGAAAUGGAAUUAACAGCUGAUAAAAAUGAAUAAAUUGCGUAAAUCGAAAAUGCCAAGGUCGGAAGCUGACAUUUCUCGGACCGUUUGAUCGAAGACCUUCAUGAAAUCCAUGACAAAUCUGCAGAAUCUGAAAUAUUCAAAAAAAUAUUCGGAAAUUCGUGAUCAGUUUGGAACAGACAAAUAUUGCGAUGCAUCCGAUGGAACCGCAAAAUUUGAAGUCAAUGUAUGAAAUUUUACAAGAUUAUAAUGGAAGAAGAAGCACCUUUGAGUAGAAACCAGAAAGGAAAGGAUUGCAGAUCUUGGCGUGCGUCGCAGUGGAUAGAGAGAGAGAGAGAGAGAGAGAGAGAGAGAGAGAGAGAGAGACGUAAUCAGGUGGUCUCGUCUGUGGUUUUAAAUCUCAUAUACUGUCCGUCAUAUUUUGCAGUUACAAAGAAAUUGAAGGUUAAACCGGUAAAGCCAGCGCGGCUCGCAAUCAUAUGCUGCCAAAUAAAAAUUAUGGGCUUUUUUUUGUUCACCCAAAAAUAAUAAUAAUUUGUUACUUGCCAAAUAAAAAUUAGUCGUUUUUGUUACUUAAAUUUGAUUUGAUUUGAUUUGAUUUUUUUUUUGAGUAAUGCUAUUUAGACACACAAUAUUGACCACCUUAUGUGGCAACUGAUGUGUCAUGCUAGGGUAAUUAAUGAAAAAAAUCAGGUACAAUCUAAAACAUCAUUAGUGGCAAAAGCCUUUCUUUUGAUUGGGGACGUGACAGCUUUUAUUUAUUUAUGGGGGUUAAAAUUCAGCGCCCACUAAAGUUGUGGAUAUCAUUUGUUAGAGUGACGUUCCCGCUUAAAACUACCCCGCCCACAAACAAUCUACGCACAAUAAGCUGACUCAGAAGCUCACAUUCCUGUUAUUCCUCUAAAAGAUUUUAUUGUCAAUAACUAAAUGAUUACUUUUGCCAGAUCAUUACGAGAAAAAGGCAUUAUCCUACACACCACAACCUAAAGGAUAGAAAAAAAAAAGGAGCUUCAUGUACAUCAAUAUAAUAAAUUUGGGUACAAGUUUGUAUACACUUUUCAAGUUAAAGGGGAACAAAACUCAGUCAAUGCGUGGUCANNNNNNNNNNNNNNNNNNNNNNNNNNNNNNNNNNNNNNNNNNNNNNNNNNNNNNNNNNNNNNNNNNNNNNNNNNNNNNNNNNNNNNNNNNNNNNNNNNNNUUGAUUUGUAUGUCAUAUCAGUGUCGCUCUAGACUUCAAUCUUGACAGGUACUAAUAAAAAUAUCGUCUAUUCAGGCUACCCAACGGAAUAAUGUCGUGUAGUUACACAAGAAACUUCGUGGUAUUUGUCCUAACUCUCAUUGAUCUGAAUUGACUGUUCUGAUGCUAACGCUACUUAGACACGCAAUACUUACCACUCUUAUGUGGCCACUGAUACACACGCCAUGUCAAUGAAUAAAUGUUGUCAUGACAAUUAGAAACUAAUUGGAAACACUCAAGCAUUCCUAGUGAGUGGCCUCAUGACAGCAUUCACUUAAUUGACCUGGCAUGACACAUCAGUUGCCACAUAAAGUGGUCAGUUAAGGUGGUCAAUGUUAUGUGUCCAAAUAGCAUUUUUGGUUUCAUUAACAAAUUUUAUUGACACUCAGAAAUUAUGAAUGUACACUAGAAGCUUCUUAACUUUGGACCCGAAGUUUUUGAUUUUAAACUACCUUGUUACAAUUGGUUUCUCAAUCUAGCAAGUUUUCCUUAUUUCAAAUAGGACUUAGGUGAGGUUAUAAAAUCCAGCUCAAUUGUGGGCAUUUAAAAUCACACAAGGAAGUUGAUAGUGAGAACCAAACGAGGUAUAAUAAGUUUGAGAAAGGGUGUAUAAAGGUUUUAUUCAAUUGUAUACAUGCUCGAUUUUGAGGUUAAAAGCGAAGAUUCUUUGACAAUAUAAAUAAAAUUUUGCUGAAUCACGUAAAUUUUUAGUUCAAAAACUCUGUAAGGAUGUAAAUAAAAUUUUGUCGAACCACGUUAAUUCUUGGUGUGUUGUUUUUUUGGUUUUUUUCGUAUUUCGUAUUGGGCUUUAAGGGUGGCUCACGGUGUUUUUUGCCCUUUUCCGAAAUUAGGGUUACGGACAAACUCAUGAAAUUUGUUAAUUGGAUCUGCUAAUGGGCCCAAUAAGCCCAACCCUAGAAAUAUAUGGGGCCUGGGUUUUCUUAAGGCCGCUCGGCCUUCGCGUGCUGGUUCAUCAACUCCAUUUCCUAAUUAACUGUCUGGCUCAUUUCUUCAUACAACGAACAAAUCCCAUCAUCGUAGUCCCGCUGAUUAUUCGUCUGUCAUAGUAAAUUACCUCACAGCCUGUGAUAUAAGUCUCCCUCUUUUGUCUGGUUAAGUUAUUUCUGGUACCUAAAAAAAACUACCAUUCCUGGUCUGCUUUUACUCUUUAACCAGUCCAACCUCCGUGACCGAUCACCCUGCAAAACUCUGAACGCGGUUUUCAAUAUUGUCAGUCCGUUUUUUUUUUUCUUUUUUCAAAAUUAUUUAAAUUAUAUAGCUUCAUUUAUGUUGACCGUAGCUUUGUUCAAUCAGAUGGGUCAAAGUCACUGAUCAACUUGUUUGAUUUGGUUGCAGGAUCUUAAAAGAUAUUGUUUUGCUUGUCUGGAAAACAAAUCAGAGCAAAAAUGUUUAAGCGAGUAUUUGGGAAAGCAAAGCAGGAAGCCAAUGCCCUGCCAACUAUACACAAAUUAAACGAUGUAUGAUUUUGGGUUUGUAGGUGUUGUCAGGGUUGUGCUGGAAUUUUUCGCAAAUUUUACGAGUCUGAAUCUUGUGUUGAGAUUAUAGUUAUAUGGGUUUUUGUUUUUCUGCUAAAAGUAUUGUUUUUUGGGAUUGUGCAGACACUUGAGAUGUUAGAGAAAAAGGAGAAAGUUCUUGUAAAGAAGGCAGCUGCGGAGGUUGAGAAGGCUAAGCAAUUUACUCAAGCACGAAACCGAACUGGUAAGACCCCCUACAGGCUACAUGUCGUUUAUUUAGUUUUUUUUCUGUUCCUUUUCUCUUUUUGGUGAAAUUAUAUCAUAUGAAUAUAUGUUUUGUAUAGGAUCCGGAAAGAACUAUUUUUUUUCUUUCUUUUUGAUUUUGUUGGGUUUUUAAGAAUGAUGCUAGGCUGUUGCAUGGUUUGCCAUUUGUGGUGGAAGGACAUGUAAAACACUAGAGAAAACAAUGGAGUUAUUAAUUAACUGUUUAAAUCUGAACCCGUAAGCAAGUAAAUUAUGUAGGUUUUGAAAGCAAACCGUAUUUUUUUCGCAAUUAGUAUCAAAUUGUAUAUCUUAUUCUUGUUUUUUAUCCAGCGGCAAUAAAAUGUUUAAAGAGGAAAAGGCUUUACGAACAACAAAUUGAGCAGCUUGGAAAUUUCCAAUUGCGCAUUCAUGAUCAGGUAGGUACUGUUGUAAAUUUUAGUGAAGUUUCAUUUGUUGAGAGUUUAUCAUGAAGACAUAUUUUGAAUUGGGGUUUCAGAUGAUAAUGCUGGAAGGUGCAAACGCUACAACGGAAACUGUUGAUGCAUUGAGAAGUGGAACAUCUGUGAUGAAGGCCAUGAACAAGGCCACGUAAGUUGCAUUUAAACUGCAUUCCGUAGAAUUUAUAGAUUCCAUGGCCAUAAUUGCCAUAACAAUGAAAGAAAUUUAAAUUCAAAUGAACUAUAGCAUCCUCUGCAAAGUCAGUCUUAAGUUACUCUCAAAGCACUUUGGAUGAUCUUUCAAAGGAAGCAUUCCAUAUCCUUCUGUUCUGAAUUGUACAUCUCAACUUUGGCCUUUUUUUAACAGGAAAAUUGAUGAUUUGGAGAAAACAAUGGAUGAGAUCAAUGACCAAACUGAAAGCAUGAAGCAGAUUCAGGAGGCAUUAUCAGCACCUAUUGGUGCAGCAGCUGAUUUUGAUGAAGUAUGAUCUUUGCAAGUUCUUAGUUCAUGCAUGCAAUGGUUUAUUUUCAAUAUAUUAGGUUCAAAUUAUGCAACUUUGUUUCUGCAGGAUGAAUUGGAAGCAGAGCUUGAAGAACUGGAAGGAGCUGAAUUGGAGGAGGAGCUUUUCCAGCCAGCCACAACUGCUCCCGCAGCUACAGUACACGUAAAUGCCCCGGUAGGCAGGCAACCAACCCAACCAGCUCCUCAGAGGAACAACCGUGAUGAGGAUGAGCUUGCUGCAUUACAGGCAGAGAUGGCACUUUAAGAGGUUACUUAUAUGUAUCAGGUUGGUAAUUUAUCUUGACAAUGGACUCCUCACUCAAGCGGGGUGAUGCACAUAAUAAGAUUUAAAUUGUCGUAGAACUUAAAUAAGAAUUCAGCUUCUGUUGGAUUAAGAUUUAAAUUGUCAUUUGAAUCAAAGUUAUGUUUCUCAAAGCAUUUAUGUUACUUCAUAUGAUCUGAUGGGUUUUGUUGCUGUGUUUGCAGUUGUUAACAUAUAGAAGGAGAAGAUUAAUAAAACUUGAAUUAUGGAGGAUGAUGCGAAUCUCUCGGACUCUCCAGACUGACUUGUGACUUUUAAUACUGCAUUUGAUGGUCUGUAUGUAUACAAAAUAAUAAGUUGGUAAAACUGUUUUUACUACUUUGUAAUAUAAUGGGUCAAAUAUUAGGCUUCUUUGUACAACUAAUACUGGGAACUUAUAGUCAUUUUUUUUUAUUUUAUCACUAUCGAAAUCUUAUUAUGAUUUUACAAAGUUAAACAUAAACUCUAUGCUUGAUCACAAUUUUAGAAUCGUUAAGCUAUGAUUUCGAGCUAAUCGAUGACUUGCAAAAACGGCUAUAGCUCACAGAAUGAUUCUAAGAAAAUCUUAACACACGCAUCGCAUCAAUUACAUGAGGGCAAUGGAAAUAUAUCAUUACUCUCCAUACAUAACAUCGAUCCAUUGACCGAGCAACGUGCAUGAAAAAUAUUCAAAACGACGCACCAUAAUUUGAAGGAUUCAAUGUCAAAGAGAAGAAUGAACAAAACAUAAAAGCAUGUAUAAGAUGGGUGUGAACCAUGCUUGCAAUUUGACAAAGAUUCUCUACUUAAAUAUAAACAGAACAAACCGUGAAAGUGGGGGGGGGGGACCAUAAGUGCAUCAUCAUAUGAACACAAGAAAAACAAGAACCUGUAUGUUUUUGCUCUGGUGUUUCAAUGAGUUUCAUAAUUUUAAUUUUAACUUUUAGACAGGCAACAAAGUUGAGGUUAUCUUUUUCUCUGACUUGGAAUAACUCUGUCUUCCAUAAAGAAAAGUCUGAAAGGGAUGCCCCAUCUUAAGUUCUUCACUUGCUGAUGAUUGUAAGGCAUAAAAUAGGAUUAUGGGGUGUGACUUCUUAAUCACAUCAGACUAAUUGCAAGAUUCUUCACUUGGUUUGUUUUUUUUUUUUCCUUUCUUUUUCCUUAUUGAUUUCUCUUAACAGCUAAAUUCCAUGAAUUUGGACUUUCUGAAAUAGCCAAUGGAGAAGAGGGACCUCUAUUGUGAAAACAAGGGGCUCUUACACAUUGUCUUUUCUGAUUUCUGAUAUGGGAUUUAUGCUUUCUUCUUAAGUUCAUUUGAAGAAGCAAAUGACCCACUAGUAUAGUGGUUUAGAGCAAUUGUUCCUUAAGAAAAAUUCUAGGUUCGAGUCCUAGCAUCCAUGUAGUGUGUGUGAGUUUAGUAUGUUAUCGCCCCUCUCAAUAAAAAAUGUCCUCAAAAAAGUUCAUUUGGAGAAGGAAUAUUCAACCACACAUAAAAUGCCACCAAGAAGGAGAUAAAGAACAUUCAUUAUGAUGCAACCUUUGAAGUUCAAUGUGAAAGCAUAAGAUAAGAGACAGAGAGAGAUCAAAACGUGAACCCCAUCUGUUUUAAACCUUUCUGUAAAUGCAAUAUAUCCCAUAAUUAAGAAAACUUCAAAACCAGAUUCCCAGCCCUGGAUAGCUUCGAUGAUUUUCAAACAAUCCCUAAUUGGGGCAAUUCUCGUAGACGGAGCAUAUGCAAUGUUUGGUAGCUUAUGGCAAGUGAUCUAAUCUCAUAUUUUAAGAUGAUGACUAAGACUAACAAUGUUUUAUUUAAAUUGGGUUUCCAAAAUAAACAAUAAUGAUUAAGUAAUGCUUAAGAACUUAAUAAUGGCAGUGAUUAGUGAGGCUUAAUUAUAAUCUUAAAGUCUUCCCUUCACCAAUAAAUUGUACGGGAAAUUAAAAAAUAAUUAUGUCCUCUCGAUUCGUGAAUGGACAGGGUACUUGACCGUACAAUGAACAAUGAAAACGAUCCAUGGAUAAGUUUAAUGUUCUAGUUAUGAAUCACAGCUCUCAAACAGUGACACUUGACCUUAGGCACACACUGCAUGAAUAAUUUAAACCAUAUGGAGUCGAAACAUUCAGAACGCGUUUUUCCAAAAAAUAAUGGCUUCUCAAUACACAUAAAAAGGGAGAAAAUUUUUGUAAGUUUCUAUAGGGUAAUGUAUGCAAAUGUGUAUUCACAUUGCUGCAUGAGAUGAAAAUAUCCAAGCGAUAAUGGAGAGGGGGAUUGAAACACAAGACCUCAACUGCUUCUUCAAACAUAACCUUUGAUUUUACCACUUCCAAGUCUUGAAGUUGCAGAGAUGAUGUAGGUUAUGACUGAGUAAAAUAUCAAAAGCAGGGCAGAGUAUCUUUUAUGGUUAUUUUUUGAGAGGGACAUUUCGGAUCAUGAUCAACUUUGAACUGGCCACACCCCCACACAACUUUCAUGACCCCUGGCAUAUAAAGAAACAGGCAAACAUGCUGAGGCCAUCCAAACCCCCCAACACUGAUUCUUUGUGCCAUUGUACCUUAAAGACAGAGUAAAUUAAUUAACCAAAUUUCUGAGAACCCACAAUGGGAAUGCCUGUGAAAGUUGAAAGCUUUAUACACAGACAAACAAAACAAACAGAGACAAAGAGGAAGGGUUCCAUACAUGUUCAUCUACUAGUCAUUACUUAAAAUUUUGAUUUACAUCACAUUUUCUCCUCCUCUAUGAACAGAAGCAGAGGUCCAACUGAGACUGAAUAUGACUAGAAUAAAUGAAAAAGAAAUUAAAACAAAGGGGAACCAAAAAAGAACAUCCUUUUUUCUAGCUAAUAUUUACUUCCCCCAUUUCCUUCGCCAGUUCUAAGCAUUUGCUUUUGUUUCUUUUCCCCAUGCUUUUUGGUUUUCACAGAUGGUUGAGAACCCUUUGACUCAGUCCUUGUUUUGUGCCUCAAUAUGAGCUUGAAAAUAAAUCACCAAAAUUUGUACAGCUAGCUGGGCCAAAUUCACUGGUUUUUUCUCCAAAGCACAUGCCAUAAUUCACAUCAUAAGGCAGACCGAAAUCUGUAAACAACCCAGAAUCAUCAAGGGAACCAUUUCCAGGUAGUGAGGCACACUUGUCAACAGCAGCUAUUGAAGAAGAGUCUGAAAUGUUUGAGCCAUCCUGAGAUAAUGAAACAGUAGUGUAACUUUUCUUUGAACUUGCACCAAAAUCUGAAAAAGCCAUGACCUUGGAGCUGUAUAAUUGAUCUGGUGAGUUUAAAGUCCAGGUUUGGUUAUAGGCAUUCAGUCCAGAAUUAACAUCAGUUAACAUGUGCAAUGUGGGUGGAAUUUGGGUUUGGAAUGUUGAAAAGGCAGAGUCUUGGGGUUCAGCUUUUGGGACACAAGGCAGGGCCAGUGAGGCUGCAGAGCCAGGAAGAGUGGCAUUGUUAGUGGGCUCUUUGCUGUUCUUUGUUGUGAGGUUUUGUUUUCCCCCAAAUAGCUUCUUCUUUAAUUUGGUGUUCCAAUAGUUCUUCACAUCAUUAUCUGUUCUUCCAGACAUCUGAGAAGCUAUCACUGACCAUCUGAAAAAAAGUGGGGAAAAAUGUUAGAAAUUAUUAAUAGUGUUGCAGAUAUAAAAACCAUGAAAAAAUUUAGUAUAAAGAAUGAUAAAUGGACUUGCCGGCUCCCCAUUUGGUUGUAGAGGCUACAUAUAAUGCUGUCUUCCUCUUCAGUGAAGCAUCCAUGUUUGAUGUCUGGCCUCAGAUAAUUGAGCCAACGUAAACGGCAACUCUUCCCACAUCUCCUAAGACCUGAAAAAAAAAAGGAAAAAUACAAUUGUAAGAAGAAGAAAAAAAGUUCAACCUUUUCUCAUCCAGAAAAAUUCUGAGAGUCAAACUGAUGAAUGGGUUUAGUAUGGACGAUUCAUUGAACAAAUUGGCAAAAUAAAAAAAGAAGAACCCUUUUGUUCUUUUUUUCAUAAUUUUCAUUCUGUGAGGUCAAAAGAUAGAACUAAGCAUCACACAGAGACAGAGUGUGUGUGUGUGUGUGUGUGUUUGUGUGUGUGUGUGUGUGAGAGAGAGAGAGAGAGAGAGAGAGAGAAAGAGAGAUACCAGCUUUUUUGGGCAAAAGGAUCCAAUUUCCACCAGUUCCAUGAGUCUCAAGGUAGCUCUUGAGAGUUGCGUCUUCAUCAGGUGACCAUGGACCUCUCUUCACAUUAUCUUUGUCACAACACGGAGUGCGUCCCAUGGCUAAUUACUCACUUCCACACACACACCACCAAAAAACUAAUUUCAGAGAGGGAGAGAGAAAGACUUAGAACCAGAGACAGAGACAGAGACAGAAAGAAAGUUCAGACACGCUGAUGCUCCAAAAUAAGCAAAUGCAGGAGCUUUUGGUGGAGAGCUUAUAAAGAUGGUGGCACCUUAAAAUAAAAAACAAAUAGAGUAAAUGAAAAAAGGCUUGACCUUGUACUUGUACGACCUCCCCAUUUCUCAACUUUAAUUAUAAUUUCUUUUUAUCUGGUACUUGUUCCUUGCAUUCCAAGACAAAGACCCAGUCAACAUUCACACAAAAACUGUAUUGACUUUAUUUUUAUUUUUAUUUUAACUUUUAAUAUCGGGUAGGGUAAUAUCAUGAUUCAUGAAGAUGAAUGAACCGUUCAAAACUGACGGUCCAAAAUGUCCCUUAGUCGAAUUUUACUGCUUUAAUUAGUUGUGUUCUUCUAGCUCUGGUCAGAAGAUAUGGACUUAGCCACCACACAGGCACAGGGGAACAAAACCCUACUCUUGCCUUGAUCCACAUCCACUGACAAGUGAUUAGCGGUAAAUAAAUAUUUGAUUAAAUAGUAUCAUAUGAGAAAAUUGUGUCCAAUUAGCAAUAGUAAAUCGAAAAUUGGAACUCAUACACAGACAGUUCUAAUGGUGAAUGCUUCAAAUGAACUUUUCAAUGUGAGCUUGUACUAUUUUUGACAUUUUACUAUUCAAAGUAACCCAUCAAGGCGAUGAGCAUUGAUGUCUUGGUCACAGCCAAAAGGGUUUUAAAAUAUCAUAAAAAUUAAUUAUUUAAUUUCAAGUUGGUGUGGCUGCUUCUCCAUUGUUUUCCUAUUGACUUCUUGGUAUUUUGUUGUUUUCUCUGCUUCCAGUCUAAAGAUUCCAUGUCACGGGCUCAAGUCGUUUUUAAUGUUUAUAUAUAUAUAUAUAUAUAUAUAUUGGUAAAUACCAUGAGAUGUUCGGGCCAGUUUGUGUCUACCUCAAUUAAUUUCCACUCGCGAAACUGAGCCUGUCACUGACCACCGAGUGUUGCAACCUUCGGGACUCAAUCUGAAAUACAAAUCCAAUAAAACCCCAGAACCUUAUCCAAAUGACGGACAAACCACUGGGCACUUGCUAAACCAGUAACUCGACAUCACCGUGUUUUUUUUCCUUUUAACCCCACCACGACAUCAUUUUGGUGCACAUGGGUUAAUUUAAUUGGUUUACUUAAAGCAAUAUUUCAUACAUUCACAGCCCAAGUCUCCUUAGGGCCUUAUCAAUGGACAGAACAAGGUGAAACUGACCAAUUUCUUUCAUUCAUUGGGUUCACUUGGGCUGGGCUCAUGUGUGAGGGUACCACAAAGGAAAAACGUACAGAAUUUGAGGAGAAGGCAGCUCUACAUAUCUUUGAUUUUUCCUGCGGCUUCAUAUAUAACCGAUGAGAUCCCUUGCUACUCCCGUCCAGACACUCCCGUCAAAACAUUAUUAAUACAGCGUAAGUAUUUAGCAAACAAAUGAUAUUUCUUAACUGACGUCCUAGAUUUGAUUUCCUCUUUUUCAAUAUUGUAUGUAUAAAAAAUAAAAUAAAAAUUAUCCGUCUUAAUAUGUGAAUAAACUAAUUAGAUGUAUAUAUAUUGAAAAUUUGCAAUGAAGGGCCUUUGCAUAAUCAUUUGAGGACAUUAAAAGAUUGGAACAAUAUGAUUGAGAAUUUGAGCCUACGUUACUCCUACUCCUAUACUAGUGAUAAAUCGUAUAUCGACUAAAUAAAAUAUUUUAUAUGCCCAACUUCCAUUAAUUUACCCUUAUCAUUUUGCUGGAUGCACAUACAAAAUCCAAUAUGCUAAAUUAUUUUUCUAAUAACUUAGAAAACAAACAAAAUAGCUAAUCAUGACAUAUUUAUUUUACACUACCUAACUCUUUCUAUAAGAUAAAAACAAGAUUUGGAUAAGAGCCCAACUUGUCACAUCAUUUUUGUGCAACCACCACAUUUUCAAUCCAAAAUAUAUAAAUAUUAUAUGGUCCUCCCCAUAGCAAACAACAACGUAACACCCAACGAAUAGAUGGCACAAAGGAGGGAGGAAAUAGUGCCAAAUAUUGGCAUAUAAUUGUCAAUCAACUUAGCACGAUAGCGACAAUGUUUUGUCCAUCGGAAAAAAAUUACUUGGGUCCCUUCAAAACGUUCGUUUGUCCCUUCAUUACCAAGUCAAUGUCUCGCAAUCUAUUUAAGCUUGCAUUGCAUGGCUAUACACAUUUUGGAGUAUAAUAAAUAUUUUCUUGUCGGGAGAUAAAUAAAGAUUUAUCUGAUUGACUUUUAUUAUAAUAUAUGGUUCAAAUUCAGUCUGAUAAAUUAAUAACGCAAGUCUGAUAAGAAAACAUUACCCUCUAAAAUAAUAAGUUCUUGCAAGUAGGUAUAAAUCUUUAGACAACCGAUGGAAAGUUAGGUAUGUACUAAUAUUAUGGCACUCAUGAAGAACUUCUACUCCAUAAGAUAUUUUGGAAUUGGUUCAAGUCCUUGUCCUGGGUUUUGGAGAUGAAAUUACAUGUAACCAAACAGAGCCCAAUAACACACUCUCCAAGGGAUUUUGUGAUGGAAGCUUUUGUUUUUGAUUUGAUGGUAAUGUAUAUAAUAUAUAUAAGAGUAAGACCCACCAGCUCAAACAGUUUUGAUGAGCACGCCACUACAGGAUCCCUCCCACUCAAUAAGUAAAGUUGCCAUGCCACUGCAAAAAUCAACGAAACCCUUGGAACCACCGUCCACUUUGUCUGCCUUUUUCAUUCUUUUGAAUCAUUCAGUUCCCUUUUUCUUUUGUUUUAUUUAAUCCUUCUAUUAAACCCAAUCUCAAAGGAGUGGUCUUUUUUAUUUAUACACAUAAUUAUACAACCAAGAUGUUAUAAGAAUUUAAAUUAGAAAAAGAAAAACUUCAUUGUAACGAAAUAAUACUGUUUUAUUAUUCUGACCAAUAAUACGACACGUGAAAAAGUUAUGUCAAGUGAACAAAAAAUGAUAUUCUCGUUACAUGAGAGUUUAUCUCCUAAAUCUGAGACCUCUAAUCUACAUGCCAAUGUACUUUUCUUACUUUCAAUGAGAUAUAUUAAUCAUAAACAGAACUAAUGAUUUUGAUUGCUACAUAAAACAAUUAUUUACACGGAUGUGCUUCUCUAAACCAUCACUUUCAAACUUAAUGGAUUAUAUAGACAUUAGUUCUUGUAUCUUUGUAUGAUUAAGAUUAGAUUAAGUAGGAACAAGUGUGGCCGUUGAAUAAGAUACGUGAAUUAAGAGGUAAAUUUAUUCAAAUCUGCAAUCUAAAAUAAAUUGACAACGUGCGUAAAUCUUUGUAUGGUUUAUACUCUAGUACAUUUUGUGAGAGAAAUGCAAAUAAAUAACACUACAAAUGAUCAUCAUCACAAGAGAUCAUGACGAGAGAUUAAUUUGAUGUGGAAGUUGUAACAUAAGCAAAUGGUGCCUCCUUGACCAUAUCCUCUCUUUGAAAACCUUCACAUCAAAGACAUUAUUUUUACAGAUAAAAUCCACGAAAGAAUAGUCAAAGCACAAGUGGUGGCACAUAGUGGAUAAAUUAAAAGAUUUCCAAUGGAUAAGGACGGGCUUAUCAGCUCCACAAGCCACGUCAUGAAUCCAAUCGCUGUGUACAUGAAAACCAGAUAUAAUUGUUUAUAGAGGGUGGUGGGUUUAAAUUACAAUGAUUCUUUUCCACAGGUUUAAUCAUUUUCUUAAUCCAUAUAGCUCUAAAUGAAUAAUUUGUUUACAGGACACUUUAUUAAAUAAAUUAUAAUUUUCUAUUGCUUCAUUCUUUAUAAUAAGCUUGGAAAGCAAGCUUGAUCAAAGCGAAAGCAUCAAUGAAUUCUAUCUGCUUAGAAACCCACAGAGUCAGUUAAUUCAAUAAAACAAAUGAUAGUCUAAAUCAAUCUAAUGUUCAGUAAUCUAAAUUAAUCUAAUGUUAGGAGAGUUUAAUUAAUCUAAUGUUCAAUAAAACAAAUGAUAUUCUAAAUUAAUCUAAUAUUUGGAAAGAGAAACUCGAAUUACUAAAUUUCAUAAUUCAUUCAUAUGACAUGUCUGAGAAUCCAAAGCUUAAGACUGAAGCUUGAAGACAAAACACAACUUUUUUCAUCAUAAUGUUAAACUAUCCAGAUUAAAUUACAACAUUUUCUUAUAUGUGCAAGACAUUAAUUAUGGAGAAUAAAACACAAUUCAAUCGCAGAAAUGGGGAAAAACAAAAUUGAGGAAAUGAAAUUUACAUUAAUUGAGCCAUGAAAAUGAACUUACAAUAUGAUUAUCCGAGAAAAUUUGACAGAAGAUGCAAAAAGAAAAUUAAAAUUCAUAGACAUUGAUCAAAGAAAGUAAACAACAGCUACCCAAAUUCCCAGCAGCCUCAACAAAUUCUUCUUUUUUAUCUGUACAAAUUUGCAGAACGGGACUUUGGAAAAUCUCCUUCCUUCCUUCACAGUUCAUCACAUCAACUAUUUACAACAGUUUCAAAAUUAACCUCUAUUCACAAAAGGUCAGAAGAAUCAGAAGGCCACUGAUAUUUAACGCAUCAGCCAAAAAAUUGAAUCAAAACGGAACACGAUCGACAAACGAGUUCACACUGCACUCGGGUUUCAUUCACUCACUAGCUCCGAAACCCAGCCCACAUCAGGAGCUGACAUGCCCGAGUCGACUCGGCCGACUCUGCCCAUCGAGUUUUCCUUACUCAGCCUCGCAUACAUUCUCGCUCGGAGAUCCCUCCCGGACUCCACCCUCUCCAUUGCCGGCUCUUCCUCGCAAGGGUGGUCCCAAAUAUCAACCGCCCCGGGUCCAGCCCGACCCGAGGUCCGAGUCGGAGUCGAAGGAAGGCUACAAAACGCGGGUCGGAGCGCAGACCCGCGUGGAGAAGAACCAAACCCAGAUCCCAUUUGUGGGCCCCAUGCAGGCGGAGCACUCAUUUUCAUCUUAGCAAGCUUAAAGUUCCGCAUCGAAGCGACGAGUUCACUCACCGAGUUACAGCCGAGUUGAGGGCUGUUGGGCGACAUUGGUGGCGAGUCAGACGGCGGAGAUAUCGGCGGCGAUAUCAGGAUCGAGGUGGGUGACGAACCGUACGAAUACGAGUCGAAAGCGCCCGACCCGUGAGUUCUCGGGCUCUGCCCGGGCAGGACCCGAAGCUGUUCGGGCGUGUGAGCAAAGAAGCAGACACGGCGGUGGCAGCCCAGCCCAUCCUUGCAUGGCUGCGUCCGGUAACGGGCCGGGUGGAGCCAACACUCGAAAACGCCGUGCGCGAACUCGCACGAGUCGCCUUUGGCGCAAUGGCCCUUGCGGAAUUCGGGGCAGGCGGCGCCCGAGUAGUGGUACUUUCUCGGGUCGCGGCGCCGGGCCUUCUCGCCUGGGUGGGCGUACGGACACUCGGUCCAGUCAUGUGACCUGCCACGCGCGCACCGCCGGACCUUGAACUCGAACAUGCGGAACUGGUCGCAGGAGAUCGGGUUCAUGGGCAUGUCCGGGUCAUCGCCGAGCGAGUCAGACUCGUUUGACGGAAGGUAACGGUGGAGUGCGGCGAGCGAGUCGAGAAACAUCGGAGACAGUGGAGAGUAGUCUCCGUUGCCGGCAUUGCUGUUUACGUUGACGGAGGGAUUUGGGGCGGAGAACGGCGACGUUGGGGUGAGAUCGUCGAAUGGGUCCCACGGAGGGACUUGGAGGGUCGGGUGCAGUCGGGUCGGUUCUCCUAACAUCAUUUUCGGGUGGGGGCUUGGACUCGGGAGUUUCUGCAAAUGCGAGAGAAGAUGGUCGCUGAGUGUCUCAUAUAUAUAAACGGUUUUGAAGUAGCAGGAAGAAGGAGAGAGAGAGAGAGGGUAAAUGCCAAGUAGGCCACAUAGUCACAGAGUGGGGUUGGGUUUUAAGUUAACCGUGGUGGAGUUAAAUACGUAACUGCGGUCAAUUAACUCUAGUAAAAUAUCUACCGCCUCCAGAAUAGCCCCUCUAUUUCCAUGGAAAGCCAACGAUUUUUCAAAUUUUAAUAUAUUUUACAUUUUUUAAAACAAUAAAGCUGUACUUGCACCUUUUUUAAAUAUUUAUUAUAAUUCUAACGUUACAUCUAAAUUGCUUCGCACCCUUCAAAAAUUAAAAAAGCAAAAAAAAAAAGAAAAAAAAAAAGAAAAAGGUAUUGCUUGGAAGAAAGCCAACCAACACUUAGUUGAUCUCAAACAAAGAUUUAUAGGAUCGAAUCCAAUAAAUCGGUGCAUGAACUUGUAUAGAUCUGGUUUGAUGUUUAAAAUGUUUUAUUUUCCCCAAUCAAAUUUGCUUUAUAACGUUUAUCACCUAAAAAUGCAUGCAGAAAUGAAGGAUAAGGUUCAUGAUCAAACAAAAAAGGAAGAUAAGAUCAAGCAAUGAAAGUCAUGCAACAUUUCAACCACUUCGAUUAUGAUUGAUUAUAGACUUAUAGCUCGUUGCUAUACCUUAAUCUUCAAGACAAAAAUAGUACUUGCGUAUUUUCUAUGGAAGAGCUAUUUUCACACAAAUUUGUGUAAAGUUUAGAUUUCUAAAAUAAUAUUGCCCAAGAUUUUUAUGUUCAGUAUUUGUUAAAAUGGUAAUUGGAUAAAUGUUUGUCCGAAGUAAGACAUUUGUUUAUAAGGGGUUUAUAACUUAAGUAGUUUGUGCUAAAAAAAGUGAAACUUUUAAUUGUUAGUGGUGCUUGAAUUUAUAACCGAGUUUUAUUAUUCUUGAACUCGUUUGUGUGUUAUUUUUAUCUUUCACUUUUCAUACGUGUUAUAAUUUAGUCAUUUCCUCACAUUAUAUCAAUUCUAUCUCAAGGGGUAAAACGUCAAUUUUGAUACUAUUUUAUCCUCUAAAACCAACAAAAAAAUGUAACGGAAUAAUUAAAUUGGAACUUUAAUGAGAGUUGAAAGAUUAAAAGGUCGUAAUACAUGGAGAUUGUGCAUUCAUUCCAACGAGCUACUUGGAUUUAUGAACUCACGGACCACGGGCCCUGGUUUGGUACGAAGUAGUACCACCGGAUUAAAAUUGCACGUAGAUUUGGGUCCAGGUUAACCUAACCGGGUCAAGGUGGUGAUAAGAAGCUUGAGACAGAGAGGUUGUAGGCCCAACCCCUUCAAUAAAGAAAAGUUGACAGGUCGGCAAAAUGUAAUCGCUGUGGGAUCCUCCGUCAAUGGAUGGUUCAUAAAUACUCUGGGAUGGAGGGAGGGUUACGUGUAAUUUGUAAACAACAAAUUCUGUACGGAAAACACGUGUGAGCUCGUUAAGCGAUGCUGUACAUACACGUGGUUGGUGGUUUCUCGAGGUGGCGGUGACUUAACUUCGUCCUUGGCUGAUAGUCGCAGGGCUCUAGCUGAACGGAUGGUGUACGUGUGGCACCUGAUUAGCUCCUCCGCGUUUGCCCUCCUCGAGAUCCUCAUGAUCUUGUCGACUCAGUCCACUGGAGAUUUUAUUUUUUAUAUUUAUCUUGUUUUUCCUAUAUGUAAAUUUCAUCAUGGAUAUUAGAACAAACAGAAUCUUAAACAAAUGGUUAAAAAAUGGCAAGGGAAGAUAGUCACAAAUUAACAAUGUCACUUUUGUUUGAUUUAUGUUUAAUCUUCACUCUUUUGUUAUUGAGAGUUAUGUUACGGUUAGUCGCUCAUGUAUAUUAGGAAGUCUAUAAAUUAAUCAUGAUUUGUUUUGAAUGAAGAUAUAAGCUUAGUUAAAUUGAUUAGAAUAGUUAUACUCCUUUUUAUGCAUCUGAGUUCGAAUUUUUUAUCUCGCAGUUUUAAUGAAUUUAAAAUAAAAUAAAACCAUGCUCUUAGCUUUGGUUAUGAUGUUACCUAAUUUAAGUGGUUGGAUGACGGUGAAUAAGUGGAUAAUCAUUUAAUCCCAUGCAUUUGGAUGGUCUACUUGUAAAUUAGAAUAAAGAUGCUAGGCUUAGCAAAAAGAGAAUGAAGAUAUUAAUAAUUGUGAUUUGGUGGGGGUUUAUGCAAGACAAAUCUCAUCGGCCCGUGGUUUAGGGCCUCGUGCUUAGUAAAUGUCGCCAGGAUAUGCUGCACAUCACAAGAUUAAAUCACUAAAUAAACCCAAAUUGAGCACCAGGUUCUAUCUUAAUCGCAGUCAUAAAACCCUUUUAAAAGCACUCGGAAGAGUUAAAGUCUUCAACCAUUAAAUAAUUAUAAAACUAAUGAAAGGAUUUAUUCUCAAAAGGGUAAUGAUUCGUUGGGUCGUUUUGCAUCAAAAUCGGCUUAGGCCCAAAAUGAAAAACGGGCUUUUGAAAUUGGGCUAAUUUAAUUUUAAAAAUCAAAUUAUUUUAAUUCAUAAAUCGUGGGAAUUAUAAUCCACAUCAAGCUAGGGUUUUAGAGAAAAAAUUCGCCAAAUCGGUUCUGACAAAGCUCGAAAAAUUGGCCUAGGCGGAUCCGGUCCUUUUUUUCCUUGAGGCCGAGAUACCGAGCUCUCUCUCUUCCCCGACUUUGAGGGGCGGCGCUGAUUCGAUCACCUCGCCGACCUCCUCAUUUUGAAUGUCUGACACGUCUGUGGCUUUCUCAACCUCCAUGGUGCAAUCAGAACUCCAAGCGACGGUAGCAUGGAAGUUGUGAUUUUUGUACGGGUGAGAUUAAAUUAAUAUAUUUAAUAGGUGUAGUAUAGCCGAACGGCUAUACCCGUUAAAAAAUAUAUUUAGUGGGGCGGCUAUACUCUUUAAAUAAUGUAUUUCAUGGGUAUAGUAAAGCCGGGCGGCUAUACGCUUUAAAUAAUAUAUUUGAUGGGUAUCAUAUAGCCGAACGGCUAUACUCGUCAAAUAAUAUAUUUAAUGGGUAUAGUAACGCCGUCUGGCUAUACUCGUUAAAUAAUAUAUUUAAUGGUUAUAGUAUAGCAGUAUAGCCGAACGGCUAUACGCGUUAAAUAAUAUAUUUAAUGGGUCUAGUAUAGCCGCGCGGCUAUACUAUUUAAAUAAUAUCUUUAAGGAGCAUGCGGGUAUACGUUUUAAAAAGGUAUAGCCGCGCGGCUAUACUAUUUAUUAAAAUGAAAAAAAAAGGGGAAAAAAGGACCCGGCUAGCACCCACAAUUUUUUUUUUUUUUUUAAAAUUUUCCUGGGCGGGGGGCGAGUCUGGCAUCUCUACAAAUACAUCAAGCUAGGAUUUUAGCACUCACUCUUUCUCACCAUUUAUCAACAACGUAAAGGUUGGCUCUUCCAACAAUUCACUGUUUUUUUCUGUGCAUUAUUUUUGCUGCGACUUAGAGUGCGUUCAUUUGAAAUUUGUGAAAUUGUCGAUAGCUCUGAAGAAGUUGUCAAGUUUUGUGAUAAAUAUUGGGCUCUUUGUAUUGAAUAAGUCCAAGUUUCACCUGAAUUGCGUCUCUUUGAAAAUUCAAACCCUACAAGCUGAGAAAUUGCAAUUGAAAAUCAGUUCCAUUUUCUGUUUUGGUUUAUGUUAUGUUUGGUUUGUAGGAAGCUGAUGAUGAACAAAUAUUCUCUUACCUAAAUAUUCAGUUUCAUGUUUCUUUUGUUGUAUUGAUUGAUUAGUUACAAAGUGAGUUGGUCUGGUUAACUGACCCAAAAGGAGUAGGCUGCUUUAUCAGGAACACUUGGAGAGCAAUGAGGGUGAUCCUGAGUUACUUGUUGUUUUAUGUGUUAUCUUCAGGACAUGAGUUAAAGAAUGCAUAAACAUGCAAUGGAUGGGGACAGGGAGAUCCAUUGGUUGAGUAGUUGUACCCAUUUUUCCAUAUUUUCAUUCAAUUUCAAUGGUAACAUGUUUUGUUACAUCUCCAUAGUCAGAUCUGUAUGAGUUUUGAGUAUGGGAUUUAACCACUUAAUUUGUGUUGCAUCUUUAGAAAUUUUAUUAAAACCUACCAUUCGAAGACCAACUUAUUAGAUGAAGUUAUCUCUGGAAUAUUUUGUUCAUUUAUUUCUGAUAGAUUUACAUCAGAUCUCAAGAUCAAGAGCAUUUCAAUUAUUGGUGGUGCUAAAGAUGCCUGCAAAUUCGUGACAUUUCCCAGUCUUAAAAUUUGGUUCCGGUUUUGGUUUUUGCAAUUUGACCUGCGAUGCGAGGCUGCAACCACAAACACACACACACGUUAUCUUCGUAAGGCUUUAUAGCUCCGUAAUGAACUUCAAUCCGAAAAGGCAUCAAAUCAAAUCAUAUCACUGAAACUACAAUUUGAACGUUAUGAGGGAAGUGCGACAUGUUGAAUCUGAAUGAUUGUAGCCAAAAAUUGUAGUACGAAACCAGAGAGCAUUUCGAGCUAUCUUCUUCCAUUGGCAACAUAAUUGGUUCUUCUCCAAGCGGCAGUCAAGGCAAAGGCACCACGGAAUAUAAUUGGUUCUUGCUGUUCACUCGUACAUUUAGAGCCCAAAACACUCUUUCAUUCCUCUCACAUCACAGUCUUAGUUGUUUUUCAUUUACAGGCUUAUUUAAUCUGCUUCUGGUGAUUCAACAUUUGUUCUGGUGAAAUCACAUUUGUUCUGGCUCCAGUCAUAGAAUCUAACAAUUAAUUUACAGGUCUUUUCAUAUGCAUAAAAGGAUUUUUGUGGACACGUCACCUGAACUUAAUACCUAAACCCAACAAAUUGUUAUGCUCCAACCGACUCAAAAAAUUGUUAUAAAAAUGAAAACCAAUUUGCUUGAUGUACUCAAAGUCAAAGAUAGAACAAAAAAAUUCAUGACUUUUGAGUAGAAUACCAAACCGGCCUUAAAGUUUUCGACGAAUAAAAAUGGAGGAUUAUUUAUAAAACUAAUUAAAGGAUUAUUCUCAAACGGGUAAUGGUUCGUUGGGUCGUUUUGCAUCAAAAUUGACUUAAGACCAAAAAACAAAACGGGCUUUUGAAAUUGGUUCAUGGGUUCUCAGUUUGCCAAGAAAUUUACCUUCCAGUUCUUGGGUCAAGACUCUUGAACUGUUAGAUACGUUUUGAGAGAGGCAUGGAUACCCAGUCCCAUAUAUAUAGAAAACGAUAGUUCAAACUAUAGGAGAGAGGGGGUUUCUCACACACACAAUCAAGAAUCAAGGGAUUCGAAUCUAAGAUCUCUUAGAACAUCGGCAAUGGUUGUUCAAUAGUUCAAGAAAUUGAUCUUUUUUGGCAUCUAUUGAAUUGAAUUGCAGUUUUACUUGCAAUAGUAUAGUUCAAUAGUUUCAGAUCAAUAGUUAUAUCUAUUUAUAUAUUUUUUUUACAUACUCAAAUAAAAUAAAAGGGACAAAUUCAAUAACACUAAAAAUUGUAACAUUGCAAUAUUCUCAAAGAGAUCUUUAAAAAGAGACCAAUUUUGAAUAUAUUUGAAGAAAAAAAUUUAAUUAAUGUAUUUUUUUCUAUUGCAUUGAAUUAUUGAACAACCAUUAUGGAUGCUCUUAAAAACAUAAUACAUUAAUUGCUGUAUUUUUUUUCAAUUUUUAUUAACAUGUGGGUCCCAUAUUUAGCUUAUUACAAUUGCGUCUAUUGCAAUGAACUAAAUCACACCAUUGCAAGCGAGAUUUUACUGUUUUAAUUCAAUUUCAUGCAAUAAAAUUGCAUUGAUCCUAACUAUUGCAGAUACUCUUUAAUACAUUUUUCCACUGGGCUAGACCAUUGACGUAUUAACAUUAUCUUUAAUUCUUCAUUUAUUUGUCAUAUAGAAAAUUAUUACCCUUAAUAUAUUUUGCAAAAACAAAAACCCAUUAAUUUUUGGUCCUGCCUAAAAUGAUUAUUUCAUAUUGAUGGAACAUUUGUACCCAAUCUUAUAUCUUUCUGGGCCUGCAGCCUUGCACACAAAUUUGAAAUUUGCAAAUGAAAGGAAUACCGGAAUGGCUUGCAUUCCUUGACUCAAUGAGCACGGAUAGUUAUGAAGGCCCAGUCUCACCUAAUUUUGCAAAGGAUCCAACAGCCAAAAGAUUAAUAUCAUUCAUGUAUCUUGCAGUCAAAGGCUAGAAAGGCAAAUGAAUAUUCAAAUCAUAAAUUAAACCCUCUGGAGAGCUUCCAUUCCAAUACAAGCAUACCACCAAUCUGCAAGACAAAGCAAAGCACAAUCCUUGGAACAACAAAGAAAGAACCAAGAUUUUUUGUCUUGUUUUCUAAUUUAUUUGUUCAGAUUGGUAGAGUCGUUCGUUGCUUUUAAGGUUUGUUGAUCCAAAUGUUUUGUUUGUUUGGGUUAAAUUAAACCCAGGUAGACAAAUAAAAAAAUGGUCCCGCGCUUUUCGUAGUCUUCACUUUACUCGAAAAUUUGCAGUUGGGAUUGUGUUUAUAUAUGAGGAGGCUCAGAGCUUGGUGCUUCAGAAGCCAAGUCUCCAAAAGCAAUCAGCAGAAUCAUCCAAAGGUAGUGUUUUUAGUUCUCUAAUUAUCUUUUAUGAGUAAAAUGCAGCUACUCAUUUUGUAUUUAUUUAAUUAUUUUUGGUUUUUUGGUGUUGGGUUAGAGAUCCAAAGAAGAAGCCAUGGAGAACCAAAAACAGACCGACAAUGGCGCCGACCACAAGGAGGUUUGGCCUUUUUUUCUUCUGUUCUGUUCUGUUUUGUUCCUCAAGUUUUGUAGACGCUUUUCUUGACAUUGGGUUAUUCGUUAGGUUGCUUUUGGAGAAUAUUUAAUUCAGGAGAAUUGCAAUUGUCUUUUACUUUAUAAACAUGUAUUUUACUUUAUUCUUUUUUAUUUUACAGAACUCACUGAACUUUGAAAUCGAAGCAAAUUAACUUUUGAACACGAAAUAUAUAUAUAUAUAUAUAUUCAAAAUAAUGAACACAAAAAAUAGAAUUAUUUAUUUAUUUAUAAAUAAAUCUAAGCAGACAAUCUGACGUUACAUGGUAUUUGAUUUUGAGUCCUUAAAAGAGGAAAAUGAUGAUAAAGGGUUUUAAGAAGUAGCUACCUGAACUUAAAUGCUCCAAAUGCUCCAACAUUUUUAUGACUUCUGCUUUCUCCGGCUAGAAAUUGGUCAAUUCAAGUAGCAGCCAUGCUACAAAUAUCAUUCUGAACCAUGAUUUCUCUGGAGGGCUGCAUUCUUGGCACCCCAACUGCUGCGACGGCUUUGUAGUUUCAGCUGAUUCUGGUCACCCAGAAGCAAAGUCAGCAGGCAAUAAUUAUGCUGUUGUUAACAAUCGAAAAGAAUGUUGGCAAGGCUUGGAGCAAGAUAUCACUGGGAGAAUUUCCCCAGGUUCCACUUAUGUGGUUUCGGCUUGUGUUGGAGUCUCUGGACCUCUUCAGGGAUCUGCUGAUGUCCUGGCAACUUUGAAACUUGAAUACCAAGGUUCAGCAACUAACUUCUUGUUGAUUGGAAGGUAACCGAUGUUUUUACCGUAUUACUGCAUUUGUUUCUUUAUAGAUAAGGAACUUGUUUUAACAGUAGUAACCACCUGCAGAAUUUCUGUAUCGAAUGGGAGGUGGGAAACGUUGGAUGGAAAGUUUUCACUGUCAACAAUGCCUGAUCGGGUUGUAUUCUAUUUGGAAGGGCCUUCUCCUGGAGUUGACAUUCUUAUAAAGUCUGUUGUGAUCUCAUCUUCUAGUCCAAAGGAAUGCCAGGUACUUAUAGUCCCUUUUCUUGCUUCCUCAGAAGUAUAUAUGGAAGCAUUAGAAAGAGGUAGCAAUGAAGUGUUGUUUAUGGAAGAAGUUUGCAGCGACUGCUAUCAAGUUUUUUUCAAGUAGGAAAAGGUCUUUUUCUUCUUUGCUAUCAUCUAUUGCUGAUUGAUUUUGGAAUGUGUAUCUUCCUUUUGUGUUUUGAAAGAAUGGAAGCUCAGGAAAUGUCAAUCUUGGGGAUGAGAAUAUAAUCCUAAAUCCAAAAUUCGAUGAUGGAUUGAAUAACUGGUCUGGAAGAGGCUGCAAAAUUGUUCUGCAUGACUCAAUGGGAGACGGGAAAAUCGUCCCUCAAACUGGAAAGGUAUUUGCAUCUGCAACAGAACGCACGCAGAGCUGGAAUGGCAUCCAGCAGGACGUCACUGGAAGACUGCAAAGGAAGCUAGCGUAUGAGGCCACUGCUGUUGUUCGGAUAUUUGGUAACAAUGUCACUAGUUCUGAUGUACGGGCUACCUUAUGGGUCCAGUCACCAAAUCAACGUGAACAGUAUAUCGGCAUUGCUAAGUUAUUAUCUUUCUCCAUGUCUCUUUCUAAUGAAAUUGUCAUAUAAUUUGUUUCUUCAAUUAAAAAUCUUGAUUAUUUUGUUCAUUUGCACCUUAUCAGAUUAGCCUUAAUCUUAAUCGAAGUUGGUUUGCUAUAAAGUGUGCAGGCAACAGACAAGGAUUGGGCACAGUUGCAGGGGAAGUUCCUUUUAAAUGGCUCCCCAUCAAAAGUAGUCGUUUAUCUAGAAGGUCCACCAGCAGGAACGGAUAUUCUUCUCAACAGUUUUGUUGUCAAGCAUGCUGAGCGAGUCCCUCCCUCCCCUCCACCAGUUAUUGAGGUUUGUUGAUUAAGUGAUUCUUUUUCUAUAAUAUUUCUGAGCAUGUUUUCUUGGAGCUGACUACAAAGAUAUAAGCACUCAAGUUUUGGCUUUUGUUUUCAUAGAAUCCAGCCUUUGGAGUAAAUAUAAUUGAGAACAGCAAUCUAAGUAAGGGCACCAAUGGCUGGUUUCCGCUUGGUAACUGCACUUUGAGUGUCGGAACUGGUUCACCUCAUAUACUUCCUCCAAUGGCAAGAGAUGGCCUUGGACCUCAUGAACCUUUAAGCGGUCGCUACAUCCUUGUAACGAAGCGCACACAGACUUGGAUGGGUCCUGCCCAGAUGAUUGGUGACAAACUGAAACUCUUUUUGACAUAUCAAGUAUCUGCUUGGGUUCGGAUCGGUGCUGGAGCAACUGGUCCACAAAAUGUGAACAUUGCACUUGGUGUGGACAACCAGUGGGUGAAUGGAGGGCAAGUUGAGGCGAGUGACAACAGAUGGCACGAAAUCGGUGGUUCCUUUAGAAUUGAGAAGCAACCAUCCAAAGUAAUGGUUUAUGUCCAAGGCCCUGCUCCAGGUGUAGACUUAAUGGUUGCUGGAGUUCAGAUAUUCCCUGUUGACAGACAAGCAAGAUUUAAAUACUUGAAGAGGCAGACUGAUAAGGUAAAGGGGUUGUUCUUUCAUUUGUUUUGCAAGUAUCAUUAUAAGUAUUUCCAGCAUGACAUUAUUACAAGCAUCAUCAAACUUGUCUCACUGAGCAUUGCUUCAUAAGAUAAGAGCCUAAAGUAUAUAGUGAUCUGAAUUCGCAUUCCCCUAAUUUGUUCCAAAUUUGAGUAUUUCUCCUUUGUUGGAAUGCAGAUCCGAAAGCGUGAUGUUGUCCUAAAAUUUUCAGGAUUGGACUCAAGCAGCCUGCUUGGCUGCUUUGUGAAAGUUAAACAAACGAAAAACAGUUUUCCAUUUGGGACAUGCAUAAGCAGAACAAACAUUGACAAUGAAGACUUUGUUGAUUUUUUCGUUAAGAACUUCAACUGGGCUGUAUUUGGAAAUGAGUUGAAGUGGUAUUGGACUGAACCCCAAAAAGGAAAUUUCAAUUACAAGGAUGCUGAUGAGUUGGUGGACUUAUGCAAGAGUCACAACAUAGACAUCCGAGGUCAUUGUAUCUUCUGGGAAGUGGUGGACACAGUCCAGCAAUGGAUCCGUUCAUUGAGCCAAAAUGACUUGGCAACGGCUGUCCAAAGUCGGCUCACAGAUCUUCUUACCCGCUACAAAGGGAAGUUCAUGCACUAUGAUGUCAACAACGAGAUGCUGCAUGGCUCAUUCUAUCAAGACAAGCUGGGUAAAGAUAUCAGAGCAAAGAUGUUCAAGAGUGCAAACCAACUGGAUCCAUCUGCAACUCUGUUUGUGAAUGAUUAUCACGUUGAGGAUGGAUGCGAUACUCGAUCAUCACCAGAGAGGUACAUUGAACAUAUUCUUGAUUUGCAACAGCAAGGUGCACCUGUGGGUGGCAUUGGAAUUCAAGGACAUAUAGAUAGUCCAGUGGGGCCGAUUGUUUGUUCUGCUCUUGAUAAAUUGGGCAUUCUUGGCCUGCCAAUCUGGUUCACAGAGCUUGAUGUGUCAUCAGUCAAUGAACAUGUUCGAGCGGAUGAUUUGGAAGUGAUGCUGAGGGAAGGUUUUGCCAAUCCUGCAGUAGAAGGUAUAAUGAUGUGGGGUUUCUGGGAGUUGUUUAUGAGUCGACAAAACUCGCAUUUAGUGAAUGCAGAAGGUGAUGUGAACGAAGCUGGAAAACGCUACUUAGAGCUCAAGAAAGAGUGGCUAUCUCAGGCUCAUGGCCACAUUGAUGAGCAGGGAGAGUUUAUAUUUAGAGGCUUCCAAGGAACAUACAAUAUAGAAAUUGCCACUGCCCCAAAGAAACUUGUGAAGACAUUUGUUGUCGGCCAGGGUGAGUCGCCGGUAGAGGUGCCCAUUGCCCUAUAAAUUUGCUGCUUCACUCAGUGAAGGGAUCAUUAUUUUCAUACCUUACAUUUCAAAUUUGUGUUGCAUUGUUGUCACAGUUGUGCACAGAAAAAAGGUUCCACAUGUAUAAAACACAGAAUAAGAAAUAAGAAAUAAGAUGAAGUUUGUUGGUUGUGAUCAGUCCGACGCAGAAUAUGAAACAAGCCCAUUUGGCCUAUUGAGCUAAUGGGCCAAUCUUUCUUUUAAGAAUCGGGCCGUUAUCGAUAUCGUCUCUUUAACUGACUCACACACAAAAAUGUUACGAAUUGAUGUACAUAAAUCGUGUGGAGUUACAUUAAACUUUACCAAAUAUGUAGAAGAAAAAAAAUUGAGGGAGGAGCAUGUACAAAUCGUGUGUCUGCCUAUCUCCUCCUAACAAUCAUUUGGGUCCCAAAUUAUAUAAAUCAUGGAAAUUGGGCCCAAACCCAAAAUGCCUUUAUCAAAGGGAAUGGGCCCACCCAACACCAUCACAUCAAUCUGAUAGACUCCCACCAUCUACUACUACUAGCUAUAUAUCACUAUCACUAUGACAACUAGUUCUCUACUUCUCUCUCUCUCUCUCUCUCUCUCUCUCUCUCUCUCUCUCUCCCUUACCAUGAUUAUGAUGAUAAAUGGGACCCAAACACAGUCCCAUCCCUGUCUCUAAAUACCUGGUUCCAGUGGACCCCACACCCCACAUGGGUGCAUAGUCAGGCUUGCCCGUGGCUCAUAUUAGCCGACCCCCUUCUAUAUCUCUCUUAUUAAUGCCCAUUUUACCAUCCAUAUAUAUUUGUUACUGAGCUUGUCUAUUUCAAUUAUUAUAGACAUGAAUUUUCGCCGUUUGUUUGUUUAAUGUGUCCAGAUUGAACUUAUUAAAUUUAACAAUAAUUCAAUAUAUUGUGUUUUAUAAAUUAUACUUAUAAAAAUUAAUUUCAAUUUAAUUUCAAUUCAAUCCAAACAGACCGUUAAACGAUUAUGGAUGUCAGCAUCACGAGAGUUUUACGAUUGAUUUGAUGGGGGGGUGUUCGGUGGGUCGCAGACGUAUCAGAAGGUUUGAAAGAAAAGUCUAUUUUCUUCUUAAAAAUGGUAAAAUAAAUUUUUAUGAAGAGAAAGAAAAAAAAAGUUUGAAGGGAAUGAAUGAAUGAAUGGUGGAGCGAGAGACUGAGGAGAGAGAGAGAGAGAGAAGUGGGGACUGGUAGGAGGAGCAGAGUGAGUGAGAGAGUGAGAGAGAGUUAUGAUGUCUAGUGCAUUGGGAAACAGCUCCCGCGCUGUUUUCGCGCGCCUUCCCCCAAAACGACAUCGUUCGUGGGACCCACCCACCCGCUCCUGAAAUAAGCUCCUGUCUGUCAUUAACCAACACCUCCGCUGCCACUCACACACAGUCUCUCUUCUCACAUUUGAAUAAUCUUUUUCUUCUUUUUUUUCUUUUUUAAUACCUUAAAAAAUAAUAAACUCCAGAAUUUCUUCACUGUGUGCUAAUCAAAAUGACUGAUGGGUCAUCCACUGGUAGUUCUCUGAAACCCUAACCCUAUAGAUUAAUAUAAAUCCUGAAAUGAAAACAUCAACUUCUGGCACGUGCUACAUUUUUAAACAUUUUAUUCAACUUGUCAUAAUUCAGAUUUUAUUUUUAAUAAGUAGAAUAGAUAAAUAAAGGUUUUCUUGCUUUUGGUUUCUUUCUUCCUUCUUUUUAUUUUAGGGUUCUGAAUCUGAAUCUGAAUCUCUACCCAAGGAUUCAGAGUCAAGUACUGAUAAGUGACAAUUAACACAAAUAAUUCUUUUUAGUCAAAGUGCGUUGACCCUUUUCCCACGGGACAAACUCAUCUGGUUAAGUGGCUUAAUCAGAGAAUUUAUCAGUAGACAUAAUACAGUUGUUCUCGUACACUGCUGUAUGUGUUUGCAUAAUCCUCAAAUGGUUGUUUCUGUCUUCUGAAAAAUAAAUGUUAUGGGCUGUUUUUUCGUUUUUGCAUUGAAAAGUUUAACCAACCGCAUUAUAUGAAUAGAUUAUAUCGCGUGAUCGUAUUACAAUAUUACAAUAACAUGUUGAUACCAUUAUAUUAAACAAAUUUUUUACGCGGCCACGUGGAAGACAUGCAAGAAGAUUUACUGAUAAUCAGAGACAUAUGGGUCACCAUGAGUGUCUAUGACAAUAGUAAAUUAUCAUUAAUCAUAGCUACGCUGCUACGCAUAUAUGAAUUUAAGUAAUGAAUUAAAGUAAAGGCUUUUGACUGAGAUUCUCUCCUGGUUGUUGGAGUGGGCAUCAGCAUACUUACCUACAAUUAUUAUGAUCUGGGACAUUCAAAGUGCAAAGAGAAAGCAGAUUCUGUCCUGUUAGCUUUUGCUAACUCGGGUAAUUUUUAAUGAUAGACAUGUGGAAAACCAAUUUGAAAGACUAUAGAUGAAAGUCCAUGCACUAAAUUUGUUUUGUGAGGGCUAGCUUUAAUUACUUUAGAAAAAAAGCUUGACAUUGAGAAAGAAACGUUCUGAUUAAGAAUCAUUAAAAAGUCGCUUAAGUUAAUUCGUAAUAUCAUAUGCUUUCAAUUCAAUCAUCCAGAUGUCAUGAUUUACAUGCAGCUUAUAACCAUUAAUUAAAUCUACUUUGAAACUAAUUAUGAUACGCUGCUGAAAAUUUUAAACUUUUGCUGGAGGGAAGCCUUUUAAUAAUAAUUACUAGAUUUAUAUUCCUCUAAUAUUCAAAAUUAGUUUUUUUGGGAUUUUUAUAUCCAACAUAGAGCAUAAAGAAAUGCCAAAUGUUUUUUGGUAUGCUGACAUUCUUAUUGAUAUUGUUUAUUCUUGUAAGAGGAAUGAGGAAUAAAAUACUAAUUUUCGUUUUUCAUUCUCAAAUUAUUCUCAUGGAAUGAAUUGUGAAAUCAUUUGGAAUAUAAGCGAAAUUCUACGCUAAAUUACAGGAAAUGAGAUUCAAACUCGAGUAAAUACGACAAAUUCAAAGUUAAAACAACAUUGCCAAUUUACAAACUCCCUCAUCAAUAAUUCAACCCCUUACAAAUUACAUGUCCAAUGAAAAUGAGACUCAUAAGAGCCAAAAAGAAAAGAAAAAUUGUACAGAUUCAAUAGGUUAUUGAUGCAUGAUAUUGCAAAAAGUCCAUGGGUAAAGACAGACAAGAUACCUUUUCUUUUUUCAACAACUUGAGUCUUUAUGUUUACGCUAAUUAUAUUAUUUUCUGUUCCCAUCAAAUCCGACUCUUAAAGAAGAAAUUAGACAUAUAAUACCUUAUUCUUAAUCUUUUAGUCAAUACUCAAUACUUAGUGCUCAUCACUGUACGAUUGAAACAGCCAGCUUUGAUCUUUACCCUUACAAAUUAAAGACAAACCUUUUAUUGUUUCACAUUGGUUGCGACCCUCCAACCUCUUCGCUUUCAUAAUUAGACACAAAAGUCGAAUACUUACCGAGCUAAUAAAGCCAAGACAAUUGUUUUAACUUAUGCUUUUGUAUGCUAAGCAGCUGGGUGGGGACGAAUGAUUAUCUUAAUCUAGGUCUUCAAAACUUGAGUACGUGGACAAUAUCCUUCCACGUAUAGCUUCUUAAUCUGGAAUCGCAGCCGAACAUUAUCUCCUUGGAUGCUUUUCAUUAACUUUGAUUGGUUGCUUAACCAAGUAUUUUAAAUACAUUAUCUCCUACUACGGUACGUAAUGUAUGUCUUGUCUUGUGAUGUAUUCAAAAACCUUUGUCUCACUCUCACUCAUGAGACCAACAGUUCUCCCAUAAUCAAACAUACCAAUCUUUCUUUUUUACUAUUACUAAUUAAUAAUGAACUGCCCAUCAAAUUUCUGGUAGGUCAAGGGUAUUUAAUUUAUAGCAUCGUAUUUAUUUAUGCUAAUUUAAAUUUACAAAAAAAUAAAAAAUGUAAGUUAAGUCAAUCGGUUUAAAAAAAUGAUAAAUUUAUAGCAUCAUAUUAGUUUAUGCUAAAUUUAAAUUAAAAAAAUAAUAAUAAAUCCGAGUUAGCUCAGUCAGUCAAAAGAGCAGUGCGUCCAUCACUUAGAAUUGUUUGAAAUGUUGCAUUCAAAGAAAACAAAACCAACUACGGAUAAAAAUGUGAAGUAUUAACCUGUUGCAGUGAAAGUUUUUCCUCCAAGUUAUCUUAGUUAGCUCUGGUAAGAAAAUAUUACCAGCAUAUAUUGAAGGAAGUUUUGGGUUGAUGUUAUUUAUUUAUGCGCUCUGUUGUAAGUUGUGAGUGAGUUGACAGGAACAGCUCAUUCAUAUGAUGAUGAGAAGAUGGUGAUGUGAUUGGGAAAAGGGAGGCACCAAUAAUAGACAGGUGAACUGUGCAUCCAAUCUAAUCCCCGCCAACUCAAACCCGAUGGUGCAUGUAUAUAUUCGUGUUAGGAUCACAACUUGCCACGACGUUUCUGAUUGGACAACAUUAAAAAUUAAAAUAAACCAAUACUACGUAUGUUACUUAUGUCCUCCGAUGUAUAAAUUAUUAAAUUUCCUCCCAAGUUUGGUCAUCUCUUUUUAUCUUUUUAGAAUUUAACUUUUAAACUUAGUCGGUAGUUUUUGUGAUAUUCUGUGGAACUAUUUCUGCUCAAAUGGAAGCCAAACUGAUGCGCACCAUUUUUUCUAAGAAAGAGGCCAAACCCAAACUGGUAGCUGCCCCAAAUAAGAAGGGUGCCAAGUGUAUUUAGCUUCUAUUUUAAUUUAUUUCUGUUUUUGUAAUUGACUUAUAUUUUAAUGUCAGUUGGGAACGAAUGUAUCUAUUUAAGUUUGUUUUCACCAACCGGUCUUUAUUCCGUAGAAAAAUAAACUUGACUCGCAAAUCUGUGAUUUCAAGUUUAAACUCCCACGUGUCUAUAAGAAACUCCUCAUUCUUUUGUAGUUUAAACUAUCAAUUGUAUUUAAAAAAUAAACAUUACAUUCCACUUAUCCUUACAUGAUACCCAUUAUUAAACCCUUCAUAGGGUGUCUCUUUAGCAAAUUAAAUCUACUCUUUUGAACAUGAAACCCAGUAUUUUUCACUUUAUAGGGUGUUUGUUUAGCAAAUUAAAUCUACUAUUUUUCACUGCAUAAUGUCUAUCUUCUCCUUCUUCUUUUUUUUUAGGGGUCAAAGAAGUAUUGUUCUUGGGGAGUGAGUGAGUGAUAGAAAGAAAGAAAUAGUAGAAGGUGCAUGGGGAAGAGGCGAAGAGCAGUGUGAGUGAGUGACAAGUGAAGAUGGGGGGCACCUGCUGCCAGUACUAGCUACUAGCUACCACCCUGGUCGUGUCUUCCUCUUGGACACGUCCAAUCUUUCUCUCAUCUCAACUCUGAAAAAAAGCAGAAAGAAAAUGCAGUUAAAAACUUAAAAGCAUAUAAGCUUACUGGCUAAGGACAUGUUUGGCAAUUGGUGCAUGGCCAUGGCCCCGCCCAACGGCUUUAGGUGUACAUGUAGCGCGAGUCUCCCGGGGGGAUUCUUUACACGCUUUAUAUAUAUAUAUAUAAGGCCCUCUGAUCAUCUGAUCAGUUUUCAGUGGGGUCUUUCUCUCUCUUCUCCUCUCUCGCUCUCUUUAAAUUCUCUGGGUGCGUGCGUCGUGCGGGCGAGAGAAGGUGGUCGUCGCCGCCAGCUAUACCUCGUGUUGCAGUGCUGCACAACCAGCAAAACGACGUCACACCACACACCCCACCCCUCCCAUUCCCUUCUCUACAUAAUAUUUUAAUAUUAUUAUGUCACUGUUAAGGUUAAUUUGUCUUGCUCUGUUUUGCUGUUUUGCUCUUUUUCACCUAUGUAUGCGUCAUUUGACUGACUCAUUUGUACACACAGCCCUCCUCUGGGUCCCAUUCCACUGUUUACCGUUGAAAUUUCGUACUCCUACGGCCCUACCUUUUAUAUAUGUGUACAUAUAUUACUAAUAAUACAGAUUGCACUACGGAUCAUCUUCUCUAGUGACCUAGUCCUCUGUAUGCAUGUAUGAAAGUGAAUAAUACGAUAGUAUGAUUACGUGCUAUAUAUUGUAUAGGUGUUAUAAAUUGAUAUGUAUUGAUAUUAUUUCUUAAAAGAAAGGAAAAUAAACUAUAUUGUCUAUUCAUGUUGUAACAUACGUACAUAAAAUAUAUCACGUGACCAUACUACUAUAGUAUUCUAUAAUUUAUUCUUCUUUAAUGACCUAGGCCUUUGUAUGCAUGUGUGAACAGUGAAAGUGAGGCCCCCCCCCCAACUAUGCACAAUUGUACGUUAUAUUUUGUUCCAUUAUUAUUUCAUCUAUUAUUUUUCAAUUCCUUUAUUGCACCCCCUUUGUUAUAACAAGAAACCCUCACAUGA